Molecule: long non-coding RNA, 319906 nt
Filed under: Vitis vinifera (wine grape)
Lineage: Eukaryota; Viridiplantae; Streptophyta; Magnoliopsida; Vitales; Vitaceae
Description: long non-coding RNA (VVIN_LNC006927)
Source: RNAcentral
UCUGCAAUAAGAUUAAAAACAUCAAUGAAACACUAAAAGUUUGUAUAUAGAAGCCCUUCUAAAGAUAAGAAUUGGUAAGAGAGCUCACCCAUGGUCUAGUAAAACAACAUCUGUUAGAUAAGUAACCACCAUUCUAUUGUCCAGCUAAUGCAUUUAGAUCUAAGAUAACAUAUGGAAAAAUAGUCGAAAAUAGCUAAAGACAGUCCAAAAACUCAUUUGACUAAUAAUUUUUUAAAAACAGAAACAUAAAACCAGGAUGAAGAAUCCACCCCUCUCCUUGACACCACUUCAAUACCAAAUAAAAUGUUACAAUGACCAUUUAUGGUCUUAAGAGACAGUGGAUGUUGUUUGGGCUCAAGACAUAAGACAAGCCAAAAAUCAAGAAGAAAACAACAUCAAAAUUGGCACAGAAACAAGUACAUCAACUAUCUAAUAAAGAGAUUUAUGCAUGUAACAAAUGCAAAUGAAAUAUGAUACAAGAUUUUCAUGGAUUAAACAAAAAUAGAUGGCAAAAUAGAAGGAUAAGGUCACAGACAGGACAAUAUUAAAAGAAAUUAUUAUUUUUCCGACCUGAAAAUCGAGGCAUUCAGAACAGUACAAGUUUGUAAGUAGUCCAUGGAAACCAGGGAACAUAUGCAGAUGUUGUAUUCUAUUGCAUAAGGCAAACACUCAAUACUUACAAGCAUAAUCAUGCCCAGAAAGCCAUGAAUCCCUUUUUGUUUUGCUUUUUUACCUAUUCCCAUCUCUUAUGGCCAGAAGUGCCCAGGAUGAUAUAACCUCACCAAAUAAGUUAGAAACCAGCCCAUUCAGCAGGUUGAGUAGCCAGCUUGCCCUCAAUCUUCUUUGAGUCAACAAACAGCUGGGCAUUAUUGCCUCCAAUGGAGGGUCUGGAAAUAUUAGAGCCGGCAGCAGGGGUGGCUGUAAAACUCUCUGUUCCAAAACCCCAAGUUUCAGGGCCAGAAGUUCCUUCUGUGGCUGGUUUGUUGUGAUGGCCAUUUCGGGUCCUAACAGACUUGCUAUUGUUGUCUGGGCACCUGCCUCAGAGAAAGCCUGCCAAAGAUCAGAGUCUGGGCCAGGGGAAACGGAUUUUCUUUGCUGGAGUUCCCAGUCUGUUGCUUCAAUCUUUUCUCUGUGCUGUUAUGAGAAGAAAACCUAUCAGACACAUGAAUGGGUACAAAAAGGUAAACUUCAGGUUUUGGUUCUAUUGAAAAGCACAGGAAACUUCACAAGAGGCAAAUUAUACCCCAGAAAUUGACUUACCCAAAUGUCUACUUUCUCAUUUAUAGGUUUCCUCCUAAUCAAAUCCCCACAUCUAGGACAGGAAAAGGAAGAAACUGGGAGUCAACAUUUUUUCAACCAAAAGCACUAACUUACCAAAAAACAUAGUUUUCCAUUCAACCUCGGGAGCUGUAUGUGCAGGUGUACUGUACUUUCUGAUAUUGUCUUCUUCAAUGCCCAUUUCUUCAGGCUUCUUAAAGUGCUUAUGAUUGGUGGAGGUGCUUCCAAAAUUACACAACUUCCAUAAUCCAUUAGGGCCCAAUAGAAGAUUCUCAGCAUUUAUAUAAGAACUUUAGGGUUUAUACCAAUGAUCAUGUUACAGUAUAAAUCAUAGUGAACUGGUGGAAUUUGAUCAUUUAGCCAACCUCAUCAAAAAACUGUUUCACAGUUGAGGGGAUUGUUAACCUUCCCAUGGGCCAAGCAGCAAUUUCUGAAACUGAUCCUGAAAUCAAAAAUCCCACACAAGUAGAUAUUUAACAGAAGAGGAUCCGAAUCUCUUCAAUUGAUUAAUGUAUAAAUGAAAUAAUAAAAAAUUUUAGAGAUAAUUAUAGGGAGAUGAACCUUAUACCUCUGAGUUUCUUAGUCUUCUUGAACAGAGCAAUGAGCAUCAAGUGUUGAGCACCCAGGAAUCUCCCUUCCUCUACAGGGAAAAUCUGAACAAUCUAUCUUUCUUCAUAUUCCACUUCCUUGCAAAAGUCAAAACAUGAAGAAAAUAUCAUCAAAAUUGAGACAAAAAUAAGUGCAUCAACUGUCUCAAGAAGAGAUUUAUGCCUAUUGCUUACCUUUUGCAGAAGUCCACUUGGUUAGAGCACAUUUUACAUGGACGCCCAAUCACUGCAAGCUGCUGAACCAAAGGAGGUUCAAACAUCUAAAAAAUUUGACUAACUCAAGUAUCAUAAAAAUGCUUCACAUGAAUUCCAAAUGAUCUCAUAUCUAAAAAACAUUGGCAUAAAAUUAUUGUUGUUUACCUUACAUGUUUCUUCCAUGGUCAUAAUUGAAACUUUGUUUAUCAUAACAAAUCUUCUAUGCUCAUCCUGAUUACUUACAAUGAACACUGAAAUGAAAAGAAAAAAAAAACACAAAAAAUGACGAUUAGUUUGGUUUGAUAAAUUUAGCACACACAAUUCCCUUUUUCUUGUAUGAAAAAGGAAAGAGUAAAAAAAAAAAUGAAUUUAAUAAUUUUUUAAAACUAGCAAUUAUAAAACUAGUUUGGUUCUCAGAAAAUUUAUGGGAAAGCAGGGAAAAAAAAGUGUAAACUUUUUCUCUUGUUUGAUUGUUUAUGGGAAAAUUGAGGGAAAAACAAAUAUUUAUGAGGAAUCUAUUUAACACUUUUGAGGAACAAAAAAUGUUUUAGAUGUUGUCAAAUCGAUAAUUUAAAUGUAUUUAAUUCCAAUUAAAUAAGUUUAAUCAAACACAUGAAAUGAAAUUGUGAAUAAAAUUAUUUAAAAGCAUUGAAAUUCAUGUCAUUAAAGUUGUCCAUAAAAUUUGGUAUAUUAAAGCAAGAAAAAAACAAAGCAAUUUGAAUGACUUGCUAAUAAAGCAGCUAACUAGAAUAUGCCCUAGAGUUGUUCUAUGUAUAUAAGAAAUAAACAGAGAACACAAUAAAUAAAUAAAAAACCAGAAAAUAAAAUACAAACAAACGAAAAUAAACAGCGUUGUUCAAUGGUUAUAAAUGGUUAUUUUUGCAAACCACCAAAUCAAAACAGAGCAUGAAAACGUGUUCAAUAUUUGUUUCAGGCUUGAAGCAUCAAGAAAAAGAAAAUCUUAAAUCAAAUAAAUAGGACUAGCGAAUGAAUUGGAACUUGAAAGAAAAGUUCAAGUGCAAAAGAAUUACCUGACUCUAUAUUGGCGGAGUGGCACUUUGAUUAAUAUAGCACACCAUUGAUCAUUAUUUUUGGAAUGUGAGCUAUAUAACGCCAUUCUUCCCCUUUCUCAAAUUGACACCGUUUUUCCAGUAGAGGACACCCGUAGAUCCUCAGAAAAGAGAGGGAGUCUGAAAGUCUCUCUUUUGUCAAGUAUUUGAGCUUACGACAGAUCAUGAUCUCCAAUGUUUUAAGAGAGGUGAGGUGUUGAAGACCCACUUUUUUCAAGGAUUGGAGCAUUGGGCACUCAUGGAUCCACAAACUUUCAAGAGAGGUGAGGUGUUGAAGACCCGCUUCUGUCAAUGAUUGGAGCCUCGAGCAUUGACAAAUUACUAAUCGUUUUAGAGAGAUAAGGUGUUGAAGAACCGAUCCUGUCGAGAACUGGAGCUUUGGGCAGAAGUAGAUCCUUAAUUCUAAAAGAGAGGUGAGUUGUUGAAGACCCCCGCUGUCAAGAGACUUGAGAUUUGGAAGAUUCCAGAUUUGAAGAGAAGUCAGAGAAGAGGGCAGCAAACACUCUUUGGGAAAUAAUUCAAUGUCUUCACAUCCACCUUUGAUUAUGAAAUGAGUAAGAGAGGUCAGCCUUUGCAAACCCCACUCCACCUGGGGCGUGAGUUGGUUGCACUUCUUAAUUUCAAGUUCACGUAGGUUGGAAGGCAAACCCUCUCUCUGAAACAACAAUUCUGGACAAUCAUAUAAAUUCAAGUACUGUACAGAUGACUGUCUGUGUGCCAAUGACCUGAGCUUGGAGCACCUAUGAAUCGAACAAGACUUCAAGUUGAGAGCGCGUAAUUCGAUAGAUUCAAGAUCAGAGCAACCUCUUAGACGCAGGGAACAUAAAGAUGUGGGAUCACCCUCUGAAACCAAAAUCGAGAGCUUCUCAAGCCCAUUAAGACCAUUGAUUUCGAAAUCAGUCAACUUGGGGAAGAUGCCUAAUGAGAAGGAUAACGACAGAGAAUCAUCGAUAACACCACGUUCGAUGAUUAGACGUUCAAGGACUGGGAGAUGGCAUCUGAACAACUCAGGUACGAGAAACGCUAAUUUCGAGCAGUUAUAGAUUAACAGUGAUUUCAGUGUAGUGGGUAAACCAACUUUGUGCAGGGAUCUAGAAAAAAUACAAUCACAGAUUUUCAGAUCAUGAAUGUUGGUUUGCGAGAUUUCCUCCUCUAGCAGAGACUCCACAUAAUCACAUUUUCUAAUUGACAGCUGGUGUGGUGCCAUUGGAAGUUGACUCCACUGAGACACAUCUAAAAUUUCAAUUUCUGAAGUUUGAAGAGGUGUGAAGUCACAACCUGGCAUUUGCAACCGCAGUUUACCAAAAUCCACCAUCCUCAACUGACGAAUUGCAGGAACUGUGAGUGAAGCCAUAAGCAGCUGCGGACAUCCAUCAAUUUGAAGUUCCACCAAUGAAAGAAGCUGUUCUGGUAAUUUCCCAGUGAGUUUGGGACACUUUCGUAUAAAAAGCUUUUGGAGACGAGGGAAUUCUCCACAACAUAACCAUUUCUCCCAGUUCUUCAUAUCCUCAAAUGAUAGUGUUUCUAGGAAUUGAAAGGAAGCAUUCUCAUAUAACUCAUCACCCACACACUCUACUCCAUUCAUCCUUGAGAUUUGCAGAUAUUUAAGCUGGGUUAGCUGUCCAAGUGGUGGCAAUGUUGAGCAAUUGCCACAACCCCGAAGCUCAAGGGACACGAGAUUCAACACUGAAGGAUCUCCAAGCCAAUUUGGAAAUCCUUCACCAGGAUAGUUUGUGAUGGAGAGUUGUUUUAAAUUUGGAUGAGGUUGUAACUUGUUGAGUAUAUCAUGCGUUGUUGCACCACUUUGUGUAACACCACUGGUACCCCAACCAAAGAUUAACUCAUAAAGAUAACUUUUAUCCUUCAUAUUAGCCCUUAAUGCAUCAUUAACACUCACCACAUUCUCCAUGUUUGAAAUACAAAGUUUUCCUCGAAUCUCUGACAGCUCCCCCAAUUCUCCAAUUCUUAAUCCAUCGUUUUGGCCCACAAUAAAUUGAGUCAACCUUUGUAAACUUUUUAAUCGACCAAUUCCAUGACUUGACAUUUCUCUCAAUGAACCACAUCCAUCAAUAUCAAGAUAGCGCAAAUUAAUCAAUUUUCCCAUCUUUGAAGGCAAUUCAUCAAGUUUUGAACAAUUUCUCAGCAUCAUCGUUUGUAAAUUGCAUAAACAACAUGCUGAUUUAGGUAAUUUUUUAAUCCUCGUGGAAGACAAAUCCAAGUAACGCAAAUGUUUUAAAUUACCUAUCGAUUUAGGCAAAUCAGUUAUUGUAUAUGCACAUAAUGAUAACACGCGUAAACACCACAUUUUUGGUAAUAUAUCUUGCAAAACUCUUUUACUCAACUUAUACAAAGGAAGAUCAACCCAUGGCUUCACUCUUAAGAAUGUCCGAAGAGAUUUAGCUUUAGGGACAGCCUCAAAAUUCUUAAAUGCAACAAGCCUGGUAUCAUCACUAUUAAAGUACAAAAAGUGGCGAGCCUUCUCAGAUACUUCUGGUGGUAACUUAUCAUCAUCUUCCACUCGAGCACAAAAAUCUCCAGACACGUAUUGAGCCAAUUCAUGUAUUAGAUCAUGCAUUACAAAGCAUGAUCCUUCUAUUCCAAUAGAUUUUUGAAAGAAAGACUUGGCAAGAAGCUCAUCAAAAUAUGACUCACCGAUCUCUUCCAUUCUCCUUCCUUUGUUUUGUUGUGCAUGUAAAAGACCUUCUGCCAUCCAUAAUAAAAUCAGCUCCUCUUUGUUGAAUUGGUGGUCCUGGGGAAAAAUAGAACAAUAAGCAAAACAAUGCUUCAGAGGUAAAGAAAGAUGAUGGUAGCUUAAUAUCAAAGACGGAAGAAUUUCGGAGCCACGCUGCGGAUGCCAUAUUUCACUUCUCAACACAUCGUCCCAUUCCCUUUUUUCGUCCUUAGAAUACAAGAGACAGCCGAGUGCUUUCACAGCCAAAGGCAAUCCUUGGCACUUGUCCACAAUCUGUCUGCCUAUGCGUUGAAGCUCAAGGUAUGCGUUGGGGUCUCUAUCUUCAAAUGCAUGCUUUUUAAACAGGGACCAACUAUCUUCAGAGCUUAAUUCCCCAAGAUGAUGAGUAGGGACUGCUCGCAUGGUUGUUGCAACAGAUUGAUCACGACUGGUCACGACAAUCUUGCUUCCCUCUGCUGCGAGGAGUGGAGUUCGUAGAAUAUUCCAAACUUCACGAUCACUAAGCUCCAUAUAACCUUCAUCACGAGGCUUCAAAUUCCAGACGUCAUCAAGAACAAGCAGAAAUUUCUUGUUACGAAGUUGCUCUGUGAGUUGAAGCUGAAGCAAAUUUAGGUUGUCAGCGGAAGUAGGUGGAGAACCAAUUUCCUCAAGAAUUGUUUUGGUGAGUUUGAUAAGGAAAAACUCAGUGGAAACACAGACCCAUGCUUGCAAGUCGAAGUGUUUCUUCACUUCCUCAUUUUUAUAGAGACGCCGAGCAAGCGUGGUCUUGCCGCUGCCGCCCAUGCCCACUAUGGACAUCACCCCCAUUUUGUCGCCUGUUGUAUUGUCAGAACGCAACCACUCCACCAUCUCCUUCUGAAUUCCAUCCCUGCCGACAAAAAUGGAGUCAUGCUCCAAAGAAGUGGUUAUUGGUGAUCUUGGUCUUGGUGACCGUUUCUCGCCCCCACCUUCUGCCAGCCCCAACCCAACUUUUUCUAGUGCGAUUUUUUCCAGUUGAACAAUCAUGCCCCUGACCCUGGACUCCAUGCUUUUGAUAGCAAAUGGGGCCUUCACAGAAGCAGAGAACUUCUUCCAUUUCCACGCCUUAAGAGUUCCGUCGGUAACGAUCUCGUCCAGCAGGUCUUCCGCACCAUACACAGCAUCCUUGACAGGGACGAGCCACUCUUUGACAUUUGGGUUCGAAAAUUGCUUCACCUCCGCAUCAUCGAGCACAUUGUGAACAACCACGAGUUUCCUCUUCAACUCGUUGAGGAGUUCAUCGCUAAGGCUCCGUCGCCGAAUGAAGUUUAUGAGCUCUGGAGAAGCCAACCUUUCGAAUAGAACUUGAAGCGAAGUUGAGAGGAGGGCGUCCGCCAUAUCUGUGUCGACUGUUGCUUUGCAAUAGGAAUUCAGAGGAUUGGUUUCUGUUACCGCGAUACCACCAAACUGCAAAAGACUGGGUUUGGAUUACCACACUGCAGAAUGCUUGAAGGAAUCAUUAUUGGUGGUGGACCCAGCUGCCAGAUAUUGGUGGUGGACCCAGCUACACUGCAGAAUGCUUGAAGUUAUUGGUGGUGACCCAGCUGCCAAUAUUUGUCAAACACCAUAGUGGUGAGAAAAAGAACAGGAAAAGCGAGUGGGAGGUAGAUGCGCUUUCCCCAAGGAAAGCAGAAUCAACAACAGCAUUCGGUAUUUUUCUUUUUCAUCUACGCAUUUCUUCUUUCUUUCUUCUAGUAUUAUUAUUAGUAGACAUAUACACACAAAUAUUUGUUUAUAACAUUUUCAUUCUUAAUAUUAUAAAAUUUAUUAUUAAUAAUAUUUAUACUAAUAUUAUUUUUUAAUAAUUAUAUUAGUAUCAGGAUUUUAUAAUUAGUAUCCUUACUUUUAUUGCUUAUAAUAAUAAUUAUUAUUAUUAUAUUAUGUUAUUAUUAAAAUUUAUUAGUAUUUUCACAUAAACAAUGAUAUAUGCAUAAGACAUAUUAAAAUUUUGAAUAUUAUGGUUAUUAUUAUUUAAUAAUAAUAUUAUUAUUUGAUUCAAAAAAAGUUUAUAAUAUAAUAAUAACAAAAAUAAUUUUUUUAAUAAAAUAAAUUAUAAAAAUAUAAUAAUUUUAUUAUUUAUAAAAUACAUUUAUUUUAAUGCAAUUAAAAAAAUUAAAAUAAUUUUAAAAAAUUUAAAAAUUUUCAAAAAAAAGUUAAAUGGGACGGGAUUAGGAUGGGAUCGAUCCAUCCCAAUGUCGUCCCGUUGUCAUCCCUAACUCAUCUUGUGAUAAUUAAGGCCAUUUUUUAUCAUUGUUUUUUUAAAAUGGUCUUUUAUCCUUAAUAUAUAUAUAUAUAAUAAUUAGAAAUAAAACAUAAUUUUUGUUUUUAAAAAUAAAAAAUAAGGCAUUUUUAGAUCAUAUCCUUUUAGUUACUUUUAUUUGUUUUUAAAAAGUAAUUAUAUAAAUAUAAAAAAUAAAAUAAUUUAAAUAAAAUUUAUUUUUAAAAUAUAGAAAAUUAGUUAAUAACACUUUAUCUUCUCAAGCUCUUGUUUUAUAAAAUAUCAUAAAAUAAUUUUCAAAAACUUUUUUUUUUCACAAUUUUGACAAACAAAACGUGUUGCAAUAAUGCACUUAAAUUCAAUGAACCUAAAAGCCAAAUGUGCAGUGUUGACUUUUCAACAGAGAGUUCACACAUGCCCAUUUUUUUAAUUAAAGCACUAUUGAUAUAAAAUAUAUAUUUAAAUAAAAAUUAGACUUUUAAAAAAAUUAAAAUAUAUUUUUAAAAUUAAAAUAUAUUUUUAAAAUGUUAAAAAAAUAUUUACAAUAUUUCCUUAAAAAAAACAUCUUCCAAAAACAUUUCUUUAAAAAAUACUUCCACCGAUAACAAUUUAGACACACUUGUGAUUUAAUAGUUAAAUAUUCUUUCCAACAGGAAUUCAACUAUCAGUUUGUAUUACCACGAUACCACCAAACUGCAAAAGACUAAUUUUGGAUUACCAAAAUGCAGAAGAGCUGAAGGAAUCAUUGAUGGUGGACGACCCAGAUGUCCACAUUAUUUGUCAGACACCAUAAUUGAGUGAUGAGGAAAUGAAAGAAAAGAAAAUAAAAAACAAAAAAGGUGAUGCCAAACAUGGUCUUAUAAGGUGGGUGGAGCGAAAGCAACAAAGGAAACUAGCAGGAUUUUUCAUUGCUAUUCCAUACCUUAAAGGACAAAUUUUGAAUUACCAAAAUACAAAAGACUUGAAGGAAUCAUUGAUGGUGGUGGACCAGAUGUCCACAUUAUUUGCCAAACACCAUAAUUGAGUGAUGACAAAACAAAAGAAAAAGCAAAAAAGGUGAUGCCAACAUGGUCUUGUAAGGUGGGUGGAGCAAAAGCAACAAAACAAACUAGUAGGAUUUUUUUAUUGCUAUUCCAUAUCUCAAAUGACUAAUUUUGAAUUACCAAAAUAUAGAAGACAUGAAGGAAUCAUUGAUGGUGGUGGACCAAGAUGUUCACAUUAUUUGCCAAACACCAUAAUUGAGUGAUGAGAAAAUGAAAAACAAAAAAGGUGAUGACAAACAUGGUCUUGUAAGGUGGGUGGAGCGAAAGCAACAAAGUAAACUAGCAAGACUUUUCGUUGCUAUUCCAUACUUCAAAGGAUUGAUUUUGAAUCAUCAAAAUACAGAAUACUUGAUGGAAUCAUUGAUGGUGGUGGACCCCGAUGUCCAUAUUAUUUGCCAAACACCAUAAUUGAGUGAUGAGAAAAUGAAAAAAAAAAAAAAGUUAAGAAAAAACAAAGAAGUGAUGCCAAACAUGGUGUCGUGAGGUGGGUGGAGCAAAAACAACAAAACAAACUAGUAGGAUUUUUUGUUGUUAUUCCAUACUGAGAAAAUAAAGGGCUAUUCUAAAUAGAUAAAAACACCCAAGAGAGGAGGUGAAUAGAAGUUAAAAAAUUUCUUUUUAAACACAAUAAAAUUAAGCAUAAGAAGUACAAAUAUAAAGAAGUAAGGUUAUAGAAAGUAAACUCAAAUUUAUAGUGGUUCGACACUUCCUUACUUACAUCCACUCUCCUCAAGCUCCUAAUCGAGUGAGGGUUCCACUUAUACUUGAAGUUUCAACCAAACUUCUAAUCACUUUUUACACUUGGAUUCCAUCUCCAAUGGACUCUUACACAAUCUUUUCAAGUCUUUACUCACUUGAAGGUUUUAACACUCAAUUAACAAGUUUGAAUCUCUCAACCUAGCUCAACAAUGACUCAAAUACAACUCAAGGCUAGGAUGAAUCACUAAGGUGCACUAAAGAAUAUGCAAAUGAAAAUUUAAUGCACUAAUAAAAUAAUGAGAGCUUUUAUGGCAAUAAUAAGUAGGUAAACAAAUAAAUGCAAGUGUUCUCUUACUCAUAAAUGAGGUAGAGCUCUCAAUUUAUAGGUUUCUAACCUCAGGAGCUAAAAAGCCAAAAAACAGUCUCAACUGGUUGAACUGGGGGUUGACUGGUUCAUUAGCCGUUGGAACAUUAAAUGCUUGGCAGGUGACCGUUACCCUCGACCAAACCUUAACUGAGAAGGCAAAUCCAUCAACCAGGAAAGAAAGGCUACUAGAAGAGAGAGAAUGUUUUUCACAUCUCUCAACCGGACCUUGACAUAGAAAGAGUAAUCGGUAGACCGAUACCUUAGCUGAUUGAGCCGAUUGGCCAGUGCCUCGACUAGUUCACCAUUUUUAGUCUGAAAACCUAUCUUUUUCUGGUCUUUUUGCUUCUAGCACUUAGGUAAGGACUUUAGAUAAAAUAAUAUGUCAAUUUUGAAAUGUUUUGCCUAAGGUUCAUUUGAUAGAACUCGGAUUUUGAUGGAAAUGUAACUUUAAUGCAUAAACCGAGUUUUAAAGAUGUAUGAAAUGAUAUGAAUACCCUAAGUACACUCAUGCAUUCAUCUUACGUAUGUUUCCUAUGAUUAAAAGGUCGUUCAAAAGUCUUGAUCUUGCAUUCAUUAGGUCCUUUAAUGAAUUUCCAAAUUAACACCUGAAAUUCUUUAUAAUUCAAAUCAAUUAGUAACUUAACCAUGAUUUGUUAUAAUCAAAACAUGAUUAGGAGAAUCAUUGGGCUAACACAUACCUCAAAGGACUAAUUUUGAAUUACCAAAAUAUAGAAGACUUGAAGGAAUCACUAAUCUUUUUAUAAUUUAGAAAAAUAAGUAAAACGAGUUUGAAGAAAUGUAUAAAAAUAAUUUAUUAAAUUUAAAUUUAUUUCUUAUUUUCCUUCAUUUUUUCUUUUUUUCUACUUUUUCUUUCUAUUUUCUUUCCUUCUCGUUUUCCCUCAAAUUUUCCAAGAGCCAAAUAUAGCUUAAAGGUUUAGAAUCUUAUGCACAAGACUUUCAAUUUUUUUUACAAUAUUAUUUUAUUAGUUAAGAAUUAAAAUUUAAUGUACCAUAUCUAACACUAACAAAAAAAUUUAUAACAACCAAUCUUAUCUUUUAAGAAUAUAUUGUUUAAAUGAGAUUAAAAAUUAAAAAUAAAUUUUAAUUCAUUUAACAACUAAAUUAAAAUGAAAUUUAUAUAUAUAUAUCAUAAAUUUAUACAAUUUUGAAUCAUUUUAUAUGGAGGAUUGAGAAUGGAGAGAUUGAAGAAUUGUUUGGUGACGAGGAGAUUGAUCGAAGAUUUUAUAGUCUUAAGGUUCUAUGGGAUGAAAUUUUUUGUAAAGAGUUUAAAUUUUUGUAAAAAAUAAAAUUAGUUUUAUGUUAUUUGAUUUCAUGGAAAUACAAAGUUUUAAUUCAAAGAUUAUGUUUUAAAAAUAUUAUUUUUAAAAUAUAUUUAGUAAAGAUUUAUAAAAAUUUAAAAUUAAAAUUAGUUAAUCUAUCAACUAAAUUAAAAUAAGAUUUAUAUAUUAUUUUUAUAGAUUUACAUGUGUAAAAUCUUUAAAAUGCCUCAACUUAAAAUAUCCUUACAAAAUUUCAUUAAUCUACUAGCAAUCUGCAUAUUGUCUCUACAUAGAGUCAAUUUGCAUUAGGAUGAAUACCAUCAUAAUAAUAAUUACGCUCCACAUAUGAUGUAUCUUAACAUCCACUUGGAGGUUAAAAAAUAAUUAAAGUAAGGGAAACUAAUAUAUUUAAAAUUUAAAAAUCAUUAUGAAGAUUUGGACAAUAAUUCAAGUAGGCAUCUUUGAAAUUUGGCUUCCAAAUCCCUUUGUCAAUAUACACCACCCUAUGACAAUUAAAUAAAUUAAAAGAAGGAAAAAAAAUGUUAAAGGAAUGACAAAACAUAGGGAACAAUUAUAUUUAAGGAGUGGAUGGAGUUGAUAAUGACUAAAGGGUACAAAUCUUGCAUAAUUGAACUAAAAAGGUAGAAAAGGUUUGUAGAUUGUUGUGGAAGAUAUAAACCCACUUUGUGAGUCAAAAAUGCUCAAAAUACCCUUAAGGGUGUUUUUUAAAAAAGGACAAUUAAGUACUCAUGAUAAUUAAUAUAUUAAGAUUUCAAGAAAAAUUAAUAAUAAAUAAAAUCUUUUUCUAAAUCUAUUUAACAAUCAUAUAGUUUUUAUUUUAUUUUAUUUUUUCAAGUGGCAACUAUUAUCUUAAUUUAUUUUUCAUUUUAAGGUUCAAUUAUUAUUAUUCUUUAUUUUGAAAUUUAAUUAAAUGAAACUGUAUAAGACAUGUUUAUAUUAAUUAGCUAAAAAGGAUAGAUUUUUUAGCAAUAUGAUUAAAAUAAAUAAAAACAAGGAAUUUGAUUUUCUUUAUAAAAUAGAUUAGGAAAAGUAUAUUUCGAUACAUUCGUAUGAAAAAAAAAUUCAUAAAAUAGGAACUCAAGUUUAUAAAAUACAAAUUUUAAGCAUUCAUCUAAAAAUAAUUAUCAUUUCAUGCAUUUUUUUUGUCAAAUAUAUUAUAUUUGAUAAUUUAGGUAUUAUAUUUUAAUAAUAUAAGUAGUACCUUUGACCCCCAUAAAACUUGAAUUAUUUUAAAUAGUUUCUAUUAUAUAAUUAUUUAACCAUUUGAUAUAAAUAUUAAAUAAUAAAAAAUAUAUCAUUUUUUAAAGAAUUUUAAUUAUAUUUGACUUUCUUUUGUAUUUUCUAUGGUGUAAUUCACAUAUGAGAAAAUCAUUUUCUUUAACAUUUUUUUUUCUUUCCUUAAUAAUUUUCGAGAACCAAACAAGGCUUGUAGGUUUGAAUUAUAGGGUAUAGAUGCCAAAAAUACCAGAAUGAGUUUGGGUUUUCAUGCUAAAUGUCUUUAUUAUUAUUUGGUAGCACUUUUCCAAAAUUGUUCCAUUCCCAAAACCACUUAAUUUGCUUAAAUAUUUUUACCUCACGAUAUCAUAACAUUAUAAUGGAAUAGAUUUUGUUGGUGUUCAAAUCAUGUCAACUCAAUUUCCAAACCAUUCGGAUUGUCAUUUGGUGAAAAAUAGAAAGAAAUUUUACUUUAUUGAAAAGCAUUUCAUUUUGAUUUGAAUAUGCUGCAAUGAAAUAGUUACUAAACCAUGGGGUAGCAGAAGAAGUAAUCGAGAAAAUGAAGAAGGAUGUUCAAGAAUUCUUUAUGCUGCCAUUGGAGAAGUUUUCAAGAUUUCUCCUGAGUAGAAAACUUAAUGGUAAGAGUACAAUAAGUCAUAUGAAAUUGGAGAACUGAAAGAGCAUAAGAACCAUGUUUUAUUAAAAGACCUGUGAAAGUUUAAUCAGUCAUGGAACUACUAAGAGGGGAUGAAUUAACAGUUUUCUUAAAUUUUGUCCAAAGUUAUGAAUUUUUAUUUUUUAUAAUUUUUUUUUACUUAAAUUGAAACUUAUUAAUCAAGGUAAGAUUUCAGCCACAUCGAGAAACAAUUUACGUGAAAAGGGACUGAUAAAAUCUUGAGUUUACAGAUGUAAAAACCAUAAGGCCAAAGACUGUAGAACUCCAACCCACUGAAUCAAGAAUAGAAACACAAAUUUAUCUACCAACCUACACUAAUCUCAUAUCUACAAUGCAACACCAUCGUACUCUUAAGUGACUUGAAAGGAUGUGAAUAUUUCUCACAAACUUCAUAAUGAAAUUCAAAUUAGCUCUGAGAGUUUUGGGUUAGGCACAAAGAGUAAUAAUGCAUAGCUUUUGUGUGUGAGUUUUUAAGUGAACUUAAGACUCAAUUUAAAGCAUGUAUUUUACUAAAAAUAAAAAAAUAAAUUUAAGAAACUUCAAGAAUUUUGGAAAGAUAAAUUUUAAAAAAAAUUCAAAGAGAGUCAGAAAAUGUUUCCUUUUUAAAUUCUCAAUUUAAUUUAUUUUCAAAUUUAUUAAGAGUUUAAGAAAUAUUUUCUUUUUAAAUUAUCAAUUUAAAACUCUCUUUUAAAUUAAUUUUAUUAUUAAUUUUCAUGCAAGUCUACUCUAUACAUUUUACAUCGUUAUUCUCAAUUAACUCAACAAUAUUAGAGUGUAACAUCCCCAAUUGAUUUUGCACCAACCUUAAGUCUUCAAAGACAAUGAUUGAGGCAUUUCUUCUCCUAUUUUCUCCGAUGUAGAAAAAAAACUUGAAUAAGGUUAAAGCUGGUCUAUAGCAAAAAGUCUUAAUUUGAGUUAGCCUCUUUUUUUUUUUCCAAAUGAUAUGCAGGUCCAUCUAGCCUUCAACUCAAAUUUUUUAUUCAAAAAUCACAUGUGGAUAUGUGAACAAGUAAAAGUUGAGUUUUACCUAACAAAUCAUUUUGAAAAUUAGGAAAUUUAAAAGGUAUUAGUUUGUUAAACUCACCACCCCUGUCUAUUCUACAAAACAAGAAGAUUAGCAAAGAAAAAGUAUUCAUAUUUGUACUACAAAAUAAAAAGAUUAGCAAAGAGAGAAAUUGUACCCAUGAGUGCAGAGUUUUGGGUUAAAACAACCCUUUUGAUGGGAAAAAUAUUAAAUUUAACCACUUUGUCAAACUAAUGUGUAAAAUGAUCCUUUUAUUAUCACAUAGGAGUCAUAUCACUAAUAUAUAUAUAUAUAUAUAUAUAUAUAUUUAAUUUAAGUUGAAGCCUCAAUUGCCAAUUAAGGCUUCAAUUAUCAAUUAUGACUUUAUUUUUAACCCGAAACCUUACUUGCCAAUUGAGGUUUCAACUAAAAAAAGAAACCUCAAUCGUCAACUAAGACUUAAUUUUUUAAUUGAAGCCUCAAUUGACAAUUGCGGUUUUAUUUUAAAACUGAAAUCUCAAUUGUCAAUUGAGGCUUUACUUUUGUGGAAGGAUUAUGUGACACUCACGUUACUAGAAAAAAGCCAUACUGAAUAUAAGUUUCAAAAGUGGCUUAAAAGGUAUAAAUUUUAUGAUCAAAGAUGCCAUUUUGACCCAAAAUCCCAUGGGUGCAUGAGACUCUAGUUAAUCAUAGAUUUCAUAGAUAAAAAUCAGAGUUAGGAUGAUUCAACCCCUAAGCGUCAAGAAUUCUUUAACAUAAUGUUAGAACAUUUUCCAAUUUAAAUUCGAGAGUUGACUUUAUUUGAAUGUGCUUUUGAUUUUUUUUUUUAAAUAAGCUUCAGUGUUUUUUUUAAAAAGAAAUAAAAAUAAAUAAAAAUAGGAGCUUCUAUAUAGAAAGUAAAAAUUUUAUCCAACAAAUAUAAGGCUCACCUUAUAUCCUUAUAAAAUAAAAAAUUUUAAAUUUUUUAAUACCUCAAAAUUUUUAAUCAAUAUUUAAAUAUCAUUAUAUUUUCAAUAUGAUUCCUUUAAAAGUUAAAAUUACUUAUAUUUUUUAUUUUCAAAAAAAAAAUAUAUAUAUAUAAGUAAUUUUAUGUUUUUUAAUUAUUAAGAUGGAUGAAAUAAUCCCAAAUUUGCAAAAAUAACUUCUUCUAUGUUUGAAUUUGAAAAAUAACUCAUUUCCAACAUAAAUACUCUUCAAUAUUUGGAUUAUUUUAAUAUAAAUUUUAGAAGAAAGUGUUAUUUUGACAGGAAAACAUGAAAGACAUUUUUGUUAAAAAUUGAUCUUUUUUUAAGGCUAAAAUAUAUAUAGGUUUAUAUUUACAAAUUUGAGACUAUUUCGUCCUCUUAAUCAAAUAACUUAAAAAAGAAAAGAGUUAAUUCCACAAGUGGGUUUAAAAUACUCACAAAAUUGCAAUAUAUAUAUAUAUAUAUAUAUAUAUAUAUAUAUAUAUAUAUAUAUAUAUAUAUAUAUAUAUGAAAUUACAAAUUUACCCUCGUGUGUUGAGCACAUGACACUUCCAUUCAUUAAAGCUAACAUUGUUAAAUAACAAAUGUACAUUGCAACUAUUUAAGAAGUAUGAAGGGCACAUUGCUUGAUUUUAGUACAUGGUGAGAAACUUGUUGAACAAGUUAUGUGUAAAGUUUUAUGGUUCAUGUAUGAUAGAAAAUACAGAUCUACUACAACACUGGAUUUGCAAUUUGGGUUAAUAUUUAAAGAAAAGACCAUAGGACAAAAAGAAUUAAACUUUUGGUGGAAAACAAUAAAGAAAGGACUACAUGGAAAAAGGGAAGAGAUCAUUAUAAAGGAAGAUUAUUGAAUAGAAAUAAUUCCAAGAACCUAAGGCAAGACAUAGAGUAUCACUACUACUAUCACAAAAAGGGGUAUAUCAUAAAAUUUAUGAAAUUUUGAAAAAGACCUAAAAAAUGAAGAAAAAAAAAAACAAAUCAAAGAAGCCUACAAGUGUAACUAGUGUUCUUAAAGUUGCGAAAUGAAGGUAAUAAAUCAAAAGUAGAUUUGUUAAUAGUUUUUAAAAUGCUUGAAUUAGGAAUUGUCUACUUGUACCAUACAAGCCCUUGUAGAGACUGGUUUGACAUGUAAAUUGUUUGUAAAAUCAUUUUAAUGGGCAAUAAUGCACCAAGUUGCUCCACGAGAAGGGGAGGGGUUUGUGAAACCAUCACUUGUCAUGACAUACAUCGUCGGGUAAUCACGGAUGAGGGCAUCCACGGGAGGCCAAUGUCUACCCUCGCUCCACACCCCUCUAGUACAAGGCUCUAGGAGGGAGAGAGGCAACAAGUGUGUGACACCAAGGUAAAUAUGCUUGACCUUAUGGCUUUGGGAGCAACUUGCAUUGAAAGACUUGAUGAUUCACAAGAUUCUACAAUUCAUACAAAGUAUUGCAUUUUGCGACGUUCUUCAUCAAUAAGAGAGCCUAGAUAUCCAUUGUCAAGAAUUCUUUAUGUAUGAAAACAAAGGCGCCUAACCGACAUGCCCAAGAUCAAGGCAACUGGAGCGUGUUGCUUCGCCCAAGUUACUUAGCGCGUUUUGUGCCAAAGUUUGUUGUUCGCUCAAGAGGGCUUUUGUGAAUCUUUGUAAUAAAGGGAUAAUACAGAGUGGGCCGUAAUUUAGCAUCUUACACGCUUAGUUUCUUCCAUUGGUGGCAUAUAUUAUUUUGUCUGUCAUUGGUGAUUAUUUAAUAAAACUAUGAGAGUAUUUCAUGAAAUAUAAAUAAGAGGUUUUUAGGAUAUUUAAUCGAUGGUAAACAAAAGUUGAAAACUAAGUAGGGAGGAAGAUAAAAUAUUUUAGAUUUGAUAGUGGACUUGAGCAUUAGAACAAGAAGUUCACAAAGUAUUGCGAGAAUUCUUAUAUUACUUAACAUCACAUGUAAAGAAAUUACAAAGCAAAAUGGAGUGGUUGAAAAGAUGAAUAGAACACCAUUGGAAUGACUAGGUGGCUAAGAUUAACCAUUGGGUUACUUAAGAAUUUAAGGGCUAAAGCUAUCAACAUAACUUAUCAUGUAAUUACUUAGUUGUCAAGUUUUACAAUUAUUUUCAAUAUUCCAAAAGAAGUGUCAAGUAAAUCAAUUGACUUUUCAUCUAUUGAAAUAUUUGAUUGUUGCACUUAUAUUCAUAUAUAGGUGAAAAAAAAAUUCAAUCCAAAAUAAAAAAGGUAUAUAUUCCUUGGGUUUGAAAAAAGGAUUGAUUAAAGACUAUAGACUUUGGGAUCCAACAAUUAAAGAAAAAAAAGUGGUGAGCAGAGAUGAAUUCAAUGAAAAACAUAUGUUAAAGAAAGAUCAAGGACAAAUGAAAUUGGUAUUGAAAAAAAAUUCAACUACAUGACCAAUCAUCGAGAUGAAAUUUGAGAAAAAUGUCAUUAAAUAUGAAAUCCCUCCUAAUUGAUGUCCCUAUUAGAACUUUAUAUGGGCAUCUUUCUCUAUUGCUCUAAAGAAUCAUCGAAUUGGGUAAGGACAUCAAUUUUAAGAUUUUAAUUUUUUUUCAUUAUUUAUUGGAAUAGGAGAUCUUUAAAUUUUUUUGGGGCUCAAUUAGGAAGGAUGAUAGUUAUCAAUGUGUUGGUGCUAUGUCAAAUGAGAAUCCAAUGCACAUGUUGACUAAAGUUGUUCUUAAGGAUAAGUUCAAGCAUUGGUUGAAUGUCAUUAAUUUUUCAUUUUGUAGAACAUGGAAGGUCAAUUUUAUCGAAGAGCCAGGUCAAUCAACUUCUAUUAGGACUUCCAUUGAUUCUUGAUUUGACUAGAGGGACUCCUAGCAGUAAAUUUGUAUGAAGGGGCCCUACGGAGAUGCAAGAGCUGCCAAUCGGAUCGACCAAUAAAUGAUAGGCCCAUGCAGAGAUGUCCCUGAAAUAGGGGAUUGGUUGAUUGGAAAGCUUAGGCAGAGUAUAAAGGAGAACAAUUUAGCAUUUUGGGAAAAGCACAUAUGAAGAUGUUUACAAGUUUGGAAAUUUGAGUUAAAGAAGAGAUGGUCUAAAAAUGUUUCAAAUUUCAAUUUUAUGUUUUUCUAAGUUUGAUAUAUCCUAUUUGGAUAUUUGGGAAGUCUUCUCUUGUUACAUAAGGUAGUCCUAUGAUGAGAUUUGUUAUGAAAAUAGGUUCUUCCUCGUGUGAAAUAUUCCUAUGAAAUUAAGAAGGAAUAUAGGAAGAGUUUUUAUUGAAAUUAUGAAUCUUUUUUUUAUGUAAUUAGAACUAAAAUAUGAGAGUUUUAGAAUUGUAAUUACACCUUUGAAUAUAAAUAAUUGAUAAUAGUGAAUUAAUUUACCUUCUCCCUCUAGAUGUAGGUAAAUGCUAAAUUAUGUUAAAUCUUGUAUUCUCAUAUGAUUUUUUUUUUCAUUUAUUUUUCAUUUUCUUGCCCAUUUCUAACUUGCUACUACAUAAUAACAGGUGGUAUCAGGCUUUUUGUGUUUGCACAACAAAUGGUCUCAGUUUUUCCAGCACCACAAAAAUGAUAUUUUACUUAAUUGCUCCUCAGUGGAAAAGUUGGAAAGAAAAAUUAAAUCAUCGACUACACCUUUUUUUUUUUUUCCAAAACUUUUCUUGUCUUUGUGCAAGAAAAUUAGUAUAUUUUCUCUUUAGUAUUUGUUUCUCAUUUAUAUAUAUAUAUAUAUAUAUAUUCAAAUGGAACCUUAAUCAUCUUUUAUAUGAAGUAUAAAAGAAUUAGAAAAUAUUCAAAUUUUAAAUGAUUUUUAUUAUACUUUGUCCACUUCCUAUUUCAUAUAUCAAAUUACAAUAGAAUUUAAAAUUCUUUUAUAAGUUUUUUCUCCCUUUGCUACCACAUAAACGCAAAGACAGUAUGUGAGUUAAAUACCUUAAAAGAAAAAGAAAUUAAAAUGUGAUACAAAACAAAAGUAACCUCUUUAAAUUCAAGGAAACAAAACACUAAACUUUUUCAUGUAUUUUAUUCCAUUUAUAAAUGCAACAUGACAAAAAUAGACAAAAAUAUAAAUGGAAACCCUUUGGGUCCUUUAUUUUAUAUUUUAUCAACUUCAACCAAUUCUAUUUCUAUAGCACAACCGAUAUUAUAAAGUUCAAUGAGUAUAUAAUAUAUAAAGAUACUAAUCAAUACGAAUUAUUCUUUCUUUCAAAUGGCUACUUGUAUUAAAAAUUAAAUGUAAUUCCUCCUAAACAAUAAAAUAUGUUGACACGAUUUCAAUGAAUAUACAGUACAUAAAGAUAUGACCAAUUAGUACGAAUUAUUCUUUCUUUUAAAUAGCUACUUAUACUAAAAUAUAAGUAAACAUAAUUCCUCCUAGAUAAUAAAAUAUGUUGACACAAGGAGGAAUAUAUUUACUAAUUAUAUCAUUUGCAAUAGCCUCAAUCUCGUGACGUUCUUCGAACCAACCAUAGACUUUAUUGAGAUAGGUUAACCAAGGGAGCUUCCACUCUCAUAACUCGUAUAUGAAAAUUUCAUCUUGUACAACUCAAAUAGAAACCCAUAAAUACCAGUUGAAACCAAAAUGUAAUAAAUAAAUAAAAACAUAUUUCAAUGGAUCCAAUUAGUAUUUUUCUGAUCUCGGAUAAACAAACAAAUUUUUCUUCAUUUUGUUUUUUUUUCCAUUAAUCUUUGUAAGUAAAUUAUAUUUUAAUUUAACAAAGCACUAAACUUUACUUUAAUUUUCAUGCAGGAUCAACUAGCUUAUCAUAAUAAAAUUUAUCAAUAUAGCUGAGCAGAGAUUUGAUGUAAUAAUACCAUACAAAAUUCAAGUAAAAUUAAAUUAAUCAAAUAGGACACUACGGUCAUAUUUGGAUACAUAUUCUAUUUUUUAUUUUUAAAAUUAAAAUUUUGAUAUAAAAUAUGACAACCCUUUGUAUAAAAAAUAAAAAUUUAUCCUAUAAUCUUAAAACUACUUUUCAAUAUUAAAAAAAAAUGAGGACGUGUCCUAAAAUUUUAAACAAAUUUAAAAAUAUUUUUAAAUACCAAGAUAUCCACUUUUUUCUUUUUUAAUAAAAAUUCCUAUAUUUGAUAUAAAACUCUAUUUUAAAAAAUGAAAAAUAAAAAAUGUAUCCAAACAUAAGCAAAAUUGUUAGAUUUCAUUGUGAGAUUUCUUAGAUUCUACAAUUCAUAGUGAAAUGAAGACGAGAGAUAACUGACUGAAUUAUGAAAAAAAAAAUUAACAUUGAUGAGAUUCAAAAAUGCUAGUUAAUGAAAGAGUUUCUCCGCCAGGAUGACUAAGAAAAAUGCUGAAAAAUGUGUCAUGCCCAAAGCAAUGUUACAAUGAAGAAUAGAAUGAGAGCUAACCCGAAACAAAAUCCGACAAUCGCCAUGAAAGCCUGGAUGCAGAGGAAAUGUAACUAGAGACAUGUAAGGAAUCAUUAAGCAAGUGAGAACAAUAUCAAAAUCUCAUGUACGACUUACUUACCUUUCCCUGAGAUUCAAACUUGAAUUUUACUGUAAACCAUGACAAUCCUCUAUCUACAAUAGGUGCAAGUGCAAGGGCCCUGCAUGAGAAGCACCUCUACAAAAAUCACAGAAAACCCAAAGGAAAAAAAAAAAAAAAGAGUAAAUAAAUAGAAACUAGUCUAUCAGAAACCAGGAGGCUGCAACAAAUAAUCUCCAAAUGUCAGAUUUAAUAUUUAUUUACAAAUGCCACUAAAAGGCCUUUUCAUCAGAGAAAUCUAGAAUAAAAAAGGAUAAGGAGCCAUUUGGAUUACAGAGGUCAAAGAUUGGGUUGGAUGGGAGCAAGUUUAACCUCCUCAGUGAAAAUGAAAAUGCAAGGCCCAUCAUCAACGCUAGGUUCAAAAAUUGACACCAUUUCUUGAAGACUUUCUUUUUUCAUUCUUCAAUUGUCAUUUUGAUUCAAAGAAGCAGCAGCAUGAUAGACUAAACAAUCAUCAUAAACCCAGUUGCAAGUUAUAAGGAUAAGAAAGAAAAUGAACAGAAAACAUAUAUGAGAGAACUGAUAGGCCAAAAAAAUCAUUGUUGAAGGAAUCGAGCAUAAAUCUCUGAACAAAAUUUAGCUGAAAUUCACUGAUUUUGGGUUAUUUUGUGAUAAGAGCAUUGCAAUAUCCCAAUAAACUGUUACGCUAACUAAAGAUUUAAAACAGAAUUUAGCUGCUUACCCUCCAGCUCUGACAAGUUUAGUGACCUGGCUGCCUGCCCACACCAUAGCCAUGAUUUUGACAAAUCUGCCAAUUGGAUUCCAUGUCAAGAUAUUUUGAAAAACUUGUGCAAAAAGAAACUUUUUGGAAUAAGUUUUUACCUUUCAACUGCCGCCAAAUAACCCAUCCUUCCUGGUGCUGGAGCAAUAUAAAACCUAGAAGCAGCAUAGUGAAUUCAGAGUUAUACUGGUUAUUUGAAAUCUACUCUGAACACCUAUGAUAGAGACUGCAGGAUGUGGUAAAACACUAAGGCAUAUUUCAAACUACAUUAUAAGGUAUUUGAUUAGAAAAUUAAAUAAAUAAAUAAAUAAAUAAAAUAACAUAACAUAAAAUACAAAAAAGAAAAAAAAAAUUAACAAACUGAAUUUGUCCAUAUGCAACAAUAUGCAAUUGUUAGCCAUGAAUCCCAGUUAUGUCGGUUUCCAGUAUUAAUAAUUAAGCAUGAUGUUUAUGAACUAGACCAGCAUUCUAAUAACUCUAGAUUGAAGGGCAUGGAUGUCACAUUUGUAUUCCAUCAUGUGCAACUAACAUCACAUUGAAAUAAUAUCCACUAAAGCAAGUUAAGACCCAGUAUAUCAGAUUAAAUUUUUUCUACCAUGAACAUAAGCUUGAUAAAAAUGAAGAUGGAAAUGCAAUACUUCUUUAUAUGACAUAAUGAAGGGAACCAAAUACAAGGACUCCCCAUUCCAGAUGCAGAAAGCCAAGUUACAACCUUUGCCAAAUAAAGAGAUCCACCAUAAGUUCAUUUUUAGACAUGCUAUAGUUGAAUAUGCCAUCAGUAAGUGAUCAAAAGCCAAUUCAGAUGGGAAUAACAGCCACAAUGUUGGGAAGGUCAAUAACAAAAGCAUUGACUUGAAUGUUGGCAGUGUCAUUUACACUGGCCAUAAGAACCAGAGGUAAUGCAUACAGUUGGUAAGGUGGGGAGGAGGAGAUGAGAAAUUGAAAAGUCUUGAAUUUAUUUGUUUCAUGCAAUUCCGUUUUCCAAUACUCUAUACGAUAAUAUACAUUGUACAGCACAAGAAUAGGGUUGUUUUAAAAUUUUGAACAAAUAAAAAUUUCAUAUCAAUAUCUAAUAUUUAAUAAAAAAGAAUGAAACAAGAGUAAGUACAUUCUCUUCUCCUUAACAUGGUAUUAAAGCAGUCUCCAAACUCUUAACUCCUAGUUGCAUACUUGAUUUGCACUGGAAGUUGCAGUUUGCUCAUUUUGUUAUUCAAGUAAGUUACUUCAAUCUAUCAUAGUUUAAAUGACUUGGGACGGUAGUUGUCAUGGGCACGAAUUUUCCCACAAAUUUUUCGCAUUCACACAGCGCUUAGAAGCCCUCUAAGCCAACAUACUCAAACCCACAUGAGAUUGCAAUCAAGAAAAACCUCACAAAGACACACAAGGCUAUGGAGCUCAAUCCCUAACUUGUAUUUUAUUUCUUCUCUAAAUAACAAUACCAGACAUAGCUUAACAAGACUUCCACAAUCUCUUUGGUGAGUUCAUGCUCUCUCUCAAGCUAUGUAUAUUCUCUAUGAUCUCCAGAUUGCACGAUAAUUCAAAGGGCACUCCAGUCCUCCUUUUAUAGGUGUGACACCAACCACUCCCUAUUUGAUAAGGAGCAACGAAUCCUAGUUCUACUCAAACUACAAUUAAAAUAAGAAUCUAAACUCCUAUUCAAACUCAAAUUACAAUAACAAUUUGAAUUCAACUCUGAACUUUCAAAUGUCUUCGGCCCAUUCCUCUUUCAUUUGAAACUCCUUGUAUCAGGCCACAUAUCAGCCCUUCAAUUCCCUGGUUUGUGGUGCAAUAUAUCUUCCUUAAGCUUGUCCCAAUGCCAAGACAUCUUUGUUGUGUUCUGCCUGAAGUCUACCCACUCUUGUGCCUUGAGUCAGUCCAUUCAUGCAUUUGAAUCAGCUGAUGCAUCCGAUCAGCUUGCUAUAGCGUCUCUAGGCAGCCUACUACAUGUGUCUCUAUGCAACUAGUGUGCAUGCCAAGCCCUCUCUUAGCCUACAGAUCUAGCAAUUUUCCUUGGUGCCAAUCUUUCCUUUGGCUGUAGCCCCUUGUUGUUCCUUGAGCGUGUCAGUCAUGCUCAUAUGUGUUCCCGCAUCUGGAUCACGUCCAUGCUGAGGCAACCUGCCCAAGUUUGCUCUGCCUAGCUGUUGUUAUGGCAUCAUGCCAUGCCCAAGCCCUCUUCUUGGUGCAGCAACGAGUCAUGGCAUUGCACCCAUGACUCCUCAUCUCUAUGCACAAGGCAUUGUGCCCUUGUGCCACGCCACCUCAUUGCACAAGGCAUUUCCCCCUCAUGCUACCGUUGGGAAGGGAAGACUGCAUAGCACCCCAUGUCGUUGCAACCUUGAGUUGCACACCAUCACAUGUCAUGGAGCCCAUAUAUGGUUGCUAGCAAGGCUUGCCCAUGUGCCUUGCUCAUGUUUGAGGACUUGCACCAAAGCCCCUAAGUGUGGCCAUGCCCAUGCCACCUCGUCUCCCUUGAGUCACCCCCACCCUCACCCCCCUUAAAAGAGCAUUUUAAGCCCUUUUAAUUAAUUCAAGAAAAUCUAGAAAAUUUUGCUUCCACUUGGAGUCUCCCUUUUGAAGGUUCCUAUAAAUCUUUUAUCUCUAAGCGAAUUAACCAAGUCACUUAAUUGUUUUGCAACAUUCCUUCCCUUCCCAUAGUGUAUUUCAAGAUCUCUUAAUGAACAAGACAAUUGGUGGAGGGCAUGAAGUAAGUGGAAUUUAUCACCAUAUUGGCCCACCUUUUACUCCAAUUGCUCUACGUACUUCCAUUUCUUCUAUGUAGUGGCACACCUUUCACUACGCAUCUUUAGCAUAUGGGACUUCUAGUUAUAUUGGACUCCAAGUUAAAGCACCAAGUUUGUGAGUCAAGCAAAUAGCAUCACCAUAGUGUUGUUCUAGUCCUUUUUGUUCUAUAAUCAAUAAGAGGAGUACUAGUCCUUUUCAUCUUGUUCAUUUAGACAUUUACAGUUUAUGUAGUGUUGUUCCUAAUGUUGAACUAAACUUUUUUAUUGCUAUUUUAUUAAUUAGAUCAAUGAAAAUGGUAUGAGCAUAAAGAGGCUGAAUAAUAGGUACUAAUCUCUUAAAAAAAACUAUCUUGUAGAAACAUCAUCAGGUGACUAUGCACAAGUAAAUGGUCUGACAAGGCGUGAGAAAAACAUUCAUUUUUGUGCAACAACCAAGUAUUUGCAUCUUAAUCAACCAAAGAAUAAAUGGCUGAAGACAAUAAAUGACUGAACAAAAAGAAAAUCAUAAGUUUUAGGCCAGACACUUUUUUCAUCAAUUAUAUACAACAACAAUAAAUCAAAUAGUCCUAAAUUUCAAAAGAAUAAUGCUCAGCAGCUAUGCAUACUCACAAGUCACAAAUACCUCAUCCUUGACUAAUUUACAUGAAUGAAUUAUUUACUUACCAUACCAAGAGAAACGUUGUAAGAUAGUAUGCAGUAUUCAGGAGUCCAUAGGAUAAUAUUCCAGAAAUUCCAUAUCUCUUCAGUUUCUUUAGAAGACUGAAAGGUUAAGCAAGAAUGAGCUCUCAAUGUAAGUAGACAUGCAUUUCAGCAUACAAAGGGCAAAAGGAUUGAGGUAUCACUUCUUACAGAUUGUUUGCAUGAAAUUCAGUAGUAGAAGAGAAAUUAAAAUGAUUGGGACAAGAUCACUCAUCCAAACAAUAGUUUAUUUACAGAGAAAAGGUCUAAAGCAUAAUCAUGCAGUAGACAAAAUGAAUCUUUUGUGUCAUGUUCCAAUAAUGUUAACAAACUACAUUAAAUUCAUAAGGUUACAUAGAAAAAGAAAGAAAAGACAUUGUUGCAAUAGUUUGGUUGUUACACUGCUAGCACCCAGACUACGACCAAAUCCUUGCAUUGAAAUUGAAUUUCAAACUCCCAAUGUGAAAAAGGAAGAUACAAAAAAGAAAAGAAAAACAGGAGGAAAAAAAAAAAAACAGAGGGAAAGAAAAGAAACAUGGGAUUUCCAUGUAUAAUACAUACAUAUUAUAUCUAUAGAUAAAUGCAUGUAUGUGCAUAUGUCAUAGAGGCUGGUCAGACACAUUUCAAGAAGUUUCACAACUUGCUUUGGAAUGACAAACACGUGGAUCAAUAAAUGGCUUGUCUCCAUUAUUGAGAAAUUGCAGGUAAAUUUCAUCCACUACAGGCAUGGGGUGGCUGGACAAAGUUAUGCCAUUUGGUGGGAUGUAGUGGACUUAAGACAGAAAAUUCUCAAUCAUUCUUCUGUCCCUUGUGCAGUGUUGAAGCUGACAAUAUUAUUGAGCAUACAAGGAAUGUGAUGUAAAACAUCAUUGAGGACCAUGAGCUGCGAAGGCAGGGAGAAAUUAAGUUAUGAUUAAGUUUUGGUGAGGGAUUUUCAGAUGCAGAUCAUAUGGCAAAUUAACUUCAGAGAAUUGCAUGUUUUUAUUCAUUUCCAUACACAUUGAAUAAUCAUAUUUAAAAUCCCUCAUUCACUUGUUUCGCUUCCAUUAGUGCUCCUUCCACAUGCCUAUUAGCAGCAUAGACCUCAUGAUAGUUUGGUAAAGGUAAGACAAUAAAAUUGAAAAAUACAGCUAAAGCCUAAAAUAUUGGCUCAUAAAGAGAGAAACCAUCCAAGUUCUAUCUUAAAUGACUCUACAAGUUCUAAACAGGGAGACAAGGACUUCAACCUGGUCCAUCAAUGCAUAUAAAUGGGUAAUCAUUCCAACAACCAUUACGUUAGAAGUACACUAAAAGAAAAUUAUUAAACAAUGUUGUUUCCAAAAAUUCCAUGUUAAAGAAUAGAAGAACAUACUGCUAUAAAUGAAAUUCAUUCAAAACAGUUCAAACAGUAAAGUUAAGAAUUGUGACUGCAUAUUUUUUUUUAAAAGAAACAAGAAUUGUGACUGCAUAUCACCACACUUGUUUUAUUUAUAAUCCACACAAUGUAUUCUUCCCUAGCAUGUUAUCCCAUUAAGUAACCUCCAGAUAAAAUUCCCUUUCUGACUCUGUCAAUCAGCCAAAAAAUUUGAUGUAAAAUGUAAAAUACAUGGGUACACAAAAACAACUAUAUAAACUGCCAUCCCAUCAUUAAUAAAUCAUUUGUCUAUAACAUAGACUAAUAGCACUGUAAGGCAAGUAGGAAGUACUCUUUUGAUGUGUGCAGUUCUCCUUCACCAUUUUCGCCCUUUGCACUGGAGUCUAUAAAAAUAUGUAUAAGUAGAUUUUUAGAAAUAUCAAGUUUAUCAAAUGUAAAAUAUGGUAUCACAGAAAGCUACACCAUUUUUCUAGUUAUCAUUUGAAAGAUAUUGAUACCUUCAUGGUUGGCAGAGUAGUCAUGACCAUUUGACAUGCCAGAAGCCUAACCUACAACAAAGGCAAUGUUGAAAAAGCAAUAUUCAAAAUUCAAUGAAAAAAACAGAAGACAAACAAAUGAACAAAUAGCAAAUCAUCACACUCAAUUGUUUUCCAAAAAUGAAAAACCAAAUGAAAGGAACAAGGAAUAUAUUGAGAAAAAAACCUAUGAUCAAUGGAUAUGCAGUUGCAUUCUAGCACAUAUAUAGGAUCAAACAAGUAACUAAUCUAGACAUAGCUGCAGCAAAUUUGUGUAUCUCUGAAUGCGUGUCUGCUUUUUGUGGGGGGAUAUUUAUUAUGACAUGUUCUUAGUGCAGACAAACCAUCUGCAUUUACUUGAGGAUUAGGUAAACAUACUUUCCAUUUAAAAUGAGGCCUUGAACAUCAAGCCCCGGUGAGUUUUCAAAUAAGGAAAACAUAAUAGCUUUACAAUGAGUCCCAUAGCAAGAAGGCAUGCAAUUCCAUUCAUCAGCAUACCAGAAUAUAGAAUAGUGUGGACAUGUGGACACAUGCCAGAAUUAGCAUUGGACACACUAACAUGCCAGUCAUACAUAGAAAGACUUUCCAAAGAUAUUAAAGUAAAACACUGGUAGUAAGCAAAUUAGACCCAGAAAAACAUGCAAGUAUAGGCCAAGAUCAAAUCUUAAUUUUAAUUUCCAGAAAAAAAAUAAAAAAUUAUAUCAACCAAUAGAAAUGGUAUCAUCAGCAAUUAACACCAAAACACACCAACAUAUCGGAAUGCAUAUCACGUGUACCAAUCUCCAAUCAGCAUUACACCUGUACAAGUUAGCCUGUAGCAGGUCAUAAUAGGUUCAGACUAUAAAACCUUCCAAAUCUUCCUUUGCAGGGCUUAGAAACUAUUUUCUAAGUAAUUUGCAAUUUUAAAAGCCUGUGACAAAAUUUUGGAUGAAGAGCUUAAACUAUAUACUCACAAACCCACUCCAAAAUUUCCUUAAGGUAAUACACAUUUUUUGAAGUCCUUUCCAAUGUCUUCUCUUAUUUGAGUUAGAAAAGCCAAUGUUUUUAUGAAUUGACUACUACGGCUGUUGAGGUUUGAGGUGUAUAACUAAUUUCUUAAUAUAUCAUAAUUUACAUCAGUCAUUAGAAAUUAAGGUUCCAUCCUUUUACACUAAGAAAAUCCUGAGAGCAAUUAAAAAAUACCUUCUUUAAUAUUAUUAAAUUUAAGUUUCCUUUAGGUCUUUGAGUCUAAUAGAAAUUAGUAUAAAAGGAAUUUUAAUUUUCUUACACUAAGAAAAUAAAAAUAAUAGGCAAAAUAAUUUUCAAAUUUUGGAACUUUAUAGGUAAUGCUUAUUAAAAUAAAGCAACAAAGUUUGUCAUUUGCCAAUGAAUGAACCAAUUGUGGAAAACUAUGCAAAAAAUUUUAUUAGCAUGGAAUUUUUUUUUUCUGCCAAUAUAUAGAAUUCAAUUUCAAACCUGCCCCUCCCAACCCACCACUUGCUACUUGAGGCAAGCUUAGAGGCAGAAAACUAUUUACAAUUCUACGUAUGGAUAAAAAUUAUUUCUUAGAUUUUAUGCCAAUUCCAUAUUUAUAGGUAUCAAUUUAUUAUUCUACUGUUGUCAGAAGCUUCAAUUUUGGGCGUCCUCAUGGCUAUGCCACCCUUAAAUGAGAACAACUUUGGUCUUCUGUUUUUCUUUUUGAGCUCUUCAAAUUUUUGCAAGUUACUUCUAUCCAGGUUCUAGGAAACACCCAUUUUUUUAAAUCUCCAAUAAUUUAGGGUUCUGUGGCUGAGGGAAUAGACUUAUUUUUGGUUGAAGCACAUAAAAUUCUUGGCUAUUUUUUUAUUUUUUAUUUUGCCAUCAGGUCCUUUUAGGUUGAUUUUUCUACUUAUUUUUCACCCACCAAUUAACAUUGCCCUAACUCUGUUAUCUAUCCGAACAAAUGUUUAUGAACUAGCAAAUCAUACUAAAAUUUCUUACUAGUUGACAUGUGCAUCAUCUCAGCAUGUCAUUCCAACACCAAACUACAACCAUAAUCUCACUAACAUCCUAACUGCCUCAAUGAGUAUGGAUUACAGAAAUGCAAUUAAAAUAUACUUCCCUAUUUAAUUUCAUAAUUUUUAUAAUAAUAUUUCAGCAAUAUUUCCACAUAGUAGCUUAUGUGAGAAAUCCCCAUUUCCGUAUAAAAUCGAAAAACCCUAUAGCUUGCGCAUGUAAAUAGAAAAAAAAAAAAAAAAGACAGAUUUUGCAGAAUUGGGAGAGCAGACUCACACCAGCAUGGCCAUUGAUUGAGCAGAAACGCAGAUGACGAUGAUGGUGGUGGAAUUGGGAGAAAUUGUUGAGUUUGUGGAAUGUGGGAACCCUAGGAAUGCUGGGAUUGAAACCCUGGAUUGAAACAAGAGGAUUGUGAGAGAGAAUUGGAAAUUGAAGAAUCAAACACAAAAAAUAAAUCCAAGAAAUAAAAAAGAAGCGUAAAAAUGAAAUAGAGAAGAGUGUGUAUGACGCACCUGAUGAUGUGAAAGCAGCUUCAGCUGGUGAAGGCAAACUUUCGACGGGAGAGACAUGAGCAUACCGGCCUCCGACAACAAUCCCUCCAAAAUAUUCUUUCUAUACCAUUUAUUAUUAUUAUUAUUAUUAUUAUUAUUAUUUUCAGGUUAUUUGAAGUGCAAUGUCUAGCUAUACCAUUUAUUAUUAUUAUUAUUAUUUUAUUGCUAUUAUUAUUUUCAGGUUAUUGAAGUGUAAUGUCCACCAUACCUUAUAUGCCAUCCAUGAUGAAGGCCUUAGAACUCUCCAUGGAGCCUAAAUCUCGGGAUGCUAAUCACCCUAUAAUAACCAGCAUAGAGUAUAUUCAAAGUAUCAUUAAUGACAAAUUUCGAACUUAGGACCAUAUGUCAUUUACUGAGACCACACUUCUUAAUGUUCAUCCUUAGCGACACACUCAUAUGUACCAAAUCAUCCGAUAACCUGUUUUUCCUAUUUUCUCAUUUUUACAAAAAAAAAGAAAAAAUAAGAAUAACUUCUAUUUUUAAAAUUUUAAUUUUUUUUAUAAGUAAAUUUUUGUUCUCAUUAGGACCUGUGGAACCUCCCACAAGUCCUCCCGAAUCAUUUACCACUUGAGUCAUGCCUUAAUGGCUUGUUUUUUUAAAAAAUAAUAACAACUUUUAUAUAAAAAAAAAUACUUAUAAAAAAUAUAUACAUGUCAUUAAAAGUUUAAAGAAAUUUAAAUUUGAUAAUAAUUUUUUAAAUAAUUUAAUGUGUUAAUUGUUCUUAAAAACCGUAAAUAACCUAAAAAAGAACAGUAUGUUUGUAAAUUGACCAAAUUGUUAUAUGGUUUUAAAUAGUCACCUUAACAAUGUUACAAGUGAGUUGAUUAAUUUAUGGUAGAGAAGAAUUACAAUAGAAUUCAAUUAGUUAUCGCAUUUGAAGUCUUUGAUUAUUUGUUGAAUAAUAUUUGCAGCCAAUUAGCUAGGGUUGGCUAACCCAAGCCAAACCUAGUUACCAAUAUGUCCAACCUAUGCUAAACUCGAUUCAAAGUAAGGUUGGUAGUUACUAAACUCAUUAACAACUAAAGUUUCUAUGGAUUCCCACGAGUUUUCAUGGAUUAUCAAAUAAACCACAUAUAAUGGAAUCUCCUAAUAUAUAAAAGACAUAUUUCAAAUUAUAAAUUAAACCAUAUUAUAAAAUAAAAUUUUAAAAGCUAAGUAUAUAUCAAAGUCAUAAAUUAUAUUACUAUUCACUAAUUUUAAUGGUAACAUGAAACACAAGUGUGAAUAUUUAAAAAUAUUUUAGUAAUUAAACAAAAAUGAUAGACUUAUAGUGUAAUGUAAUAAAACUAGCAAAAGUUAUAGUUAUUUCAUUAUCCCUUUUAUAAAUUUCAUAUUUUAAAUAAACUAAUAAAUAAUAUAAUAGUAAUGAAUUUGCUUAGUCUUCAUCAUGUAGAACCAAUUUGAAGAAUUUUUUUUUAACAGGACUGAUUAAUGACUUAAUUAAGGGUAGGUUACAGCUAAAAUAUUUAGUAGGACUGAUUAGUGACUUAAUUAAGGGUAAACUACAGCUAAAAUUUUCCUAGUAGUCUUCCACUAUGGCAAAUUGUGGGAACUAGUAGUGGCCUGUCCAACCUAUAGAGGAAACAAAUAGGUGAGUGAGUUAUUGAAUAUGUGGCUGAGAGUGACCAACCAUUGAGGCUCACAUGAAGUUGUAGUGGCUGAAAGGAAGGGAUAAGAGACCAAAAACAUGCUCAGAGAGAUUCUUGUUAGGAUCAAAUUGGGGGCAUAGAUAUAUCUCUUUGGUAAGAGUUCCCAUAAUUUAGGUAUUAAUGAAAUAGGUAUAAAAUAAUUAUAUAUCUUGAUAUGAUCAUGUUGUUAAUGAUGAUCUAAUGAGUUGAAAUAUUAUGUUUUCAACUGUGUAUAUCUAAUAAAUACAUCAAGUGCUUAAACUUUAAUAUAGAAAUGGUCCACAAUGGCUUGUAUGACUCAUCGUCUUAUAAACAUAUUAUUUAGAUUAGGCUAAAGUGGUCAAAGUAAGAAGAAAAAUUGAUACUUGAUUUGAAGUAUGAAGAAUUCUUCUUAGACUUUGUGUGUAGUGUUGUUAGCUUAUUGUUGUGUUAAAGUCUAUUUUGAUGUAUUUUGGAAAGAAUGACCAACUAGAACCACAAUAAGAUGUUGCAAAACUUAUUUAAACAAGGGCUUGUGAGCAAGAUUUUUUUUUUUCCCUUUCAUGUACAAAUAGUAUGAUGAAUGAAAAUUUGAUUCUCGAUUGUAAUUAGUGUUUUCUUUAAGUUUUAAAUCAUGCAAUGAAUACUUAAAAUUAGCUUACGAUGUCAAAGAAUGUAAGUAAACAAGGUUUUACAUGUUGGAUAUAUAAUAAAUUCAAAACCUUUACCUUCCACAUUGAAUGAUUACAUUUUUUCUUUAAGUGCCCUUUAAUCAUUCUCAUUUUGUUUAAUCAUUUUCUAUAAUGUCUCGAGCAUAGUAGAUUUCUAUAAAUUUACAUGAGCAUUCCUUAACUCUUCUUGAGUGAUCCUAAACUUAGCAUUGAAACAAUCAUAAUUUAGGCGAAGAUGCUUAUACGUCUUCAUAAUCAUCCUUGGUUGCUAGCCAUUUUUCCUUAAUUACUUUAGGAUGUUUAGUGAAGAUGAUUACAAAUAUUAACUAGUUCACUCAAACAUUUUUGUAUGAGUGUAGAACAAUUUUGCAUUCUUUCCACAUCACUUAUGCAUCUUCGUUCCAAGAAAUAAGAUAUAGAACUCUUAUGUUUUGCCUACACCACUUGGUUCUCCAACCCAUUGUGCUUAUGCAUCCUUUUUAUAUCACAUAUGCGACUUGCUUCUCAUUAAGAUAUUUCACUUACAUGUUCUUGUAUAUGCAUAAUUUAGGAAAAAAUAUUUAAAAAUAGAAAAAUAGAUUUUAAUACAUAUAUUUGGAACAAUUAAACUCAAACUAUGCAAGUGACCUUGUCUACUAUGUAGGUGACUUUGUUUACUACAUAGGCAAAGUAUAUGACAGUGAUAGUCAAGGAAGCUAUGUGGUUGCAUGGUUUAGUGGAGAAUUUAAGAGUAAAGCAAGAUCACAUUGUGAUUUAUUAUGAUAAUGGGAGUGCCCUAAAUUUAUUUAAGAAUAAAAUUCAUCACUCAUUGGUAAGGCAUAUUGAUGUCUAAUUUCAUUUUAUUUAAGAGAUUCUAGAAGAAAGUCAUACCUUAUUUUAGAAAAUUACUGAUGUUAAUGAGGUAGGUCAUAUUUAAAUGUGAUCCAUGUUGAAAGGAUCAAUGUACCUUUAGGUGUGUAGUAGCAAAAUCUUUAAAGAUUGUUUGGUUAGCUUCAUUUAAAUUACUUAGUUAAAUAUUACAUAGUCAAUUAUAUGUUUGACUUUUUGAACUAGAACAUUUAGAUUUUGGUUGUUGUAGUUGUUAUAAUUACUAUUUAGGUUUUUAAAAAGGUAUAAAUUUAUAAUUUUAGUUGGUUUUAUUAGUUUCAUUUAAAAUUCCCAAGAAACUUCAGUGAAGGAAAACAGAGCAAGAGAGUUUUUGAGAAUUGCUUAUAAUUCUUGUAUAUUAUUUUGAUAUCUUUAGUGCAUUCAUCUUAUCAUUACCAUAGAUGAAGGCAUAUUGUCAAACCAUAUAAAUUGUUUAUCUCUUUGUCUAUAUUGAGCUGCCAAGAUCAGUUCCUUGUAAUCCAAUGGCUUAUUUUGAUUCCACGAUGCUACAAUGUAUUGAAUUAAGCAUAGGGAUUAACAAUUCCAAUCAUAAACAAUAAGAGAUCCUCCCCAACAGCAUAAAAAACUUGAGAGACCCGAGGCUCGCAUCUCAGAAUAUGCUCUUGAACUAACACUAAAGAUGCCUAGAUUCACCACCACCCUUUCCACCCCAAUGUUGUUAGAAGUAGAAUCUAAUCAAAUGAAGAGUUCCUGAUAGUUGCGAGUUCUUAUGAUUUUUUUCCAUCAUUUUCUGACUUUUUUUUCAUCCAUUACGUACGUCCUUCUGAGUGGAGUUCUCCUUUCAUGGUAUCAGAAAAUCAUACUCAAUGAAUUCGUUAUAACCAGACCAUAACCAGAACCUCCAUGGCGUGUUUUUCCUGUGUUUUUUCUGAAAAUAUAGCUACAUUUAUACAUAUUUUUAAGAAUAUUAAAGGCAUUAUCAAAGGAAGAAACCGAGAAAACUGAUUGUAUAGAAAUCUAUAAUUGUGCUUACUUUCAGUCCUAGUCACAAAGUUUCAACCAGAUAAAUCAUGUCGAGAGAUGCCCAGCAAGUGGUGGUGGUCCAGGAUGCAUCCAGAGAUGUUAGUUCAAGAGCAAUCCUUAGGAUUCUCCAUGACUUAACACUUAAGCCUGGAGAUGACCUUACACUCCUCGGAGUUCUUCACCAGGUUAAUAAUCCUUGUACGCUUUCUUUCAUGGGAGGUAGGAAAAUACGUAAAAAUUCAUGCCUUUUUUUUCUUUUGAGUACAGAAGAAAAAUCCAAGAAGAAAGAAAUAUUAAACAUAGCACCAGGAAAAUGAUAUAUACCAAAAGGGAAAUUGUGCAGGUUUAUAGAUUGAUGAAUGAUGUGUCAGAUUUCCCAAUACAACUAUUUUAUUCUAAGGUAUACUUUGAUAAUAGAGACAACUAUUUUAUGAUCAAAUGAAAAAAUGAGGUAUAACAAUUAACCCAAGACAAAUCCUUAAGUGAUACUUUAGUUUUUUAUGAAAUAAAUGUUCUUUUUAUAUUAGUAUAAAAGAUUAUUUUUUCUUAGUUUCAUUUAGGGAAAAUUUUGAUUUUUUAAAGUUUUAAAGUUGGUUAAUGUAAAAUUUGUUUUUUAUCUUUUAGAUUUUCUUUUCCAUAUUUACAAAAAUAGAUAAUUAAAUAAACUUAGAUAAAAAUAGAAUUUUCAUGUUCACUUGUUUGCCUUAUGAAUUUAUUUUACUAUUAAAAUAGGUGCUUCUUAUUAUUUAAUUUUAAAAGUGAAGAUGCAUGUUUUAAUAAAUUCUAAGAGAGGACAAUGUUUAAAAUAAAAAAUUGAAAUAUCGUGGAAAUUAAUAUUUUAUUUUAAAUACAGACAAUUUCCAUGUAAUUUUGUUUGUAUAUUAUCACUACAAAUCAACGAUGACUCCAAAUAGCCAUUGGCCUUAAGAGAUGUCAAGCUCACAACAAAAAUAAUGUUCUAAGUUCUCUAAAAAUAUUUUAAUUAAACACAAAGGUAGUCCAUCAUCUAAUCAACAUUUGCAUAUACAAAACCAUUUUAGCAAAAGUUACAUCAUCCGUUAGUAUAAGCAAACAUGAAUAAGUAUUUCCUAAUUAAGAAAAAUAUUAAUUCAAAUAUUUUAAAUUGGCCAACAAAUUAGGAUAUUGAAAUAAUGGUCUCUAUAUCAAAUGAGUUAUAAGAAAAGGUAACAUUAUCUUUCAUCUAAAUUUCUAUGCUUUCACAAUCUUCAAAAUUAAUAAAACAAUAAGUUAUCUUUCAUUUGAUGCCAUUGGCUAUAUUGUAUUUUCUCGUGACAAAGUGAUGAUUAUCUUUUUUUUUUUUUUAUGCACUUGAUUGAUUUGGUUUCCACCAAUGUGACUUUAGUGAUUUAUCCUUCGCCGGUUGUUAGGAUAAUGGUAGUGGUUAAUAUGAUGUCGUCAAUAGAAUAACUACCUACUCUAGGUAGUAUGUUGGAUAUGAUGUUAUAAACCUACUUAUAGAUUAAUAUAGUUCAACAAAUACUAAUUUGAGAGAGAGAGAGAUAGGUCUAUGGUGAGUUGUAGUGAAAGGGAAGGAUUAAGGCUAGGGUUUGUGUGGGUAUGAAAAAGAUAAAAACAUUUUUAUUUUCAUAUCCAUUUUUGGAUUUUAAAAAAUAAAAAUAAAUAGGUGGAUAUAGAAAGAGUUCAAGUGGUUCGUUUGCAAUUUCCCUUCAUAAAACAUCACAGUUGUCAAUGAGAUCUAUGCACUAAGUAAUUUUAACAACCUUUGUUUGUGAAUUGCUUGUUACUGCAUUAAGUUUUGGUAUUCUCCUCCAUGUAGGUGAAACAUAUCAUGUUUAUGUAGAAUCAUUAAUAUAGUGUUUAACAGCUUCCAUGAAAAAGAAAGCGUGAGAGCUUGGGGAUAUACUUCCCAACUUAGAGGACAUCUCAAUAGCAAUGAAUAGAUUUUCAUAUAAAUGGUUAAAUAGUAUAUAAAAUAAUCGAAGAUGUCUUGUUUUAGUUUACCUCCUAGGUAGAUAGCCUAGUUACUUCAAGUAGUUUUGGCAACACCAUUUACUAUCAUCUUCAACGAGUAUAUAUCCUUCAAGGCAAGGCCUCACUUUCUUAGCUCAACAAAAAGUUUAUUAUGAUAAGUUAUCUUGAUAACUAAUGACUAAUCUUGGUGUAUAUAUAUAUAGUUAAGAGGGAUGUGAAUCAAUGAGAAAUAGUUUCCACUUUGUGCUAAUGAUAGGUUUGAGUCAAGGUUCAAAUUUUCAUCCAUGGAAGUAUGAAUGUUGAUCAAUAUGAAAUUCUGGUCCAUCUUGUGAUAACAAAUAGUUUAUCAUAUGUAACUCAAAAUUAUUCUUUCUAUACAUUCAUCUUGUGCACCCACCUUUCUGUUUCUUUAUUGUACGUAUCACUUUCUCUUAUUCCAUAAGGAGAAGCCACUAGACUUGAGAAAUCAAUUAGAGAAUGAUACAAUUCCAACAAGAUCGAGUAUGAAACAUUUCUUAUCAAUCUUUUCAUAGUGACUCAUAGCUUGUAGUAAAUUAAUGGGCUAUUUGUUUUUUAACUUGAGUUUUGAAGCAAGUUGUUUUAAGAUUUAAGAUAAAAGUAAAAAAGAAAUUUACUUUUUCUAUUAACACAAAAUUAUCUUAGAAAAUAUGAUACGUUAAAAAAUAACCAUUUUAAAAAUGACAAAUCUUAUAGAAAAAAAUAAUAUAAAAAAAUAACACUUAACACUAUUAAAUAGUAUUUAGUUUUGAGUUAUAUUAAGGUAUAUAUAUAUAUAGACACACACCACCUAAGGUGAUGUUUUACUUGUUUGUUUGUUUUUUCUAAAAUCUAAAUAGAUUUGAAUUUGGAUUGAAUUUAAAUAGAGCAAAAUGUCAUAAGUGUUUAGACUCUUUGUGCUUUAUUGUAUUUGAAAUAUGUUAAGUGUUAAAUUGUUUAUUUUUACUUAUGUCAAAAUACUAUAAGUAUUAAAUUUAUUUAUUUCACUUGUUAAAAAUGUCUACAAAAUUAAUUAUAGUAUUUGUUAUUAUUUUAGUUUUAAAAAUUUACAAUUUUUAAAAUAUAUAGUAAUUUAAAUAUUUCCAAAAUAUCAAAAUUAUUACGAUAAUAAACAUUUUAUAAUAAUUAAUAUUGUAAUUAUUUAAGCAUAAUUGGAUAAUAACAAGGAUUUCCUAUUAUGCUUGGUUACUAAAAAAAUAUUUUAAAAAAUUUCUAAUUUGACACUUAUUUCUAUAUGGUGUGUCUUCAUAUUUAAAUUUAAAUAUUUUCCAAAAUAUCAAAAUUUAUUACUAUAAUAAAAAUUUUACAAUAACUAAUAUUGUAAUUAGUUAAGAAUAAUUAUAUAAUAAUGAGACUUUCUAAUUAUGCUUGAUUACUAAGAAAAUAUUAAACAAAACUUCUAAGUUAACAAUUAUUUCUAUCUGGUGUAUCUUUGGAUUUAUGGAUUUGUAAUUGAAAAAUGUGUUUUAUUAUUGAGAUUAAUUCAUUAAUUUUUAUAUUUUAGAUUUUCAACAUUAAAUCCUAACAUUUUAUUUUUCAAAAUUAAUUAUUAUUGCUUAUUCUAAUAAUGUGGACCCCGCAUUUCGGCUCAUGCACUUCCACUCGAUGGCGAGCUCGAUUUUUAUUUGAAAAACGAUUUUAUUUAUUAGAAAAUGACUUGGAGUCACCACUUAUUUUUGUUUUAUUUUUAAAGGGUAAACAAAAUACGAAAGAAAACCCUAAGUGUGACUCCUUAUUUUGGAAAAGAUAAUCCACGAAAAACCGGAUCGGGCUCGGGGGUCAGGUUACUUAUCGGGAAGGUAUGGUAAAGACCGUAGCACCCCUCUAAGUCCCUAAAGUCGGGUCUCUACUAAUAAAAUGAAGCUAACGUGGCAAUUGAUGAGGGAAUCAAUGAAUACUUAGUGUAAUCAUGCACAAGUGAGAAUUAAAACAUACAUAUAGAAAGACCAGAAUGGGAGUAGAUGCGUACCUGGGUGAUGAGCCACAAUGCGCUAUCAAGAAAUGGGAUUAGUGCAUAGUAAUGAACAUAAAAUGUGUCAAUCUUAUCACCAAACAAGAGAAAGAACCACCAAUAGCACGCAUGACAUUUCGUUCAAAUUCAUUUUUAUUUUAAAGAAAAUUUAUUUGAUGUUGGGCCCCCACCAUAGCCCAUCUACUUUUGAGUGAAUCGAUUUCGUAAAUUCCAUCAUCAAGAAUUACGAAAAAUAAAUUCACACUUAUUUUGAAACAUUUUGAAAAUCAUGGAAAAUUCAAAAGUGGCUCGCCGGAAAGGAAAUGGUGGCCAAAUUUCAUUGAAAAUGGGAUUUUUAGGUCCUAAAAAUAAACUAAGGAUGAAAACUUAAAAAAAAUGUCAAAAUUAUUUGAAGAAUUUAAAAUUUGAGAAACCAUUUGAAAACUGGAAUAUGAUGGAUUAUUUUAAAAUCAAGGAUGAUGAAAUGAAAAGAGGUGGUACGUGGUCACCAAGACUACAUGUCAAAAGUGACCAUGCAACUCAUGCAAGAGUAGGUCUACGGGUAAGAGUACUGGAAUUGGGUAUAAGAUAACCAAUAGGAAUGGGGUAAAUUAAGAGACCCCAGCGGCAAGCAACUUCAUGAGGCCUUCCUUUGUUGAUGUGUACCAGAACCAACCUUCUUUUUGCCUUUUACAAACUUCUGUAAAGAUCCACCUCUACAAUUCUGAGCUUUUAUGCAUGAUUCAAAGAUAGCAUGAUGUUGUGCUUGGAUGUUCUCUUGGCUAUUACUGCCUUUUCUCCUUGUUGACCGAGAAUUAGUACCAUCAGGCAUCAAGUUAUGCAUUUCUUCCCUCAUCCAAACAAACAAGUUUUCUCUUGCAACUUUAAGAUCCUCUAAUAAGGACUCCAUGAAGAUUUUAAAAUCAUCCAAUGUUGCAGGAUCACAUGCAUUGCUCUUACUCUUCUUCUUAUUAACUUUCUUGAAAGAAUCCCUCUUCGUCUCUUUACUAUAUAAAUUAUUCCUCUUGCUUGAUCCAAUCUGCAUUUUGUUAGCUUUCCCAAUUUUGAAUUGAUCCCCUGAACUACGAUCAGACUUACCUUCUUGUUGAGAUCUAGGAGUACCACUGGUUUCAUCAUUUUCAGGCGAAAUAAGAGAGGAAACCAGUUUGUGCUUCUUGAGAACUGGCUCACCACUGGAACUCGAUUUGGAAUUAUCACUUGAAGAAUCAACGUCACUGUCUCUCCUCCUGAACUCCCACCUCUGCUGAAAUUUCAGGUCUUCACUCAUGUUAGUACUUGGGGAUAUAAUCACAACUGUAUAACUAUGUGCUCAAUCCUCGGGAGAGUCCGACCAUAAACGACUAGACCCACUUAUCAUCAAAGUUUCAACUGCUUGUUUGGAGAAUGAAAUCAGUUUGAUGGAAGGAUUUCCACUGCAACUGCACCUUGAACUCGUUUGAAAGAUUGUACCAGUGAUUCUAGCAGCACCCCUCCUCACAAAUCAAAUUUUGUGAAGAGACACCAUGAUUAAACCGCUCCAUCAUUCUCUUUCAUACACCCAGCACAAGAGCAUCCUCUGUGGAUGAAGCCCAACCAUUGCUCUGCAUCCACUUGGAACAAUCUUCUUAGCCCCAGAUGGGAGCUUGAUCCUGCUGGUGCCAUUAUCAGGGUUGUGGCUGACGACAAUAGCUCACUUGCCGGAUGCCCUGGCGAAGACACCUCGAUCACCAACGUGAUCUUCAACGUUACAGACCUCGGCACCUUCGGGAGUAGAGCGCAGGGGCAGAACGUUAUCGGCAAUGAGGGUGGCUUUCUUACUGCAGCAAACGAACUGGCCCGUGUAUAUGCUCUCAGCCACCACGAUAGGUUCAUCAUGACUGCAACUCCUACUAAACCAUAUCCCUGUCUCAGCAUCAAUAACCAGCUAGGUACUGCAUGUAUCACCAACACCACUAUCGAGGUCCAGGCUAUCACAAGUUCUGUUGCUAGGCAGAGCAGCAGGAAGUUGGUUAUCAAAGACAUGGUAAAUUUUAUCACCACCUAGGCGCACGCCAUCGAGAUGCUCUUUGUAUGUCUGAUCGAAGACACAAGAAAUUUCCAUGAUCAUGUAUAACUUUCUUCCAUUCUUCUUCAGUUGCACCAGUACCAAAUCCAUAUCAGCCAAGGACCCUUCACGCACAAGUAGCCACAGAUCUGUCAGAGAUGCACUUGAUACAAUUUUGCGAGCAACUGUAUGAUGAUUCUGCUUUUGGCCUGGAGGUGGAACUAAACCUUCCACUAAUCUAUAUUUUUCUCAAUAAUAUAUAUCCUCUAACCUUGACAAAAUAAUAACUUAAAUCCCAGUGUUGACUCCUUGCUUCUCGCCACUUAAGCUAACAAUGAUUAUGCCUUGUCACCAGAUGACUUCAAGAGCUAGGUUGUCCAAAAUCCUGUUAAGAAAUUAGUCCACACCAACUGAUAACAAGCUGAUGUGGCCCUCGAAGACAUUGAUUGAACCUAGUCCAUGUUGUAGUCACUUUUUGAAUUUCAUGAUCAAGAAAAUGAAGAGGAAGCCAUUUAGAUGCAUGGUUGAAAAUGGUCAACUGUUAUGCCCCCAUCAUCAUCACCUCUAGUAUUAUGAACACAAACCAGUUGCAACCGCCAUUCACAGACUCCCAUCACAGUUCAUGGGCCUGAAAUGAAUCUCCAACUAAUGGUGUAAGCAACAAGCUGAAUGUUGUUAAAAAUAUGAGAAAUGGGUGGAGAGUUGUGCGUUAAGAAGCAGAGAAUGGAAUAAGGGAAUAUACCCCUUCCCUCAAAGGCACAGAGAUGGAAUCAAGUAAUUGAAGCCGAAGGAAAGCCUUUCGGGUAGCCAAGAAAGCUUGAUUUACAUAUUCUGCAUUACUUUCAGCAACAUUGGCAAUCACAUCCCUGUCUGAGAGGCCAACUGGUUGUCCUUUGUGGUGAGUUCAGUGUCAUUUUAAACUUCUCCAUUGUAUCAAGGGAUAGCCAGCACAAGAAAGAAAUGAUACAAUGAAGCAGACAUGAGGCAUCUUUAGAAAUCCUCUGUGGAUGACAUUUUAAAGGCUCUGUGAUAUUCUGAAGCAUUGCUACUCAACUAUGACCUCCAUCCCUGAUAUAAAACACUAAACCAACCUCAAUCUACUUAACAUGCAUCUCGGGUACUCCAUAGAGAUUAAGCAUCUGUAAUCAUAGCUUCCGCUCCUUGAAUUUGCGUUCUCAGAUGGAGAUGCACCAAUCAAAGCAAACCACAGACAAACACCAAAAACAGAGACGUAUAGAGAAGAAAAUUGAUAAAACAAAACAGGGAUAGGUGAAAUGAGAGUUUGUUAAGCAAAACCUGGUCCCAUAAAUUAUCAACAGGCUUACCAGUUAGUGGGAGGGGAAAUGGGUUUAAGGAGAAAUGAUAGGAGAGAUACAUUCAGACAUCACGCAAUAAAACUGGACAAGAUUCAUACUAUUUCUCUCAACUAAAACCCAUAAACAAUAGAUGGAUAUAUAGUCAUAGCAAAUCCAGUGGAUGCUCAGAGAUCAACAAAAGUAGCCAUAUGAUAUCCACACACAAAUAGCUAAAUAACACCCACUAAUGAACAAAAGAGAAUGAAUAGCAAGAGAAAAAAAUAGAGAUGGAUAAGAAACAUACCUGGAAAUACCCCUCUCCAGUAAAAUCAGCUGAACUGCUAGUCCAUUGCUCUCUCCCCCUUCCUCUGGUUCCCCUCAAGUUAAAACAAUACCCUUCUCAAAUAUCUCCGACCAAAAAACCUUCUCCAAAAACUUCCCUUUCUCCUCUGCCAACCCCCCUCCAAAAAGCAUCUCCCUCUUCUCUACAACUGGCAGAUACGCUCCUCCCAUAACAGAAACGUUCUUCUCUAAACGUCCCUUUGGGAUCUCUUAUCAAACCUCUAAUGACUCUCAAGACUAGGUCACCGAUAUGUAGUGGUAUGGGCUUGACCCGCUUUUUGAAAGCGCGGGCCAUCUUCCUCUAUUAUGCACGAACAUGGUCUGUUGCUCUCAAUCUCAUCUCAUAUAGGAGAUUGAGCUGAUCAAAUCGAGCCUGAGCCCAAUCCGCCUCGGGAAUCUGCUACUUUAGUGCUACUCUCAAUGAACUCAUCUCGAUCUCAACUGGUAGCACUGUCUCCAUACCGUAUACCAAUGAAUAAGGUGUGGCUCCUGUAGAGGUGCGAAAAGAAGUCCGAUAUGCCCACAAUGCGAAAGGGAGCUUCUCUGACCAAUCCCGAGAAGUCUCAACCAUCCUCCGCAAUAUCCUCUUAAUAUUCUUAUUCGCAGCCUCUACUGCCUCAUUCGUCUACGACCUAUACGCAAACGACCUAUGAUGUCGGAUGUCGUAUCUCUGUACUAAGGUAUCAACCUCUGCUCUGAAAUGUACCCCUCUAUCUGAAAUCAACUCAUGAGGGACUCCAUAGCGACAGAUAAUGUGUGAUCUGAUGAAACUAGCAACUCCAGCUGAUGUCAAUCUCUCAUAUGAGGCGGCCUCCACCCACUUGGUGAAGUAAUCGAUGGCGACCAGGAUGAACUCAUGACCACUGGAAGAUUUCGGUGAAAUCUUUUCGAUGAUGUUAAUACCCCAUAUAGAAAAUGGCCAUGGUGAAGUCAAUGCGUGCAACUCAGAGGACGGCACGUGAAUGAGAUCUCCAUGUAUUUGACUCUUGGGACAUCUCUGAACAAACUGACAACAAUCUGUCUCCAUGGUCAACCAAAAAUAGCCAAUCCUCAUGAUUUUACGGGCCAACAUAUGCCCUCCCAUAUGUGGUCCGCAGACUCCCGCAUGAACCUCUCACAUCACUCUAUCGACAGAAGCGUAGUCCAAGCAUAAUAACAGCAUCCCAUCAGGUGAUCGUCUGUAUAGUGUCUUGCCACAAAUCACGAAUCAUGCAGCCAACUGUCUCAAUGUUCUCUUAUCCUUGGCCGUGGCGGCCUUAAGAUAUAUGCCAAGUCUCAAAAAGUGAUAUAUGUCAUGAUACCAUGGCAAACCAUCGUCUAUCUCCGUAUCAUCGAUCAGAAAACAAUAUGUAGGAGCAAAUCUGGACUUAAUCAGUAAAUGACGAAUAGUGGCAUCAGCAGGAAUGUCAAUCAUGGAAGUUAGAGUAGCUAAGGCAUCAGAAAACUAGUUAUGCGCUCUAAGCAGAUGUGUGUAUCUCAAAUCAUCAAAUCUCCCAACCAGUAGCUCCAAAUAUGGCGGUAAGGCCUAAGUUUCACAUCUCUAGUCUUCCACUCGCCCUGAAUCUGUCUCAAAACCAGAUUGAAGUCGCCAAACACCUCUAUCUAUCUAAUCCCGAGCUCAAGGGCCGUCUCUAAUCCCAAGAUACAGACCUCAUACUCAACAAUGUUGUUUGUGGCCGGAUGUCGAUCCAAGAAUGCCAAACAAAUAGAUCGGGGAAUGUGAUCACCAUGAGGGGAUAUCAACAAGACGCCUAUCCCGUAUCCAGAAUGGUUGGCUGCACCAUCAAAGUACAUGUGUCAACCUGAUAAACUAGUCACAACAGCGACAUCCUCGCCUGGGAAGUCAUCAUCAAUGGCUCUACCAUUGGAAACUAGUAAUGAGGCUAAGUGAUCUACAACAAUGCUCCCUCUUAUGGACUUCUGAGUGACAUAAUGGAUGUCAAACUCGGUCAGAAGUACCAGCCAUCUCAUGAGACGACCGAUCAAAGCGGGUCUGUCAAAAAAAUAUCUCAGAAGAUCUAGAUGGGAUAUCAAGUGCACUGAAUACUCGGUCAUGUAAUGUCUUAGUCGGUGAGUGGCCCAAACCAAUGCCAAACAGUAGCGCUCAAUCAUGACAUUCCUUGCCUCAUAGUCUAGCAUCCUCUUACUCAAAUAAUAAAUGGCUUAGUCAUUGCCUGAAUCAUCAAGCUGAGCUAACAUGCACCACAAUGCUACAUCUGAAAUUGACAGAUAUAGGAGUAAGGGACAACCUGGUGUAGGAGGCGCCAAGACUGGAGGUGACAACAAGUACUUUCUGAUCCUCUCAAAUGCACGCUGACACUGAUCAUCCCAAACAGUAGGUUGACUCUUCCUCAAGAGUCGGAAAAUGGGCUCAUAGAUGUCUGUCAAUCUGAUGAUGAAUCUACUGAUAUACUGAAGUCUACCCAAGAAGCCCCUGACCUCUCUCUCUGUCCUCGAUGCAGGCAUGUCAAGGAUGGCUCUGAUCUUAUCCGAGUCUACCUCUAUGCCUCUCUCUCUGACCAUAUACCCCAAGAGUUUCCCAGAAGUCACUCCGAAAGUGCACUUCUUGGGAUUCAGUCUCAAUUUGAACCGUCGGAUCCUCUCAAAGAACCUCUCUAGAGUUGCUAGGUGAUUUGGUCUGUCUUGGGAUUUCACUAUCAUGUUGUCUACAUAAACCUUGACAUCCCGAUGCAUCAUGUCAUGGAAGAGGGUGGUCGUCGUUCUCUAAUGGGUGGUUCCUGCAUUCUUCAAUCCGAAUGGCAUGACUCUAUAGCAAUAAGUACCCUACUCGGUAAUGAAGGACGUCUUCUCCAUGUCCUUUGGAGCCAUCAAGAUCUUAUUGUACCAAGAAAAUCCGUCCAUAAAGGACAACAUCGAAUGACCUGUCAUACUAUCAACCAACAUAUCGAUGUGUGGGAGAGGAAAAUCAUCCUUAGGACUGGCCUUGUUGAGAUCUCGGAAAUCAACACAAACUCUCACCUUGUCGUCCUUUUUGGGAACAAGGACUACAUUGGCCAGCCACUCCGGAUACUCGACCACUGACAAAAAUCCUACACUGAGUUGCUUCUGGAUCUCCUCCUUCACUUGCAAGCUCCAACGAGGGUGCAAUCAUCUCAACUUCUACUUAACCGGUCUAGCAUGGGGCAGAAGUGGCAAACGAUGUUGGACGAUAGAUGGAUCAAGGCCUGGCAUGUCCUCAUAGGACCAUGCGAAAACGUCCAAGUAUGCUCUGAGCAACUGGAUGAGGUUGUCCCUCUCAUCAUCAGAUAAAUCUGAUCUGAUCCUCAACUCCCUAGGCUGAUAUAUUGUGCCGAAAUCAACAAUCUCCAUGUCCUCUAUAGCAGGUGAAACUCUCUGAUCAAAGGGAUCCGAAUCGGAAAUAGAAGAUGAGUCAUCAUCUGAGUCGUGUUGUGCAAUCUCAUCAUCAAUAUCAAAAAUCUGUGAUGUGGGUGAAGAUGGUGCAGAUAAAACAAUAUCGUAAAAGAGAGGCAAAUUUUAAAAAAUGCUCAAAUCCAUAGAUGAAAAGUCAGAAACAUAGUCAUGAUGGGAGACAAAUCCCGAUAAAACAUCAAAUGAAAGAGGUGAGUCUACAAAGUCGAACAUUCCCUCAACUAGGCCAAUAGGGCCAUCAAGAAAAUCAUCAACAGCUAUAAUGUCCUCAGUAAUCUCCGAAGUAGGGGCAGUCUGGAUCUCCUCAGCGAUCUCAAUGAAAGACACCCCGAAGAGAUCAAAUGGUGAAGUGAGCUCAGGCUGGACUAUCUCCUCAAUCUGGCUCAAGCUCAAUGCAAGCAUCUCAUCGACGUACUCGUCACAUGGCAUAGCUCCGUCUACUAUGUCGCUAAUCUCAACAAAUGUCUUGUGAUCAUCGAUCUCAUCCAAUAAGCAAAGCGUCAUAAGGCUCGUGCGAUCUGGAGAGGCAGGAGCGAUCAACGCAGAAGUCGAAGGAUCAAGGGCUCCGUUACUCAAUUGUAACUGCUGGACGAGGCGCUGAAGCUCGGCCUCCUUGGUGGUGUUGAAUCCUCUGAUGAUCCCAUCAGAUGGUGCAUGUGACUCCGAUGCCCUCACAAAGUAAUCUGCCAGGCUCAUGGUGUAUGGGCGAACAGGAUAAUAAAAGAGCGUAUGAGUCAGUCGAGCCCUCACCCUCUCCUUGCUCAAUCGCGCCAUAUAACGAUAAUCGGCCUCAGUGGGGAUGAACCUGAGUCCGAAUGGUACGUCGUGAUCAGGGAUGGCUAUGAACUCACUAGGCCCAUGCUGACACUACCCUAACCCUAUGCCGGGAAAAUAAGGCAUACUCUGCAUCAUAUCGAGCACCACCGUGCUACUAUGCUGGUCAAAGGACAUGGCUACGAAAUCUCGGUAGAAAUCUUCUAUCUCCACGGUUUGUACCUCAUCAAAGGUGAAUCCAGUCAGAAAAAGAUCGUCAUCAGUGUGACUAAUCUCAAGCACAGGCUUGGCAAAAAUGAACAUAUCUCCCACAGACUGCACCACGACGACCUGGCCAUCGUGAAUAAACUUCACCUUUUGAUGAAGGGAAGAAUGAAUGGCCCCAGCUCUGUGGAUUCACGGUCGGCCCAGAAACAGGUUAAAGGAUGUAGGAAUCCUCAAAACCUGAAACACGGUGACAAAAGUGGCCAGAUCAAUUAGUAGUUCAAUCUCUAGUGUGCCCAUGACCUCCCUUCGAGUACUGUCAUACGCGCGAACGGUCUAAGUGGAGGGACAGAAAUCAGAUGGUGCAUAGCCGAGGGCAGUGAUGGUGGCCAGAGGACAAACGUUCAGGGUCGAGCCAUUGUCCAGAAGGACAGAUGGGACUCGACGGCCUGAACAACCAACAGAUAUAUAGAGUAGACGCGUGUGGUCUGAGCCCUCUGGUGGCAAGUCAUCAUCGGAGAAUACAAUGCAUGUGGCUCUACCGACCGUCAUCAUAUGAAUCAAUCCCUCAUGGGAGGUGGUAGUCUUAACUCUAAUCUGGCUCAGGGCUCAAAUCAGAGCAUCAUGGUGAGUGGUCAAGGAUGCCAACAAACUCCAGAUGGAAAUACGAGCCUGAGUGCUCUAUAGCUGCCUCAAAAUCUCGGCGUCCUCUACUCUGACCUCAUCGGGAACAGAUGUACCCUCAACUGGCUUAGCUGCUGCGCGAGGUGGCUAUCGCAACACUCUACCUCCUCAAAGAAUAUACUAAACAUCCAAAGUUUGAGAAUCAUCAACAUGCGGAGCUUGAACCUCCUCAACAUUCGAGAUCAAGAUGAAUGGCGUCUGGACGCUGUAAUAUGGAAAAAUCAAUGGCUCAACAGUGGUAGUCUGUACUAAUGCCACCUGGGGAACUAAUCCGAAUGAAAUGGGCAUCUGAGGCCCCAAAGUCGCUCCGUCCAUCUCAUAAAUCCCAUUUGACAUGAUAGGCUCUGGCUCAAUGUCAUCACAGCUCAACAUAUGGAUAUAGUCAUCAUGAUCAAAGAACUCCAGGAAAUGUAUGCUAUCGACCGGUGGGGGGACCACAUGUGUAGUGUGGGCAAGUAAUGGGUUUGUGGUUACACUCGGCUGACCCAAGUGCACCAAACCCUGGUCGAUCAGAUCCUGGAUGGCAUGCCUCAAAGUGGUGCAGCGAUCGGUCUCGUGUCCAGGCCCUUGAUGGUAUGCACAGUGCAAAUCCAUCCUGAAUUAAGGUGGAAUCGGCUGAGGUGGCAGCCUGGGAGUGAGAACGGUCAAUAACCCGGCCUCUGUAAGCUUCCGAAGAGCCUAGCUCAAUGGCAUGCUUAAUUGCGAGAACUACCUCUGUGUCCUCAAAGCAGAUGGAGCAAAAGUCUGCUGAGCUUUGGGUUGAGGAUAAGGCGUUGUGGGUCUCGCAGUGAAUUGAGCAGCAUAGCAUGGCUGUCCUAUGGCCGUGUAGGAAAUUGGGGGUCUCUCAAUGUCCUGGGUGGCAUAAUAAGGCAAAGCCAAAGUCUGUGGCAUGUAGACUGAUCAUAAGUCGGGUGAGGCGCUCGUGGCCUAUACUGCUGAGGUGGAUAUGAAGAAUGAGCCUCAGGAAGCUAUGGGAUCGGCUGAUGGCGCCUGGGAGGUCUCUAACUGGAAGAACUAAUGGCGCUCACGUCAACUGAUCUUUGUCCUCCAAAGGGCUUCUUCCCCUUAACAUCACUAGGGGAAGAAUCUGUCCACAAUCCUCUAGAGAUGUCGUCCUCGACAUCGUAUAAAGUCAAAACCAAUGAACCAAAAUCUGUGAAUGGUACCCUAACCACGUGUCUGGCGAUCCUGGGCUGUAAACUCCUCAAGACCAUCUAUAUCUGAUCUCUCUCUGAAGGUCUAUCAAUGAUCUCGACAAUCUUCCCACGCCAGCGGGAAAUGAAUGAAGAAACUAACUCAUCUAUUAUCUACCUCAGAGCCUCGAGCUUUCUCCUCGAUACAUCCACGACAGUGUUAAAUGAAAACUGUCGUAAGAACUCCUGGGCCAAGUCGUCCCAUGUUCGGCGUCGUGAGGACUUCAAGGAUGCAAACCAACGUUGGGCCGUCCCACUCAGAGAUAGUGGAAAUAAAGUGAUCAUCUGAGACUCAUCCAAUCCAUGAGCCCUCAUCACUGUGCUAUAGAGUCUGAGGUGGAUGCGUGGACAACUAAUGAUCGUAUAUCUCUUGAUGUCUGGCAUCCUAAACUUAGCCGGCAAACUGGCUAUCGGCAUACCCUCGAAAUCAUCCCAAACAAUUGAUCUAUCUGACACUCUCAUCUGCCUCAUACGCUGUUUAAGACAGUCCAUACGUGCAUGAGCAUCAUCAACGACAGUGGUCUGGACAACAGCGGGUGGAACAAUCUCAGAAUGUCCAUGUAAUAUAUAGGGUGAGGCCUGAGGCACUGAAGGAACGGGUGGUGGUGGUGGAUGUGGAUGUGAGUCAUACGACGUCUCAUCCUGAACUGUUGGUGGUCUACUUUGCUGACCACUGAUCUCCUGCCUGAGGCUAGCCAAAGCCUCCUGGAUAGAAGCCAUGGUAGCCGUAAACUGAUCCAUUGUAACAACCUGCUGAUCCAUACUCGGUCUCUCUGAAUACCGGACUAAUCUCCCCUCUACUCUGACCCAAGAAGGCGUAUCCAGACUGUGAACGAAGAUCCGAUCCUGAUCGAUUCUUCUCCUACUCCUCUCCUCAAGUCUCUCAAAACCAGCAUCCAAAAGCACCUCCUUCGACCUCUCCUAUCUUCACUCCCCUCAAAAGCACCAGAAGUCUCUCAAAAAUCUCUUUUGCCCCUUGCCAAAAAGCCCCCUCCUCUCCAAAAUAUCUCCCCACAAAACGCCCCCUACGCUUGCCAGAAUAUCCUCUCUCUCAUCCGAUCCUCCUAACAGACUGCGGCCUCUCUAGAAUGUUCUUUCCACGUGUUCAACUCUCAUUUGCUCCUCGAUUCCACUACCUAAUUCUCUGUCCACCAACCACGAGGUGAUACGUGGCUCCUUGAGAGCCUUCCACCUGGCAAAAUGAGUUGCAGAAAAUGCAUGAAAGUGAGGCCCCAAAAUGAGGGUCUACAAAUAGGUUUUUAGAUGAGUGUGAAUUGUGUUUUGGAAUUCUAACUAAAAAAAAUUCAUUAGAAUUGAUGAUAGUUUAUUUUAGUCUUGUUCUACUAUAAGAGGUUGAAUUAUAAAAAUUUGUAGUACAUACAUUUCUAAUAAAAAUGUUUAUGAUUUAAGUAUUGUUAAUUUUAUUAUUAAAUGAGGAAUCUACAAAAAUUUAUGAAAUUUAAUUUUGUUGAGAAUUUGAUGAAUUAUGAAGCAGAAACAGUAGCUAAAUGUGGUAGAAUUUUGAUUCAAGUUUUGGAAUUUAUGAAUUUAUUUAGAUUAAUUUGUUACCCAAAUUAAGUUACUUUUAUGUUGUUGGGCUUCUUUUAAUAAAAAAAAAAAAUCAUUAAAAUUUAUAUCUAAAUUUUAUCAAGAAUCAAGAGGAAAAAUGGACAAAAACAAAGCAUAUUUCAAUCAUUUCAUUUUUUUUUCUUGAUGACAACUUUGUUAAUUUAUAAUAUAUUCAUUUUUCUUCCAAAUUACACAAAAUUGAAAUAGUUUAAUUCUUUCUUCAGAUAAAAGUUAUCUAAAGUCAUAAAAAAAAAUGAAAUUGAUUUUAUUUUAUGUGAGGAAUUAGGUCUAAAUAUCAUAACACAGUUAGAGAUCAAAAAAAUAUAAAGAGAAAAAAAAUGACUUUUUCUAUUAAUAUAAAAGUUAAAAUUAAUUCAUUUUUUCCUUAAGUAUAUAUAUAUAUAUAUAUAUAUAUAUAUAUAUAUAUAUAUAUAUAUAUAUAUAUUUUAAAAAAAAAAGUAAUAAGCUGAAAAAUAAAUAGUUCUAAAAUGUAUUCAGUCUUGAAGCAACUUACUUUAACAUUUGAGUAAAAAAACUAAAUAAAAAAUAAAAAUAGAAAAAAUCAAGCCCUAAAGCAUUGGAUGAGCCAAUGAUCGGAUACUUGAUUUUAACUAAGCAGUUACUUGUCAAUAAUUGUGUUCAUGUUCAUCUCUGCCAAGUACCUUAAAAUGAAAAGGAACAAGUUCAUAUAAAAUCCAAUUUGUCUUUCUCACCCAACACAAUUGCAACCAUCCACCACCAAUUCAAUAUCUCGAAAAACCUUCAAUGUCUCUAAUAGAACCAAAAUCAUGUUAUAUUUGGGAACAUUAAAAUCUUGAUGUAAUGCAACAUUUCAAAAGAAUUUUUCACUUUGAUCUAUGCUCAUAUCAACAUUUCUCUUUGAUAUAGGCAUUUUUCAAAAGAAUUCACCUAUCUUUUCUUGCUAAAGCCUUAAAUUUCUCUCUUCUCUCCAUAACAAACCUUGAGCAUGCAACUUACUAAAUAGACAUUACAUAGGAUUCAAAAUUAAUUUUCAACAAUUCUCAAGUAUAGUGCCUAUUGCAUAAGCAAAUAUACUUUUAAAGAUAUUGUUGAUAGCCUUCUCUAUGCUAAUAGCACUUUUAAUGCUUGGGUUGAUCUUUAUGAUUGAUUCCACCAAAGCAAUGCCCCACGAAUCUUCCAAAUCGAGAAGCACAUAGUUGUUCUUGAGCAAAGAUCUAUGGAUGUCAACACAUACUACACUAAGCUCAAGGUCCUCUAGGAUGAGCUCAAAAAUUAUCAACCCAUUCUUGUCUAUCACUAUGGAGGCACAAAGUCUUGGUUAGACACCAACAAUAGGAGUACAUCAUGCAAUUUCUUAUGGGUUUGAUUGAGUCAAAUGCUUAAACUUGAACACAGAUCUUAAUGAUGUCUUUGCACUAGUUGUCCAAGAAGAAUGCCAAUGUACUAUUAAUCAAGGCUCUUUUUUUCCUAUCGAUUCUCUUAUGCCCAACAUUUCAAAUUCCUCUGCUUUUGUUACAACAACAAAUUUUUCUCGAAAUUCAACUUUAAAACCCAAGUGUGAGUGACCCUAAUAUUCCCACUGUGGCUUGCAAGAACAUAUUGUAAAUAAAUGCUAUCAUCCUGGCUAUAAGUCAAAAUCAAAGAAACCUGAAGUAAAAAAUUCAAGCCACCUAGGCCAAUGCAACUAUUAAUGAGACUAUUAACUCUGGUUCACCCCUUGGAUCUCUUACUUUAGCUCAGUGUCAUCAAUUGUUUGCAUUCUUGAGCUCUCAACUUCAUAACAACUUUCUUGUUAUGCUAGAAUCUCAAUAGCUAGAACCCUUUGUUUCCCAGUUCAAUGGUAUACUAUCUUUUUCUUCUGUCUCAUAAUUUUCCAAUUUCUUUUUCCACCUGGAUUUUGGACAUAGAAGUCGCACAUCAUGUUUGUUGUUCAUUAAGCACAUUUACACAAUCUACUCCAGCACAAAAUUCUUUUGUAACUUUGCCUAAUGGUCAAUCUGUUGUUAUUAAUCGUAUUGGUUAUGUGUUUUUGUCUCCUGAUCUCAUCCUUAAUAAUGUCAUGUUUGUUUCUAAUUUCCAUUUCAAUCUCCUCUUUAUCUGUUCGCUCACUCAAAGUUAUAAAUCUUCUAUUAAUUUUAUGGUUGAUUCUUGUACUAUUCAAGGCCAUACACGGACCAAAAUGAUUGGGAUGAGUAGAAGACAUGGUAGCCUAUACUUCUUAAAUAUAGUCAAUUUUCAUUCCACUACACCACAAAUUUUCAGUCCUUGUAAUAAUGUUUCGUUGUCUCAAAAUGAAAUUUGGUUUUACCAUUUAGGUCAUCCUUCUUAUGUAACAUUACAAACAUUCAAAAAUGAAAUAGAAGUUAAACCAAAUUCUGGUGAUUCAAGUCAUUGUUUAGUUUUCCAUUUAGUCAAAAGAUGCAAAUUACAUUUUAUUUCUCACAAUUAUUUGUCUGUUUUGCCUUUUCAACUCAUACAUUGUGAUGUUUAAGGUCUCCUUCACACAUUUACCAUUGAAGGUUAUAGAUAUUUUUUUUACUAUUGUUAAUGAUUGUACUCAUUUUAUUUGGGUGUAUCUUUUGCGUGCUGAGCCUGAUGUUACUGAAGUUAUUCCUAUUUUUUUUUCUCAUUGAUUCAAACUCAAUUUGGAACACAAAUAAAAUUUGUUCACUCAGAUAAUCCUCCUGAAUUGGCAUUUUUUGACUUCUUUCAUGCAAAAUGAGUCAUCUCAUUUCAUUCUUGUGUUGAUUAGCCUCAACAAAAUUCAAUAGCAGAAAGAAAGCAUCAACAUAUCUUAAAUGUUGUAUGGUCUUUAUGUUUCCAAUCACAUAUUCCAUUGGUUUAUUGGGGGGAUUGCAUUCUUAUUAUUGUACACUUAAGAAAUAAAACUGCAUUCCCACUUUUGUCCAAUAAAACAACCUUUGAACUUCUUUGGAAAAAGAAGCUUGCAUAUUCACAUCUUUGUAAUUUUGGUUGCCUAUGUUAUGCAUCUACUUUAGAUCGUCAUAGGACAAAUUUCUCACCUCAUGUCAUUCCUUUUGUCUUUCUUAGGUACCCAUCUGGUUAUAAAGAAUACAAAUUAUUGAAUCUAGUCACUAAUUCUGUGUUUAUCUCCCAUAAUGUGGUAUUUCAUGAGUCUAUAUUUUCUUUCAAAACUAUUCAAACUUAUUCUCCUCUUCCAAAUAUUUUCUCUGAUACUGUUUUACUAUUUCCUUCUUUUUCUUCCAUUCUUGAAUCUACAUCUUUGCCAAUAUCAACAAUUCCUACUGUUUUCAUACCUUCUACGUCUCAUUGUCAUCCUAAUCGUGUUCGUAGGCCUCCUUUUUAUCUAGCAUAUUACUACUGCUAUUCUUGUUCCCACAGCACAUCUUCUACCUCACAUCCUCUCACACAUGUCCUUGAUUACACAAAAUUGUCAAAUUCAUAAAAAUAAAAAAAUGAAUAAAAGUUUGUGUUAUUUCCUAUAAUUUUGAACCCACCACAUACUUCAAGGCUGCUACUAUUCUAGAUUGGCAAGAUGCAAUGUCUGCUGAGUUAGGAGCUCUUGAACAAAAUGACACUUGGUCUUUAACUACUUUGCCACAAGGAAAACAUGCUAUUAGGUGCAAAUGGGUGUACAAAAAUAAGUAUAGAGUUGAUGGAACUAUUGAACAAUACAAAGCUCACCUUGUAGCUAAAGGCUGCACACAACAAGAGGGCAUAGACUAUCUAGGUACCUUCUCUCAUGUUUUCAAAUUGGUUACUGUUAAGGUUUUGCUUGCUUUGGCUACCAUUAAUGGUUGGAGCCUUCCUUAGAUGGAUGUCAAUAAUGUGUUCUUACAUGGUGAUCUUUUUAAGGAAGUUUAUAUGACUCUCCUAGUUAUCACCUGAAGGAAAAUCAUUAUCCUCACACUCUGUUUACAAAAUUCAAAAGUCUUUAUAUGGCUUGAAACAAGCAUACGACAAUGGUUUUCCAAACUCUCCAAUUUCUUACUUGUUGAAGGUUUUUAAACAUUCUAAUGCAAAUCACUCUCUUUUUGUCAAAGUUGUCAGUACUCACUUCAUUGCUCUGUUAGUUUAUAUGGAUGACAUUGUCAUUGUUAGUAAUAGUGAUGAGCGAGUUGAGAAAUUAAAAGUUCUAUUUAGGAAAGCUUAAAUACUUCUAAGGCCUUGAGGUGGUGAGGUCUAAUAAGGAAAUUUCCCUUAGUUAGCACCAUUAUGCCUUACAAUUACUAUCAGAUAUAGGCUAUGUUGGUUGUAAAUCAAGGAAAACACUUAUAAAUCCAAAUGUGAAGCUCACACAAGACAAAGGUGAUCUAUUAAAAGAUCUUUUAUUUUACAGAAGAAUGAUAGGCAAAUUGCUUUAUCUAACCGUAGCAAAUCCAGAUUUAUCAUUUUCAGUACAUAAAUUCAAUCAAUUUCUUGCAAAGCCCAGAGUUCUUCAUAUGUGGGCAAUACAACAUGUGCUUCAGUACUUGAAAGCAUGGUUUGAAAUAUUGGUAAACACGGAUAUAUCGAUACUUGGAUUUUAUGAAUAUGUUGGAAAUAUUGGUAAAAUAUCGGUAAAUAUUGGUAAAAUAUCGGUGGAUAUUUUGGCAAAAAUAUUGGUGAAACAAAAAUUAUUCAAAAUUCAUGGAAAUGUUUGGAAAACUCUAAAAAAAAUGAUAAAAUAAGCAAGAAUACAUAUGUUAAAGUUAUUGUAAGUGGAAUUGACAUAAAUAUGGUCAAUGAGAAAAAUAUGGAGGGAUAUAUCAAACUUAAUAAUUUAUUAUUUAUCUUAUCAAAUUAAUUUUAAUUUAUAAAAUAUUAGAACUUCAUUAUUUUUUUUAUUUUAGUAAUGUUUUGAAUACAUUUAUAUUUUUAAUAUUUGUAAAAUAAAAACAUUCAAAAUUAAAUAAAAUUAAAAGGAUAAACAUAAAAAAAGUGAACUGAUAGCAAUUUUUAAAAAUAAGAUUAAUGAGAUAAAUGAUGAUACAUUUAAUAUUAAAACUAUAAUUUAUUUAAUUCAAAUACAUUCAACAAUGUAAAAUAAAUUAUGAUGCAUAUAUAAUUUUUUUGAUAUUUAUAUUUUUUUUAUAUAAUUGUCAUAUAAAUGAUAUAAAAAAUAAAAUAAAAUAAAAGACUUGUUAAGAAAAUUAUAAUGAUGGUUUUAUACUUUUAUUAAAUAAUUAAAUAAAAUUUUAAAUAAAAUAAUUAGAAUUAAUUUAUUUAUUCUUUUAAUGAUGAAUUUUACCAUAUUUAUUGUGAACAUAUAUUUACAAAUGUGGACUUGGCCCAAUAGUAGUCAGGCUUCACCCAAGCCUUUUGGCCUAGGUUUGAAUCCCCUUGGAUGCAAUAGAAAAAAAUUUGAAGGAAUUUACCCGAAUAUCGACAUCUUUUCGAUGAAGUUGAUUGACUUUCGGUGUACAAUAUCAUGUCGACUCUCCCUGAUAUUUUGACGAUCAACUUUUAGUGUGGAAUAUUGUGUUAGCUCUCCCUGAUAAGCAAAAUAUCGACAAUAUUUCAUCAAAAUUUUGCAACAUUUUAGUGUGGAAUAUCAUGUCGACUCUCCCCAAUAUUUCAACAAUCGACUUUCAGUGUGGAAUAUCGUGUUAGCUCUCCCUGAUAAGCAAAAUAUCGACAAUAUUUCGCCAAAAUUUUGCAACAUUUCAAACCAUGCUUGAAAGUUAUGCAGGACAAGGUUUUUUUUUUUUUUUUUUCAUUAAUAGAGUUGAAAAGGUUUGUUGAUUCAAAUUGGGCAACUUGUGUGGUCUGUUAAUGAGUUUUGCUUUUUUUUAUUUAUUUAUUGUUGAUUCCUUAAUUUCCCAGAAAUAAAAAAGGCAGCAUACAGUUUCAAGAUCUUUUGUUGAAGUUGAGGACAAAUUUAUGGCAAAUGCAACAUGUGAAUUGAUGUGGUUACUUUCUUUAUUUAGAGAUUUGCAUGUAUCUCGUCCUAAGCCUGCCUUGCUAUUUUGCAACAAUCAAGCAACUCUUUAUAUUGUAGCUAAUCCAAUUUUUCACAAGCACACUAAGCACAUUAAGAUCGAUUAUCACUUGGUUAGAAAGAAACUGCAAAAUGGAAGCUUGAAGACACUACAUAUUUCAUCUAAACAUCAAGUGAGAGACUUGUUGACCAAACCUUUUUCUUCACCUCAAUUUCUUUUUCUUCUUAGUAAAAUCGAAAUUCACAAUAUUCAUUCUCCAUUUUGAGGGGGAGUAUUAGAAUAUUUGGGUAUCUUGCAGUAUGGUUACAAGUUAAGUAAAGAAUUGUUAGUUUGUUAAAUAAUUGUUAGCUUUUUUUUUUUUUUUUUUUUUGCAACUAGAUGUGUCUAUUCAAUAACUUCAUAUGGUUAUAGUUAAUUAAAGAAUCCUUUACGUAUUAACUGUUAAAAUAAUUUGUUUCCAACUUUCCUAUUAAAUUUUCUUCUGCUCAAGAUUUCAAAAAUUAUAGUUCAAGAAAGCUCUUUCGAUUUCUAUGUUGCACUGUAUCUUCUUAUAUGUUAGUACAAAUCAUACUCCUCUUUUUACCUCUUCAAUGAAUCCUUUUAGGAGUAAGACCACCAAGUGAGCACCCUUAUAUUGAUCCACAAGCUUUUUAUUACAUAUUUUUUGUUUGUGCACACCACCUCAAAUUUAAGUGGCCCAUAAAUUUUAUACUUUGGAUACCUUACCAUCCAAUCAUAAGCAUAAACUAAAUUUGAAAGGAUAAGAUUAGUUUAUUUUAGAGAAAUUGAGCUCCAAGUCCCCUAGCCAAACAUGAAGUUUUGAAGCAUGAAAUUUUUGUGAUGGGACAUAAUUGCAAUCCUUAUUAAAUUGAUCAAUUGUGUUAUGCCAAGAAUGCAAAUUAUGCAUGGCAAAGUGGUUAGAAAGUGUACAAAUGCACCAUCUUUUUACUUGUUUGUUUACUCAAAUUUCUCGGUCAAUUUUUUUUUUUCAUUCUUAUCCCUCUUGAUUGAGGCAAACAUGUUUUGGCUAGUGCUCUCAAAUUCCUUAAAUAUAUUCUUUUCAAUAUUGUAAACAUUUGGCUUGGUCAUUGUUAUAGUUAUCAAUUGUGUCAACUUUUACUUUCUCUCAUCCCCAAUUACAUAUGCACUUUGUAGCUUUAAUUUUUUUUUAGUGAUUAAUCUUAGUUUUUAUCUAAUUGUUUGCCUUAUAGUCUUUGACAUAACUAUAAGUGUAACAUGUACCUCUCACAAACCAAAAGACAUCACUUGUCUUCUUUAAUUUAAACAUUUUUGCAUCUGUGUAAGAUCUGAAACUAGAAUUUCACAACAUCGCGUAGUCAUUUUCUCUAGUUGUUUCUCAAAGCUCUCUUCAAGAUUUAGUUCAUGUUCAAUUACCAACUUUGAGUUUUCACUUUUUUUUUUUCCCAUGAGUCAUGAGGAAAUGAAUUUCAACUGUGUUUCAUCUAUCCAUCUCUCUUAAAUUGUUUUAUUCGAUAGUUACCAAUUGUAGAAUUGUUUUUAUAUAUUCUUUUCAUAGAUAUUGUUAAUAAAUUAUGCUAAAUGAGUAGCUUCCUGAUGUGGUGAGAGCUAAUUUUGUUAUUGCUAGGAUAAUAUCUUUUUAACUUUCUUAACUUUUUCCGAAUUAUAAACCACUCAUGCUUUGACCAAUCUCCAUGUGUUUUUCAUUUGUUUGGAUUUAUGGGCUUUUGAUUCUAUUUGGUGAAUAGAUAAUAAGGAAUUAAGGAUCUGAGAUUGACAUUACUUUAAGGAUGUUUGAAGAUGACAUAGUGAAGCAUAGAAUAUUUUUUUGGGUUGUAUCUCCUCAUUUCCCAUACUUAUGGUGGACAUUGAUGAGUUGGAUUAUUUGAAUGAAAUGAGCUUUGGAAAAAUACUAGUAAUUACAUGAAUUGUUGCAAUAUAUUUGAGUGAAAAUAUUAUGUUAGUGUCUCUCCAUGUCACUAAUUCAAACCUGUUACUUUCCAUUGUAAGUGGUAGAAAUAUAUUUUUUAUUUUCUAGAAAACAUUACUCUAACUUGUGAAAAAGGUUCUUAUGCCUCCAUAUUAAAUGUUAUAUGAUGGAAAAAAAACUUGAAUCUCUCUGUUUCCUCAGUCUGGAUCAGGUUAGGAAUAUGCAUAACUAUCCUAGGCUUUUUCUAAAUUCUAUGCACAACAAAAAAAUUAAUUUUUUUUAUACUUUAUAAGGAUCUAGAAAGUGCUAACGAAAACUAUACCUCAAAUUCGGAUGCUCCCGAGUCUUCCGCUCGAUGACUCAAACCUUGAUCUUGGCACACUUCUAAUGGGGAGGAAAUGAGGGUGGAGGCUAUAGUUUUCUCUCUCUCUGGAUGGUGGACGAUAAAAGCUAUGGAACCCCUAACCUCUAGGGGGUAUUUAUAGGGUUCCUAAGUGGGCUUAAGUGACUUGAGCCCAUACAGGCUUGGGUCACUUAAUCUAACCCAAAAUGAGUUCUAACUGAUUAAUUAACCCAAUAAGGCUUACUAAUUAAUCAAUUAGCCCAAUCAAGAGACCUUGUUCACUUACCCCUAUACAACCUUGCGUAAUUAUCAAAAUGCCCUUAUGCACAGAAGUGAACUUAGAGUCAAUUCAACCCUCAUAACCCAUGCCAACAAGGUAUAUGAGUUCAAAGUGGGGACCAUUGGGACCCAUAGAAAUACUGACUCCCUCAAAAUCAAAUUCUAAAGUUGAUUCAAUAUCACACUAUAGAGAAUCAACUAAACUCCAAUAUCUUAUGUAAAUAACAACGAGACACUAAGUGAUCGGGUCUGUGACUUGCUAUCCAUUGUGUUCAGUCUCCCCAUGAACUAAUGUCCGUAGUUUAAUAAGGUGAAAGCUAUUAGUCUUUCAAGACUACCUCUACCUUCUAUUUUGUGUUCAAUUGACAUAUCUUAGCUCUCAAAGAGCCUAUGUCAAGUUCCAUUUAAUGAACUACAUGACCAUAGUUUCCAUGAACACACCUCCUUAAGAUCACCCAAGGGGACACACUAUCUCAAUCCUAAGAGAUAUCAUAGUGCCUCUAUUGAAAAUACCUAUUACUACCAGCUUCUAUCAACAAUGACCCAAUCCAUACGGAAUAUAUGAUCAGCUUACGAUUUCACCUGUAGGUCAAAGUCAUUGCCAACUUUAGCACAAGCUUAAUAUUCUCUCAAGGUUGAGAGACAACACAAUGAAACAGCUUGGUGAGGUCAUGACUCAAUAAUAGCCUUAAGUCAUGACUCACCAUAAGUCUUGUCCAAUGUGUAACCAUACAUACUAGUGCACUCACCAUGGGAAACCCAUCCUGAUAACCAAGACCAGUGAUCCCUCCAAUUAGGAGGUGGUGCACUACAACCUUUAAUGGGUUGCCUAGACCCAUGAACCAAUUGUAAACAAGUCAUCUAUUUGCAAGGAACCCAUGACUUAGAUCUUCUGUGCAACUCCUAAUGCACCUAAGUCACGUACAAUACAAAAAAUGCAGACAAGAAUGCUCAUAAAGUAUAAUAUAUGGAAUAAGAAUAGAUAAAAGUGAAACUGGAACAUCAUUAAAUAAAUAAUGAAUUCCAAAUUUAUUACAUCAUGUCAUGAUUUUAAGUGCUUUAUCCUAACAUUAUAUAUUUGAGAUAAACAUGAUAUAAUGAGAUUUAUGUUUCUUUGUUAUAAUAUUUCAAUAAGUAAUUGUGUUUUAAUUUUAAUAAACUAUGCAUGCAUGAAACAAUUCAAGUAUCAUUAGCAUCAUUGGUAUCAUUGUGAGACAAAAGUUUCUCUUAUUACAUACUAAAGAGAUUUAAGUUAUCAAAAAGUGAAAACGGUUUUAUCUAGGCUAGUUUCAAGUUGACAACUUUUAAAUUGUUUAUCAUGUGAUAAAGAACUUUUCCCUACAAAUGAUACUUGAAUUGUAUAAUUAGACAGUGUAGGAAAACAUAAUAUCUAUGAAGUUAACUGUUUAUUCUUAAUUCAAUUUUUAGAAAUUUUGGUAGUCUUUCCUCUUAUUCUCUGGGUGCAUAUUUGGAUAAAGUUGCAUAGUAUGCCUUGUCCAUUUUACAUACUUAGAGAACUAUAAGGAAAUUCUACUAAAACUUCUUUAAAAUGAAAUUGACCACAUUGGUCAUUGACACAUAGAGAUUAUGUAUUUCUAUAUGGGAUAGGAACUACUACCGAAUUUAGGAUGUUGGAGAUGUUAGAAUGCAUAAAACAUGCAUCAAAAUUUGACAUACUCAAAUGAUUUUCUUUAUUUAGUAAAUUAGUAUAGAUAAUGUUUGAUGCAAAGGUCAUGGACAAACCCAAUAUAAUAAUAUUAAUAUGCACUAGUUUUAUUGAGGUUAUACAUCCCUUUUAAUGCAAGUAUUCAUGGUCAACAACAUUUAUAACUUAUUAGUCACUACUACAAAUAAGAUAUACCAUGACCUUGUUUUUUCCUUGGCACUUUUAAAAAUGUUAAUAAUUAGCGUGAUAUUUCAAAAGUGUAGAUCUAUGUUCAUAGAUCAAAAUGGUUAGAACAAUGCUUACUUUUUUUCUUUUAAAUUUGGCAUCUUAAAGAAAUGUUGAACUACACUUUCUUGAUUAUUAUUUGAACAAAAAAAAAAGGUUGUUAAACGAAUAGCAUAGAAAAUGUUGCUAUUUUCUUCAAUUUGAAGUUUGAUCACUAUUGAAAGUUUGUUCUUAAAAAAUGGAUCAUUUGUGGAUUUCAAAGGAUAGAGGACUAAAGGAGUAUGGGGAUGGGGUAGAACAUUUUUAUCACAUUUGCAAUAUAAAAUUCUGCAUAUAAAAACUCCAUUAAAUGUCCAUGCUUGUAGAGUGGUAAUAUGAUAUUUCAUACUCCUCAAAGAUUUCCUCAAAGAUUUCCUCAAAAUAUUAGAGAGCAUAUGUUUUUCUAUAGAAUUAAUCAGAAUUACCAUAUAUGUUAUUGGCAUGGGGAAGCAACUCCAAGUGAACCACCAACUAGAAGGGUAGAACAUUAUAAUAUGGUUCAAUUUAAUGAUGUAGAUAGUACAAUAGAAAUGGUUGAAGUUGUACAAGUUGAAUGUCAAAAUGACCUAAAAUUGCUUGAAAGAUUACUUCAAAUUGUUGAAAAACCUUUUAUAUCCUAGUUGUAGAAAAUUCACACAAUUGUUUGCAUUGGUUAAAUUAUACAACUUGAAAACACACUAUGAGUGGUCUGAUAAAAGCUUUUCAGAGCUUUUAAAAAUGCUUAGAUAUAUGUUGCCUCUAAAUAAUGAGUUACCCUUGUCUAUGUAUGAGACAAAAAUGGCAUUGAAUACAUUAGGAAUGGAAUAAGAAAAAAUACACGCAUGCCCCAUGAUUGUAUACUUUACAGGAAUAAGUUGAAAGAUGCAUUUCAUGUCCUAUCUAUGGAACUUCAAGGUGAAAGGUAGAUAAUAUAGGAACUAAAAAAAUGACAGGAACUCCUGGGAAAGUAAUGUGGUAUUUUCCUCCAAUUCCAAGAUUUAGAAGAAGGUUUCAAUCAUAAAAAAUCGUAAAAGACCUCAUAUGGCAUACCUAAGGAAGAGAUUUAGAUGACAAAAUGUGUUAUCCAGCUGACUCUCUAUCAUAGCUAAUUGAUCAUAAAUGGCCCAACUUUGUUUCAAAACCUAGAAACUUGAGACUUCCCAUUUUAGCAGAUGGUAUAAAAUCCUCACAAUUCAUUGAUUAGCAAAUAUAGUUGUUUGUCCUAAAGAGCUCGAAGCAGCAACUAUGGACAAUGUUUUUUUUAUCAUAAAGAGUAAGUUAUGGGCAACACUAUGGCUGUAAAUAGAGGUAAAACCUUUAACUUGUUUUUAGUUUGAUUUUUCUUUUCUUUCAUAAUGGAAAUAGAAAAUCAUCUAAACAAAUAGGACCUUAAUAAUUUUUUUUUUCUACAAUUUAUUUUUGAAUAAAAUAAUUUAAAAGAUUCCAUUCUUAUAUUUGUUAGACUUUUUUUUAAUGAAGAAAAAAAUAGUCUCCCUUUUAGCAUAUAUAUUAUAUAUGAUUAACAAUGGGUAUAAUAAAAUUUAUUUAAUAAAUAAUUGAUGUGACAUUCUAAAUUGAAAGUCAUAAAUUAGCUCAUUAGUUUGAUGUUGGCCCUAAAACUACAAGACUUGAUUACAUACUUAGAUUUUAUUCUUGAAAUUUAAGAGAUAAUUGAUGUGACAUCUUGAAUUGAAAGUCAUAAAUUAGCUUAUUAGUUUUAUGUUGGCACUAAAACUACAAAACCCAAUUACAUAAAUUUUGUUCUUGAGAAAUGUCAUUAUGGUUCAUAGUAAGGCUUAGUUUGGUGUGUUAGACCAUGCAUGCAUGAUAUCUCUUCACAUUCUCUUGUUUUUUGACAAACAUGCUACCAUACUUAAGGUGUUUGUCAAGGCUCAUCUUGGACUACUCAAAACUUUGGGGUCCUUUCUUUGAGUUCACAAGCUUCUUUCCCCUAGUGUCAACCCCAACUCCCAAAAUCCACUCCUUAGUAGUGCACUGACGAAAUCUACAAAUGCACUAUAAAGUGAGAAUGGCAUCAUGAAAAUGUAUUAAUGCAUCGUAGAUGUGGGAACUUAAAAAUAUAUAUAUAUAUAUAUAUAUAUAUCUAGAGUUUAGACUUGUUUCUAUUAAUUAGAAAUUACUAAGCAAUGAAUCUUGCUAGUGUGGAAAGUACCAAUAGAUUGACCAAGGAAGGUAUAUGUAAAAAAGAUUGACAUUGUCAAUUGGAAAAAUUCCUUUACAAACGUCAACCCUAUCUUCCUAACCAUCAUGGAUGUUGAGAAGUAGAUAUCGAUGACUAUGAUGAGGAUCACAAAGGAUUAUCAUACCAAGGAGUUAGACAUUUGUUGGGUUAUCAACAAUUUUAAUGAGGGUGGUAUUAACUAUUUGGUUGUUGAUAGUGUAUUGCGUAGUUCCACCAAGCCAAUCUGCUCCUGCAUUGAGAUCAAUCUCGAUGAAAAGGUAGCAUAUAUUUUUCAUUUCCUAAUUCUAUCAAUUGCUUCAUGGUGCCUUUGUCUAAUAAGCUUAACAGGUUCUUCUACAUUUUCACCAUUUAAUUCUCUAACGUUCAUCAUGAUAGGGUUGAAAUUUCAUCAUCAAAUCAAAACAUAUCCUCCUAUAAGAGGCCUUUGAAUUCUGAAAUAAUCAAUUCACUUUAUUCUCAUAUUGGCAAAGACAAGCUUACACUAUUGGAAAGACUACCCCUAACCUUUGCCCUCCCAAAUAGCAAAGAUGAGAGAGAACCUUUCACAAAAUCACAAGAAUUAUUCAAGUUUGGAAUUCAUAGGCAUUGUUAUUGAAUUUCAUUUGUAUAAAAUUGGUGUGUUGUGUUUAUUUUGUUGGUAUUAAAAUUGAAUUUUUUUUAAUUGCAAAUUGAUGAUUUUUUUUCUCUCUCACAUUUAUACCCAUUAGAGUUUCUUAUUAGGGUUUGUGUUUGAAAUUUGGAGAAAGUAUGGUGCAAUUGUUCAUCGGUGUGGUGUACCAUUUUGUUUGUUGUAUCUAAUAUUUGGGUAUUUGAUUUAAUUUUAUUGUUGUUGAAAUUGAAAGUUGAAAUCCAAGUUAAUUGUUUAACUAGCUAUUUGUAGUUGACUUGUUUUGCACCAAUCUUGAUUACCCAUUUCAUGGGAAUAAUCGAUUCCAAUUUUCCUUCAUGGUUACUAAAAAUAUAUUGUAGGUGAAGGACUAUUAUGGAGUAUAUUAAUUCACAAGAAAAAUGUUCCUUUAGUUAGUAAAAACUUCAUUCAUGUGGUCAUUUAUGAGCAUCAUAAUAAUCCAUAUUAAAAAUAUUUAAAAACAUUAAUGCACUAAAACAUUGAUUUCAUCAACAAAAAUACACUCAUUCUUUUGACUUAUAGCAUUCAAAGAUGUUUAAAAAUAUAUAUGUACAAUAAAACAUCAUCGAAUUUAUUAACAAUUAAACUUUUAACCCCAAAACAAUCCGUUACUUUAGUAGAUAAGACACUAUUGGAAUAACAUUAUUUUUAGCUCAAGUUAGAAGUUAAAAUGAUAAGGUUAAAAGAACAAAACCAACAAAAAAAAAAAGUUAUUUUUUGUCAAACUUGACACUAGUACAAUUUAAAUAAUGUAGCUCAAUGCCCUAUUGAAUUGAGUCAUAUAACUAGACUCCCUAAUUAUAUAUUAUGAUACACACACAACCUUUGGUCUAGUAUACAUGAUUAAAUUAAAUGCCAACCUAGUUUGCAAAGCUAAACUGGAAUCCCAAAUCUAGUUCAUUAUAAAUACUCUUCAACCAACUUGCUACAACAUUCAAAUAAGACAAUGACAAUGAUAGAAAACCAAAAAAAUACCUAAUAUAUCAUUGAAAACUCCUUCCUAAAGGAGGUAAAAAAAAUCAUGAAGUAACUUUCUUCUAUUAAUAAAAAUGGGAAUACAAUGAUCUAUAUAGUGUUUUAACUCGAAACUGAUGGUAUUACAAAUAUUAAAGAAGAAAUUUAAAACACACACACACACACACACAACAAGCAUGUUGUCAAGCUUAUAAGAGUUGGAGAAAUUUCUCCAUAUAAAUCUUCAAAACAUGAUGGAGAGUAACCUUGACAUUUAAGUCAAUAAUAUACAAGGAAAGACAACCCAAAAAGAUACAACUUUGAGAACAAACUCUCCUUUUUGCUUUUUUACAUAACCUUUUUUUUUUUUUUUUCCUUUUUGAAAACUUCUCUCCUUUCCUCUAAUUGUUACACCAUACAACAAUCCUAAAAAAACAGAGUUUAAAGGCUUGUUUGAUAACUGUUUUUAAAAAUAAUUUUGAAAAAUAGUUUUUGAAAAUUAUUCUCUAAUGUUUAAUUUGUAGAACAAAAGUUUGUUUGGAAACCCAAAAUAUUUUUAACAUGUUUUUAAUGUUGUUAAAUAUGUUUUAAAAAUAAUUUUUAUGUUUAGUAUUUUAUUUUUAAUCAUUUUAUAUGUUUAUAUAAUUAUUUUUUAAGGCAAACCUUAAAAAAUAAGUGAAAAUAACAUAAAACACUUAAAAGAUAUUAUCUGAAAACACCUUAUUUUAUUGUAACAGAAAAUAAAAAGCGGUUUUUGGUUGUCAAACAUGUUUUCUUAAUUUUUUAUUUUGAAGAAUAGAAAUUUGUUCUUGAAAAUAUCUAGUUAUCACAUUAGUUAUUGCCCAUUUUAUGAUUUUAAUUAUUGCUUAAAAACUAGUUUUUCAGCUAAAAAAGAAGGUCCACUACUUAUGGGUCAAACCUUCAACUUUCAAACCCGAACACAAAGUUAUAGUCAAGACUAAUAUUCACAUAUUAGUAUUAAUAUAGUUCAUUAAAUAUGAAUUUCUAUUGAAGCCAAAAUCGAGUUUUUAGGGGAAGUAACAUUCACUUUCAAUUAAGCAAUUUUUAACUCAUAAGUUAGUACUUGUAACAAAAUUUCUUAAUAGAGACUUUAAUUGAGUUUUAAGAAGAAUUUUUUGUUUGUUAAAAACCAAUUCAAACAAAAUCUAAAACUAAUAUUAUUAUCUAAAAGACAUAAUGAACAACAUAAACCAUAAACCAAAGUGGUAGUGACAACCAAUAUGUAGCGUCAAUGAAUAAUUGAAAAUAACCUCAUUUUCUAAUGACCUCGAACCUAGAAGCUCUAAAAUUCUUGCCUAAUUCCUUGUGAUGACUUUGGUUCAACCUUAAUGGCGAGGGCAAAAUUCUAAAUAAUUUUUGUCACAACUCAUAAAUUUAGAAGAAAAAAAUGAGAAUAAAUGGAAUCCCUAAUGAGAAAUUGUUAUUUUUCCCCUUUAUGACAAAAAUAGUAACCUACUAGUAUUAUUAAAUAACAUGGAAAUUAUUAUUUCAACUUUAAUACCAUGUAUGACAUAACUUUAACAACCUUAAUUUAUAAGAUUAUUUAAUUUAAAAGGAUAAAACAAUUACAUAUUCAUAAGAAUCGCUUCUAUUUUUUAAAAACAAUAAAUUCCAUUUUUUGGACAAAAAUACCCUCCAUUGUUUUUAUCAACAUUUCACAAUCAAACACUUAUUGGAAAAAAAAAAGUAUAAGGGUAGCUAUAUUAAAAUGAGGUUAUAAUUAUAAUACUCAAUAAGUGGAGAUUUUUUUUCCAAAUAUUGGGAUCAUCUUCUCCAUUUGACACAAAUAUUUAUAAUUUAUAUUAUAAUUACUCUUAUAGUAAGAGAGAAAGAGUAAUUUCACAUGAAAUGGACCCAUAAACAUAGAUUUAUUAUGAGGCAUGAUACUAUAAUAAUAAUAGGAAAUAAGACGAGACGUGAUACCAUAAUAAUAGAAAAUAAGAUAAGUAAUUCAAUACUUAAUGAAGGUCUGAAAUAAUUAUGUUUCUCAUUAAAUGAUAUUAAAGACGAAAAAAAACUUAUUAAUUUUUAUUUUAAGUAUUAAGAUUAUUUAAUAAAAUUAACUUAAAAUUUAUUUUAAAUUAUCAAAUUGAUAUAUUUAUUUUCAUAGAUUAUAACUAAGGUAAAUGAAAUCAAGUAAUAAUGGAUGUCAUGUAGUGAAAGAGAUCCUAGAGGCAACGGGACAAAUUGUGGUAAAAAAUGUCAAAUAAAAAUACGAACUUAAGAACAAAUUAAUUGUUUGUACUUAUUACUUAAAGUUGUUAUUUAUUUUAUAUUAUUAAAUUAUUUUACUAAAUAUGCUUAAUUUAUUUAAUGACUUAAAUUAAUUUAUUAGUCACUUUAGGCUAUUAAAUCGGGUUUACCAAUCAUAUCGAAUACAUUUGGCUAGUAGGCCAAGACUCAAGAAUAUUGCUAUCAUAUGUUUUAUGUAUUAAGGUGCCAAGAAUAAUUCACCACAAAAUAUAUGAUGAGUUGAUAAGUAUAGGAUACAAUCUAAAAUAUGCACUUGAUUUCAUCAUCUAAAUAAAUGCUCUCGGCAAAUGGAUCAUCCUAGCUGAUACCAGAGCACAAGCCGCCAUGGACAGGAGGCAACGGAGAAACCCUUCUGCUUCUUCUUCUGCCUUUUCAUCUCCAGCUUCAUCCUCAUCGCGUUUCCGCUCAGAGAAAUUCUCCUCGAAUCCCCCAAAAACUAGUAACUCCCUGGAGGAUGCUCACCAAUUGAAAAGCAAAUGUGGGAAGCCACAAAGACCAAAGCAAGAGGAGGAAGGAGAGCAAGAUCCGAACAAUCUUCUCUCCUUAGUUGGAACUUGCCCAUUCAUGUGCCCUGGUAAAAAUGCGUGCUUAUUUUUCCAUUUUUUUAAAAUUCUAUUUUCCUGUUAUUCUGUGUUUGGUUUCCGAGAAAUUGGAGGAAAACAGUAGAAAAGAGAAGUGAAUCUGGAGUUUCUGUGUCAUUUUUGUGGCUUUUACAUAAAUUUUACAAAUAAAAUUGAUAUUUCUCCCCCUUUAUUAGAUACCAAUCUGCAGAAGAUGUAGGAAUCCCAAAAAAAAAUUCGCUUUUGCCUUUACUUCCCCCAAAUCUUUCAUAAUGGAAAAUGGACUUACCACCUCUUUUAUCACUUUUCCUUUACCAUGUCAGGUUUACAUGUAAUCAAACACUGUAUUUGGAGUAGGGCACUUAUUCUAAUGUCAAAUGGUGUUGAAAACUUGAAUUACUGGAUCUUAAGACUCCAGAAGAAAUUUGAUUGUUUAUGAUUAUUGCUCCAUGAGAAGGGAAAGGGAUUUCUUUUGUUUUUGCUCACAUAUAUGGCCAAAUUGAUUUAUCUCCUUCUCAUACGAACAAAAUAAGGACAUUUCUUGUCUUGCUGCCUUUUAUGCCACCGGUUCCACAUGCUGAUGUGACAACCCUUUUGCUAUUCUGUACAAAUGGUAGGAAAAUUCUGGUAAGACUGGUGGCCAGCCUAUCAUGUUCAGGGAAUAAAUUCAUUGUAUAUCUGGAAUUCACUCUAUAUCAGCAUAGGGUGUUGAUACUGAUUAUAAAUGACAAAUUCAAUUUAUUAUCCUUACAUUAGGGAGUGCUAAAAGGAUGCAAAUUGUUCAUGUUAUACCCAAAGACAUACAAGUGAUGCUAGAGAUUUUCACAAUGUGGAUAAUCAUAGAGUAGAGAUGAACACUAUGGAGUCUUUUGGCAUGUGUUCAUUCCAUGUACGGGAACAUGCAUUGGAAGAUUAUGUUUCCUCCUCCCUUCCCCUCCCCAAAGUUAAUACUAUGUUGUCAUGGCAAGAACUUUGGUGACAUGCUUCUGAGUGGAAUAGCCUCCUAGAAGUCCAUUUAUGUGGCAGUUGGCAAGUUCUUCCGGUCAAUGAGAACUUUGUGACUGUCUGAUUGUUGUACUAAUCAUCAUCAGAUUUUUUUUUAAGUUCAAGUUGUAAAUAGCCUUUCACAGUUGAAGGUAGCGAUGAAGAGGCCUGUUGACAUAAUUAUUUCUUCUGCUUGAAUGGAUUAAAAUCAGAUACCACACCUUCAGCCUAGAAAACUAUGGACUUUCCUAUGUACCUGCAAUUGGCUGAAUACUGGUGUGGCACUGACUAAAGGCUCUCUGAUGCUGUUAUUAAUUUCCUGAGCAAAUUAGAGAAAACAGAGAGGUCAUAAUGUGAAUCAGUUACCUCUUGAGUAGGGAUGAAGGCUUUUUAUAACUUUUUACUUUCUGGUUAGGCCUUGGAAGCACUUCUGUGAACCAUGAUUUUGUACUGUAAAAUUAGAUGGGAUGGAUAGGUCACCUUAACUCUACUUUUGGAAGUGAUUGGGGAGCGCAUGACUGUAUGAAUAUUGAUGUGUUCUCCCCAUACAGAGCCCAACUUCUUUUUGAACUAGGAAGCAUGAAGGGUGGGUGGAUGUGGGCUGAGGAAGGAAGAUUUGACUUGUGUGCCGCAGGCCUGCGGUACCAAUUUGUUCCAGAACUUGAUAAGGCCCAUAAACUGGUAGGCAAGUUUCAUUAUUUGGUCACCACUGAAUUUUGGCAGUAUGGCCACAAGGAAGGUAGGAAGGAGAGGGAGAAGAGAAAACCCCAAUUGCCAAUUGCAAGCUUCCGGUUGGCACAGUGCUCAUUGCUGACAUUUUCAUUUGAUUUUGACCUUGCAACAGAUACAGCUUAACAUGAUGGACCAGUUUUUCACAAUCUUGUGAUUCAUUACCCAACUUCUAGUAACAGUUUCUCAGCAGAUGACUCACCUAUGACAGGCUGAUGAUGUCUGCACACAACUUGAAAGGUAUUCAUGCCAAGGUGUGAAAGGUAAUAUUGUGACACCAUUUUGCCUAUUCCAGAAAAUGUAACAAAUGUAUGGCUGGUUCUUGACCUAAAAAUGCUGGCAUUGGUCACCAAGUGCUAGGGUGAUUCUUGACAAAAAAUGUUCGUAUUGUUCAGAACAAUGAUUUACAACUUCAGAUUGGCCAUCCAGUUAACGAUGAUAAUCACUUGUUUUACAAAGUUCAGUGUCAUAAAAGCAAAAUAAUUUUGUCAACAAAUAUGCGGAUAACUUUAUCAUAAUUACUACUUAUGGAAGUUAAGGAUAAGUUGGGUAAUGUGAGAAAGUUUUGGUCAGAGGAUAUGAGGAUAAAUUUGUUGCAAUUGCUAAGCUUCACCUCCUAGGACUACUAGGAGAAACGUAUGAGCAAUAGAACAAAUUUACAGUCCAUCCCCAUUAGCUGCAUGGAGAGGUUGGGCUUAUUGCUGCUAUGGUGGAGGUCACCUUCUUGUAGACUUUGAAAUCUGCGAAUGAAGAGGCAGAUUUCUUAGAGGAAUUGGUAGGACUCCAAGCCCCCCAAAUGACAGGGGGGUGGGGAGGAUGGGGGUGGUGGGGGGCCAUUUCUAAUUUCAUGUCUUCUCAAUGUGGAUUUGAGGUUUAACGAGAUUUUUGGGAAAUCAUUAAGGUUAAAAGUAAUUGAAAGAGUGUGUCUGUGGAGAGCAAGAGGGGGAAAUGUUUGGUUCCCAACUGGGGUUGCUUCAUCUGACCGUUAAUCUCACAGCAAACACCGACGGAGCGUUGUUGUUGGAGGCUUCCAGGUUCUCUGAUCAAUUCUCUUGUUCUUUGUUUUCUUUGGGGAAGCGGGAAACCUCUCUUUCUUCUAUUCCUUCUGGGCGGGAUGGGGAAGGUGUUGCCAUUGCCAGGGUUUCCGAUCAGGGCAGUGGUUUAGAAGCCGUAGGGGGAGCUGUUAUGGGCCCGUUAAGGAUGAUAUUGGCGGAUGGGAGGGAGGCCGAGGUCUCAAAUUUGGCGGGUAGGGAGUUUGGGACUUUCGAGGAGGCGUCAGAGGGGGUUUCGAAAAGGGUCUCCCAAGAGGAUGAAGAAGAGAGGGACAAAGAGGGGGAACUGUGUUGGCAUUCUAGUAGCUUGGCUAAGUUCAGCCGCUAUCUUGGAAUGCCGAUGGAGGGCUUCGAAGGGGAAAUUUUGUUUUUGCUUAAAAGAAUGAAAGAGAAGAAACUUCAAAAAGGAAAGUUGAAUGGCAGAAAAAGGAAAAAAUUGGAGUCAUCAAAAUUCGAAAUAGAAUUGAGAAAGUUGGAAUGGACAGUGAAUUAUCUUGGAGGAGGAGGAGGAGAGGGGGGGGAAGUACGAGCAGGUCUAAAUGAAGCUCCGACUGCUCACUUGGAAUGUAAGAGUGACCAAUAAUUGUGAUAAGAGGAAGGUGAUCAAAGCGUUGAUAAAGAAGAAUAGGGUGGAUCUGGUUUGCCUAUAGGAAACCAAGAUUUAGGAAAUGUCAAUGGGCAUUAUCCGUAGCUAAGGAGUGGGAAGAUUCCUUGAAUGGGGAGCUGUAGAUUCAAGGGCACAGCUGGAGGUAUAGUGGUGUUUUGGGAUAACAGGGUGUUGGAUUUGGUUGACCUUCAAAAAGGAUUGUUCUCUAUUUCUUGCACUUUUAAGAGUUGCGAGGACGGUUUCAUAUGGACGUUUACAAGGGUUUAUGGCCCAACAUUGAGGAGGAAUAGGGAGAGUUUUUGGGAGGAGUUGGGGGCCAUUAAGGGGCUUUGGAAUGGGCCGUGGUGUGUUGUAGGGGAUUUUAAUGCCAUUCUAAGUCCGGAAGAGCGCAACAGAGGAGGGAGCUUGAAUUCAAACAUGAGAAGGUUCUCAGAAGUUAUAGAAGAUCCAGAGUUAAAGGAUCUGCCUAUGGUUGGGGGUCCUUUUACUUGGAUUGGAGGGGUGAAUAACCAGUCUUUUUCAAGGCUGGAUCGUUUUUUGGUUAAUGAGGGGUGGGACAGUCAUUUUGGUGAUGCGAGGCAGUUUGUUCUACCAAGACCUGUGUCCGAUCACUUUCCGGUUCUUCUGGACGGAGGGGGCCUGAGAAGAGGCCCUUCCCCAUUUAGAUUUGAGAAUAUGUGGCUGAAACUGGAAGGUGUUAAGGACCUUUUGAAGCAUUGGUGGGAGGAAGGUAGCUUCAGUGGAUCCCCAAGUUUUAUCUUGGCCGAAAAACUAAAAUUUAUGAAGGCUAAGCUGAAGAAGUGGAACAGAAACACAUUUGGUAGGGUUGAAUAUAGAAAGAAUUUGGCUUUGGAGCAGGUGGAGUUUUGGGAUACCAAGGAGAAAAUUAGCAGACUGUUGUUGGAAGAGCUGGAAGCUAGAAAAGAAGCGAGGGAAGAUUAUAAAAAAUGGGUCUUACUUGAAGAAAUCACGUGGAGGCAAAAAUCUAGGGAAGUGUGGCUGAAAGAAGGGGAUAGAAAUACCGGUUUUUUCCACAAGAUGGCCAAUGCUCACAGGAGGAGGAAUAAUGUGGACAGAAUUAAGAUUAAUGGAGCCUAGCUUACAUAGGAGAAUGGAAUUAGGGAAGGGAUUGCCAAUGCUUUUAGGUUGUUGUUGUCCAAUCCGGGGGAAUGGCGCCCUUCUAUUUUCGAGCUGCAGUUUGAGACUUUGGAGCCUUUGGACGCUAGUGCCUUGGAGAUUCAUUUUUCGGAAGAGGAGGUCUUCGAUGCACUAUUGGGCUGUAAUGGGGAUAAAGCCCCGGGGCCAGAUGGAUUCUCUAUGACCUUUUGGCAAUUUGCUUGGGAUUUCGUGAAGGCUGAUGUGAUGUGUUUCUUCAAGGAGUUCAAUGAAAAUGGCAAAUUUGUUAAAAGCCUAAAUGCAACUUUUAUGGUCCUAAUCCCAAAAAAAGCAGGGGUUGAAGCCUUAGGGGAUUUUAGGCCUAUAAGCUUGGUGGGAAGCUUGUACAAGUGGCUGGCCAAGGUCUUAGCUAAUAGGCUAAAAAAGGUGGUUGGAAAGGUGGUCUCCAAGGCUCAAGGGGCGUUUGUGGAAGGUAGACAAAUCCUAGAUGCAGUGUUGAUAGCUAAUGAAGCCAUUGAUUUGGUUCUCAAGAAUAAUGAGAAUGGCAUUCUGUGCAAACUGGAUAUAGAGAAGGCGUAUGAUAACAUGGACUGGACUUUUAUUCUCACAGUUAUGCAGAAAAUGGGUUUUGGGGAAAAAUGGAUCAGGUGGAUUAAGUGGUGUAUAUCCACUGCAGGUUUCUCCGUGUUGGUCAAUGAAACCCCUACGGGUUUCUUCCAAAGCUCCAAGGGUUUGAGACAGGGUGAUCCCCUUUCCCCUUAUCUCUUUGUGAUAGUUAUGGAGGUCUUUAGUGCUUUUCUUAAAAGGGCUGUAGAGGGAGGUUUCUUAUCGGGUUGUAGGGUGAAGGGUAGGAGUGAAGAAGGGGUCCUAAUUUCCCACUUGUUGUUUGCUGAUGAUACACUGGUGUUCUGUAAACCUUCACAAGAUCAAUUGACUUAUCUCAGUUGGUUACUUAUGUGGUUUGAGGCCGUUUCGGGAUUGAGAAUAAAUUUGAAAAAAAGUGAACUCAUUCUAGUAGGGAGGGUAGAGAAUAUGGAUGAUCUUGCUUGGGAAUUUGGUUGUAGACUGGGUAGCCUUCCAACCACCUAUUUGGGGAUGCCCUUGGGUGCUCUUUUUAAGUCAGUUACAGUUUGGGAUGGUGUGGAAGAGCGCUUCUGAAGAAGGUUAGCCAUGUGGAAGAGACAAUAUUUAUCCAAGGGAGGAGGGCGACUCUUAUUCGAAGCAUGUUAUCGAAUUUACCCAUCUAUCUCAUGUCAUUGUUGUGCUUACCAAGCUCAAUUAGACGGAGAUUAGAGAAAAUCCAAAGGGACUUCCUUUGGGGUGCAAUUUGGAGCGAAAGCCUCAUUUAGUAAGAUGGGAGUUGGUGUGUUUAAGUAAGAAGAAAGGAGGUUUGGGGGUCAAAUGCCUUUCCAUUCUCAACAAGGCUCUUCUUGCUAAAUGGAAUUGGCGUUUUGCAAAUGAGAGAGAAGCUUUGUGGAAUCAAGUGAUUAGGGGGAAGUAUGGAGAAGAUAGAGGGGGUUGGUGCUCUCGGGAAGUGAGAGAGGCUCAUGGUAUGGGGUUGUGGAAAGGAAUAAGGAUGGAUUGAGAGUUGGUGAGCGAUAGGAUGGUUUUCAUUGUUAGUAAUGGGAGGAGGGUGAGAUUUUGAAGGGAUAGAUGGUGCGGGGAUUCUCCUUUGUGUAUGUCUUUUUCUUCUCUUUUUGAUUUGACUGUUGAAAAGAAAGCGUGGGUGGCAGAUUUUGGGACCCUUUGGCUAAGGGGGGUUUGGGGGGGGGGGGGGGGGUGGGAACCCCGUUUUUUAAAACUUUUCAAGAUUUGGGGGGAGAGGGAGGGGAAAAAUUUUUUGCGAAGGUUUCUGGUUAAAAAAUUUUUUGGGNNNNNNNNNNNNNNNNNNNNNNNNNNNNNNNNNNNNNNNNNNNNNNNNNNNNNNNNNNNNNNNNNNNNNNNNNNNNNNNNNNNNNNNNNNNNNNNNNNNNAAAAAAAGGGUGGGGGGGCAAUUUUUGGGCCCUUUUGGUUAAGGGGGUUUGGGGGGGGGGGGGGGGGUUGGAACCCCUGUUUUUAAGAGCUUUCAAUGAUUGGGAGGUAGAGGAGGCGGAAAGAUUUUUGCAGAGGCUUCAUGGUAAGAGAGUUAUUGAGGAUGUGGAGGAUAUGGUGUCUUGGACUGAAACUAAGAGUGGUAAAUUCUCGGUCAAGUCUCUUUAUGUUGCCCUUGAAGCGGGUUGUUCAUCUCUGUUUCCUUUAAGCUAUAUUUGGAAUGUGAAUGUGCAGCCCAAGAUUAGUUUCUUUACAUGGGAGGCUACGUGGGGCAAAGCCUUAACCUUGGAUAUGGUCCAGAAAAGAGGACGGGCAUUGGCAAAUAGAUGCUUUAUGUGUCUUGAGAAAGAGGAGACCAUAAACCAUCUGCUCCUUCAUUGUUCAAGAACAAGGGUGUUAUGGGAUCUACUUUUUACUUUAUUUGGGGUGUCUUGGGUAUUGCCUUCUUCAGUUAGAGAGACCCUUCUAAGCUGGAAUGGUUUUUUCGUGGGCAAAAAAUGCAAAAAGGCGUGGAGAGUUGCUCCUCUUUACAUUUUCUGGACGGUUUGGAAGGCGAGGAAUAGAUUGGCUUUCAAGGAUGAUAUGUUGUCAAUUUAGCAACUGAAACACUCUUUUAUCCUUUCUUUUUGGUCCGAGAUUAAGUUGUUUAUAGAUGAUUGCCCUCUAACUAUAGCUAAUUUUAUUGAUUGGUUGGGCUCUAAGUAGGAUUGGGUUGUUGGGCUAUCUUUGUUUUUUAGCCUUGUUGGAGGCGGGUGUAUAGGUAUUGUAUACCUUGAGUCACUUUUUUAGCGUUUCUUUUAUAUAUGAAAUCUUAUUUACUUAUCAAAAAAAAAAAAAAUGUAAUCGAAGACUUUCACAUUAAUGAGGUAAUGAAUAACCACUGAUACUUCUUCACCCCAAAGUUCCUUCACAAAAAUUUGGUAAGUGAAGAACCAUUUCUGAGUUGUGAAGCACCAAUUCCACCUUCAUUAUCUUGAUCUUUAGAAAGAGGGAUCCAACUUGAUUUGGGAUUUUAUACCUGUCAACCCAGUCACUAAUUUUUAGGAGAAUACUUCCAAUUUACCCUUGGGUUGCUUUAGAAAGUUUCUUAAUAGUGCCAUCUCUCUAGCUUAAGGGGCUUUUGUUAAUGGAAGGCAAAUACUAGAUGUGGUUAUCAUUAGUAAUGAAAUCCUAGACAAAUACUAGAUGUGGUUGUCAUUAGUAAUGAAAUCCUAGAUGAAAAAUUCUGUUCUAAGGACGAAGGGAUGGUUUUUAAAAUAGGUUUUGAGGAAGUUUAUGAUCACAUAGAUUGGGGUUUCAUGUAUGAUACAUACUUUGAAUAGGGAAGGCCUUGAACCUGGAUGGCACAAAGGGACUGGAUAUUUUGAGGUUGUUUUUCAAACUGCAGGCUCUUUAAUGGUGUUAUUGAAGCUGAGUGUUUAGCACUCGAGGAAGAUUCGGAUAUGGUUGUUUGCCUGGAUGUAAUGAACCUCCAUAUUGAAGGGGAUUCCUUUGUUAUUGUCUCAAAACCUUCUUUGAAGGCAAAGGUCCUUAGUGGAUUGCUCAUCAGAUGGGGUGGCUUCAUAAUCAUGCUAGAGACAUUGCUUGUUCUUCUCUAUUGAGGCCCAGAUCAGCUAGCCAGGUGCAUGGCUAUAUUUUUCUUAUAGGGAUGCUAAUAUCUGAAAAUUUUUAUUGAGAACACUUACUGCUCUUUGAUUGGUUUGAGGCAUGGAGUGGCUUUUCUGUUCUCUUCUUGCCAUACAUGCAUAUCAUCCCUCUUUUUUAUCUUGUUUAACUCAAUAAAUUCUCAUUUGUUAUAAGGAAAAAAAGAGAUAUUAUGUUACAUGAUGGAAGGACUUUAUUCUGUUAUGGAAUAGGCAAAACCUAGAUCUAUUGGCUAGAGCUAUACAGUAGGUUGUUGGGCUGUUCAGCAUUGUCUUUUUUUUGGAUAGGUUUGGCCAAUGCCCCUUGAUGUUACUUUUUGGUAAUGUAAUUUUCUUUGAUUUUUCUUGAAAAUUCCUCAUUUUUCAAGCUUGCUUGUAUAUCUUUCCUUCUUCCAUUAAUGAUUGUUUGAUUCCUUACUAAAAUAAAUAACAAAUUAUGAUGCAAAAGGAUUACGUUUAUGGAAAAUUUUGAGAUUUUCACCAUAUUAGAGUCUCUGAAGUUGGUACUUGUCUUGACACAGAUAAUAGGAAUCAUUUUCCCCCCAAACUACAUAAGACAUGUCUGCUACUUGGUAAUGUUCCAUUGGCAGUUAUAAACUCUCCUGUCAAAAGUGAAUCUGUUGUAGCAUUCCAAAUGGUGUAGUGUCGUACAUAGAUUGGUAAUUGAGGACUUUAUUAUGGAUUUUGUCCUGUUGUGGUUGUGCCAACAAGUUCUAUCCUGUUCUUUGUCUUGCUGAUUUGGGUGGUUGUGCAUCAUGUUCCUACAGCUGUAUAAUUAUGCUUCAGGAGCAUAGUUAUUCUGGUUUUACCAUCCAGAUGAUGGUAUUAAAGUAUUUGUAUUCUAGAUUGCGCAACUCCUUAUAUGGGAUAUUUUUGCACCAAAUGCUUAGUGAUCAAGAGAACUCUCAUAUUAAACACAGUCAUCUUCUAUUAAACUAAAUUCCUUAAGUAUGCAGUCUCACAACUACAUCAUACCAUUCUUUUCCUUUUUUAUUCCUUUCUUGCUAUUACAGGUUGGUUGCCACUAAUAUAGUAGAAAGCAAAUUACACGACCCUGCUUCCAUAAGACCUUUCUUAUUCCAUAGGUUGAAAUAGAAAAAACACUCGAUGGGACUAAUGUUUCUCUUUGCAACCAAGCAAAUUAAAAUGUUUUGAAACCCAUGCUGCCAUGAUCUUAGCUAAUUUGCAUUUUAUAUCUCUACCCCUUUCUAUUUACCAUAAUGAUGCAUGCAUCUAGUCAAAUUGUGUAUUUCUUAUGCUUAUAUUUAUUUCCUGAUGAGUUUAUUCUGACUCUUUGAUCAGGAUUUCUGCAAUCACAUUGCUUGCUAUUGAAUUUUCAAUGGCUUAAUAUGAAUUAUUAAUAAAGAUGUUGUUUAAUUAUUUCAGCAGCUUAUACUUGGUAAUUUCUUUUAACAACUCUUAUCUCUGAUGUUCAUUUGUAAUAUAUAGCUGGAGAAAGGGCCCAACGUGAACGCCUUCGGGACUUGGCUGUGUUUGAGAGGUUACAUGGAAAUCCUGGGAAAACAUCUCCAAGCCUUGCUGUCAAAAAGGUAAACCCUACAUCUCAUUCCUCUAUACCGCAUCUUAGCUUCUCAUCUUGCAUCGGACAAUGAUACUCUUAUUGAAUCAUCUUUACCAUAUCAGCCAUCAACAUGUGCACUUAUUGAGCGCUAAUUCAGGCACUGAUACUUGUGCUUUUGUUUUGUUUUGUUUUAUCUUGUCUUGUUUUGUUUUGGAGGUGAUUGUGUUGGAUGACCUAUAUCUGUGUUAGACACCAAAGCCUAUCUUAAUGCUACUGUAAAGUAAGACUAUGCUAAUAAGCUAUUGAUCUGUUACAGGGUUUAUGCCAAACUGAUUUUUUAGUUUCUCUAGUAGAAAACUUGUUUUUUCCCCUGUUAUAUCGGUGCUAUUGUUGGAUUUGUGUUUGUUGUUGAUCAAGCAUUUGCUGAAACCUUUUUUUUUUUCCUUUGCUUCUUGAUGUGCAAAGCAUUAUUGUUUGAAUUUUAAUGAUCCCAUUUGAUUCACUAUUCAAUAUUUUUAUUUGAUAUUACAUCUAUCUCAUUUGUUUUCUUUUCUUAGUUUGUUUGUUUGUUUUUUUUUUUUUUUUUUUUUUGAAUUUGUGACAUUUGAAUUUGAUGGAGCCACCAUUAAUUUAUUUUUCCUUAUUAUUGUGGGGUGUGCUUUAUUUUGUUCAAUUGUUGUUGCACUAUUAUUGUCAUGUAACUUUUCUUUUUUGUUUUGUUUCUAUUGUUCCUAUGAGCAUUAAAUGCUUCUAAAAUGUAUGGAACAGGCUAAACCUUUCUAUAGUUUUUUUAAAAAAAAAACUCAUUUAUUAUCUAUUUUCUUGUGCUCAAAAAAUUAUAUUUUUUUAGUAAAAUUGAAAAUUUAGGGAGCGCUUAGGCCUCAGCGGCUCAACCCCUUGAGGGUUUAGGCCUGUCAUAGCAAGAUGUAAACCCCCUUGCCUCUUAUGCUUUUACCUUAUGAAACUAUACCAAGAAACAAACACCACAACUCCCUGCUGCCAUCAAAGGAUACUUCAAAGUUUGCUUCAAAUCAAUCUUAAGGCCAAUUAUCAUAGGCUUGUCAUCAUGUCACUAAAAUUGGUAUUGUAACCAAAGUCCUAUUGCGAAAUCUUCAAGUUGCAGCUCCUCCUUUUCUGUUGGCUCUUGUAUUGUUAGGUGGCCGCAACCUGUUGCUUUUCUUAUGCUUUAUGAACUACUCCAGUUAAAAUAAUGCUUCAAGUAGAUGCUUUCUGGAUCUUGAUUCUAGCAAGAGGCUUAUAUUGCAAAUUUUUUUGUGGAGUCCUAGAUAGGUUAACUAGGAAGACAAUAGCUUGCUUAAGAGGAUUGCCACCUCUCCUUUUGGGUUUGUAAAAAUUUUGGUUCUCCCUUGACCUUGGGAGUCCUAUGGUUUCAAUUUUGGAUGUGCUCUAGGUUGUAGCCUGUGUUAUGCUUUCUAAAUGGUAAUCUUCUUCUUGUUUUAGCUGGGAUGCUUUUGUUUAUUUUGCUCGUUUGUUUUCUUUGUUUCUUUAUUGUGGCUGUAGGAUCACCAAUCAACUUUUUAUUCUCUGCAAAAACUGUUUAUGUUUCAUAACGAAAAAGGAAAAAACAAAGGCAAGUUAGCCUAGAAUAGGUUUUAUCUUGUUUCUUCUUUUACCAUUAGUGUGGAUUCAAACUCAGGAAGAGGCCUUCAAACAAGUGGCAUUUGUGUUUUUUAAACAUAUAUCUUUAUUCAAUCAUUGUUAAGUGUUUGUUGUCUUGUCUGUUCUUUUGGUUGUUUUUGUCUUUGUCAAAGUGUAUAAUUAUAAUAUCCCACAUUGUAUAGAGGAAAAAGUUUCUAACGCUAUAUAUGUAUGAACUUUUUUUAAUCUUGUUGAUUCGUUUUUAAGCCGCGAGGGUCGUUUAGGCUCAAAGCAAAUAAUAUCCACACAACUGGGAGUAGGUUGUUACAAAUGGUAUCAAAGUCAAUCCUCGACCUUGGUAGGAGAGUUUGCUUGGCCUAAAAUGGGUGUCCGUUUAUUUGACCUUACAAUCCUAUGGGACACAAUAAGGACGUUGUGUCUGCAUGAGAGGGUGAUUGUAAUAUCCUACAUUACAUAGGGGAAAAAGUUCCUAACGUUAUAUAUCAUAGUUUUAAAAGGCUCAAGGCGCACCAAGGCGCAAAGUAGUCCUGGAGCCUGAGGCGCAAGGCGCAUCUAAGGCGCGGGCUUUAGUGAAGUGAGGCGCACCCUAAUUUACAUAUAUAUUUUUAUAUAAUAUAAUCAAAUUUAACAAUCAUUUAUUUGUCCUAAACACAUAAAUCAUCAAAUAUCAUCCAAAACUUCAAUUUAAUAAACAAAAAACAUAAAAAUAAAGAACUCCAAGCAUAAAAACAAAUCCAAAUCCAUAUUGCUAAUUGCCUAAUACAUAUCCAAAUCCAAAGUUUCCAAACCUAAAGGUCCAAAACAUGAAAUUUGUCCACAAUUCAAAAACAUCAUUAAAAAACACUUAAAUCACAAAUUUGUCCACAACAAGCAAUCAUCACUCCUCCUCUAAAUCAACAAAAUCAUCAUCAUCAUCAUUUCCAUCACCACAUUUGUAGCCUUCCCCAUCUUCUUCAUCUGCUGAAUUAACCAUGUCUCCAUCUUCAUCUUCAUCUAUUAGUGAAUAAGAAGGCAAAGUUCUAGAACUUGAAGCUAUCCCCCUUGUUGGUGGUAUUAUGCUUGAGCUUGCUCUAGCUCUAGCUCUAGUAUCAAACCUGGCCUCCUCAUCUCCAGCAGCUCUAGCAACAUCACCCCAUGUCAAAUUGUCAUCAUCAAAUACAAAAUCAUCUUGUGCACCUCCAUGAGAAUCCUCAUCUUCCAUUCUCCCUAUCAACCAUUCAUUGCUAUCAUCUAUAUCUUUCAAGGAAAUUGGGUCAAUGGUGUUACGUUCAUUGUAUCUUCUCUUCAAGGCUCGAUUAUACUUGAUGUACACCAAAUCAUUCAAGCGUUGAUGAUCUAACCUAUUUCUCCUCUUGCUAUGAAUCUGCAAAAAUUCAUAAGCUCAUAAAUAUAUUUUAAAAUUUUAACUUUUAAGUUACAUUCAAGACUCUAUUAGACUAUUACUUGUAAUUAUUUUGGAUUUGGUCACUCACAUUCUCAAAGAUGCUCCAAUUCCGUUCACAACCCGAUGCACUGCAUGUUAAGUUGAGGACUUUCAUUGCAAACUUUUGCAAAUUUGGAGCUGAAGCUCCAUAUGCAGCCCACCAUUCAGCUGUAGUAUAGAUAUUAACAAUUUAGUGAAACAAUUCACCUAUUUUAGCAAAAAUACAAUCUAAUCAUUUAAAUAAACAAAACUAAAUAACUAACCUGGUGCUCUAGUCUUUCUUGUCCUAACAGCUAACUCAUUCCCGAAUAGUCCUUGGGCAUUUGUGAACAAACUCACUUCGGCCACAACUUUUUCUUGCUUAGCAGGGUCUCUUGUUAGCCUUAAGAUGCAUUUAUACAAAUCACUCAUAAUCUCGGCAUCAUGCUCUAUUUCUGGCUUAUCAUAGAAGAAUUCCGGGUUCAAAAAGUACCCUGCUGCAUGCAAAGGCCGAUGAAGCUGAAUCUCCCACCUCUUAUCAAUGAUGUUGAAGAUUUCUUUGUACUUCUCUUCAUUUCCAUUAAAACUUCUCACAAUUGCAUCCUUAGCUCUAUUCAUGGCCUCAUAGAUGUAUCCCAUAGGAGCUUUUUUUUCACCAUCAACCAAACGAAGCACACGAACUAGGGGACCCGAAACCUUUAAGCAAAACACAAUAGUGUUCCAAAAUGAAGGCAUUAGAACUAUGUUGGCUAUAGUUUUCCCCUUCUACUCUUUUGCCCAUUUACUAUCUAACCAAUCUGAGCUUGUAAACAUCUUCCUCAAAUUGUUUUUUUGUUCAUGCAAUCGCGAUAAUGUGAUGAAAGCAGUUGCAAACCGAGUCUUAGCAGGCCUAAGCAAUUCCCUUUGUCCAGUAAACCGCCUCAUCAUGUUGAGUAGCCCUGAGCGAUUAUAAAUAUACCGAUUUAGUGAUAUAGCCCUCUCCAAUGUCCUCUUGAUGUUUGGUAGCUUUCCAAUAUCUUCCAACAUCAAGUCAAGGCAAUGUGCAGCACAUGGUGUCCACUACAAAUGUGGACGCUUUAAUUCUAACAACCUCCCUAUAUGAAAUUGUAGAUAAUAAAUUUACAUAAGUUCUCAAGAUAAAUAAUUCAAAUUUUAAAAGUAAAUAAAAAUUCAAGAAAUAGUAUUUAUUACUUGCUAUCACAUAACUUGAGUGAUUAUCUGUUAUAACUUGAAUAACAUUCUCUUCACCAACUUGCUCUACCCAUUUGUCAAGUAAUUCAAACAUCUUUUCUCCCGUCUUAAUCAUUGAAGAAGCAUCAAUGGAUUGCAUGAACAUGGUUCCCUUUGAACAAUUAACCAAAAAGUUCACCAAAGUUCUCUCUUUCCUAUCGGUCCAUCCAUCCGACAUAAUUGAACAUCCAUUUUUCCCCCAUUCCACCAUAUGAUCUUUCAUCAAAUCUUUUGUGAGAGCCAAUUCUUUCUUAAGGUUAGUAACUCUUACCUCAUGAAAAGUUGGUCCCUUCAUACCCACACCAUAUUGGCCAAUAGUCUCAAUCAUUGGUUGGAAACUCGGAUAUGUGACUGCAUUAAAUGGAAUAGCAGCCUCAUACAUCCAUCUUGUGAUAAGCGUGCAAGCUCUUUCUCUUGCUUCCUUUUUGUAGGCAUCAUUGAUGGUAGUUUGAUUCAUCUUUCCACUCCUUUGAUUUUGAACAACCAUCUCUGCAUUAGGAGUGAAAAAAUGAUCCAUAGGACCUUUUUGUCUUGGUUUUUUUGAAGAAAACGUCCUACCACUACUUCCUCCUCGGUUACUACCUCCACUAGAAAUGUUGGUGACAUUCGUUCUACUAUUAAUCUCCUCACCAAUAUCUUCAUCUUCCAAACCAAACAAAUCUUCAUUAACAUAUUCGCUCCCCAUAUUCAUUUGCUCUUUUUGAUUUUUCUUGGAACUCAUAUACUCUUCCAUUUCUUCUCUAACAUGUUCCGGACAUUUUCUAAACUUUUUAGCAUUUCUAUAUCCACCAACAAGAUGUUGUUUGUGUCUAUAGAUGCCUCCUUUGGUUACUUUCUCACAAAAAAUGCAUAUGAUGGUGUUCAAAUCUUUUUCAUUAACCAAACGACCAUAUUUCCACCCCGGAUCUCUUCUUCCACUUGCACUAGAGUCCACUUGAGUUUCACUCUCAUUAUCCAUCUUGCAAACAAAUUAUCUAUACUCCACAAUAAAAUAAUUAUAAUUAAAUUAAGAAAAAAAAUUGAAAAAAAAAUGCAUAUCACAUUAUCAAAUAUCACAUUAACAACAAAUAUGCAUGAGUGCUUUUUAUUUAUUUAUUUUUAUUUUGUAAAAUUUUCAUGUCAAAAACUCAAAAUAUAAUAUUUAUUUUUAAAAAAAAAAAAUUACCAAUGAGAGUUAUGAGGUAAGAAUGGAAAAAAAUGCAGAAAAGUGAAGAAAAAAGAAAAAUACCGAGGUUCGGAAGGUACGUGACUAUUUCCCCUAUUUUUCUUCUUCUUUUUCUUCUUCUUCUUCACUUCUCCAGCACAGAAGAGGCUAAGGCAAAAAAUGGCAGUGGUCUCGGGUUGAGAAAGACCAGAAAAGGGGGCUGGAUGGAAGGAACAAGUCAAAACGGCGUCGUUUUGGUCCCUGUUCACUUAAAUGAACAGGCUCCAAAACGACGUCGUUUUGGGCCCAAAAAAAAAAAAAAAAAAAAAGCUAGGGCUGCGGGGCGUCUCUGCAACCCGACUGGAGGAGGAAGAAGAAGAAGAAGAAGAACAAGGAGAAGGAGAAGGAGGAGUGCGUACCUGGUCGGACCGUCGGAGGCGACUCGGGCGAUCGCCUCGCGCCUUGCUGGAGGCGAGCGCCUUGCGCGCCUAAGCGGCGCCUUCGUGAAGGGGCGUCGCCUCUCUUCAGGCGAGGCGCCGAGGGUGGCGUCGGGCCGCCCCGAGCCUAGGCGCGCCUUUCAGAACUAUGUUAUAUAUAUAUAUAUAUAUAUAUAUAUAUAUAUAUAUAUAUAUAUAUAUAUAUAUAUAUACUCCUCUUAACCUUGUACACGUAUUUUAAAGUCAUGAAGACCACUUGAGCAUAGGAUGGAUAAUAUCUAUACGGUUGGAUGCAGGUUGUUACAAUAAUUACUUUUGAUUUUCCUUUCAUAUGUUUAAUUGCAUAACAUUAUUAUAGCAAAAUAUUAAUCUAUCAUAAUGCAACGUCUUGUAAAGCUUAUGUUGGGUGUCAUGAUUUGAUCUCUUGUCAUUUUUAUUAUUCUGAUUCAACAUCAUCUUAGCUUAUAAUCAUUUAUACACUUGAUGCAUGAGAAAUGAAGAUGCUAUAAAUUGUAGGAUCUUUUUCUCCAAUUUGUUCCUUGAUAUUUUAUAAUGCCAUGAAAUGUCUAUAUUUUGAUGCAGAAAGCCGUUCACACUCCAUCUCUCUCACUAGUUUUGCAGAACCAUUGCCACUAAGCACAUGCAGGCGUCAGAUGUGCGGCCACUUCCAGUGUUGGAAGAGACUUUGAACUACCUAUUAAACCUGUUGGAUGCCACAGAACAUCCUUUUGAAGUGGUUCAUGAUUUCGUCUUUGAUAGGACAAGAUCAAUAAGACAAGAUCUUAGCAUGCAGAAUAUCAUUAAUGAUCAAACAAUUCAUAUGUUUGAAGAAAUGGUAUGAAUUUCUUGAAACAUAAUCUCAAUUACCUUUUUUUCUGAGCAUUCAUCUCCUCAACAUACAAUAAGUUAGCCAACCCAUUGCUAAACACUCUCCUAGUUGGAGAAAAUAAUCAAAGUAUACAAGAGAUAAAAUGUUGAAUAAUUGAGUCAUUAUCCUCUCUUUUUGCUUUAUUGAAUAAGAUAAUUUAUUCGAUGGAGUCCAAAUGAGGUGAAACUGUGAUCACACAACUUGAAGCCUACUUUACAAUGGAUAAAUGAAUGGUCUGAUUUUGAAUCUUUCUUGGCACAUUAGUUAUUAUCCAAUCCAUUCUAAUUAAAUUAUCCACUAUUAAGUGUCUAUUUCCAGUCACCCUCUAAGUUAUGAAAGACCCAUAGAACCAAAGCAACUCACACCACCUGUGAUAGGAAUUGGUGCUCUCUUCCAUAAUGUCAAGUUUUCCAGUACACUUGCUGACUUUGUAGAAUAUGCCUACAAAAAGGGCUGCCACCUCCUAAUUCCCAAUCAUAGAAGUUUCUUAACCAUAUUUCAAAAGUUGUAUUUCCUGUUCCCUCUCUUAAAGUUUUUUAAACCUAUAUAUCUUUAUCCUAGUAAUUCGGAAAAAUGAGGAAAUUAUUUAACAAGAACUCCAUCAAUUUGUUCCUCAAAAUUUUAUAUAGUUUCUCUCUCUCACUUUUGAUUCAAAUUCUUGAAGCAAAGGAACAAAUUCAUGGCCAGUAACAUUUUUAGCCAAGCAAUAGAAUGCACGACAAGCAUGUAUAUGAAUGAAUUGUGUUUUUUAAUGAUAAUAGAUCAGAUAUUUUAAUCUCAUCCUAAAACCUUUGAGUUAACUAAAAGCCGCAUCUUAUGUUCUGACUUGUGGUUUGUUUCAUAAUAUAGGUGAAAUUUCAUAUUAUAUCCCACCACAAGCUUCACAGUUGUAGCAGCAAGCCAAGUUUUUCUUCAGUUCAUUACCUCAAUAUGGAGCAGCUGAAAAAGUGUCUAAUAUCUCUAUAUGCUCUAUACAAAGAAAAUCGAAAUUCAAAUUCUAUUUACAAGAAUGAACCUGAGUUCUACUCAUUUCACGUUCUUCUUCAUCUUGGCUCUAACAACCAACCAUUGGUGGAUACUUGCUUCCGUUGUUUGUUUGAGUUCAUCUUUUUCAGUAUCUCUUGCUGCCUUGUACUGGUUUCUGAAUAUGUUACUAUUUCUGUUUUGAAGGGAGAGUCACUCUCUUUGUGGUUGGGUCGUGUACCUUCUCUCAUUUUAAAGUCAAAGGAAAUGUGUUUUGCUCGGAGACUUUUAAGGUGACCGUAAAGCUAUUAUAGAUUCGACUUGCAUUUAAAUUGUUUAUAUUCAUUUUACAUUUAACUCAAUGUAGAGUGGUUCUGUUUUCCAAUCGAUUUUUUUCUCUUCUUUUAGUACCCAAUGUUAAAAAUUUUGUUUUCAUGAACUGAAAGAUCUGUCUUUUCUUGUAACAGAUUAUUUCGGAUGGGCAAUUAUAAGCGUUUCCUUUGUACUACAGCAACUGAGGCAUCUUAUUUACAGUACUACAUAAUUGAACCUUACAUCAAUGAGGUUGCUUAAAUAUGUUGAUUUUGCUAGAUUUUUCAGUUUGAAAAAUAUAUGCUUCUUUGUUCAUUUAUUGUUUUCCAAUUUCAUUUAUGAGAAUAUAUCUAAAAUCUAGACUCGAGUACUUGUGCUUUUGGGUUUUAUUUUUCUUUCAUUUUUGUUAGUAGUUGUACUUCAUUAUUCUUAAAUUUCUCACAGUUGUUUCUUUAUGUGGUUUAUUGCUCCUCACUUUCUUCAUUCAUCUGAAGUGUUCAAAUUCAAUUUGCUUGUUUCAUAAACCAGGUCUUAUUUAGAAGUUCUUCUCAAUUGCCUUUUUUAGUGCUUUUAAAGGACAUGCCUGAUUUAUAUAUAUUUUUGUUGGUUUUCUUUUGACCGUAAAAGGUUCGAGCAUUGGCAUUGUCAUGUGUAAAUUAUUGUGGCUACAAACUUCAUCCGUAUCCAAUUGCACACUUGUCCAAACUCUUGAUGAUGAAGGUAUGAUUGCAUUUACUAGCAUUAAAUUGCUAAAAUUUGUCAUCCAAAGUUCCAAUAUCUUUUGAACCUUGAAGGCUUCAUUUGCAUUUUUGUAGGAAUUAGAUGUGGAAUCAUUUUGCAAUGCUUGUGGUCUUGAGACCAGCACUGAUGAACGGGGAAAUAAGUUCUUAUCAACCAAGCAAACAAACUUCCAUUAUCCCAAGGAAGUCUUUCCAAGCUAUUGCCUUCUGGGUUUGGAACACUUUUAGAGGUAACAAUCAAUUGGAACUAGUUACUCUUUCAAACUUCUUAUUGUACAAAUAUAACCUGCAUGUGCAACCAUUUCUGAUCCCAUAAUUUCAAGAAUUUAUGACACCUUCUAGUGGUUAGUUUUUCUGGGAAUAGAGUAAAGCAAUCUAUUCACUCCCAGAAACUAUCGUCAAAGGAACAGUAGAUAACCCCGCAAGACCAAAUUUAUGUGUGUGCAUGGAGAUGCAUGUUUUCUGCAUCCCAAUCAUGCAGUGUUGUGCCAAAUGGAAUAAUAGCAGCUGAUGAUAAGUGGUAUUUCUAAAAUCUUCUAAGAGUAUUCCAUCUAUUGUAAUAUUGUUUUCUCAAAAUUGUCUUUGAGUCUUAUAUGUAAAUAUUAGACUUGACCUCUUGUAAGCUAUCAACUGAUGUUGUAACUUAACUUGAAAGGGAAAUUCUAUAAAUUUAGCCUUGGUUUGGCUGUUGGAAAGCAAAGAAAAAUUAGGUUAAUAGUGAGUUGAUUUCUUCCCUUCCCAUGGAUGUAAGCACAUUCUUGAAUCAUGUUAAUUACUUUUUGGUUUAUUUUGUUGUUUUGUUGUUUUGUUGUUUAUUGUUCAAUUGUCUCCGCAUAACAAGUGGUAUCAGAGUUGUUUCCAACACAACAGAUGAUUCCUGUGCUAACACAAAGUUUGAGGCUAAACGUAAGAUGGUAAAAGUUUCUAGAAUAUUUCCCUAUGACAACUGCCAAUAAAGGAUGUACUUAACAGAAAGUUCAUAAGGUGUUACAUGGCAAGUUGAACAAAACCAAUAGCUAGAGAUAUCUGAAAUAUUUGGGGCCACUGAUCCAACAAUAGCAGAGAAUAACACAAGAAGAGACCCUCUAAUCACCAUUUUUUCUUUGAUUCUUCUCUACAAAGCAUCAUCUUCUUUAUACAAAAAGACAACCCAUUGCUGAGCCCACAUUAUUCUCUACAUAUCCCAAAAAAGCCCUCUAAAUUUUAGGGCAUGGUGCUCUUUUUAGGGGUAUUUUGGUACUAAAUUUGUGGUAGUCUCUCAAAUACCUAAACUACCCUCCAGAUUUUAAGGCAUGGCCCACUCUUUGAGGUGGUAUUUUGGGUACUAAUUUUUGUUAGGAGAGGUUUUGGUGUGGAAACUGGAGGGCUUUACACACGUUGCAUGUAUUUUCUUUUGCAUGCAUUACACAUAGAUUGGAGUUUAUGCAGUUACUCACUUUUUGUUCGUCCAACAAUACUAUAGUGCCACGUCACCAUAUGAUGGGCUCUUUAGUCUUUUCAAACCCAAAAAAAAACACUAAAAAAAAAAAAAACUAAUACUAAAAGGAUUGCUAACUAGCUAUGUGAAGAUGAACCUCUAUAGCUAGCUUCUUAGAGGGACCAUAAUCGCUUAGGCCAGGGAAGUUUGAGGUGAUAAUAUGUCUGUGAUGCCCUUAGAUGUUUUAGGCACAUGUGCGUUACAUUAAUGUAUUCAAUGAGUCUAUAACCUUGAUUGACAGGUCCGAGUAAUCUUUGAAAUUUCAUUGUGGUGGGAAGGUUCCAUGUGAACAACACUUGCACAUGGGUUAGUUAAUCUUAAGAGACGGGGGAAGCUCAUCUAACAGCACACAAUGUGCGAGCUUUGAAAGGCAAUCGGGUUAACAUUUCUGAAUUGGGACAUGACAGCGGACAACAACAUUAGGUAGUCCAAAGAUGUCGUCAUAUUAAUUGUUAUCAAUAUUUUUAUUUAUUCAAUAGAGAUUGAGGAUUAAAAAAAUACCACAAAAAUUAGAAAAAACAAAAUUAAUUACAUGGCUUACAUUUCAAAUAUUUAAUAAAAUAUUGUAUGAAAGUUGAAUAUCAUACACUAUUAAAUGGUUGGAUUCUCUUCUUUAAUUUUUUUAAUUGUCUCAUCCUAUUAAAUUACUCAUCUAAUAUUAAUUUAUUUUAAAGGUGAAAUUAAUUAUAUUGUAAAAAACUUUUAACUGACCAGAGUUUGUGCACAACAUCUAAUAUAUACUUAAAUAUAAUCCUCCAACUAAGAAAUGAAAUCAAAACUUAAAAAUCAUUUAUAUAUAUAGAUAUAUGUUAUCAAGUUUAGGUAGUGAAGCAAUUAAUGUGGAUAUAAAAUUAAUGCCAAAACUUUUGAUUGUUCCUUCACAUUCUCCACAACCAAACAAAGGAUAUAAGAAAAAUAAAGAAAGAAAUUUAGGGUAGUUUGAUUUUUGUUCUCAUCUUGUUGUGAAGUUAAUAGAGGAAUGCUUGGGUUGGUGCUCAAUAGUUAAGUGACAGCAGGGUAUAAUGAUUCUUCCAAUCGUGUAAAUAUUAUUUGUUUUAAUUUCAAUGGAUCAUCGUCACUUUAAAUUGCAUCCACAUGGUUAAGAGCAACUCAUAUGUAUAUAAUAUCAUGAAUUUCUUCUUAUUCGAUACGGAAUAUCAAAUUAGGUAUCUUUCAAUUUUAGGUAUUGUGUAAGUGUUUCAACUCAAAUGACUUGGCUUAAUGUAUACUCAAAGCCUUGACAAAGGAGCGUAUAUGUAAUAAAGUGAAAAUUAAACCUUGUCGCCCUUCUAUCUCUAGUACUCCAUUAUCCCUUAAACAUGUGCAAAAAAAGAUAUACACCUUUGAUACAUUAAUUAAAAUAAACGAUAGAAAAAGAGAUUUUAUAUAUCCAUGUACAUAAUUUGAUUAGAUUUGUUAUAUAUGAGAGAGAGAGAAAAAAAAAAAAACUGUUUAGAUUAAGGAUCUCAUUAAUUAAUACCUAGAAAAUAUAAAAGAAUAAAAAAAGAUUAGAAGGUGUGAAUCAGAAGAUAAGACUACAUUUUUUAAUUAGAUUCAUCGAAAGAUGGCAUAUUGUAUGAACAUUUUUACUCUACAUAUAAAAACUUAUAUUAUGGUUGAGAUGUAUUAAUUUGUCAUAUUUUUGGACAUUUAAAGUAAUGAGUAAUUACACUAAAUUAAAUUAUUGACCUUAUUAAUCAAUACCUCAAAAGUAUAAAAUAGUAAUAAAUGAAUAAGACAAACUUCAUCGAAAUAUUUUUAUGGGCACAUUACGUAAAUAUUCUUAUUUAAUAAAAGUUUAUAUGUCAUUAAAUGAAUAGAGAAUUUUAACAUUAAUUGCAGUGCUAAGUAGAGGAGAUCUCAUAUUUAAGCUGUUGAUUAAGGCUUAUUACUUAAUAAUUUAAGUUGACUUUAAGUUAGAUUAUAUUUAAGUUAUUUACGUAAAAUUUAUUAUUUAUUAUUUAAUAUUUACUUUAAGUAUUAAAGUUAUUUGAUAAAGUUAAUUUAAAAAUCAUUUUAAAUUAUCAAAUUGUCAUAUUUACCUUCAUUAAUUUGAUAACUAGAUGCAGAUAAAUGAAACAAAAAAAAAAUUGAGAUUAAGAAUAAGUUAAUUAAUUUGAUUUAACACUUAAAAGUAACUUUAAGAUAUAAUAUUAAGUUAUUUUAUCAAAUAUAUUUAAUCUAUUUAAUAAUUAAAUUAAGUUAUUAAGUUAAUGAAUGAUUACCAAACACCUUAUAAGACCCAAAAAAUCGAAUGAGUUUUAAUAGUUUCCAGGAUGGGCAUGACUAGGUGGUGGUUCAAUGCUGAUUAAUCAUAAUUCAAUCAAGGCAAAAUAUGUAACAAAUACAUGUCAAACUGCACCAUCCAAAUGGGCGCCAAGAACGUUACAUUUGACAAAUGCCAUUAAACCUCGACAGCUACCAAUUACUUGAAGCUCAUUAACUUCAUCUUAAUUUGAUCCAAAUUGCAGAAACAUGUGAAACUCCAUGAAUCUAUGGUGCUAUGGUGGCCUACAUUCAUAUAACUGGGGACACUUUGGUUUACACUACAAUGACCCCAAACAGGGUUUGUAGAGACUUUAUCAAGAUCACUAGCUUCAAAAGACUAAGGAAAGAAAGAUGUUCUCAAAACUUGGAGUCAAAUUGCAGAUAAAGACCUAAAACUCCCACUUAACGUGUUUGAGGAAUUGUUGUUUCAUGGGGAUAAGCUGUUUGGUUUGUACAUGUCUCCUUGGUGAUACUUAGAGUUCGGCGAAGUAUACGUAUCCUUUGUGAUCUGGUUUGUAUAUGGGCAGAUGAAUGUUGAUGCCAGGUUCAUAUAUGUUUCUGAUAUAUAUCACCCUGGAAGGAUCUAGAUCAAGGGGAUGAGUUUCAAAAGCUUGAGUAGGUUUAAGAUGUUCCGAGAAUUGGUGAGCAUGAUAUAUAUCAAUAUGAUAUUGCAGAAGACAACAGAGCUUCUGAAAUUAAUAUGUCAGGUUCAAUAGUGGGAAAUCUUAUCAGCUGUCACUUACUGUAAUCGUAUGCUCUCAAUAUUCAUUUGUUGAAGAAGAAAAAAAAAAUUGCUUUCACACUAUUCAAUUACAAGAGAAUGUUCAAUUAUAGAAGAAAAUAAUAUUCGCUAGUCUCUUUCAACUUAAUCAACAUGCAGAGAAAAGCAGUGAAUAAUAACUUACAUACAUUGUCUCUCUACCCCUACUUGUUACUCAUCAGCCAAGCUUAUGGUAAUAUAAGCUUGGGUUCAUCUCUCUAUGCCACUGAUGAAAACUCCACAUGGGCUUUGCCUUUCUGGUGAUUUUGCAUUUGGAUUCCGACCCUCUCCAAGUGAAGAGGACCUAUUCCUUCUUGCUAUCUGGACUGCAAAUGGAAGUUAACUGGUGCCAAGAGGAUCAAAAGUUUGGGCUUACCACCAAUGGACAGCUUGUUCUCUAGAGGCUAAGAUAUAUGGAAGACAAAGACUGGUAAUGUGAGCAGCGAACCAGUGCAUGGUGCCAUGCUUGGAGAUGGAAAUUGUAUACCAGUAUAUGGGAGAGCUUCAAGCACCCAACUAAUACCAUAUUGCCAAUCCAGGGAUUGGUGUUGGAGCCUACUGUGCAGUUGCUAUUUUUGAGGACCUGAGGUUUGCAAAUGGAACUGGAAGCUGUUGGAGGAAAAGACUACCUCUUUCAAAUGGGAGGUUGGAUCAAACUGCUGUUUCCAGAAGUGCUCUAAUCAAGAUAUUGAAGUCCAGUGAACUAACUUCAGGCAGAUGCAAGCAAAAUAAAGCAAUUCUAAUACUCUCAGUCCUCUUAGGCCCCUCUGCGUUCUUCUUCUUCGUUUCUCUAGCUGCAAUUUCACUAGUUUUCUACUGCUUGAACCUCAAAAAUCUGCAGCUUUAUCACAGAAUCCUGAGUACAAGCGAUGGUAGAAGCCUUUGGCACUGUCUAUAAAGGGAUAUUACCAUCAGGUUCUGGAAAUUCUGUUGCUGAAAAGUUGGAGAAGGUGGUGGGAGAAGAUGAGAAAGAAUUCAAAGCAGAAGUGAAUGUGAUGGGCCAAACUCACCAUAAGAAUCAAGGACACUUGCUGCGUUACUGUUGUGAGGGUGAACACUGACUACUGGUGUUUUUUUUUUAUGCACAAUGGCUCUUUAUCAAGCUUCCUUUCUGGAGGCGCCCGAAAGCCCUCAGAACACAACUCUUGGAUGAUUCUUUUACAGCCAAAGUUGCAAACUUGGACUGGGAAAGCUUCUGAUAAGCAACCAGACUAGAACACUCACAGGCAUCAGAGGGACUAUGGGGUAUAUUCAGACAACUCGGGCAGCCUAUGUCUCUUAUAAUAACACGUUAUGAAGCAUCAGCUCAAUGCUGGGGUUCAAUCUGCAAAGCAAGGGAUUCAUCAAUGUUUCCUUCAAACUAAAUAAUAAGGAACAGAAAUGGAUCAUUCUGCAUUUUCAGUGGUGUUUGUUAUAGCAUUUAUACAAGAACUCUAGGGGUUUCUAUGUAUAACUUCAUUCCCAUUUUGUAUAAUCCAAAUCUCUUCAAUCGAUUAAAUGUAUAAAUGAAUCCUAUUCAUUGUUUGGAGUAACAACAAAAUUCUGGAAGACUGGGAAAGUUUCAACACUGGAGAGAAAACAAAAUGACAAGACCAUAAAUUCUGGAAGAGGGCUUUGCUUUCUAACCAUUACCAUAAUUUUAGAGCUCAACCCGGAUGAGUAAAUUAUAUUUCAGAAUGUUCAGGAGAUAAUUCUAAAGUGAUGAACCUUCUACUCACAGUUUCUUGUUCUUCUUGAACAGAGCAAUGAACAUCAAUAGUUCAGCACCCAGGAAUCUCCCCUCUCCAAUUCCUCCACUGGGAAAAGUCACCUUUCCAGUUAAGAAAAUCUUCAGGAUUAAUUUGAGCAAAACAUCAGAGUAUACAUCAAGAAAGCCUUGAUCAAAAUCAAAAUACAUCAAGAGCUGCCAUUUUCUUCUAUUUCCUCUUCCUUGAAUGGAAUGCCUUUUGGACUGAGGUGAUCAAUGGUAACAGUCUAACACACUCCUUAAGCUUUGAUUGAGGUCAACGGGGAUUGGCACAUUUAAUGACUUUGAAAUCAUAGCUGUGUGAAGGGAGGCAAACAUGAAUCUCAGGAUAAUCAACAAGUCAACAACUAUCAAUCAGUAAGGAAAAGGAAAAGGAAAUACCUUUGGAUAUUUACAAAUAAAAAAUUUGAGAGAGUCCAGCUGCUCUGUACAGAAAGGCUUGAGCUUAUUCCAUGGCCAGGCUUUAGAUGGUUCUGAAUUACGGAUGAGAGGAUUGAGUUUUCUUUCAUUCUGCAAUAAGAUUAAAAACAUCAAUGAAACACUAAAAGUUUAUAUAUAGAAGCCCUUUAAAGAUGAGAAUUGGUAAGAGAGCUCACCCAUGGUCUAGUAAAACAACAUCUGUUAGAUAAGUAACCACCAUUCGAUUGUCCAGCUAAUGCAUUUAGACAGUCCAAAAUAGCUAAAGACAGUCCAAAAACUCAUUUGACUAAUAAUUUUCUAAAAGCAGUAACAUAAAACCUGGAUGAAGAAUCCACCCCUCUACCUGACACCACUUCAAUACCAAAUAAAAUGUUACGAUGACCAUUUAUAGUCUUAAGAGACAGUGGGUGUUGUUUGGGCUCAAGACCAUCAAAAUUGGCACAGAAACAAGUACAACAACUAUCUAAUAAAGAGAUUUAUGCAUGUAACAAAUGCAAAUGAAAUAUGAUACAAGAAGUUCAUAGAUUAAACAAAAAUAGAUGGCAAAAUAGAAGGAUAAGGUCACAGACAGGACAAUAUUAAAAGAAAUUAUUAUUUUUCCGACCUGAAAAUCGAGGCAUUUAGAACAGUACAAGUUUGUAAGUAGUCCAUGGAAACCAGGGAACUUAUGCAGAUGUUGUAUUCUAUUGCAUAAGGCAAACACUCAAUACUUACAAGCAUAAUCAUGCCCAGAAAGCCAUGAAUCCCUUUUUGUUUUGCUUUUUUACCUAUUCUCAUCUCUUAUUGCCAGAAGUGCCCAGGAUGAUACAACCUCACCAAAUAAGUUAGAAACCAGCCCAUUCAGCAGGUUGAGUAGCCAGCUUGCCCUCAAUCUUCUUUGAGUCAACAAACAGUUGGGCAUUAUUGCCUCCAAUGGAGGGUCUGGAAAUAUUAGAGCCGGCAGCAGGGGUGGCUGUAAAACUCUCUGUUCCAAAACCCCAAGUUUCAGGGCCAGAAGUUCCUUCUUUGGCUGGUUUGUUGUGAUGGCCAUUUCGGGUCCUACCAGACUUGCUAUUGUUGUCUGGGCACCUGCCUCAGAGAAAGCCUGCCAAAGAUUAGAGUCUGGGCCAGGGGAAACGGAUUUUCUUUGCUGGAGUUCCCAGUCUGUUGCUUCAAUCUUUUCUCUGUGCUGUUACGAGAAGAAAACCUAUCAGACACAUGAAUGGGUACAAAAAGGUAAACUUCAGGUUUUGGUUGUAUUGAAAAGCACAGGAAACUUCACAAGAGGCAAAUUAUACCCCAGACUUAUUGAAGAAAAAUGAAGUACAAUUGACUUACCCAAAUGUCUACUUCCUCAUUUAUAGAUUUCCUCCUAAACAAAUCCCCACAUCUAGGACAGGAAAAGGAAGAAGCUGGGAGUCAACAUUUUUUCAACCAAAUGUCAGCACUAACUUAUCAAAAAACAUAGUUUUCCAUUCAACCUCGGGAGCUGUACUUUCUGAUAUUGUCUUCUUAAAGUGCUUAUGAUUGGUGGAGGUGCUUCCAAAAUCACACAACUUCCAUGAUGCAUUAGGGCCCAAUAGAAGAUUCUCAGCAUUUAUAUAAGAACUUCAGGGCUUAUACGUAUGAUCAUGUUACAGUAUAAAUCAUAGUGAACUGGUGGAAUUUGAUUAUUAGCCAACCUCAUCAAAAACUGUUUCACAGUUGAGGGGAUUGUUAACCUUGCCAUGGGCCAAGCAGCAAUUUCUGGAGAAGCUGGGUGACAAAGAGUACCAUCAUUUGGACUAGUUUCAAUGGAAAUUCCUCUGUUUUUAUACAUGAUAUCUUCAGCUUCAGCUUUUCCUUUUGCUUUUGACAUGGCUGAAACUGAUCCUGAAAUAAAAAAUCCCACGCAAGUAGAUAUUUAACAGAAGAGGAUCCGAAUCUCUUCAAUUGAUUAAUGUAUAAAUGAAAUAAUCAAAAUUUUUAGAUAAUUAUAGGGAGAUGAACCUUGUACCUCUGAGUUUCUUAGUCUUCUUGAACAGAGCAAUGAGCAUCAAGUGUUGAGCACCCAGGAAUCUCCCUUCCUAUACAGGGAAAAUCUGAACAAUCUAUCUUUCUUCAUAUUCCACUUCCUUGCAAAAGUCAAAACAUGAAGAAAAUAUCAUCAAAAUUGAGACAAAAAUAAGUGCAUCAACUGUCUCAAGAAGAGAUUUAUGCCUAUUGCUUACCUUUUGCAGAAGUCCACUUGGUUAGAGCACAUUUUACAUGGACGCCCAAUCACUGCAAGCUGCUGAACCAAAGGAGAGUUCAAACAUCUAAAAAAUUUGACUAACUCAAGUAUCAUAAAAUACUUCACAUGAAUUCUAAAUGAUCUCAUAUCUAAAAAACAUUGGCAUAAAAUUAUUGUUGUUUACCUUACAUAUUUCUUCCAUGGUCAUAAUCGAAACUUUGUUUAUCAUAACAAAUCUUCUAUGCUCAUCCUGAUUACUAACAAUGAAAAUUGAAAUGAAAAGAAAAAAAAAACACAAAAAAUGAUGAUUAGUUUGGUUUGAUAAAUUUAGCACACACAAUUCCCUUUUUCUUGCCCGAAAAAGGAAAGAGUAAAAAAAAAAAAAAAAAAUUAAUAAUUUUUCAAAACUAGCAAUUAUAAAUCUAGUUUGGUUCUCAUAAAAUUUAUGGGAAAGCAGGGAAAAAAAAGUGUAAACUUUUUCUCUUGUUUGAUUGUUUAUGGGAAAAUUGAGGGAAAAACAAAUAUUUAUGAGGAAUCUAUUUAACACUUUUGAGGAACCAAAAAUGUUUUAGAUGUUGUCAAAUCGAUAAUUUAAAUGUAUUUAAUUCCAAUUAAAUGAGUUUAAUCAAACACAUGAAAUCGUGAAUAAAAUUAUUUAAAAGCAUUGAAAUUCAAGUCAUUAAAGUUGUCCAUAAAAUUUGGUAUAUUGAAGCAAGAAAAAAACAAAGCAAUUUGAAUGACUUGCUAAUAAAGCAGCUAACUAGAAUAUGCCCUAGAGUUGUUCUGUGCCUUGUAUAUAAGAAAUAAACAAAGAACACAAUAAAAAUAAAAAUAAAAACCAGAAAAUAAAAUACAAACAAACGAAAUAUCCAUGGUUCUUCGUUAUUUUUUUCUUAAUUUUUCAAUGGUUAUUUUUGCAAACCACCAAAUCAAAACAGAGCAUGAAAAUGUGUUCAAUAUUUAUUUCAGGCUUGAAGCUUCAAGAAAAAGAAAAUCUUAAAUCAAAUAAACAAGACUAGCGAAUGAAUUGGAACUUGAAAGAAAAGUUCAUGCGCAAAAGAAUUACCUGACUCUAUAUUGGCGGAGUGGCACUUUGAUUAAUAUAGCACACCAUUGAUCACUAUUUUUGGAACGUGAGCUAUAUAACGCCAUUCUUCCCCUUUCUCAAAUUGACACCGUUUUUCCAGUAAAGGACACCCAUCGAUGACCAGAAAAGAGAGAGAGUCUGGAAGUCUUUCUUUUGUCAAGUAUUUGAGCUUACGACAGUUCAUGAUCACCAAUGUUUUAAGAGAGGUGAGGUGUUGAAGACCCACUUUUGUCAAGGAUUGGAGCAUUCGGCAGUAUACGAUCUCCAAAUUUUCAAGAGAGGUGAGGUGUUGAAGACCCCCUUCUGUCAAGGAUUGGAGCAUUGGGCAGUGUUUGAUCUCCAAAUUUUCAAGAGAGGUGAGGUGUUGAAGAACCGAUCCUAUCAAGGAUUGGAGCCUUGGGCAGUAUAGGAUCCUCAAUAUUUGAAGAGAGGUGAGGUGUUGAAGAUCCGUUUCUGUCAAUGAUUGGAGCCUCAAGCAUCCAUAAAUUCCUAAUUCUUUUAGAGAGAUAAGGUGUUGAAGAACCGAUCCUGUCGGGAACUGGAGCUCUGGGCAGUUUCUGAUCUCUAAUUUUAGAAGAGAGGUGAGUUGUUGAAGACCCCUGCUGUCAAGAGACUUGAGAUCGGGAAAUGAUUCAAUUUGAAGAGAAGUCAGAGAAGAGGGCAGCAAACACUCCUUGGGAAAUAAUUCAAUGUCUUCACAUCCACCUUGGAUUCUUAAACGAGUAAGAGAGGUCAGCCUUUGCAAACCCCACUCCACCUGGGGCGUGAGUUGGUUGCACUUCUUAAUUUCAAGUAUACGUAGGUUGGAAGGCAAACCCUCUCUCUGAAACAACAAUUCUGGACAAUCACAUAAAUACAACUCCUGUACAGAUGACUGUGUGUGUGCCAACGACCUAAGGUUGAAGCACCUAUCAAUCAAACAAGACUCUAAGUUGAGAGCGUGCAAUUCGAUAGAUUCAAGAUCAGAGCAACCAAUUAGACGCAGGGAACAUAAAGAUGUGGGAUCACCCUCUGAAACCAAAAUGGAGAGCUUCUCAAGCCCCUUAAGACCAUCGAUUGUGAAAUCAGUCAACUUGGGGAAGAUGCCUAAUGAGAAGGAUAACGUGAGAGAAUCAUCGAUAACACCACCUUUGAUUUCUAGACUUUCAAGGACUGGGAGAUGGCAUCUGAACAACUCAGGUACGAGAAUCUCUAAUUUCGAGCACUCAGAGAUGAAUAGUGAUUUCAGUGUAGUGGGUAAACCAACUUUGUGCAGGGAUCUAGAAAAACUGCAAUCAUAGAUUUUCAGAUCAUGUAUGUUGGUUUGCGAGAUUUCCUCCUCUAGCAGAGACUCCGCAUUAUCACAUUCUCUAAUUGAGAGCUGGUGUGGUGCCAUUGGAAGUUGACUCCACUGAGACACAUCUAAAAUUUCAAUUUCUGAAGUUUGAAGAGCUGUGAAGUCACAACCUGCCAUUUGCAACUGCAGUUUACCGAAAUCCACCAUCCUCAACUGACGAAUUACAGGAACUGUGAGUGAAGCCAUAAGCAGUUGCGGACAUUCAUGAAUUUGAAGUUCCACCAAUGAAAGAAGCUGUUCUGGUAAUUUCCCAGUGAGUUUGGGACACCUUCGUAUAAAAAGCUUUUGGAGACGAGGGAAUUCUCCACAACAUAACCAUUUCUCCCAGUUCUGCAUAUCCUCAAAUGAUAGUGUUUCUAGGAAUUGAAAGGAAGCAUUCCCAUAGAACUCAUCACCCACACACUCUACUCCAUUCAUCCUUGAGAUUUGCAGAUAUUUAAGCUGGGUUAGCUGUCCAAGUGGUGGCAAUGUUGAGCAAUUGCCACAACCCCGAAGCUCAAGGGACACGAGAUUCAACACUGAAGGAUCUCCAAGCCAAUUUGGAAAUCCUUCACCAGGAUAGUUUGUGAUGGAGAGUUGUUUUAAAUUUGGGUGAGGUUGUAACUUGUUGAGUAUAUCAUGCGUUGUUGCACCACUUUGUGUAACACCAUUGGUACACUCGUCACCCCAAUCAAAGAUUAACUCAUCAAGAUAACUUUUAUCCUUCAUAUUAGCCCUUGAUGCAUCGUUAACACUCACUACAUUCUCCAUGUUUGAAAUAUAAAGUUUUCCUCGAAUCUCUGACAGCUCUCCCAAUUCUCCAAUUCUUAAUCCAUUGUUUUGGCCCACAAUAAAUUGAGUCAACCUUUGUAAACUUUUUAAUUGACCAAUUCCAUGACUUGACAUUUCUCUCAAUGAACCACAUCCAUGAAUAUCAAGAUAGCGCAAAUUAAUCAAUUUUCCCAUCUUUGAAGGCAAUUCAUUAAGUCUUGAACAUUUUAUUAGCAUCAUCGUUUGUAAAUUGUAUAAACAACAUACUGAUUCAGGUAAUUUUUUAAUCCUUGUAAAAGACAAAUCCAAGUGACGCAAAUGUUUCAAAUUGCCUAUUGAUAUAGGCAAAUCAGUUAUGUCAUAUGCACAUAAUGAUAACACGCGUAGACACCACAUUUUUGGUAAUAUAUCUUGCAAAACUCUUUUACUCAAAGUAUACCUAGGAUAGUCUUCCAUUGGCUUCACUCCUAAGAAUGUUCGAAGAGAUUUAGCUUUAGUCAUAGCCUCAAAAUUCUUAAAUGCUACCAAAUCGUUAUAAUCAUCACUAUUAAAGUACAAAAAGUGGUGAGCCUUCUCAGAUACUUUUGGUAAUUUAUCAUCAUCUUCCACUCGAGCACAAAAAUCUCCAGACACAUGUUGAGCCAAUUCAUGUAUUAGAUCAUGCAUUACAAAGCAUGAUCCUUUUCUUCCAAUAGAUUUUUGAAAGAAAGACUUGGCAAGAAGCUCAUCAAAAUAUGACUCACCGAUCUCUUCCAUUCUCCUUCCUUCGUUUUGUUGUGGAUGUAAAAGACCUUCUGCCAUCCAUAAUAAAAUCAGCUUCUCUUUGUAGAAUUGGUGGUCCUGGGGAAAAAUAGAACAAUAAGCAAAACAAUGCUUCAGAGGUAAAGAAAGAUGAUGGUAGCUUAAUAUCAAAGAUGGAAGAAUUUCGGAGCCACUCUGCGGAUGCCAUAUUUCACUUUUCAACACAUCGUCCCAUUCCCUUUUUUCGACCUUAGAAUACAAGAGACAGCCGAGUGCUUUCACAGCCAAAGGCAAUCCUUGGCACUUGUCCACAAUCUGUCUGCCUAUGCGUUCAAGCUCAAGGAAUGCGUUGGAGUCUCGAUCUUGAAAUGCAUGCUUUUUAAACAGGGACCAACUAUCUUCAGAGCUUAAUUUCCCAAGAUGAUGAGUAGGGACUGCUCGCAUGGUUGUUGCAACAGAUUGAUCACGACUGGUCACGACAAUCUUGCUUCCCUCUGCUGCAGCGAGGAGUGGAGUUCGUAGAAUAUUCCAACCUUCACGAUCACUAAGCUCCAUAUAACCUUCAUCACGAGGCUUCAAAUUCCAGACGUCAUCAAGAACAAGCAGAAAUUUCUUGUUACUAAGUUGCUCUUUGAGUUGAAGCUGAAGCAAAUUUAGGUUGUCAGCAGAAGUAGGUGGAGAACGAAUUUCCUCAAGAAUUGUUUUGGUGAGUUUGAUAAGGAGAAACUCAGUGGAAACACAGACCCAUGCUUGCAAGUCGAAGUGUUUCUUCACUUCCUCAUCGUUAUAGAGAAGCCGAGCAAGCGUGGUCUUGCCGCUGCCGCCCAUGCCCACCAUGGACAUCACCCCCAUUUUGUCGCCUGUUGUAUUGUCAGAAAGCAACCACUCCACCAUCUCCUUCUGAAUUUCAUCCCUGCCGACAACAAUGGAGUCAUCCUCCAAAGAAGUGGAUAUUGGUGAUCUUGGUCUUGGUGACCGUUUCUCGCCCCCACCUUCUGCCAGCCCCAACCCAACUUUUUCUAGUGCGAUUUUUUCCAGUAGAUCAAUCAUGCCCCUGACCCUGGACUCCAUGCUUUUGAUAGCAAAUGGAGUCUUCACAGAAGCAGAGAACUUGUUCCAUUUCCACGCCUUAAGAGUUCCGCCGGUUUGGGAGUCAGCAGCUUCCAUCUUGCAACGCAAAGCGUCGGUAGCGAUCUCGUCCAACAGGUCUUCCGCAUCAUACACAGCACCCGUGACAUGGACGAGCCACUCUUUGACAUUUGGGUUUGAAAAUUGCUUCACCUCCGCAUCAUCGAGCACAUUGAGAACAACCACGAGUUUCCUCUUCAACUCGUUGAGGAGUUCAUCGCUAAGGUUCCGUCGCCGAAUGAAGUUUAUGAGCUCUGGAGAAGCCAACCUUUCGAAUAGAACUUGAAGCGAAGCUGAGAGGAGGGCGUCCGCCAUAUCUGUGUCGACUGUUGCUUUGCAAUAGGAAUUUAGAGGAUUGGUUUCUGUUACCGCGAUACCACCAAACUGCAAAAGACUGGGUUUGGAUCACCACACUGCAGAAUGCUUGAAGGAAUCAUUGUUGGUGGUGGACCUAGCUGCCAGAUAUUGGUGGUGGACCCAGCUUCACUGCAGAAUGCUUGAAUACACUGCAGAAUGCUUGAAGGAAUCAUUGUUGGUGGUGGACCUAGCUGCCAGAUAUUGGUGGUGGACCCAGCUUCACUGCAGAAUGCUUGAAUACACUGCAGAAUGCUUGAAGGAAUCAUUAUUGGUGGUGGAUCCAGCUACACUGCGGAAUGCUUGAAGGAUACAUUAUUGGUGGUGGACCCAGCUGCCAAUAUUUGUCAAACACCAUAAUUGAGUGGUGAGAAAAAGAACAGGAAAAGCAAGUGGGAGGUAGAUGCGCUUUCCCCGAGGCGAACGCAAGUGGAAGCUGGAUGGCGCAUGCCCUACAACAACAACAUUCGGUAUUUUUCUUUUUCAUCGACGCAUUUCUUCUUUCUUUCUUCUAGUAUUAUUAUUAGUAGACAUAUGCACACGAAUAUUUGUUUAUAACAUUAUCAUUCAUAAUAUUAUAAAAUUUAUUAUUAAUAAUAUUUAUACUAAUAUUAUUUUUUAAUAAUUAUAUUAGUAUCAUGAUUUUAUAAUUAGUCUCCUUACUUUUAUUGUUUAUAAUAAUAAUAAUAAUUAUUAUUAUUAUUAUAUUAUAUUACGUAUUUUCACAUAAACAAUGAUAUAUGCACAAGACAUUAAAAUUUUGAAUAUUAUGGUUAUUAUUAUUUAAUAAUAAUAUUAUUAUUUGAUUCAAAAAAAGUUUAUAAUAUAAUAAUAACAAAAAUAAAUUUUUUUAAUAAAAUAAAUUAUAAAAAUAUAAUAAUUUUAUUAUUUAUAAAAUAUAUUUAUUUUAAUGUAAUUAAAAAAAUUAAAAUAAUUUUAAAAAAUUUAAAAAUUUUCAAAAAAAGUUAAAUGGAAUGGGAUUAGGAUGGGAUCGAUCCAUCCCAAUGUCAUCCCGUUGUCAUCCUAACUCACCUAAUGAUAAUUAAGGCCAUUUUUUAUCAUUGUUUUUUUAAAAUGGUCUUUUAUCCUUAAUAUAUAUAUAUAUAAUAAUUAGAAAAUAAAACAUAAUUUUUGUUUUUAAAAAUAAAAAAUAAGGCAUUUUUAGAUCAUACCCUUUUAGUUACUUUUACUUGUUUUUAAAAAAUUAUUUUAAAAAGUAAUUAUAUAAAUAUAAAAUAAUAAAAUAAUUUAAAUAAAAAUUAUUUUUAAAAUAUAGAAAAUUAGUUAAGAACACUUUAUCUUCUCAAGCUCUUGUUUUAUAAAAUAUCAUAAAAUAAUUUUCAAAAACUUUUUUUUUUUCACUAUUUUGACAACCUCAACUGGAAUAAUACACAACAAAAAUAAAUAAAUAAAAAUAAAAAGGUCCAAAGAAAGACAAACGUGUCCAGUAAUGCACUUAAAUUCAAUGAACCUAAAAGCCAAAUGUGCAGUGUUGACUUUUCAACCGAGAGUUCACACAUGCCCAUUUUUUAAAGCACUAUUAAUAUAAAAUAUAUAUUUAAAUAAAAAUUAGACUUUUAAAAAAAUUAAAAUAUAUUUUUAAAAUGUUAAAAAAAUAUUUACAAUAUUUCCUUAAAAAAAACAUCUUCCAAAAACAUUUCUUUAAAAAAUACUUCCACCGAUAACAAUUCAGACACACUUGUGAUUUAAUAGUUAAAUAUUCUUUCCAACAGGAAUUCAACUAUCGGUUUGUAUUACCACGAUACCAUCAAACUGCGAAAGACUAAUUUUGGAUUACCAAAAUGCAGAAGAGCUGAAGGAAUCAUUGAUGGUGGACGACCCAGAUGUCCACAUUAUUUGUCAGACACCAUAUUUGAGUGAUGAGGAAAUGAAAGAAAAGCAAAUAAAAAACAAAAAAGGUGAUGCCAAACAUGGUCUUAUAAGGUGGGAGGAGCGAAAGCAACAAAGGAAACUAGCAGGAUUUUUCAUUGCUAUUCCAUACCUCAAAGGACAAAUUUUGAAUUACCAAAAUACAAAAGACUUGAAGGAAUCAUUGAUGGUGGUGGACCCAGAUGUCCACAUUAUUUGCCAAACACCAUAAUGAGUGAUGAGAAAACAAAAGAAAAAGCAAAAAAGGUGAUGACAAACACGGUCUUGUAAGGUGGGUGGAGCAAAAGCAACAAAACAAACUAGUAGGAUUUUUCAUUGCUAUUCCAUAUCUCAAAGGACUAAUUUUGAAUUACCAAAAUAUAGAAGACAUAAAGGAAUCAUUGAUGGUGGUGGACCAAGAUGUUCACAUUUGCCAAACACCAUAAUUGAGUGAUGAGAAAAUGAAAAAAGAAAAGAAAAUGCCAAACAUGGUCUUGUAAGGUGGGUGGAGUGAAAGCAACAAAGUAAACUAGCAAGACUUUUCGUUGCUAUUCCAUACCUCAAAGGAUUGAUUUUGAAUUAUCAAAAUACAGAAUACUUGAAGGAAUCAUUGAUGGUGGUGGACCCCGAUGUCCACAUUAUUUGCCAAACACCAUAAUUGAGUGAUGAGAAAAUGAAAAAAAAAAAAAGUUAAGAAAAAACAAAGAAGUGAUGCCAAACAUGGUGUUGUGAGGUGGGUGGAGCAAAAACAACAAAACAAACUAGUAGGAUUUUUUGUUGUUAUUCCAUAUUGAGAAAAUAAAGGGCUACUCUAAAUAGAUAAAAACACCCAAGAAAGGAGGUGAAUAGAAGUUAAAAAAUUUCUUUUUAAACACAAUAAAAUUAAACACAAGAAGUACAAAUAUAAAGAAGUAAGGUUAUAGAAAGUAAACUCAAAUUUAUAGUGGUUCGACACUUCCUUACUUACAUCCACUCUCCUCAAGCUUCUAAUCGAGUGAGGGUUCCACUUAUACUUGAAGUUUCAACCAAACUUCUUAUCACUUUUUACACUUGGAUUCCAAUUCCAAUGAAGUCUUACACAAUCUCUUCAAGUCUUUACUCACUUGAAGGUUUUAACACUCAAUUAACAAGUUUGAAUCUCUCAACCUAGCUCAACAAUGACUCAAAUACAACUCAAGGCUAGGAUGAAUCACUAAGGUGCACUAAAGAAUAUGCAAAUGAAAAUUUAAUGCACUAAGAAAAUAAUGAGAGCUUUUAUGGCAAUAAUAAGUAGGUAAACAAAUAAAUGCAAGUGUUCUCUUACUCAUAAAUGAAGUAGAGCUCUCAAUUUAUAGGUUUCUAACCUCAGGAACUAAAAAGCCAAAAAACAGUCUCGACUGGUCGAGCUGGGGGUUGACUGGUUCACUAGUCGUUGAAACAUUAAAUGCUUGGCAUGUGACCGUUACCCUCGACCAAACCUUAAUCGAGAAGACAAAUCCAUCAACCAGGAAAGAAAGACUACUAGAAGAUAGAGAAUGUUUUUUACAUCUCUUAACUGGACCUCGACAUAGAAGGAGUAAUCGGUAGACCGGUACCCUAGCUGAUUGAGCCGGUUGGCCAGUGUCUCGACUAGUUCACCAUUUUUAGUCCGAAAACCUAUCUUUUUUUGGUCUUUUUGCUUCUAGCACUUAGGCAAGGACUUUAGAUAAAAUAAUAUGUCAAUUUUGAAAUGUUUUGCCUAAGGUUCAUUUGAUAGAACUCGGAUUUUGAUGGAAAUGUAACUUUAAUGCAUAAACCGAGUUUUAAAGAUGUAUGAAAUGAUAUGAAUAUCUUAAGUACAUUCAUGCAUUCAUCUUACGUAUGUUUCCUAUGAUUAAAAGGUCUUUCAUAAGUCUUGAUCUUGCAUUCAUUAGGUCCUUUAAUGAAUUUCCAAAUUAACACCUGAAAUUCUUUAUAAUUCAAAUCAAUUAGUAACUUAACCAUGAUUUUUUAUCAUCAAAACAUAAUUAGGAAAAUCAUUAGGCUAACACAUACCUUAAAGGACUAAUUUUGAAUUACCAAAAUAUAGAAGACUUGAAGGAAUCAUUAAUGGUGGUGGACCAAGAUGUCUACAUUAUUUGCCAGACACCAUACUUGAGUGAUGUGAAAACGAAAGAAAAGCAAAGGAAAAACAAAAAAAGGUGAUGACAAACAUGGUCUUGUGAGGUGGGUGGAGCGAAAGCAACAAAACAAACUAGCAGGAUUUUUUGUUACUAUUCCAUACCUCAAAUGAUUGAUUUUGAAUUACCAAAAUACAGAAGACCUGAAGGAAUCAUUAACGGUGGAUGACCCAGAUGUCCACAUUAUUUGUCAAACACCAUAAUUGAGUGAUGAGAAAAUGAAAGAAAAACAAAGCAAAGGAAAAAAAACGUGAUGUCAAACAUGGUCUUGUAAGGUGGAUGGAGUGAAAGCAACAAAGCAAACUAACAAAAUUUUUUGUUGCUAUUUCAUACCUCAAAUGACUGAUUUUGAAUUACCAAAAUACAAAAGACCUGAAGGAAUCAUUGAUGGUGGACAACCCAGAUGUCCACAUUAUUUGCCAGACACCAUAAUUGAGUGAUGAGAAAACAAAAGAAAAGCAAAGGAAAAGCAAAAAAGGUGAUGUCAAACAUUAUCUUAUAAGGUGGAUGGAGCGAAAGCAACAAAGAAAACUAGUAGGAUUUUUCAUUGCUAUUCCAUACCUCUAAAUCACCAUAAUAAUAAUAAUAAUAAUAAUAAUAAUAAUAAUAAUAAUAACAAUAACACCAAAUUUUAAGGUUAUUUUUUGUUAUAAAAAAAUACUAGGAAAAUAAAAAAAAAUUAAGGAAAAUGAUUUUUUUCAUAUUUGAUUUCACUAUAGAAAAUAUAAAAGAAAAUCAAAUAUAAUUAAAAUUAAUUUGAAAUUUAUAUAUUUUAAAAGUAUUUAAUCUUUUUAUAAUUUAGAAAAAUAAGUAAAACGAGUUUGAAGAAAUGUAUAAAAAUAAUUUAUUAAAUUUAAAUUUAUUUCUUAUUUUCCUUCAUUUUUUCUUUUCUUCUACUUUUUCUCUCUAUUUUCUUUCCUUCUCAUUUUCCCUCAAAUUUUCCAAGAGCCAAACAUAGCUUAAAGGUUUAGAAUCUUAUGCACAAGACUUUCAAUUUUUUUUACAAUAUUAUUUUAUUAGUUAAGAAUUAAAAUUUAAUGUACCAUAUCUAACACUAACAAAAAAAUUUAUAACAACCGGUCUUAUCUUUUAAGAAUGUAUUGUUUAAAUGAGAUUAAAAAUUAAAAAUAAAUUUUAAUUCAUUUAACAACUAAAUUAAAAUGAAAUUUAUAUAUAUCAUAAAUUUAUACAAUUUUGAAUCAUUUUAUAUGGAGGAUUGAGAAUGGAGAGAUUGAAGAAUUGUUUGGUGACGAGGAGAUUGAUUGAAGAUUUUAUAGUCUUAAGGUUCUAUGGGAUGAAUUUUUUUGUAAAGAGUUUAAAUUUUUGUAAAAAAUAAAAUUAGUUUUAUGUUAUCUUAUUUCAUGGAAAUAUAAAGUUUUAAUUCAAAGAUUAUGUUUCAAAAAUAUUAUUUUUAAAAUAUAUUUAGUAAAGAUUUAUAAAAAUUUAAAAUAAAAUUUAAUUAAUCUAUAAACUAAAUUAAAAUAAUAUUUAUAUAUUAUUUUUAUAGAUUUACAUGUAUAAAAUCUUUAAAAUGCCUCAACUUAAAAUAUCCUUACAAAAUUUCAUUAAUCUACUAGCAAUCCGCCUAUUGUCUCUAUAUAGAGUCUAUUUGCAUUAGGAUGAAUACCAUCAGAAUAAUAAUUACGUUCCACAUAUGACAUAUCUUAGCUUCCACUUGGAGGUUAAAAAUCAUUAUGAAGAUUUGGACAAUAAUUCAAGUAGGCAUCUUUGAAAUUUGACUUCCAAAUCCCUUUGUCAAUAUACACCACCCUAUGACAAUUAAAUAAAUUAGAAGGAAAAAAAAUGUUGAAGGAAUGACAUAAGAAUAAUUUAUGUAUGACUAGAUUUAAAGUUUAAUUAUAUGAGGAAUCCUUCAUUAUGAAAAUAUAAGGAACAAUUAUAUUUAAGGAGUGGAUGGGGUUGAUAAUGACUAAAGGGUACAAAUUUUGCAUAAUUGAACUAAAAAGGUAGAAAAAGUUUGUAGAUUGUUGUGGAAGAUAUAAACCCAUUUUGUGAGUCAAAAAUGCUCAAAAUACCCUUAAGAGUGUUUUAAAAAAAAGGACAAUUAAGUACUCAUGAUAAUUAAUAUAUUAAGAUUUCAAGAAAAAUUAAUAAUAAAUAAAAUCUUUUUCUAAAUCUAUUUAACAGUCAUAUAGUUUUUAUUUUGUUUUAUUUUUUCAAGUUGCAGCUAUUAUCUUAAUUUAUUUUUCAUUUUAAGGUUCAAUUAUUAUUAUUCUUUAUUUUGAUUAAUUAAAUGAAACUGUAUAAGACAUGUUUAUAUUAAUUAACUAAAAAGGAUAGAUUUUUUAGCAAUAGGAUUAAAAUAAAUAAAAACAAGGAAUUUGAUUUUCUUUAUGAAAUAGAUUGGGAAAAGUAUAUUUCGAUACAUUCGUAUGAAAAAAAAAAAUCAUAAAAUAGGAACUCAAGUUUAUAAAAUACAAAUUUUAAACAUCCAUCUAAAAAUAAUUAUCAUUUCAUGCAUUUUUUUUGGGUCAAAUAUAUUAUAUUUGACAAUUUAGGUAUUAUCUUUUAAUAAUAUAGGUACUACCUUCACCUGCAUAAAACUUGAAUUAUUUUUAGAUAGUUUAUAUUAUAUAAUUAGUUAAUCCUUUGAUAUAAAUAUUAAAUAAUUAAAAAAUAUAUCUUUUUUUUAAGAAUUUUAAUUAUAUUUGGCUUUCUUUUGUAUUUUCUAUUGUGUAAACCACAUAUAAGAAAAUCAUUUUCUUUUACAUUUUUUUUCUUUCCUUGAUAAUUUUCGAGAACCAAACAUGACUUGGAGGUUUGGAUAAUAGGGUAUAGAUGCCAGAAAUACUGGAAUGGGUUCAGGUUUUCCAUGCUAAAGGUCUUUAUUAUUAUUUGGUAGCACUUUUCCAAAAUUGUUCCAUUCCCAAAACCACUUAAUUUGCUUAAAUAUUUUUACCUCACGAUAUCAUAACAUUAUAAUGGAAUAGAUUUUGUUGGUGUUCAAAUCAUGUCAACUCAAUUUCCAAACCAUUCGGAUUGUCAUUUGGUGAAAAAUAGAAAGAAAUUUUACUUUAUUGAAAAGCAUUUCAUUUUGAUUUGAAUAUGCUGCAAUGAAAUAGUUACUAAACCAUGGGGUAGCAGAAGAAGUAAUCGAGAAAAUGAAGAAGGAUGUUCAAGAUUCUUUAUGCUGCCAUUGGAGGAGAAGAAUGCUUACACACAGCUACCAAAUAGCAUUGAAGGUUAUCACAAAGAAUUACUCAUUUUAUCAAUUUUUUAGAGUUUUCUUUUCAAUAUUUUUAUGAGUUUUGAUAAUUUUCAACAUUUUAAUCCUUACUUGAUGGCACUUUGCUCGAGUUUCCACCUUGUAUAUCAGGGCAAUCUUAGAUGAGUAUUGAUCAGAGCUCCAAAAGGUUUCAAUUUGCCUAUUAAAGUUGAUGGCCAAGAACCUUAAGAUCAAUCCUAACCAGCUCACAAAUAUAUUUGAGAAUGGAAGACAACAUGUGAGGAUGAAUUAUUUCCCCCUUGUGUGCAUGCAAGAAAGGUUGUGGGCAUUUAUAAACCUAUGAGCAAUGAGGAGUUUUCAAGACUUCGCCUGAGUAGAGGAAACUUAAUGGUAAGAGUACAAUAAGUCAUAUGAAAUUGGAGAAUUGAAAGAGCAUAAGAACCAUGUUUUAUUAGAAGACCUGUGAAAGUUUAAUCAGUCAUGGAACUACUAAGAGGGGAUGAAUUAACAGUUUUCUUAAAUUUUGUUCAAAGUUUAUGAAUUUUAUUUUUUAUAAUUUUUUUUACUUAGAUUGAAACUUAUUAAUCAAGGUAAGAUUUCAGUCACAUCGAGAAACAAACAUUUUAUGUGAAAAGCAACUGAUAAAAUCUUGAGUUUACAGAUGUAAAAACCAUAAGGCCAAAGACUGUAGAACUCCAACCCCAUUGAAUCAAGAAUAGAAACACAAAUUUAUCUACUAACCUACACUAAUCUCUUAUCUACAAUGCAACACCGUUAUAGUCUUAAGUGACUUGAAAGGAUGUGAAUCUUUCUCACAAACUUCAUAAUGAAAUUCAAAUUAGCUUUGAGAGUUUAAGAGUAAUAAUGCAUAGCUUUUGUGUGCGAGUUUUUAAGUGCUCCCCCAAAAGACAUAUUUAUACCCAAGUGAACUUAAGACUCAAUUUAAAGCAUGUAUUUUACUAUAAAAAAAAAUUAAAUACAAAUUUAAGAAACUUCAAGAAUUUUGGAAAGAUAAUUUUAAAAAAAAAUUCAAAGAGAGUCAGAAAAUGUUUCCUUUUUAAAUUCUCAAUUUAAUUUAUUUUCAAAUUUCUUAAGAGUUUAAGAAAUAUUUUCUUUUUAAAUUCUCAAUUUAAAACUCUCUUUUAAAUUAAUUUUCAAAUUUCUUAAGAGUUUAAGAAAUAUUUUCUUUUUAAAUUCUCAAUUUAAAACUCUCUUUUAAAUUAAUUUUCAUGUAAGUCUACUCUAUACAUUUUACAUCGUUAUUCUCAAUUAACUCAAAUGUAACAUCCCCGAUUGAUUUUGCACCAACCUUAAGUCUUCAAAGACAAUGAUUGAGGCAUUUCUUCUCCUAUUUUCUCCGAUGUAGAAAAAAAAAAAAAAAAACUAGAAUAAGGUUAAGGCAUUUCUUCUCCUAUUUUCUCCGAUGAAAAAAAAAAAAAAAAAAAACUAGAAUAAGGUCAAAGCUGGUUUAUAGCAAAAAGUCUUAAUUUGAGUUAGCCUUUUUUUUUUUUCAAAUGAUAUGCAGGUCCAUCAAACCUUCAACUCAAAUUUUUUAUUCAAAGAUCACAUGUGGAUAUGUGAACAAGUAAAAGUUGAGUUUUACCUAACAUAUCAUUUUGAAAAUUAGGAAAUUUAAAAGGUCUUAGAUUGUUGAACUCACCACCCUAUCUAUUCUACAAAACAAGUAGAUUAGCAAAGAAAGAAAUUGUACCCACGAGUAUAGAGUUUUGGGUUAAAACGACCCUUUUGAUGGGAAAAAUAUUAAAUUUAACCACUUUGUCAAACUUAUGUGUAAAAUGGUUCUUUUAUUACCACGUAGGAGUCAUAUCACUAAAAUAUAUACAUAUUUUUAAUUUAAGUUGAAGCCUCAAUUACCAAUUAAGGCUUCAAUUGUCAAUUACGAUUUUAUUUUUUAACCCGAAACCUUACUUGUCAAUUGAGGUUUUAACUAAAAAAUGAAACCUCAAUCACCGACUGAAACUUAAUUUUUUAAUUGAAGCCUCAAUUGAUAAUUGCGAUUUUAUUUUUGAACUGAAAUCUCAAUUGUCAGUUGAGACUUUAUUUUUGUGGAAGGAUUACGUGACACUCACGUGACUAGAAAAAAGCCAUAUUGAAUAUUAGUUUCAAAAGUGGCUUAAAAGAUAUAUAUUUAUGAUCAAAGAUGCCAUUUUGACCCAAAAUCCCAUGGGUGCAUGAGACUCUAGUUAAUCAUAGAUUUCAUAAAUAAAAAUAAGAGUUAGGAUGAUUCAACCCCAAAGCAUCAAGAAUUCUUUAACAUAAUGUUAGAACAUUUUCCAAUUUAAAUUCGAGAGUUAACUUUAUUUGAAUAUGCUUUUGAUUUUUUUUUCUUUUUUUAAAAUAAGCUUCAGUGUUUUUUUCAUAAAAAAAAAAAUAAAAAUAGGAGCUUCUAUAUAGAAAGAAAAAUUUUAUCCAACAAAUAUAAGGCUCACCUUAUAUCCUUAUAAAAAAUUUAAAAUUCAAAAUUUUUUAAUACCUCAAAAUUUUUAAUCAAUAUUUAAAAAUCAUUAUAUUUUCAAUAUGAUCCUUUAAAAGUUUAAAUUACCUAUAUUUUUUAUUUUCAAAAAUACAAAAAAAAGAAUGAUUUUUUUUUUUUGUUUUUUAAUUAUUAAGAUGAAUGAAAUAAUCGCAAAUUUGCAAAAAUAACUUCUUCCAUGUUUGAAUUUGAAAAAUAACUCAUUUCCAAUAUAAAUACUCUUCAAUAUUUGGAUUAUUUUAAUAUAAAUUUUAGAAGAAAGUGUUACUUUGACGGGAAAACAUGAAAGACAUUUUUAUUAAAAUUUGAUCUUUUUUUAAGGCUAAAAUAUAUGUAGGUUUAUAUUUACAAUUUGAGACCAUUUCGUCCUCUUAAUCAAAUAACUUAAAAAAGAAAAGAGUUAAUUCCACAAGUGGGUUUAAAAUACUCACAAAAUUGCAAAAUAUAUCUAUAUAUAUAUAUAUAUAUAUAUAUAUAUUACCCUUACUUAAUCAAUUCGUGUGUUGAGCACAUGACACUUCCGUUCAUUAAAGCUAACACCGUUAAAUAACAAAUGUACAUUGUAGCUAUUUAAGAAGUAUGAAGGGCACAUUGCUUAAUUUUAGUACAUGGUGAGAAACUUGUUGAACAAGUUAUGUGUAAAGUUUUAUGGUUCAUGUAUGAUAGGAAAUAUAGAUCUACUACAACACUGGAUUUGCAAUUUGGGUUAAUAUUUAAAGAAAAGACAAUAAGACAAAAAGAAUUAAACUUUUGGUGGAAAACAAUAAAGAAAGGACUACAUGGAAAAAGGGAAGAGAUCAUUAUAAAGGAAGAUUAUUGAAUAGAAAUAAUUCCAAGAACAUAAGGCAAGACAUAGAGUAUCACUACUACUAUCACAAAAAGGGCUAUAUCAUAAAAUUUAUGAAAUUUUGAAAAAGACCUAAAAAAUGAAGACAAAAAAAAAAAAAAAAAUCAAAGAAGCCUACAAGUGUAACUAGUGUUCUUAAAGUUAAGAAAUGAAGGUAAUAAAUCAAAAGCAGAUUUGUUAAUAGUUUUUAAAAUGCUUGAAUUACAAAUUGUCUACUUGUACCAUACGAGCCCUUGUAAAAACUGGUUUGACAUGUAAAUUGUUUGUAAAAUCAUUUUAAUGGGCAAUGAUGCACCAAGUUGCUCUAUGAGAAGCGUAGGGGUUUGCGAAACCAUCGCUUGUCGUGGCAUACAUCGUUGGGGAAUGACGGAUGAGGGCAUCCAUGGGAAGCCAAUGUCUACCCUCACUCCACACCCCUCUAGUACAAGGCUCUGGGAGGGAGAGAGGCAACAAGUGUGUGACACUAAGGUAAAUAUGCCCAACCUUAUGGCUUUGGGAGCAACGUGCGUUUAAAGACUUGAUAAUUCACAAAAUUCUACAAUUCAUACCAAGUAUUGCAUUUAACGACGUUCUUUAUCAAUGAGAGAGCCUAGAUAUCCAUUGUCAAGAAUUAUUUAUGUAUGAAAACAACAACACCUAACCGACAUGCCCAAGAUCAAGGCAACUAGAAGCUCAAGUUACUUAGUGCGUUUUGUGCCGAAGUUUGUUGUUUACUCAAGAGGGCUUUGUGAAUAUUUGUAAUAAAGGGAUAAUACAGAGUGAGCCGUAAUUUAGCAUCUUACACGCUCAGUUUCUUCCAUUGGUGGCAUAUAUUAUUUUGUUUGUCAUUGAUGAUUAUUUAAUAAAACUAUGAGAGUAUUUCAUGAAAUAUAAAUAAGAGGUUUUUGGGAUAUUUAAUCGAUGGUAAACAAAAGAUGAAAACUAAGUAGGGAGGAAGAUAAAAUAUUUUAGAUUUGAUAGUGGACUUGAGCAUUAGAACAAAAAGUUCACAAAGUAUUGUGAGAAUUCUUAUAGUACUUAACAUUUCACAUGUAUAGAAAUUACAAAGCAAAAUGGAGUGGUUGAAAAAUGAAUAGAACACCAUUGGAAUGACUAGGUGGCUAAGAUUAACCAUUCGGUUACUUAAGAAUUUAAGGGUUAAAGCUAUCAACAUAACUUAUCAUGUAAUUACUUAGUUGUCAAGUUUUACAAUUAUUUUCAAUAUUCCAAAAGAAGUGUCAAGUAAAUCAAUUGACUUUUCAUCUAUUGAAAUAUUUGAUUGUUGCACUUAUCUUCAUAUAUAGGUGAAAAAAAAAUUCAAUCCAAAAUAAAAAAAAGGUAUAUAUUCCUUGGGUUUGAAAAAAGGAUUAAUUAAAGACUGUAGAUUUGGGGAUCCAACAAUUAAAGGAAAAAAAAAAGUGGUGAGUAGAGAUGUAUUCGAUGAAAAACAUAUGUUAAAGAAAGAUCAAGGACAAAUGAAAUUGUUAUUGAAAAAAAAUUCAACUACAUGACCAAUCAUCGAGAUGAAAUUUGAGGAAAAUGUCGUUAAAUACGGAAAUGAAAUCCCUCCUAAUCGAUGUCCCUAUUGGAACUUUAUAUGGGCAUCUUUCUCUAUUGCUCUAAAGAAUCAUCGGAUUGGGUAAGGACAUCAAUUUGAAGAUUUUUAUUUUUUUUCAUUAUUUAUUGGAAUAGGAGAUCUUUAAAUUUUUUUGGGGCACAAUUAGGAGGGAUGAUAGUUAUCAAUGUCUUGGUGCUAUGUCAAAUGAGAAUCCAAUGCACAUGUUGACUAAAGUUGUUCUUAAGGAUAAGUUCAAGCAUUAGUUGAAUGUCAUUAAUUUUUCAUUUUGUAGAACAUGGAAGGUCAAUUUUAUUGAAGAGCUAGGUUAGUCAACUUCUAUUAGGACUUCUAUUGAUUCUUGAUUUGACUAGAGGGGCUCCUAGCAGUAAACUUGUAUGGAGGGGCCCUAUGGAGACGCAAGAGAUGCAAGAGCUGCCAAUCGGAUCGACCAAUAAAUGAUAGGCCCAUACAGAAAUGUCCCUAAAAUAGGGGAUUGGUUGAUUGGAAAGCUUAGGCAGAGUAUAAAGGAGAACAAUUUAGCAUUUUGGGAAAAGCACAUAUGAAGAUGUUUACAAGUUUGGAAAAUUGAGUUAAAGAAGAGAUGGUCUAAAAAUGUUUCAAAUUUCAAUUUUAUGUUUUUCUAAGUUUGAUAUAUCCUGUUUGGAUAUUUGGGAAGUCUUCUCUUGUUACAUAAGAUAGUCCUAUGAUGAGAUUUGUUAUGAAAAUAGGUUCUUCAUCGUGUGAAAUAUUCCUAUGAAAUUAAGAAGGAAUAUAGGAAGAGUUUUGAUUGAAAUUAUGAAUCUUUUUUUAUGUAAUUAGAACUAAAAUAUGAGAGUUUUAAAAUUGUAAUUACACCUUUGAAUAUAAAUAAUUGAUAAUAGUGAAUUAAUUUACCUUCUCCCUCUAGAUGUAGGUAAAUGCUAAAUUAUGUUAAAUCUUGUAUUCUCAUAUGAUUUUUUUUUUCAUUUAUUUUUCAUUUUCUUGCCCAUUUCUAACUUGCUAGUUGCUACUACAUAAUAACAGGUGGUAUCAGGCUUUUUGUGUUUGCACAACAAAUGGUCUCAGUUUUUCUAGCACCACAAAAAUGAUAUUUUACUUAAUUGCUCCUCAGUGGAAAAGUUGGAAAGAAAAAUUAAAUCAUCGACUAUACAUUUUUUUUUUUUCAAAACUUUUCUUGUCUUUGGCAAGAAAAUUAGUAUAUGAAGUAUAAAAGAAUUAGAAAAUAUUCAAAUUUUAAAUGAUUUUUAUUAUACUUUGUCCACUUCCUAUUUCAUAUAUCAAAUUACAAUAGAAUUUAAAAUUCUUUUAUAUGUUUUUUCUCCCUUUGCUACCACAUAAAUGCAAAGACAUUAUGUGAGUUAAAUACCUUAAAAGAAAAAGAAAUUAAAAUGUGAUAGAAAACAAAAGUAACCUCUUUAAAUUCAAGGAAACAAAACACUAAACUUUUUCAUGUAUCUUAUUCCAUUUAUAAAUGCAACAUGACAAAAAUAGACAAAAAUAUAAAUGGGAGCCCUUCAGGUCCUUUAUUUUAUAUUUUAUUAACUUCAACCAAUUCUAUUUCUAUAGCACAACCGAUGUUAUAAAGUUCAAUGAGUAUAUAAUAUAUAAAGAUACUAAUCAAUACGAAUUAUUCUUUCCUUCAAAUGGCUACUUGUAUUAAAAAUUAAAUGUAAUUCCUCCUAAACAAUAAAAUAUGUUGACACGAUUUCAAUGAAUAUACAGUACAUAAAGAUAUGACCAAUUAGUACGAAUUAUUCUUUCUUUUAAAUAGCUACUUGUACUAAAAUAUAAGUAAACGUAAUUCCUCCUAGAUAAUAAAAUAUGUUGACACGAGGAGGAAUAUAUUUACUAAUUAUAUCAUUUGCAAUAGCCUCAAUCUAGCGACGUUCUUCGAACCAACCAUAGACUUUAUUGAGAUAGGUUAACCAAGGGAGCUCCCACUCUCAUAACUCGUAUAUGAAAAUUUCAUCUUGUACAACUCAAAUAGAAACCCAUAAAUACUGGUUGAAACCAAAAUGUAAUAAAAAAUAAAAAAAAACAUAUUUCAAUGGAUCCAAUUAGUAUUUUUCCGAUCUCACAAACAAAUUUUUCUUCAUUUUGUUUUUUUUUCAUUAAUCUUUGUAAGUAAAUUAUAUUUUAAUUUAACAAAGCACUAAACUUUAAUUUUCAUGCAGGAUCAACUAGCUUUUCAUAAUAAAAUUUAUCAAUAUAGCUGAGCAGAGAUUUGAUGUAAUAAUACCAUACAAAAUUCAAGUAAAAUUAAAUUAAUCAAAUAGGACACUAUGGUUAUAUUUGGAUACAUAUUCUAUUUUUUAUUUUUAAAAUUAAAAUUUUGAUAUAAAAUAUGACAACCCUUUGUAUAAAAAAUAAAAAUUUAUCCUAUAAUCUUAAAACUACUUUUCAAUAUUUAAAAAAAAGAAAAAAAGAGGACGUGUCCUAAAAUUUUAAACAAAUUUAAAAAUAUUUUUAAAUACCCAAGAUAUCCACUUUUUUCUUUUUUUAAUAAAAAUUCCUAUAUUUUAAUAAAACUCUAUUUUAAAAAAUGAAAAAUAAAAAAUGUAUCCAAACAUAAGCUAAAUUGUUAGAUUUUAUUGUGAGAUUUCUUAGAUUCUACAAUUCAUAGUGAAAUGAAGAUGAGAGAUAACCGACUGAACUAUGAAAAAAAAAAAAUUAACAUUGAUGAGAUUCAAAAAUGCUAGUUAAUGAAAGAGUUUCUCCGCCAGGAUGACUAAGAAAAAUGCUGAAAUAUGUGUCAUGCCCAAAGCAAUGUUACAAUGAAGAAUAGAAUGAGAGCUAACCCGAAACAAAAUCCGACAAUCGCCAUGAAAGCCUGGAUGCAGAGGAAAUGUAACUAGAGACAUGUAAGGAAUCAUUAAGCAAGUGAGAACAAUAUCAAAAUCUCAUGUACGACUUACCUUUCCCUGAGAUUCAAACUUGAAUUUUACUGUAAACCAUGACAAUCCUCUAUCUACAAUAGGAGCAAGUGCAAGGGCCCUGCAUGAGAAGCACCUCUACAAAAAUCACAGAAAACCCAAAGGAAAAAAAAAAAGAUUAAAUAAAUAGAAACUAGUCUACCAGAAACCAGGAGGCUGCAACAAAUAAUCUCCAAAUGUCAGAUUUAAUAUUUAUUUACGAAUGCCGCUAAAAGGCCUUUUCAUCAGAGAAAUCUAAAAUAAAAAAGUAUAAGGAGCCAUUUGGAUUACAGAGGUCAAAGAUUGGGUUGGAUAGGAGCAAGUUUAACCUCUCAGUAAAAAUGAAAAUGCAAGGCCCAUCAUCAACGCUAGGUUCAAAAAUUGACACCAUUUCUUGAAGACUUUCUUUUUUCAUUCUUCAAUUGUCAUUUUGAUUCAAAGAAGCGGCAGCAUGAUAGACUAAACAAUCAUCAUAAACCCAGUUGCAAGUUAUAAGGAUAAGAAAGAAAAUGAACAAAAAACAUAUAUGAGAGAACUGAUAGGCCAAAAAAAUCAUUGUUGAAGGAAUCGAGCAUAAAUCUCUGAACAAAAUUUAGCUGAAAUUCACUGAUUUUGGGUUAUUUUGUGAUAAGAGCAUUGCAAUAUCCCAAUAAACUGUUACGCUAACUAAAGAUUUAAAACAGAAUUUAGCUGCUUACCCUCCAGCUCUGACAAGUUUAGUGACCUGGCUGCCUGCCCACACCAUAGCCAUGAUUUUGACAAAUCUGCCAAUUGGAUUCCAUAUGUCAAGAUAUUUUGAAAAACUUGUGCAAAAAGAAACUUUUUGGAAUAAGUUUUUACCUUUCAACUGCCGCCAAAUAACCCAUCCUUCCUGGUGCUGGAGCAAUAUAAAACCUAGAAGCAGCAUAGUGAAUUCAGAGUUAUACUGGUUAUUUGAAAUCUACUCUGAACACCUAUGAUAGAGACUGCAGGAUGUGGUAAAACACUAAGGCAUAUUUCAAACUACAUUAUAAGGUAUUUGAUUAGAAAAUUAAAUAAAUAAAUAAAUAAAAUAACAUAACAUAAAAUACAAAAAAGAAAAAAAAAAUUAACAAACUGAAUUUGUCCAUAUGCAACAAUAUGCAAUUGUUAGCCAUGAAUCCCAGUUAUGUCGGUUUCCAGUAUUAAUAAUUAAGCAUGAUGUUUAUGAACUAGACCAGCAUUCUAAUAACUCUAGAUUGAAGGGCAUGGAUGUCACAUUUGUAUUCCAUCAUGUGCAACUAACAUCACAUUGAAAUAAUAUCCACUAAAGCAAGUUAAGACCCAGUAUAUCAGAUUAAAAUUUUCUACCAUGAAUAUAAGCUUGAUAAAAAUGAAGAUGGAAAUGCAAUACUUCUUUAUAUGACAUAAUGAAGGGAACCAAAUACAAGGACUCCCCAUUCCAGAUGCAGAAAGCCAAGUUACAACCUUUGCCAAAUAAAGAGAUCCACCAUAAAUUCAUUUUUAGACAUGCUAUAGUUGAAUAUGCCAUCAAUAAGUGAUCAAAAGCCAAUUCAGAUGGGAAUAACAGCCACAAUGUUGGGAAGGUCAAUAACAAAAGCAUUGACUUGAAUGUUGGCAGUGUCAUUUACACUGGCCAUAAGAACCAGAGGUAAUGCAUACAGUUGGUAAGGUAGUGAGAAGGGGAUGAGAAAUUGAAAAUUCUUGAAUUUAAUUGUUUCAUGCAAUUCCGUUUUCCAAUACUCUAUACGAUAAUAUACAUUGUACAGCACAAGAAUAGGGUUGUUUUAAAAUUUUGAACAAAUAAAAAUUUCAUAUCAAUAUCUAAUAUUUAAUAAAAAAGAAUGAAACAAGAGUAAGUACAUUCUCUUCUCCUUAACAUGGUAUUAAAGCAGUCUCCAAAUUCUUAACUCCUAGUUGCAAACUUGAUUUGCACUGGAAGUUGCAGUUUGCUCAUUUUGUUAUUCAAGUAAGUUACUUCAAUCUAUCAUAGUUUAAAUGACUUGGGAUGGUAGUUGUCAUGGGCACGAAUUUUCCCACAAAUUUUUCGCAUUCACGCAGCGCUUAGAAGCCCUCUAAGCCAACAUACUCAAACCCACAUGAGAUUGCAAUCAAGAAAAAACUCACAAAGACACACAAGGCUAUGGAGCUCAAUCCCUAACUUGUAUUUUAUUUCUUCUCUAAAUAACAAUACAAGACAUAGCUUAACAAGACUUCCACAAUCUCUUUGGUGAGUUCAUGCUCUCUCUCAAGCUAUGUUUUAAGAAAGUUCCCCCUCUCAAUAUACCUCUGUAUAUUCUCUAUGAUCUCCAGAUUGCACGAUAAUUCAAAGGGCACUCCAGUCCUCCUUUUAUAGGUGUGACACCAACCACUCCCUAUUUGAUAAGGAGCAAGGAAUCCUAGUUCUACUCAAACUACAAUUAAAAUAAGAAUCUAAACUCUUAUUCAAACUCAAAUUACAAUAACAAUUUGAAUUCAACUCUGAACUUUCAAAUGUCUUCGGCCCAUUCCUCAUUCAUUUGAAACUCCUUGUAUCAGGCCACAUAUCAGCCCUUCAAUUCCCUGGUUUGUGGUGCAAUACAUCUUCCUUAAGCUUGUCCCAAUGCCAAGACAUCUUUGUUGUGUUCUGCCUGAAGUCUACCCACUCUUGUGCCUUGAGUCAGUCCAUUCAUGCAUUUGAAUCAGCUGAUGCAUCUGAUCAGCUUGCUAUAGCGUCUCUAGGCAGCCUACUACAUGUGUCUCUAUGCAACUAGUGUGCAUGCCAAGCCCUCUCUUAGCCUACAGAUCUAGCAAUUUUCCUUGGUGCCAAUCUUUCCUUUGGCUGUAACCCCUUGUUGUUCCUUGAGCGUGUCAGUCAUGCUCAUAUGUGUUCCCGCAUCUGGAUCACAUCCAUGCUGAGGCAACCUGCCCAAGUUUGCUCUGCCUAGCUGUUGUUAUGGCAUCAUGCCAUGCCCAAGCCCUCUUCUUGGUGCAGCAACGAGUCAUGGCAUUGCACCCAUGACUCCUCAUCUCUAUGCACAAGGCAUUGUGCCUUUGUGCUAAGCAUUAGGCAUCACAUCUGAGUCGGCUUCCCUUAUCUCUAUGCACAAGGCAUUGUGCCCUUGUGCCAAGCCACCUCAUUGCACAAGGCAUUUCCCCCUCAUGCUACCAUCGGGAAGGGAAGACUGCAUAGCACCCCAUGUCGUUGCAACCUUGAGUUGCACACCAUCACAUGUCAUGGAGCCCAUAUAUGGUUGCUAGCAAGGCUUGCCCAUGUGCCUUGCUCAUGUUUGAGGACUUGCACCAAAGCCCCUAAGUGUGGCCAUGCCCAUGCCACCUCGUCUCCCUUGAGUCACCCCCACCCUCACCCCCCUUAAAAGAGCAUUUUAAGCCCUUUUAAUUAAUUCAAGAAAAUCUAGAAAAUUCCGCUUCCACUUGGAGUCUCCCUUUUGAAGGUUCCUAUAAAUCUUUUAUCUCUAAGCAAAUUAACCAAGUCACUUAAUUGUUUUGCAACAUUCCUUCCCUUCCCUUAGUGUAUUUCAAGAUCUCUUAAUGAACAAGACAAUUGGUGGAGGGCAUGAAGUAAAUGGAAUUUAUCACCAUAUUGGCCCACCUCUUACUCCAAUUGCUCUACGUACUUCCAUUUCUUCUAUGUAGUGGCACACCUUUCACUUCGCAUCUUUAGCAUAUGGGACUUCUAGUUAUAUUGGACUCCAAGUUAAAGCACCAAGUUUGUGAGUCAAGCAAAUAGCAUCACCAUAGUGUUGUUCUAGUCCUUUUUGUUCUAUAAUCAAUAAGAGGAGUACUAGUCCUUUUCAUCUUGUUCAUUUAGACAUUUACAGUUUAUGUAGUGUUGUUCCUAAUGUUGAACUAAACUUUUUUAUUGCUAUUUUAUUAAUUAGAUCAAUGAAAAUGGUAUGAGCAUAAAGAGGCUGAAUAAUAGGUACUAAUCUCUUAAAAAAACCUAUCUUGUAGAAACAUCAUCAGGUGACUAUGCACAAGUAAAUGGUCUGAAAAGGCGUGAGAAAAACAUUCAUUUUUGUGCAACAACCAAGUAUUUGCAUCUUAAUCAACCAAAGAAUAAAUGGCUGAAGACAAUAAAUGACUGAACAAAAAGAAAAUCAUAAGUUUUAGGCCAGACACUUUUUUCAUCAAUUAUAUACAACAACAAUAAAUCAAAUAGUCCAAAAUUUCAAAAGAAUAAUGCUCAGCAGCUAUGCAUACUCACAAGUCACAAAUACCUCAUCCUUGACUAAUUUACAUGAAUGAAUUAUUUACUUACCAUACCAAGAGAAACGUUGUAAGAUAGUAUGCAGUAUUCAGGAGUCCAUAGGAUAAUAUUCCAGAAAUUCCAUAUCUCUUCAGUUUCUUUAGAAGACUGAAAGGUUAAGCAAGAAUGAGCUCUCAAUGUAAGUAGACAUGCAUUUCAGCGUACAAAGGGCAAAAGGAUUGAGGUAUCACUUCUUACAGAUUGUUUGCAUGAAAUUCAGUAGUAGAAGAGAAAUUAAAAUGAUUGGGACAAGAUCACUCAUCCAAACAAUAGUUUAUUUACAUAGAAAAGGUCUAAAGCAUAAUCAUGCAGUAGACAAAAUGAAUCUUUUGUGUCAUGUUCCAAUAAUGUUAACAAACUACAUUAAAUUUGUAAGGUUACAUAGAAAAAGAAAGAAAAGACAUUGUUACAAUAGUUUGGUUGUUACACUGCUAGCACCCAGACUACGACCAAAUCCUUGCAUUGAAAUUGAAUUUCAAACUCCCAAUGUGAAAAAGGAAGAUACAAAAAAGAAAAGAAAAACAGGAGGAAAAAAAAAAAAAGAGGGAAAGAAAAGAAACAUGGGAUUUCCAUGUAUAAUACAUACAUAUUAUAUCUAUAGAUAAAUGCAUGCAUGUGCAUAUGUCAUAGAGGCUGGUCAAACACAUUUCAAGAAGUUUGACAACUUGCUUUGGAAUGACAAACACGUGGAUCAAUAAAUGGCUUGUCUCCAUUAUUGAGAAAUUGCAGGUAAAUUUCAUCCACUACAGGCAUGGGGUGGCUGGACAAAGUUAUGCCAUUUGGUGGGAUGUAGUGGACUUAAGACAGAAAAUUCUCAAUCAUUCUUCUGUCCCUUGUGCAGUGUUGAAGCUGACAAUAUUAUUGAGCAUACAAGGAAUGUGAUGUAAAACAUCAUUGAGGAGCCAUGAGCUGCGAAUGCAGGGAGAAAUUAAGUUACAAUUAAGUUUUGGUGAGGGAUUUUCAGAUGCAGAUCAUAUGGCAAAUUAACUUCAGAGAAUUGCAUGUUUUUAUUCAUUUCCAUACACAUUGAAUAAUCAUAUUUAAAAUCCCUCAUUCACUUGUUUCGCUUCCAUUAGUGCUCCUUCCACAUGUGUAUUAGCAGCACAGACCUCAUGAUAGUUUUGUAAAGGUAAGACAAUAAAAUUGAAAAAUACAGCUAAAGCCUAAAAUAUUGGCUCAUAAAAAGAGAAACCAUCCAAGUUCUAUCUUAAAUGACUCUACAAGUUCUAAACAGGGAGACAAGGACUUCAACCUGGUCCAUCAAUGCAUAUAAAUGGGUAAACAUUCCAACAACCAUUACGUUAGAAGUACACUAAAAGAAAAUUAUUAAACAAUGUUGUUUCCAAAAAAAUUCCAUGUUAAAGAAUAGAAGAACAUACCGCUAUAAAUGAAAUUCAUUCAAAACAGUUCAAACAGUAAAGUUAAGAAUUGUGACUGCAUAUUUUUUUUUAAAAAGAAACAAGAAUUGUGACUGCAUAUCACCACACUUGUUUUAUUUAUAAUCCACACAAUGUAUUCUUCCCUAGCAUGUUAUCCCAUUAAGUAACCUCCAGAUAAAAUUCCCUUUCUGACUCUGUCAAUCAGUCAAAAAAUUUGAUGUAAAAUGUAAAAUACAUGGGUACACAAAAACAACUAUAUAAACUGCCAUCCCAUUAUUAAUAAAUCAGUAGGUCUAUAACAUAGACUAAUAGCAUUGUAAGGCAAGUAGGAAGUACUCUUUUGAUGUGUGCAGUUCUCCUUCACCAUUUUCGCCCUUUGCACUUGAGUCUAUAAAAAUAUGUAUAAGUAGAUUUUUAGAAAUAUCAAGUUUAUCAAAUGUAAAAUAUGGUAUCACAGAAAGCUACACCAUUUUUCUAGUUAUCAUUUGAAAGAUAUUGAUACCUUCAUGGUUGGCAGAGUAGUCAUGACCAUUUGACAUGCCAGAAGCCUAACCUACAACAAAGGCAAUGUUGAAAAAGCAAUAUUCAAAAUUCAAUGAAAAAAACAGAAGACAAACAAAUGAACAAAUAGCAAAUCAUCACACUCAAUUGUUUUCCAAAAAUGAAAAACCAAAUGAAAGGAACAAGGAAUAUAUUGAGAAAAAAACCUAUGAUCAAUGGAUAUGCAGUUGCAUUCUAGCACAUAUAGAGGAUCAAACAAGUAACUAAUCUAGACAUAGCUGCAACAAAUUUGUGUAUCUCUGAAUGCGUGUCUGCUUUUUGUGGGGGGAUAUUUAUUAUGACAUGUUCUUAGUGCAGACAAACCAUCUGCAUUUACUUGAGGAUUAGGUGAACAUACUUUCCAUUUAAAAUGAGGCCUUGAACAUCAAGCCUCGGUGAGUUUUCAAAUAAGGAAAAUGUAAUAGCUUUACAAUGAGUCCCAUAGCAAGAAGGCAUAUAAUUCCAUUCAUCAGCAUACCAGAAUAUAGAAUAGUGUGGACAUGUGGACACAUGCCAGAAUUAGCAUUGGACACACUAACAUGCCAGUCAUGCAUAGAAAGAAUUUCCAAAGAUAUUAAAGUAAAACACUGGUAGUAAGCAAAUUAGACCCUGAAAAACAUGCAAGUAUAGGCCAAGAUCAAAUCUUAAUUUUAAUUUCCAGAAAAAUAAAUAAAUUAUAUCAACCAAUAGAAAUGGUAUCACCAGCAAUUAACACCAAAGCACACCAACAUAUCGGAAUGCAUAACACGUGUACCCAUCUCCAAUCAGCAUUACACCUGUACAAGUUAGCCUGUAGCAGGUCAUAAUAGGUUCAGACUAUAAAACCUUCCAAAUCUUCCUUUGCAGGGCUUAGAAACCAUUUUCUAAGUAAUUUGCAGUUUUAAAAGCCUGUGACAAAAUUUUGGAUGAAGAGCUUGAACUAUAUACUCACAAACCCACUCCAAAAUUUCCUUAAGGUAAUACACAUUUUUUGAAGUCCUUUCCAAUGUCUUCUCUUAUUUGAGUUAGAAAAGCCAAUGUUUUUAUGAAUUGACUACUACGGCUGUUGAGGUUUGAGGUGUAUAACUAAUUUCUUAAUAUAUCAUAAUUUACAUCAGUCAUUAGAAAUUAAGGUUCCAUCCUUUUACACUAAGAAAAUCCUGAGAGCAAUUAAAAAAUACCUUCUUUUAUAUUAUUAAAUUUAAGUUUCCUUUAGGUCUUUGAGUCUAAUAGAAAUUAGUGUAAAAGGAAUUUUAAUUUUCUUACACUAAGAAAAUAAAAAUAAUAGGCAAAAUAAUUUUCACAUUUUGGAACUUUAUAGGUAAUGCUUAUUAAAAUAAAGCAACAAAGUUUGUCAUUUGCCAUUGAAUGAACCAAUUGUGGAAAACUAUGCAAAAAAUUUUAUUAGUAUGGAAUUUUUUUUUUUCUGCCAAUAUAUAGAAUUCAAUUUCAAACCUGCCCCUCCCAACCCACCACUUGCUGCUUGAGGCAAGCUUAGAGGCAGAAAAAUAUUUGCAAUUCUACGUAUGGAUAAAAAUUAUUUCUUAGAUUUUAUGCCAAUUCCAUAUUUAUAGGUAUCAAUUUAUUAUUCUACUGUUGUCAGAAGCUUCAAUUUUGGGCGUCCUCAUGGCUAUGCCACCCUUAAAUGAGAACAACUUUGGUCUUCUGUUUUUCUUUUUGAGCUCUUCAAAUUUUUGCAAGUUACUUCUAUCCAGGUUCUAGGAAACACCCAUUUUUUUAAAUCUCCAAUAAUUUAGGGUUCUGUGGCUGAGGGAAUAGACUUAUUUUUGGUUGAAGCACACAAAAUUCUUGGCUAUUUUUUUUUUUUUUUUGGCAUCAGGUCCUUUUAGGUUGAUUUUUCUACUUAUUUUUCACCCACCAAUUAACAUUGCCCUAACUCUAUUAUCUACCCGAGCAAAUGUUUAUGAACUAGCAAAUCAUACUAAAAUUUCUUACUAGUUGACAUGUGCAUCAUCUCAGCAUGUCAUUCCAACACCAAACUACAACCAUAAUCUCACUAACAUCCUAACUGCCUCAAUGAGUAUGGAUUACAGAAAUACAAUUAAAAUAUACUUCCCUAUUUAAUUUCAUAAUUUUUAUAAUAAUAUUUCGGCAAUAUUUCCACAUAGUAGCUUAUGUGGGAACCCUAGGAAUGCUGGGAUUGAAACCCUGGAUUGAAACAAGAGGAUUGUGAGAGAGAAUUGGAAAUUGAAGAAACAAACACAAAAAAUAAAUCCAAGAAAUAAAAAAGAAGCGUAAAAAUGAAAUAGAGAAGAGUGUGUAUGACGCACCUGAUGAUGUGAAAGCAGCUUCAGCUGGUGAAGGCAAACUUUCGACGGGAGAGACAUGAGCAUACCGGCCUCCGACAACAAUCCCUCCAAAAUAUUCUUUCUAUACCAUUUAUUAUUAUUAUUAUUAUUUUCAGGUUAUUUGAAGUGUAAUGUCUAGCUAUACCAUUUAUUAUUGUUAUUAUUUUCAGGUUAUUGAAGUGUAAUGUCCACCAUGAAGCCCUUAGAACUCUCCAUGGACCCUAAAUCUCGGGAUGCUAAUCACCCUAUAAUAACCAGCAUAGAGUAUAUUCAAAGUAUCAUUAAUGACAAAUUUUGAACUUAGGACCAUAUGUCAUUUACAGAGACCACACUUCUUAAUGUUCAUCCUUAGCGACAUACUCAUAUAUACCAAAUUACCCGAUAAUAUGCUUUUCCUAUUUUCUCAUUUUUAGAAAAAAAAAAAAAAAGAAUAACUUCUAUUUUUAAAAAUUUAAUUUUUUUUUAUAAGUAAAUUUUUGUUCUCAUUAGGACAUGUGGAACCUCCCACAAGUCCUCUUGAAUCCUUUACCACUUGAGUCAUGCCUUAAUGGCUUGUUUUUUUAAAAAAUAAUAACAACUUUUAUAUAAAAAAAUACUUAUAAAAAAUAUAUACAUGUCAUUAAAAGUCUAAAAAAAUAUAACUUUGUUAAUAAUUUUUAAAAUAAUUUAAUGUGUUAAUUGUUCUUAAAAACUAUAAAUAACCUAGAAAAGAAUAGUAUGUUUGACCAAAUUGUUAUAUGGUUUUAAAUAGUCACCUUAACAAUGUUACAAGUGAGUUGAUUAAUUUAUGGUAGAGAAGAAUUACAAUAGAAUUCAAUUAGUUAUCGCAUUUGAAGUCUUUGAUUAUUUGUUGAAUAAUAUUUGCAGCCAAUUAGAUAGGGUUGGCUAACCCAAGCCAAACCUACUUACUAAUAUGUCCAACCUAUGCUAAACUCGAUUCAAAGUUAGGUUGGUAGUUACUAAACUCAUUGACAACUAAAGUUUCUAUGGAUUCCCACGAGUUUUCAUGGAUUAUCAAAUAAACCACAUAUAAUGGAAUCUCCUAAUAUAUAAAAGACAUAUUUCAAAAUUAUAAAUUAAACCAUAUUAUAAAAUAAAAUUUUAACAAAGUCAUAAAUUAUAUUCCUAGUGACUAAUUUUAAUGGUAAGAUGAAACACAAGUGUGAAUAUUUAAAAAUAUUUUAAUAAUUAAACAAAAAUGAUAAACUUAUAGUGUAAUGUAAUAAAACUAGCAAAAGUUAUAGUUCUUUCAUUAUCCCUUUUAUAAAUUUCAUAUUUUAAAUAAACUAAUAAAUAAUAUAAUAGUAAUGAAUUUGCUUAGUCUUCAUCAUGUAGAACCAAUUUGAAGAAAUUUUUUUUAAUAGGACUGAUUAAUGACUUAAUUAAGGGUAGGUUACAGCUAAAAUAUUUAGUAGGACUGAUUAGUGACUUAAUUAAGGGUAAACUACAGCUAAAAUUUUCCUAGUAGUCUUCCACUAUGACAAAUUGUGGGAACUAGUAGUGGCCUGUCCAACCUAUAGAGGAAACAAAUAGGUGAGUGAGUUAUUGAAUAUGUGGCUGAGAGUGACCAACCAUUGAGGCUCACAUGAAGUUGUAGUGGCUGAGAGGAAGGGAUAAGAGACCAAAAACAUGCUCAGGGAGAUUCUUGUUAGGAUCAAAUUGGGGGCAUAGAUAUAUCUCUUUGGUAAGAGUUCCCAUAAUUUAGGUAUUAAUGAAAUAGGUAUAAAAGAAUUAUAUAUCUUGAUAUGAUCAUGUUGUUAAUGAUGAUCUAAUGAGUUGAAAUAUUAUGUUUUCAACUGUGUAUAUCUAAUAAAUACAUCAAGUGCUUAAACUUUAAUAUAGAAAUGGUCCACAAUGGCUUGUAUGACUCAUCGUCUUAUAAACAUAUUAUUUAGAUUAGGCUAAAGUGGUCAAAGUAAGAAGAAAAAUUGAUACUUGAUUUGAAGUAUAAAGAAUUCUUCUUAGACUUUGUGUGUAGUGUUGUUAGCUUAUUGUUGUGUUAAAGUCUAUUUUGAUGUAUUUUGGAAAGAAUGACCAACUAGAACCACAAUAAGAUGUUGCAAAACUUAUUUAAACAAGGGCUUGUGAGCAAGAUUUUUUUUUUUUCCUUUUCAUGUACAAAUAGUAUGAUGAAUGAAAAUUUGAUUCUCGAUUGUAAUUAGUAUUUUCUUUAAGUUUUAAAUCAUGCAAUGAAUACUUAAAAUUAGCUUACGAUGUCAAAGAAUGUAAGUAAACAAGGUUUUACAUGUUGGAUAUAUAAUAAAUUCAAAACCUUUACCUUCCACAUUGAAUGAUUACAUUUUUUCUUUAAGUGCCCUUUAAUCAUUCUCAUUUUGUUUAAUCAUUUUCUCUAAUGUCUUGAGCAUAGUAGAUUUCUAUAAAUUUACAUGAGCAUUCCUUAACUCUUCUUGAGUGAUCCUAAACUUAGCAUUGAAACAAUCAUAAUUUAGGCGAAGAUGCUUACACGUCUUCAUAAUCAUCCUUGGUUGCUAGCCAUUUUUCCUUAAUUACUUUAGGAUGUUUAGUGAAGAUGAUUACAAAUAUUAACUAGUUCACUCACACAUUUUUGUAUGAGUGUAGAACAAUUUUGCAUUCUUUCCACAUCACUUAUGCAUCUUCGUUCCAAGAAAGAAGAUAUAGAACUCUUAUCUUUUGCCUACGCCACUUGGUUCUCCAGCCCAUUAUGCUUAUGCAUCCUUUUUAUAUCACAUAUGCGACUUGCUUCUCAUUAAGAUAUUUCACUUACAUGUUCUUGUAUAUGCAUAAUUUAGGGAAAAAUAUUUUAAAAUAGCAAAAUAGAUUUUAAUACAUAUAUUUGGAACAAUUAAACUCAAACUAUGCAAGUGACCUUGUCUACUAUGUAGGUGACUUUGUUUACUACAUAGGCAAAGUAUAUGACAGUGAUAGUCAAGGAAGCUAUGUGGUUGCAUGGUUUAGUGGAGAAUUUAAGAGUAAAGCAAGAUCACAUUGUGAUUUAUUAUGAUAAUGGGAGUGCCCUAAAUUUAUUUAAGAAUAAAAUUCAUCACUCAUUGGUAAGGCAUAUUGAUGUCUAAUUUCAUUUUAUUUAAGAGAUUCUAGAAGAAAGUCAUAUCUUAUUUUAGAAAGAUUACUAAUGUUAAUGAGGUAGGUCAUAUUUAAAUGUGAUCCAUGUUGAAAGGAUCAAUGUACCUUUAGGUGUGUAGUAGCAAAAAAAUUCUAUUUGGACCUAUGUUUUUCUCUUGGAACCUCAAUUCUUUAUUUUUUUUAAAGAAAAAGUGGACAUAUCAAAUUAAGCAACAUCAGUCUUUUAUUUUUUUCAUUCUUGCUUGGUUUUUGUCUUGAAUUUAGAGUGGAGAAGAUGUAAUAAAUGAGUAAGGAAAGAGGUAGAAAAUAAAGAUAACAUUAGAACUAGGGAUUGUAAAAGAGGAAGAAGAUGAGGACAUUUUUGGCAAUGUUGCAUGUCAAUUUUCUAUUUAAUGAUUCCCCUAUAAUAGUUUUCAUAUUCAUUAACUCUCUCUAAACUAAGCAACAUAUUUCUUAAAUAUUUUAAAUUCUUAUUUAUUCUUAAACUCUUUCAUUCUCAACCGGCCUUUUCACCAUUCUCACAAACCUAAAAUUUGCUCUCAAUUUAUUUCAAUAAUGUUGACAUAAAAGUAAAUAGGUAAGUCAACAUUCAACUUUUUUUUUUUUUUACAAACCAAAAUCUAAUAUUUUUGUUUAGAAACAAAAAUUGAACAAAAAUGUAUAAACUAAGAGAAAGAAAAAGUAAAAACUAGAGACUUGUAAUUGUAUAAAUGUCAAGAUUUCAAGUUAGUAAUUUAUGUCAAUAUUUGUUUUUUUAUUUUUUUUCUUGAUUUUUAUAUACCAUUUUAAUUAAUAUUUUCAAUUUUGUGAUUGAAGUCUCAAGAAUUUAUGUUAUGCUUAUUUUAUUGUUUCCAUGUCAAAAACCAAUGUGAAAUUAGUAUGACAUGUACACUUAUUAUUUUGAAGCAUAGUGUUGAUAUCUUAUUUUGUAAAACCCAUGACGAUCAAUCAUUGUCUCUCAUGUGUCUCAUUUAUGACAUGUGAGUUUGACUAAUUAUAUAGCAUCAUGCCUCAAAGAUUAGUGUUACAUAUCCAAGACAUCUCUCUAAUAAACUUGACAUUCAUUACACUUUUCUUACCCUUAAUCUUUCAUACAUGGAUAGGUCCAUGUUCUACCUUCAUAUCUCCUAUGCCAUAGUGCUACAUUGUUUGAAAAUGAAUUUUUAUCUUCAAUAAGAUCCUAAGUCACAUGGAUGACUAUGAAGCAUGGAUGUCGCCCAUAGUGAAUGUCGAGGAGAGGGGUAGGGGUGUUUCUUACUCUAUUCUUCCUAAAGAUGGUAUCGCGUGCUUCUGAUAAUUGUUUCAUUUUUAAUCUAGAAAAUGCAUGCUUCCUAAAAACUAAUAGUUGUUAUUGGUUUAUGAUCUUUUAUACCCUCUUCUAAUAUGUCAACCUUAAAAUAAUGCCUUGAUGUUAAUAAAUCUACCUAGUUCAUGAGCAAAGCUUAAGGUUAUGAAAUGGACUUUGUGUCAUUAGUUGUAAAUCUAGUUUCCCUACCCAUUAGCAUUUCAAGAUUAGUUUGAGGGUCUUGGUUUAGUAGUUAGAUCUUAUACUUACCAAGGUCGGAUCAACACGCAUUGAUCUCAUUUUAGCUUAAAUGAGAGAGAUGACAAUUGUGUCUUCAUUAUAGGUGUCAUAUGAAGAAGUUUGUAUAUCCUUAUAGAAUAAUUAAUAUUCAAAAUACUAUUUCAGAGCAUUAUAAAAAAACUUCAUUUCUAGCCAAAUGAAAAAGAGUGAUAUUCUUGGUCUCUUUGAUCCUACUACCACCAUUUCCACCCAAUCAUCUACUCUCACUUUGCUUUGCUCUCAUUUUAAACUCUUGGCACAUUUAAAACUUUCAAGUUUUAGUUGUAAGCUUAUAGAUACUAUUUUAGAAAAAAAAUAAAAUUGCAAGUGAGAUCUAAUAUUUUGUUUUGAGAAAAGUAUUGAAAAAGCCCAAGGCUUAGAAACUUUGAUUUACCUAUGUCUAAUUAUGAACUUUCGAAUGAAGAUAACAAUGUUAUAUAAUUUAAUAGUUGAAGAGAGUUAGAAGGUUUUUUCUAAUUUUGGAGCAUGAUGUACAUUAUGAGCCUAAGUCAUGACAACUUAAGUCGCUAGGAAGAUCAGUUGCUUAACAUGCCAAUAGGGUCUUGUUUAGUGGGGGUUUGUGUGUUUGAAUCUCACCUCAUUAUUUCCAUGAUUUAUUGAGCCUCAAUGUAAGUCUAAUAUGAGGUUAGUUGUAUAGGAAAAUUUUUCUCUCCAUGUGUGGUAUGGGGUUGUAGUGAGAGAGAGUGUUAAAGAAUGGGAUUAAAUCUUAAUAGUUUAAGCUUUUAGAAAAAUCAAAAGUUCAACUUGGCAUUAGAGUCUUAUUUAUUCAAAGGUUAUUAGUUUGGACCUCAAGACAUAUUAUUUCCCUAAUUUAUUGAGCAAAAAGAAGGCUAGAUAUGAGGUUGCUGAUGAGAAGUUAAUGGAGGGUCCUGAGUCCAAGUUCUCCCCUCAUUAUUUAUCUAUCUAAUUAUUUAUGACCAUAAAGUGCUUCUCAUGGUAGGUAUGGGCUCACAUAUGGGGGGAGGAGGGGUGUUGGAGCAUUAUAUAUGUUAUGUGCCCAAAUUCUAACAACUUAGUUAAGCUUUUAGGAAAAUUUAUUAUCUAAAAUUAAUAUUGUUUUGUAAUCAAAGUAAAAUCAACCUUAGUUAUUCAACAUAAUAAAAAACAUUAGUUUCCUGAUUGAAAAUGGUAAGGACUAAGUAAACUGAUAUAAAAUAGAAUGUUAUUAUAGUUUAUGGGGUGAAGUAUUAGCACUAUAAAGUUAAGUAACUAAUUUGCUAAAAUUACUAGCUAAAACUUGAAAAGUCUUAUCAAAGUGAAAAAGAAAAUAAAAUUAAACUCUUUAUUUUACAUAAUAGCAUAUCUAUAUCCCCUUAAAUUAUGAAAUUCAUGUUGUUUUUUCAAAAAAAAAAAAGAAAGAAAGAAAGAAAGAAAAAAAAAAAACCUAGAAAUGCCUACUAAAAAAAAGUCGAUUGAUACACUCCCUAACCAUAAAAUUGAGUUGUAAAUAUAAAUUAUAGUUCAUCCAAGUCUUUAUACGACUUUAAGAAAUCAAUAGCUAGUUUCAUUUACACCAUUGGUUCGUUUUUUUUUUUUUAUUCCAUUGAAAAGAAAGCAAUAAAAAUGAAUUGAGACAAAAAUGAGAAUACAAUCCAUAAAAUAUCAAUAGAUUUGUAAACUCAUUAUAAAGUUCAUAAAUCUUUAGAUAAAAAAAGCAAUAUAAAGAGGUAAAAAAUUAGGAACUAUCAAGUUGAAAAAUAGAGUGUAUGGUAAAAAAUAAAAAAUAAAAAGAUAAAACAAACAACAUUUUAAAGUAAGGGUACAAUAGUUAUUAAAAUGAAUCACAAUAAAAGUUUUCUAAAAAUUGAAAAAAAAGAGGAAAAGUUUUUGGUAUGCUUUUAUGGUUUAGGGGGUAAAGGUUCAUAAUACUCGUCAUUUUAUCAUCUUUAUAGGAAAAAAAAUUUAGACUCAACUUUAUCACAACUCAUAUGAGUUAAAAAUUUCUUGAAUGUAUUUUCUCUCAAGUUUCUAAUGGAUACCCCUUUAUCAAAGGUGUGGACAUUGAGCUAAAUUCACCAUUAAAAUUCAUCAAGUUUCUAUUUUCCUUUUCCUAAUUCAUCAAGCUAUAUUUAUGAAAUAUCCUCAUUCUUCAUUAGUAAUAUCAUAUUGUCAAAAAAACCCUUAAUAGAUCUACACCUAUCACCAGUUAAUAGAUAAAAUAACUUAACAAUUAGUUUUAAGUUUUAAGGACUUUACAAGACAAGCUAAGAACCUCAUAUUGUUUGCACACAAUUGACAAGUUGAUUUGUUUUAAAAAGUAAAAUGCUAAAGAAAAUCCACAACACGUGUUGUUUUAAAAAUCUUUGUAUUUAUAUGACAAAAAAAAAAAAGAACCAAUAGUUUAAAUUGGAAAAGUUUAUGCAAAUUAGAUGAGGAAAAUGCAAGCCAUAAAAUAACAUUCAAACGUUAUCAUUCUCUAAGAAACAUCAAGAACAUAUUGAGAGAACCAUUACUCAACAUAAUAAAUUUGUCUUGAAAGGAAAAGAAAAUCAUCAAAGCAAUCAUAUUUGUGAUGCAUUCUGAUUUCCAUAGUGUUUCCAUAUUUACUAUUAGGAUAAAAAAAUGGAAGUUGAAAAUUAUGGCAAUUCCUUGAGACAAUGAAUUAGAGUAGUAGAAAAGGAAAAAAAAUAAAAAAUAAAGAGAAAAAUAUGGUGAGUGAAAAAUAUUUUAACCCCAUAAAUUUUUCUUUCACAUCUCUUUAAAUUUAUUAAUAUCAAUUCUUUUCUAAAUAAACAAUGAAAUUUUUGAAAUUUCUUGAAAUUUAAACAUAUUUACUAGUUGUAUCAUCUCCAGUCACCUAAAUCUCAAGAUGUUCUUCAAAUGAAUUAUAGACUUUAUUUAGAUAGGUAAACUAAGGGGACUCCCCCUCUAAGAACUGUAUAUAAGAAUUUCAUCUCAUACAACUCAAAUAGAAACACCUAAACACUAGAUGAAACGGAUAUAUAAUAGAAAAAUGUAUUUCAAUGGAUCCAAUUGGUAUUUUUCCUGUCUUAGAUAAACAAACAAAUUUUUCUUCAUUAAUCAUUGUAAGUAAAUUAUAUUUUAAUUUUAAAAAGUACUAAACUUUAUUUUAAUUUUCAUGUAGGAUCAACUAACUUAUCAUAAUUAAAAUUUGUCUCUAUGGCUGAAUAGAGCUUUGAUGUAAUAAUACUAUACAAAUUUCAAGUAACACUAAAUUAAUCAAAUAGGAAACUACAGUUACGUUUGAAUACAUAUUCUAUUUUUUAUUUUUAAAAUUAAAAUUUUGAUAUAAAAUUUUUUUUUAAAAAUAUUUUAAAAUAAUUUCAAAUACACAAGAUAUUGACUUUAUAUAUAUAAAAGUUCUUAUAUUUUAUAUAAAACUCUAUUUUAAAAAAAUAGAAAUAAAAAAAUGCAUUUAAACAUAUGCUAAAUUGUUAGAUUUCAUAGAUCCUACAAUUAAUAGUGAAAAUGAAGAUGAGAGAUAACUGACUGAACUAUGAAAAGGAAUUAAAAUUUAUGAGUUUCAAAAAUACUAGUUAAUGAAAGAGAUUUUGUGCCUGGAUGACUAAGAAAAAUGCUGAAAAAUGUGCUAUAGAGUGGCUUUUCCUUUCUCCUCUUGCUAUAUAUGCAUAUCAUCCCUCUUUUUUAUCUCGUUGAACUCAACAAAUUCUCAUUUGUUCUGAGAAAAAAAAGAGAUUAUGUUAUAUGAUGGUAGGACUUUAUUCUGUUAUGGAAUAUGCACACCCUAGAUCUAUUGGCUAGAGCUAUACAGUAGGUUGUUGGCUUGUUUAGCAUUGUCUCUUUUUUGGAUAGGUUUGGACAAUGCCUCUUGAUGUUGCUUUUUGGUAAUGUAUUUUUCUUUGAUUUUUCAUGAAAAAUUCCACAUUUUGAGAUUUUCACCAUAUUAGAGUCUUUGGAAUUGGUACUUGUCUUGACACAGUUAGUAGGAAUCAUUUUCCCCAAGCUACAUAACACAUGUCUGCUAAUUGGUAAUGUUCCAUUGGCAUUUAUAAACUCUCCUGUCAAAAGUGAAUAUGCUCUAACAUUUCAAAUAGUGUGGUGUUGUACAUAGGUUGGUAAUUGAGGAUUUUAUUAUGGAUUUUGUCCUAUUCUGGUCGUGCCAACAUGUUCUGUCUUGUUCUUUGUCUUACUGAUUUGGGUGGUUGCGCGUCAUGUUUCUACAAGCUGUAUUUUUAAGCUUCAGGAGCAAAGGUAUUUUGGUUCUACCAUUUAGAUGAUGGUACUAAAGCAUUUGUAUUAUGGAUUGCACAACCCCUUAUAUGGGAUAUCUUUGCACCAAUUGUUUGGUAAUCAAGAGAACUCUCAUAUUAAACAAAGUCAUCUUCUAUUAGUAAUAAUAAUAAUAAUAAUAAUAAUUGUGUGAUUUGGAUGCUUGUGAGUGACGAACAAUAGGGUUGUUUAGGUGUUGUUGGGUAUUGAAAAGUAUAGUAAUAAUAAUAGUAAUUUUUUUUUUAAAAAGUUUUAAUUUAGUUUAAGUAUACAAAAGAAAUAAAUUGUUAGAAUAGGAUUUGGAAGAAAUAUGAGUUUAUAAAAAAUUUGGAAAUUCAUUAAAUUAUAUUAUUAUUGUUUAAGAAGUUGAAAGUAAUAUGGGGUGGUAAUAAUAUUAUCAUACGAAAUUAAUUAGGAUCCCUAAUACUAAAUAAAAUAUCUUUAGGAUUGUCAAAUUUUUACCUUUAGAUAAUUGUGUAUGAUAUUAUAUUAGGUGGGGAGUAAAUUCAUCAAGCUAAAUACUUCAAGUUUUUGAGUGCUUCUUCAAGGUAAGGGAAAUUAAUGCAGAUUUUUAUAAAAGAAAAUAAUUUUCUUUUUAUAUUGUAUUUUGAAUUGUGUAAAAAUAUUAUUUUUAUCUUUACACAUGGAUCAAAUAUAUGUUUUGUAUGGAAAGUAUGUUUGAGCAUUUUCUUUAUUUAUGAAAAAUGAAAAAUUGAGGAGAUAUGAUGUUUUGUUUUGUAAGUUUGAAUUAAUGAAAUAAAGUGUUUGACUUUGGAUUAUAUGACCCUAGUAAACGAGUUAUAAUUGUUAACUUUUUUUGUCCUAGUCAACGAGUUAUAAUAGUUGAUAUUAUAUGGCCCUAGUCAACGGGUAAUAAUAGUUGACCUUAUGGUCAUAGUCAAUGGGUUAUAAUAGUUGACCUUAUGGUCCUAGUCAACGGGUUAUAAUAGUUGACCUUAUGACCCUAGUCAAUAGGUUAUAAUUGUUAACAUUUGGUUUUGUUCAUCUUAAAUGGAACAAAUUUGAAACUAGUUACUCAAUUGUGAAGUCCCACCUAAUUGGGCACCAUUUAUCAUACGAUAAUCAGAGUAAAGAUAUUUUGAAUGUAUUCGAUUUGGUUUUGAAGAGAAAUUGUUUUGAAAUGGAUAUGAGAAAGUUUUGUUAAAAAGUAUGAAUGUAUUAGCAUUUUGAACUCAAAAGUUUUUAUGAAAAUAAGUAUAUAUUAUAUCUCCUAUUUGCAAGCAUAAUUGAAAACGUUUGAUCCAUGAAACUGUAUUAAUGUUCCUUACUAUGCUUUGAGCUCAUCCCCUUUUGUUGAUAAUCUUUCAAGCAACCUCAGUUCGGGUGAGAAGUGACCGUUAUGAGGGAAAUUCGGCUUUAUUAGGACAUUUUUUUAAACUCUUUUUAUUUUGGAUAUUGUUUAGAUGUUAAAACUUAAUUCUUGUUUGAAUUAUUUUGAGUUUUGAGUUAUUUGGACAAUAACACUUUGGUUGAUGUAUUAGUUUUUUUUUUAAAGGUGAUACUUGGAGAUUUUAGAAUUUUGUCUUACUACUUUGAACAGAGAUUUGAUAAUUGGUAAAUUUCUAGUUAUAAUACGAAUGUUUGUGUCGCUUCCACUUUGAGCUUUUGGACUCGAGGUGUGAAAUGACCGUCAUGUCCUUGAAGUGGGUUUUGGGGCAUGACAUAGAGAGAUACCUAUAAGACUUUUUGGACUAUUGGGUUUGGAAUACUUGAAUUUAUUAUAUAAUUAUCUCGAUAGUCAGUUUCUUAAUUUGGAAAAAACGCAUAGAUUGAUGGUACUGAAUUUAUCACUUAAUUCUUUGUCAGGUCAGAUCCUAGAAAAUAUUUCCAAUCUUUGAAACCUAACGCCAUUGAACAUUUCAUAACAUUGCCUCUUUGGAAUGGUUCUAAAAGAGUGGGGCUAUUAGGAGGUUUCCAAGAGCAUUCGCAGGGAUCCAGAGCUAUUCGUGCAAUCCUUGGAUAAACAAUGUUAGAUAGCACAAGGACAUGCAAGCUUGAAAUAAAUAGAGGUAUUGUAGACCCUCAAUUUUGUCCCUUGACACUUGCAUUUUAUCCUAUGGGUGUCACAUGCACCCAUGCUUUCAUAUGAUUUCUCCAUGGCCUCCUUUUGGCCUUGAUAGGUUUCUGAGCCUUGUGUAGGUUCAUUUGCGGUCCAAUGUAGUGCGGGUGUGUAGUUCAUUUUGGAGUUCCAUCAUGGCCAAGUUCCUAGUUGUCACAUCAUGCUAUAGGGAAGGAAGUGAGGCCCCCCAAAAAUUUUAGUUCAGUUGGAAUUCAUAAGAGCGGGUUUGAAUUCAGAGCACUUGGGCUUGUUUUGAUCAUAUCUCCCUCAUCCGAACUUGGAAUUGCGCACCGUUUUUUUUUUUAUGGACUCCUUAUUCGUCAAGGAAAAUUUCAAAAUUUUUUUUCUCAACCAGCUUGACCGGUUCCCAAAGUUUGAGAUUUUUUCUCAAUCGGAUGAACCGGUUGGGAACCGGUUCAACAGGUGGCUUGGUGGCAGCCCCGUUUUAUAAAUGCUUUGCAUUGUUUCGGCCGGUUCUCCCUCAUCUGGGCUCAGAAUUGAGCACCGUUUGUUUUUUGGAUUCCUUGUUCUUUGAGGAAUCUUCUGGUAAAGUUUCAGAUUUUUUCUCAAUCUGAUGGACCAGUUGGGAACCGGUUCAACAGGUGGCUUGGUGGUAGCCCCGUUUUGUAAACGCUUUGCAUUGUUUCAGCCUGUUCUCCCUCAUCUGGGCUCAGAAUUGAGCACCGUUUGUUUUGUUGGAUUCCUUAUUCUCUGAGGAAUAUUUUUAUAAAGUUUAAGAUUUUUUAUCAAUCGGAUGAACCAGUUGGGAACCGGUUCAGCAGGUGGCUUGGUGGCAGCCCCAUUUUAUAAACGCUCUGCAUUGUUUCGGUCGGUUCUCCCUCAUCCGGGCUCGGAAUUGAGCGCCGUUUGUUUUGUUGGAUUCCUUAAUAUCUGAGGAAUCUUCUGGUAAAGUUUUAGAAUUUUUUUCUCAAUUAUUCGAGCCAGUUGGGAACCGGUUCAACCGGUUAUGCUAGGUAGCUCCAGUUUCAGCGUGUUUUAACCCCCAUUUUUGUUGUGGCUUGGGCCCUUAGACUCCAAGGCACUUGUAGGCCACCUUUAGGGUCUGAAUCCAAAUUUGGUUUGAAUUAAUGUGGGCCUACCUAUGAGUCGAGGGUAUUAUUGGCUAGGAAGGUUAGGGGGUUAUUGUGAAUGUUUGGCUUGGGUACAUUUUGAUGUUUGAUUAAAAAUGCUUGUAUCUAUUGAUUUGCCCUUGUUUGCAGCGCUUGGCUGGGGACCCGAGGUACGUACUUGACUUGUUGGGAAUUGGAUUCAUUUGCAUGCGUGGGGCUUGGAUAUGUUUGCUUGUUGUGUGUUUAUAUUGCUUGACUAACCUCUUAUGUAGCGCUUAGCUAGGGACCUCAGGUACACACCUUUUAGCUUUGAUUUGUGGAGACUAAGUGCACGCUAGAUACUGAGCAGGUUCGUGUGAUCUAUGUCAUUUGUUUAGCCUGAUUGAUCAAUUGAUUUUUGACCCAUAUGCUCCCAUGUGCCCAAUUCAUUAGUAGAGAGUAGAGACCGAGUUCCAGGCCUAAAGAGGUGCUCCCUCACAUGAGGUACCUUCCCAAUAGGUAACCUGAUCCCCGGACCCAGAAUCUAGUUUUCCCAGAUUGCUUUUUCCAUAUUGGAGUCAUUAAGGGUUUUUGUUCUUACUUGAUUUUCCCCUUUAUAAAAUAAAAAUAAAAAGUAAGUGGCGACUCCAAACAAUCCUCACCGGGAACGGAUUUUCCAAAACCCAAAAACACACUUACUUUCUUAUUCUUUUAAAAAGCGUGUCGCGUCGGCCCGUGGAUCGGGUGAGAGUCCACAAAUUGGUGACUCCACUGGGGAUCGAACCUAGGAUCUCUGGUUUCAUAAGAGAAUCAAGCUUGAACUUGAAUUGGGUAUAUUGGAGCACAUGGUUCUCUGAUCAGUAGACUCUUAGGCUACAUAGAUGACUAAUGAUCACGUACUUGAUUGGUAUCUGGCUUGCACCUUUGAUGUGUUGAUGCUUGUGUGUCCACUUGAUUGGUUUUAACAUGCUUGCUCAUUGUUGAUUGGUACUUAGUUAUGAGAUUUGGGAUUGUCAUAAAUGGUCAGAUUGUGUGUAGAUUUUAUGGUAGGCCUUGCCCUUUGCGCAUAACUGUUUGCUGCAUGGCUACACUUUUUCUUGCAUGACUGUUUGCCGCUUGUGUUUUGGGGCGCGCUUGUAUCCCCUUAUUUUCGAAUUACUAGUCUUGGUUGACUAUUCCUCAUUGAUUGCUUGAGUUGUUUGGGAGUCAUUCCCAACUGUUUGCCUUCGACCAAGAUAGGGGUUUGGGAGUAGGGUCUAGCAUAAGGGUUAUAUUGAUGUUUGGGAGCACUAUGAAGAUGAUGGAUAUCCGAGCAAUGAAGAUCUGUAUAGCCCUGAGCUGGAUUUCAUGGAUACAUGCGUGGCCAGUGUGUCGCUUUGAUUGUUGAUUGAUUGUAGGUUAGGAUCAGAAGUUGCGUAUCCCUGUGGGUACAUUCAUCUAGCUUGUAGGACUUGCCUUUUCCCAUUAUUAGCUUUUGAGCCACCUUACUUCUGAGGUAUCACCAUGUCAGAGUCCUGUUCCUACCUGUGGAGCCAUAUAUUGGAUUAGCUGUUGACAUCACAUGUCAGCUCAUUCCUUUAGAGGAUUUAGUUGUAAGAUUGCAUUACUAGAUUGAUUUAAGGAUUAAUAGUCACGGGAACUGACGUACCCCUUUCCUUUUGUAGGAUUGUUGAUCGAGACCGACUUGGGUUCUCGAGCUUGGAUCUAGAUCGGAGGUUGAUUGGUUAGAGGAUCAGAUCUACACAGUCAGUUAGAGCAGAUAUCAGAUCAUAGAGAUAUGGACCCCCAAUACGCCACUAUUGACCAGUUGACUGAGAUUACAGAUACCAUGGCAUCACUCCGGGAUGCUAUAUUGGGAUUGGGUCAGAGAAUAGAUGGGCACCAGGCCCAGCCAUUGCCGGUUCCGGGGAGCACCCCGCUUGACUCUACUGCACCUCCACCUCCACCAUUGCCAUCUAGGCCUACUAUACAGUAGGAUUAUAUAGUUCCAUCUCCGCCACCACCCCCAAUUUAGUCAGCCCCGUGGGCUAGGGCCUUUAUCUUACAUGGUCAGACUGAGACUACGCCACAUUCUGUUGUGUCACCUACACAGAUUGUUGAUGACACUCAGGCCCAUAUCGAUAGGAUUGAGCAGAGGAUCAGGUCUCUACAUGUUUUUGAUGGAUGGGUUGGGACGGAUAUGAUGACUUGCCAGUGGCAGCUUUGCUAGUUGAGUUCUGCAUGUCGGACAUUGAGAGGUACACGAGGAUAGGGUGCCCCUGUAUUCAUUUACAAUUGUAUAGCACUAUUAUGCGCUGGCAUAGAUUGGACAAGGCACAGAUGAUCAUGCUAUUCCUUCUGUCUCUAAGUGGUGCCGCUCAGCGUUGGUUUGCCUCAUUGGACCCUUCAAGGCACCGGACAUGGGCUGAUUUGGCACAGGAGUUUCUUAGACAAUAUUCUUUUAAUACUAUAGUGGAUGUAUCCCGAAGGGAGCUAGAGGCCCUCAAGCAAAGGCCAGAUGAGUCAGUUACUUCAUUCAUCUCCUGCUGGAGGGAGAAGAUAGCACAAAUUAUAGAUAGAUCCUCCGAGCGUGAUCAGAUCAGCAUGAUUAUGUGCAGUCUUCACCCUCGCUUUGCCAAGCAUCUCAUGGGCUUUCCACAGACAGACUUUGGAUCAUUGGUUCAGGUCCUCUAUGGCAUUGAAGAGGGCAUAGCUAGAGGAUUAUGGGUAGACUCUUCCCGUUCAAACUCAAAGGGGAAGAAGCCAGGGUCAGGAUCCAGGCCUUCAGAUGUUGGUACCAUUGGCACGAUAGGGCACAGGUCCCAUCGUCACCCUCCUUCUCAGAGACAGUUCUUAGACACUCUUUACCAGAUGAUACAACACGAUCAGUACAAACCAGUUGCUCCCUAUAGGCCGACAGGGCCUACUUAUCUAUAUCUGGCACCGUAGCCGAUAUAUGCUACAUAGGCUCCUUAGAGGCCACCUGUACAGUUCCAUCAGCAGUAUAGAGCACCGCCUCCACCGAGGUCGGCUAGGCAGUUUACAUAGUUAGAGAUUGGUUGAGGGGGGUUUGAUUGCUCCACUACCACCCAGACCAUCACCACAUCCUACCCCACUAGGAUUCAGGAUAGAUCUUCACUAUGCCUACCAUCAGAGAGCUGGCCAUGAUACAGACAAUUGUGCGAUGCUGAGGCACGCCAUUCAGGACUUGAUUAAUCAGGGUUUGGUUGAUUUAGGACGCCCUGCAGUGACUACAGACCCACUACCUACUCAUGACAUUAGAGCUGUAUCUUCACCCCCGGGGAACGUACAUUUGAUUGAUUUUUCAGGAGAUGAGAUAUUCAUGAUGGGGUGGGACGGAGAGGCUCCUCAACCUAUUAGUCUGUACGAGGACUCAGAUUUUAGUGGAUAUAUCCAUGGACAGUAAGCUCCCAGGCCAUUCAGAUUGAUCCCGAAUGAGAUUCCCCAACAGACAGCAGUAUCGUCGGUAUACUUACAACAUGUUCUGCCCAUGACACCCUUCAUUCUAUUCCUGGAAGAGUAUAGGCCCGUUCACAGAGAUGUUCAGAUUGUUACACGGAGUGGGAGAGUAGCUCAGCCUCUACCCUUUGAUAAGUCUUUUGUUGGCACAGAUGUUAGAGAUGAUGUUUAGAGAGAGGAUGAUGAGAUAUUGCACCAGCUGUGCACCACACAGGCUCGCAUAUCCAUUUGGAGCCUCUUGGCAUUGUCCAGCACACAUAGAGAUGCCUUGGUCAGAGCUCUUAGUUAGAUCAGAGUUGACACUGCUACUACUCCUGAUGGACUGAUUCACUUUCUGACGGUUGAUAAAGCUACAUGCAUUGUAUUUUCAGAUGAUGAUUUACCACCUAAGAGAUCAGAUCAUGUUUGACCCUUAUUCAUUGAUGUUGCUUGUUCAGGUUGUUGGGUGCCGUUUGUCCUGCUAGACAACGGCUCCGCCUUGAACAUAUGUACAUUGGUUACUGCCAUUGCUUUGGAAUUUUCACCAUCCGAUUUUGGGCCAUCUACGCAGACCUUCAAAGCAUACGAUGGGACUCAGAGGACAGUUAUGGGUACUCUCACUACACAUGUCAUGAUAGGGUCGGUCAGAUAUUCUAUACUCUUUCAGGUUUUGAGGAUCCAGACAUCCUUUAACUUACUUCUCGGCUUCCCCUAGAUUCAUGAGGCGGGUGUUAUACCAUCUUCCCUUCAUCAGAAGGUGAAGUUCAUACACGAAGGGUGCAUUAUCACGAUACAGUCAGACAGAGACGUUGUUACCUCUUCCAAGCCAGUGUUACAGAUCAGUCACAAUGAGAAUGACUUGCACUUGACCGGAUUUACUUUUGAUGAGGUUCAGGUUGUUAGUUUAGAGGAUGACAACAGAGACAUGGUACCUAUGUCUUUUGAUCAGUAUAGCGGCACUUUGGUACUCAGUAUGAUGAGAGGCAUGUCCUAUAUGCCUGGCUUGGGAUUGGGUCACCGCCAACAGGGGUCGUGCGAGUUUGCUUUCACAGUUGAUCAUGAUAUACCACAUGGAUUGGGUUACACUCCUUCUGAGGAGGAUGCAUGACACAUGGCGCGAUUGAUCCGAGAUAAGGUGAGAGCUCGCUUGUCCGAGGUUCCAUUCGAUUACCCCCUUCGCCCAUACACUUUUCAGUUGGCUGACUAUUUUGCCAAAGGAUUAGAGCAUGCACCCCACACAAAGGGAGUUGAUCGUGUUCAUGAGGUAGUUGAGAUUCAGGGUAUUCAAUAGGCCUUAGGACAAAUGUGUUUUGAGUUCUGAGACCACCGAGCCACCCAAGGCCAUGGUAGUUGCAUCCCCAUCGACAUUGGUCGUAUCCUUGACACAGCCCCAGGUGGGCCCCAUUAUGCUUUUGAUAUGUUUGGAGUUUCUAUGAUUAAUUCUGAUGGUGUGACACUUUAUGACGCUUGCACUGACACGAUGGACAUGAUCGGCACUGGCCGCAUUUUGGAUACUUCCCCACCUAGGCCCCGAUCCGCUUUUGAUGUGUUUGGGAUUUCUAUGCUUGAGUUUGAUGGUGAUGGACUUGUUGCUACUAAUAUUACUCAUGAUACUAUUUUUGUUGAGGGAGUGUUCGACUCUGUGGACCUACCUCUUUCUUUUGACACUAUGUCCGGGUUUGUCACCCGCUUUGAUGACAUUUCUGAUGGUAAUAAUGACAUGAGUAUUUUCGAGUAUUUGCCUGUGUCACAACAUUUUCCUUUGAUUGCACCACGAGCAUCCACAGCACAUGUAUGUGAUGUUGAUGAUGUGGAAGACACAGAUGACCCACUAAGUGGUCAGUCAGAGUGUGACUCUGAUUCAGAUACGGAGGAUAGGAAAGCUACACCCAUUUCUGGUAUCACUGAGUUGAUAGAUUUUGGGGCACCUAACUAGCCUAGGGAGCUUAGGAUUGGCUCUUCCCUAUCUCCCGAUGAGAGAAGUAGAUUGAUAGACCUAUUCAGGUCAUCCUUAGAUGUAUUUGCAUGGUCGUAUGAGGACAUACCGGGCCUUGACCCCACUAUAGUUCAGCAUCACCUGCCCAUUUUGCCAUAUGCUAGGCCAGUUAAGCAGAAAUUGAGAAGAGUACACCCUCGAUGGAGUUUGUAGGUGAAAGAGGAGAUUCAGAAGUAACUCAGUGUUGGAUUCUUGUCAGUGGUUGAGUAUCUUGAGUGGCUGGCUAAUGUCGUCCCUAUUCCCAAAAAGGACGACAAGGUUAGAGUUUGUGUUAACUUCCAAGAUCCGAACAAGGCCAGUCCUAAGGAUGAUUUUUUCUUCCAGCACAUCUGAUUCGUGCCCAGUCGGUGUAUCAGUUGAUUCAUGUCCAGCUAGUGCUCCUUGCUUGAGGAAGUAAUCAACAAAAUUUAUAACCUAUUACACCAUGAACUAGGGUAGCAAAGACAAAGCUACUAUAGCAUAGUGGCUCUAGGAUUGUUCACUGGGAAGGGUUUUUAAUUCAUAAAUGAUACCAAUUCAAAGCUGAAUUGGUGCCUUUUGAUUUCAAGGUUAGCUUUAAAAGAAAACAUAAUUUUUGGAUGAAAAAGGUUUGGUUUAAACUAACGGUAAAGAAAGUAAUGGAAAUUACUUAUGAAGAAAAACAUUCCUUGAAGGUUUAGGUUCACAGGGGAGGUUCCUCGUGCAAAAACAGAGCUCUGGUCAUUUGGUUCAUUUCCUCGCAUUAGAGAAUUAACAUAUAGUCAAUUCUCUAAUCGGCUCUGUACAGAUGCUUCCCUUUAAUGGGUUCAAACACUAAAUCACUCUCACUGAUGCACCUUGCAAUGGCUCAUACCUCUCACCUAGCACUUGCCAUUCAAGGUGAUCUUUAACCUUGGACUUCCCGUCAAAAGCUCGUAAGAGAUAACUAAUGGAUGUCUCCUUGGAGUCCAAAAGCUUACCAAGUGUUAGCUAUUCUAGAAAAUCCUACCUUCAAACCACCUCCCAAAGGCUCGCAAUAGAUAAACUAGUGCAUCUCAAUGGAGAUCACUUGCCUUAUCAAGUGUUGGCCUAGGUGAUUUAAAGGUGUUUUAAGUUAACUAAAAACAUAGAAAUCAUUAAUGGGUCAUACUUUCUCUUCAUUAAUGGCUGAAACCGCAAAGCUACUAAUUCUUGCACUUGGAACCUUUCCCAGCAACCUUAACUCCAAGGAACUAAAAGUCUAGCCACUCAUUCUCUGAGGAAACAUCCUUAGAGCUUGUUUGGCUAGUAAGAAAAUACAAUUAAAAUGAGAAGGUAAAGCAGAGCAAAACUUUGUAUUUUUCUUCCUUUUAAAAACUAUACAAAAGUUUUUUCGUCGUCCUUUUUUGGGAACAGGCUCCCGAGAGAUAUAUAUAUGGAAAAUUACAAAAUAUCUAUCUGAGGUUAUUCACCCUUUUUCCAAACUUAAUAACUAAGGAAUCCUAUAAUUGGUGGGUUACAAGGAGAUUUUGGGGAUUUAGACAACAAAUAUCUAAAGCAAAAUAUCUCAAAAUAUCCCAAAAUAUCGGUGGCAAAUAUUAGGACGCUUCAGGAGAACACCGCAGCACUGUGCAAAAUGGCUGCUCUUCCAUCCGGGUAGACGCUAUCAGAUGAUCCGGAUACGUCCGUCCGGAGAAGUUGAAACACUCUCCUUUUCUAUCCGACAUCAGAAUUCUGGACGUGAACAUCUGGGUGGAAGUGGUGGCAGUCGGGUACAAAUUGGCGGCAGCCGGGUGCAAAAUGGCGGCAGCCGGGUGCAAAUGGCGGCGCACAUCCAGAUACAAAUUAGCGGCAGUCGGGUGCAGAAUGGCGGCAGCCGGGUGCAAAUGGCUGCGCACAUCCGGAUACAAAUUGGCGGUAGCCGGGUGCAAAUCCUAUCUGGAUAUGUGGUCCGGAUGCUCUCCGAUGGUGUAUCCGGACGCCCUGUCCGGGUAUACUCCUUACAUAGAUUCCAAAUAACUCUCCUCAAUUUCAGAUUUGCUUUGGUGAUAAAAAAGCUAUCAAAACACCAAAACUUAACACAUUUUUUAUUAGAAUUGAUUGCAAGGUCCUUAACAUGCCAAUUGAGUUAAAAGGUGAUAACUACUACUCAAAAGUGUUUAAAAGAGUUAAUUACAAGCUAUGAAAUAGCACAUUUUGAGUAGUAAUCACUCCCCCUAACCGACAUAUUGCUAGUCCCUUAGCAAUGAAAGAGAGAAAAAAUAAAAAUAAAAAGUACUGUAAUUUACAACAUCAUGCUGAUAAAAAAAAAACAAUUUCCAAGCGGCAUGAUGAUCUAACUCUCACAUGGAAUAUUAAAGAAAUAAAACUCAAACUUCAACAAGAGUUAUCAAAAAAUUUGUCUAAUCACAAUUCUUAAAGAGAAGGCUUUAUGCAAAUUUAAGCUUUAAAAGAGUUUCCACUCCCAAAGGGUCAAACCUUACUCUUCCACAAAAAUCUAAGUGUUACUUGAUAGCUUCCGAAUAUAGUAUGUUGAACUAAUCUCUCCCCCCAACCUAACUCUUUUCCAACACUUAGUAAACUGACCAAAUUCAAUAGGCUAAGAACGCACCCUUUUAUUUCACAUUUAAGGUAUUCUUUUCUAAAUUGUCCAUGUAACGGGGGUCCAUCGAUGACUCCCAACCAAUUAAGGUUUAGGGCAUCAAGCUUUAAGGAUCUUUCAACCACUAACUCCUCGAAUUUUACCCCGGACUUUUGAGAAUGAAUUUUUAUACCCAAGCACCUACAGUAUGUUAAACUCCACCUAUUCACCCUUGUAACGAGCAUUGAGGUCGGUGACUCCCAACCAACGAAGGCUUAGGGCACCAGGUUUUAAAGAUUUUCACCAUAUACCCCUCAGACCUUGCUCGGGUUUCAAGGCAAGCAAACAUUUUUUUAUUUUUUUAUUUUUUAUUUUUUUAUUUUUUUUUCCCAAAGGCUCAUUGGCCUUUUACAAGGUGUCCUAACACUAUUAAAUGAGGGCAAAGGUACCAAGUCUAAAAUUUUCUUAAGUCAAGAGGGAAAUAGUUUUUCAUCUUAUACUCGGAACUUAUUGUGCACAGUGUGUGAAUAGCUUAAAGUGGAAGACAUAAGCUUGAAUUCAAUAGAAAUUUCAACAAUUCAUCAACUUUAAUAAGCAUAAUACAAACUCUAAGUUAAGUAAAAAGACAAAAAUUCAAUUUCUCCCAUUUCAUUUUGAAAAUUUUUCCUUAAUAACCAUGGAGAGUAGAAUAAAAACUUAAAAAUUAAGCAAAAAACAACUAAAUUACCAAAAUAGCUUAGCAUUAAUAACAAAAACUUCCUUCCUCAACUCCCCCCCCAACCAAGCUGAACAUUGUCCUCAAUGUGACAAAGCGAUUAAAAAAUAGGGAGAAAGUGGUACCUCCUGAGUGGCGUGAAGUCUGAGAUGUAUAGGAGAAACCACAUGUUUCAAAAAAACAAUAAAAGAUAUGAGUAGAGGAAUUAAAAUAAUAUAAUGCUAAGUGUGGUCACAUACAACCAAUCCCACUAUAUAACACUAAAAAGAUGGGGAUUUCAAAAAGGAAAUACAUAAAGUAAAGUAUGUAAAUGAUCAGAAAUGGGGAGGAUGAUGCUGGUAAGCUGAUGACUCAGGCAUGGGGCUCUGCAGUGGUAGGGGUGAGAUGCUCAAUAGCUGAUGGAAGACCCAGAUGGUGCUGAAGCUGACUCAGGAUGGCAGUGUGCUGAGUCUGGGUGGUCAAAAUCUGCUCCUGCUGAGAACGAAUAGCUGACAUCUCUUGAGCAAGGCUGCUCUGAGUCGCGGUCAGUGUCUGCAAUGUGUGGCAUAGGUCUCUAUACUCUGAAAUGGGUAUGGUCAUUCUAAGCUCGGUUGAAGUAGAAGGCUCUGAUGCAGCUGGAAUAACUGGCGGGGUGCUAUGGGUGGCAGGAAAAGCAGAGGGUAUAUCCUCAUGUAUGGGCUCUGUAGAUGCUCUCCUGGCAGCUGGUAUCUCAGCUGGCUGUGGGUCCUCUGACUGCUGUGGCUGUGGAAGCUCUGGAUGCUUUGUUCUAUAUGCUGUCAUAUUGGUUCACUUGUCGAGAGUGAAUACCUCUCGGCAUAUGCGUUUGCGCUCCAACUGAGGGUCUGAUGGAUACCCCAGAUGCUCCAAAAUUUGGCAUAGCAAUCUCGGGAAAAGAAGUGGAAUAGCAUCUGCUCGCAGCAGCUUCUUCCUAUGCACCUUCUCUUCAUAGUAGAGAAGGACAGCCAUAAUUAGAUGGUGAGGGCCAAAGAAAUAUCCCUCUGAUAUCCUAAACAGGGCUUCUAGCAGAACUCCUCUCCUCUGCACCCAAUGCUGAAGUGGAUAAAUGUUGUGGCGCAAGAGUGCAUCAAUGAAGAACAUGCUCGGAGGAAGUUCCUUCCUCAACAGAUAUGGAUUUGUGGAUGUUCCUCUGGACAAGAGAUGAACCAUUUCAAGCUGGGGAGGAUUAGUCCAUACUCGAUAAUCCUCUAGACGGGCUGGCUCAUAUGGAAUAUGCAGGGCCUCUGCUAUGUGGCGAGCUCCUAAAAUACAAUGACGUCCGUCAAUGGUGAAGUGAAUAAGAGUAGCAUCUCUGACCUGAUUAGUAGUCAUGGACUGAUAGAGUUCCGUUGCUACUCGGGGAUAGAAAAAAUCCCUGGGGGUCAACAAAUGCUCCAUGCGAUAUCUGUGCAGUAGAUGGAAUGAGUCUGCUAGCUCCGGCUGAAGCCUGAAGGUGGCUGUGUCAAAACACAGCUCAGAGUGAAAUGGUCGAGCUCGGCAGUCCAAAUUCCCUUCAAUGGGCAGCUGAGGCUCCACCGGAGGUUCUAAAGACGACGCCAGAGUUGGGUCUGGCGAGGGCUCUAGAGAGGGCUCCGUUAAGUCGAUUGGCUUUGCAUUUACUACCCUGGGUUUCUUUUGAGGGGGACGGCCACCUGACCUGGUCUGAUAACGCCUCGCCGGAUGACUCAACGGCAUGGGCUUGGCCGAAGGUGGGGCGGCUACUUGUCGCGGAGGCUCUAAUGUGGAGCCUUGAAUAGGCGCCUUUCGCAAGACUCUCAUGCGGCUUGACGGAAAUGAUGACUUUGCUCCUCUGGUUCGCGCCAUGGCGGACUGAAGAAAAUGGCCGGAGGUGAUGGCCGAUGGCUCGCGCGGCUUCGGGCUCAGGUGAAAGAGAAAACAGACGGUUGCUCUGAUGUUCUUCCUUUCUGAACCCUUUUGGCAGCUUAAAUGACCGAUUUUUAUAAAAAUAAAGGAAUAUCAAGGGUCGUUUUCACAGCUCAUUUCGCAACUGCGAAAUGAGGGGAACUGUGCUGCGAAAUGGCACUCGUGUGCCAAGAGGGUGCUUCACAGCUGCGAAAAUUUUCGCAGAGAGGGGCCUGAGGUUGCGAAAUGAUUUCACAAAGGCUUCUUUUAGGUUGCGAAAUCUCGCAGACCUCUGUUUUUCCCCUGUUUUACACUCUUUCUUGCUCCAAACGACUUUCCUUUAAUUUCUUUGCAAUUCCUCCUACAUGAGAUCAUUUAGAAAUACUAAGUUACAUAUAAAUACACAACUUAAGACCAAAAAUCACAAGAAUUGAUAAAGCUUGAAAUUAACAAAAUUAACAAAAACAAACAAAACAACAAAAAAAAAAAUUAUGGACUUUGGUGAAACCAAGUCCAUCUAACCCUUAUUUGAUUAGGCUUUCUGUGGCUCAAGGAGGUUGAUUUCCUCCUUUUCUGGUUUGAAUGGCUCAAUGAAUGGCUUGAGACGAUGACCAUUGACCUUGAAAAUGUCAGUGCUUUUGGAAUUUAGUAAUUCCACCACUCCAUUGGGAUACACUUGGUGAAUAAUGAAAGGGCCUAUCCACCUUGACUUGAGCUUUCCUGGAAAGACAUGGAGUCUUGAAUCAUAAAGCAAGACUCUUUGUCCUUUAUGGAAUUCUUUGUUGGAGAUUAAUUGAUCAUGCCACCUCUUCAUCCUCUGUUUUGCAACUUUGGAAUUGAUGUAAGCAUCAUUUCUUAAUUCCUCCAUCUCAUUAAGGUCUAAGCACCUCUUUGCCCCAACUCUGAUCAAGUCCAUGUUUAACUUCUUGAUUGCCCACCAAGCUUUAUAUUCAACUUCCACAGGGAGAUGGCAUGCUUUGCCAUAGACUAGGCGAUAAGGAGACAUACCAAGAAUAGUCUUGUAAGUUGUUCUGUAUGCCCAUAGUGAAUCAUGAAGCUUAAUAGACCAAUAUUUUCUGCUCGUGAUCACCACCUUCAUCAGUAUAUUCUUGAUUUCCCUGUUUGCUAGCUCCACUUGCCCGGAAGUUUGAGGAUGAUAAGGUGUAGCUACCUUAUGCUUCACUCCAUACUUGGCUAAUAGGGUUUCAAAAGAUUUGUUGCAAAAAUGAGUACCUCCAUCACUGAUUAUGGCCUUGGGCACCCCAAAUCUUGAGAAGAUGUUCUCCUUAAGAAAUUUGAGAACCACCCUGUGAUCAUUAUGUUUACAGGGGAUUGCCUCAACCCAUUUAGAAACAUAGUCUACCCCCACCAAGAUAUAAGAGUUACCAAAAGACAUUGGGAAAGGUCCUAUGAAGUCAAUACCCCAAACAUAAAAAAGAUCAACUAUUAGAAUGGGGUUCAUAGACAAUUGAUUUCUUUUUGUUAGCUUCCCAAGCCUUUGGCAUCUAUCACAGCUCCUACACAUGAUGUGGGAAUCUUUGAAAAGAAAUGGCCAAGGAAACCCUGAUUGCAACACCUUCAUGACUGUUUUCUGAGAGGCAAAGUGGCCUCCACAUGCAUUUUCAUGGCAAUGGCUGAGGAUCCCUUGUUGCUCUUCUUUAGGGACACACUUUCUUAUGAUCUGAUCUGCACAAUACUUGAAAAGGAAGGGCUCUUCCUAAUAAUAAGCAUGAAUCUUUGCAAAGAAGUGCUUCAUGUCUUGUGCAUUCCACUCACUUGGAACUUCACCAGUAACUAAAUAGUUAGCAAUAUGAGCAUACCAAGGAGCUUUCUCUAGCAACAUAAGUGAUUCCUCAGGAAAGUCAUCAUUAAUAGGUAAGACAUGGGAAUUGUGUGCUAUAGCCAACCUUGACAGGUGGUCAGCUACCACAUUCUCCACCCCUUUCUUGUCUCUGGUCUGGAGAUCGAACUCUUGUAACAAAAGAAUCCAUCUAAUCAGCCUUGCUUUUGCAUCUUGCUUCGUCAAUAAAUACUUCAAGGCUGAAUGGUCAGUGAAAACAAUGAUGAAAGACCCUACCAAAUAAGCACGAAACUUGUCUAAGGCAAACACCACAGCUAACAAUUCUUUCUUUGUAGUUGUGUAGUUCCUUUGAGCCUCGUUCAAUGUUUUGCUUGCAUAGUAGAUCACGUAGGGCUUCCCAUCUUCUCUUUGGCCAAGUACAGCUCCUAUAGCAAAGUCACUGGCAUCACACAUCACUUCAAAGGGUAGUUGCCAGUUAGGAGCCCUCACUAUUGGAGCGGUUGUUAAGAAUUGCUUCAGUUGAUCAAAGCUAUUUUGACAUCUCUCAUCCCAGACAAACUUAGCAUCCUUAGCCAAAAGCUCACAAAGAGGUUUUGAAAGAUUAGAGAAAUCUUUUAUAAAUCUCCUAUAGAACCCUGCAUGGCCAAGAAAUUGCCUUAUUUCUUUCACAGUUGUUGGGGACGACAAUUUGACAAUAAGCUCCACCUUUGCCUUAUCAACUUCAAUGCCUUUCUCGGAGAUGAUAUGGCCAAGGACAAUUCCUUGACGUACCAUAAAAUGACAUUUCUCCCAGUUGAGCACCAAGUCCUUCUCAAUGCAUCUGUUCAGAACUGCUUCCAAAUUGACUAAGCAUUCCUCAAAUGUACCUCCAUAAACGGUGAUGUCAUCCAUGAAAACCUCCAUAAUUCGCUCCACCAUAUCACUGAAGAUACUAAGCAUACAUCUUUGGAAUGUUGCAGGUGCAUUGCAUAAACCAAAAGGCAUUCUUCUGUAGGCGUAUGUUCCAAACGGACAUGUGAAAGUGGUCUUCUCCUGAUCUUCCACAUCAAUUUCAAUUUGGAAAUACCCUGAGUACUCGUCCAAGAAACAAUAAAAAGGAUGGCCUGAGACUUUCUCUAGCACCUGAUCAAUAAAUGGGAGUGGAAAAUGAUAUUUCCUUGUCACAACAUUCAACUUUCGAUAAUCAAUACACACCCUCCAACCUGAAGUGAGGCGUGUAGCAAUUUCUUCUCCUUUUUCAUUCUGAACCACAGUAAUCACUGACUUCUUUGGUACCACUUGAGUAGGACUCACCCAAGGGCUGUCAGAUAUGGGGUAAAUAAUACCUGCUUGAAGUAGCUUCAGCACUUCAGCUCACACCACCUCUUGCAAAUGAGGAUUCAAUCUUCUUUGAGGUUGACGAAUUGGUUUAGCUUCUUCCUCCAUAUAAAUGUGAUGUGUACAAACCAAAGGGCUAAUGCCUUUCAAGUCAGAUAUUUGCCAUCCUAUUACUUUCUUACACCUCUUGAGAACUUCAAGUAAAGAAAUUUCCUGAUGACUAGUAAGAGAUGAAGAUAUAACAACAGGACAUUGAUUAUUUUCUUCAAGGUAUGUAUAUUUCAGCUCCACAAGCAGAGGCUUCAAAUUGAGCUUUGGGGUCUCUUUUUCAGCAGCUUCUCAUUCCUCUUUAUUGAACAAAGGUAGAAUCUCUUCUCUCCUCCUCCAACCUUGUAGAGUAGCAAGCACAUUAGGGGGUUCAGAAAACCCUUCUUCAAGAUCCCCAAGACUUUCAUUCAGCUUGUCUUGCAUAUUCUGAUUACAGUGCUCCUCCACUAGAGUGUCGAUAAUGCAUACCUCUUCUGGAUCUUCUUCUUCUUCCGGAGUGAUUUGCUUUUUAGACAUAUGAAAAAUGUUGAGUUCAAGUGUCAUAUUGCCAAAAGUGAGUUGCAUGAGUCCAUUCCUACAAUUGAUGAUUGCAUUUGAAGUAGCAAGGAAUGGCCUUCCAAGGAUGAUAGGAACUGAAUUAGCUUCCUUUACAGUAGGAUCUGUAUCAAGAAUAACAAAAUCUACUGAAUAGUAGAAAUUAUCAACUUGAACUAAGACAUCCUCAAUUACCCCCCUUGGAAUUUUUACUCAUCUAUCUGCUAGAGAUAGGGUGAUUGAUGUUGGCUUCAACUCACCAAGUCCCAAUUGCUUAUAGACAGAGUAUGGUAGCAAAUUCACACUUGCUCCCAAGUCUAACAAAGCUUUCUCCACUACCUUUCCUCCAAUCAUGACUGAAAUGGUAGGACAUCCCGGAUCUUUGUACUUCAAAGGAGACUUGCAUUGUAUGAUUGCACUUACUUGCUCAGUCAAGAAGGCUUUCUUGUUCACAUUCAACCCUCUUUUGAUAGUACACAGGUCCUUUAGGAAUUUUGCAUAUGUUGGAACUUGCUUAAUCAUAUCCAGCAAUGGAAUGUUGACCUUCACUUGUCUCAAUACUUCAAGGAUUUCUGAUGCAUUUUUUAUCCCCUUUUUCCCAUGCAAAGCUUGAGGAAAAGGUGGAGAUAUACGUUUCUUCAUCAAUUCUUCCUUAAUAAGCUCUUUCUCCAUAUUUGCAUUCACUGUUGAAUCACGGUCCUCCUUCUCUUCACUAACAUCUUUCUGUUUUCCUUUCAUUUCCUCCCCCUUCUUUGUUUCUUCUUCUUCUUCAACAUGUGGCUUGGGUGUUGGUGGCUCAACCUUUUUACCACUCCUUAGAGUGAUCAAGGCUUUAACAUUUUUCACCUGUGACGAUUCUCCCUCAUGGAUUUCCAUUUCAUGGAUACCCUUGGGGUUUUGGUGAGGUUGAGAAGGAAAUCUACCCUUCUCUUGCACUGUGUUCAAGUUAGUGAGCCUUGAUAUUGAGUAUUGGAGAUUAUCUAUCUUUUGAGAUAGAUGAUUUUGCAUCCCAUUCAUCCUUCUCUCUACACUGUCAAUUCUUUGACUGAGUUGAGCAUUGAUGGCUUUUUGGUCUCCAACAAAAUCUUCCACAACCUUGCUUAGAUUCGCUAUUGCUUUUUCAAGACUUGAAGAUUGUUGAGAUAGUUGAGCCGGUUGAGAUGGUGGAGCCGGUUGUUGGUAUUGAGGUGCUCUUGCCUUCCAUGAGAAAUUUGGAUGAUUCCUCCAACUUGAGUUGUAAGUAUUUCCAUAUGGUGCAUUGUUAUUGGGCUUGAAUUGACCAACAACAUUUGCUUGAUCUCCAAACAUUUCCCUUACAGUUGGAAUUGUAGGGCACUCCUCCACCAAGUGUUCAUAAGACUGACAAAUAGGACACAACUUUACUUGCACUGGUGCUUCAGCAACAGCUUGCACUUCAUGCAUCUUUUUCAGUUCUAGCUCCUCCAAUCUUCUUGUCAUAGCUGCAAAUUUUGCUUUCAUAUCAUCAUCUUCAUUCAAGGUGUACAUCCCAGCCUUAGCAUUGAAAGCACUCGAUUGAGACUUCAUCUUUCCCACUUCUCCUUUGUUGGGUUCAUCCCAUCCCCUUGAAACUUCAGCCACAUAACUCAAGAAAUCCAUAGCUUCCUCAGGAUUCUUACUCAUGAAAUCCCCUUCACACAUUGUUUCAAGGAGUUGCUUCAUUGAGGAAGACAUCCCAUCAUAAAAAUAGCUCACCAACAGCCAUGUAUCAAAGCCAUGGUGAGGACAAGCAGUUAUGGCUUCUAUAUAUCUUUCCCAACACUCAUAGAAUUUCUCAUUCUCUUUAGCUGAGAAGUUUGAAAUUUGCCUUUUCAAGCCAUUUGUUCUGUGAGUAGGAAAAAAUUUCUUGAGGAAUUCAGCUUGUAAGUCAGUCCAAGUACGGAUACUCCUUAGCCUUAAAGAAUUAAGCCAGAUCUUGGCCUUAUCCUUUAAAGUAAAAGGAAAUAGCUUAAGCCUCAUCAAGUCGAUAGAAGCUCCUUCCUCUCGGAAUGUAUUACAAACAUCUUCAAAUUCUUUGAUAUGGGCAUAGGGAUUCUCACUUUCCAUUCCAUGGAAAGUUGGUAGAAGUGGCACAAUAUGAGGUCUGAUCACUAGCUGCUCUGUAGGGGGCACUAUACAUGAUGGUGCACUCAUACGAGGUGGAUGCAUUCGGUCCCUCAUUGAGAUGAAAGCAUUGGGAUUAUCCUGGUGACCAUGGUGACUAUGCUGAUCUUCAGGUGUAGCUUCCAUGAUAUUCAAGCUCAAUUCCAAUUCCUUGUUAUGAGGUUAUCAAGUUUAACAAGCCUUCUUCCACUGUCUCGUAUCUAAUUUGGCAUACACAACUAGUAUCGAUUGUAACUAAGAAAGAAAAACAAAAAUAGAGGAAAACAAAAAAAAAACUACCAAAAAGAGUUCGAUUAACUAAAACUAAAUUAAAAACUAUGCUAGUAUAUAAACGAGUAAAAGAAAAAACUAAAAGAGUUAGUAAAAUGAGAGAAAAUUCACUAAACUUGUGAUGAAAACCACAGGUACCUUGAAAUAAUAUCACUAUGAAGUUGGCACCUUCCCCGGCAACGGCGCCAUUUGAUUCGUGCCCAGUCGGUGUAUCAACUGAUUCAUGUCCAGCUGGUGCUCCUUGCUUGAGGAAGUAAUCAACAAAAUUUAUAACCUAUUACACCAUGAACUAGGGUAGCAAAGACAAAGCUACUAUAGCAUAGUGGCUCUAGGAUCGUUCACUGGGAAGGGGUUUCAAUUCAUAAAUGAUACCAAUUCAAAGCUGAAUUGGUGCCUUUUCAUUUCAAGGUUAGCUUUAAAAGAAAACAUAAUUUUUGGAUGAAAAAGGUUUGGUUUAAACUAAUGGUAAAGAAAGUAAUAGAAAUUACUUAUGAAGAAAAACAUUCCUUAAAGGUUUAGGUUCACAGGGGAGGUUCCUCGUGCAACAACAGAGCUCCGGUCAUUUGGUUCAUUUCCUCGCAUUAGAGAAUUAACAUAUAGUCAAUUCUCUAAUCGGCUCUGUACAGAUGCUUUCCUUUAAUGGGUUCAAACACUAAAUCUCUAUCACUGAUGCACCUUGCAAUGGCUCAUACCUCUCACCUAGCACUUGCCAUUCAAGGUGAUCUUUAACCUUGGACUUCCCGUCAAAAGCUCGCAAGAGAUAACUAAUGGAUGUCUCCUUGGAGUCCAAAAGCUUACCAAGUGUUGGCUAUUCUAGAAAAUCCUACCUUCAAACCACUUCCCAAAUGCUCGCAAGAGAUAAACUAGUGCAUCUCAAUGGAGAUCACUUGCCUUAUCAAACUAGUGCAGUCGGGUACAAAUUGGCGGCAGCCGGGUGCAAAAUGAUGGCAGCCGGGUGCAAAUGGCGGCAGCCGGGUGCAAAUGGCGGCGCACAUCCGAUACAAAUUGGCGGCAGCCGGGUGCAAAUCCUAUCCGGAUAUGUGGUCCGGACGCCCUCCGAUGGUGUAUCCAGACGCCCUGUCCGGGUAUACUCCUUGCAUGGAUUCCAAAUAACUUUCCUCAAUUUCAGAUUUGCUUUGGUGAUAAAAAAGCUAUCAAACACCAAAACUUAACACAUUUUUUAUUAGAAUUGAUUGCAAGGGUCCUUAACAUGCCAAUUGAGUUAAAAGGUAAUAACUACUACUCAAUAGUGUUUAAAAGAGUUAAUUACAAGCUAUGAAAUAGCACGUUUUGAGUAGUAAUCAACAUCGAUAUGCUAGUUGACAGCACUGCAGGGCAUUCGAUGUUGUCCUUCAUGGAUGGAUUUUAUGGGUAUAACCAGAUUGUAAUAGCUCUAGAGGAUAUGGAGAAGACUUCUUUCAUCACUAAGUGGGGUACUUAUUGCUACCUGCUUAUGCCAUUUAGGUUGAAGAAUGCGGAAGCCACUUAUCAGAGAGCUGCUACUACUUUAUUCCACGACAUAAUGCACAGAGACGUCGAGGUAUAUGUGGAUGACAUGAUAGUGAAAUCCCGAGACAGGGCAGAUCACUUAGCAGCACUACAGAGAUUCUUUGAGAUGAUCUGACAGUUCAGGCUAAGAUUGAAUCCCAAGAAGUGUACAUUUGGGGUGACUUUUGGGAAAUUGCUAGGACAGAUCGUCAAUGAGCGUGGUAUAGAGGUUGAUCCCGAAAAGAUCAGAGCCAUACUUGACAUGCUUGCUCCGAGGACUGAGAGAGAGAUUAAAGGCUUUCUUGGCAGACUACAGUAUAUAAGUUGUUUCAUUGCUAGAUUGACAGACAUAUGCGAGCCUAUCUUCCUUCUUCUGAGGAAGAACCAGCCUACAGUUUGGAAUGAUGAUUACUAGCGCGCUUUCCAGAAGAUUAAGGAGUGUCUCCUCUCUUCUCCAGUUUUAGUGCCUCCCACACGGGGGUGGCCUCUGCUUCUGUACUUGUCCGUUUCAGACAUGGCUUUGGGAUGCAUGUUAGCUCAGCUCGAUGAUUCAGGGAAGGAGCGAGCCAUUUAUUAUCUGAGUAAGAGGAUGCUGGAGUAUGAGUGCAAAUACAUUAUGAUUGAGGGCCUCUAUUGAGCAUUUAUUUGGGCCACCAAGAGGCUGAGGAACUACGUGACAGAGUAUUCCAUAUUAUUAGACUCACGAUUGGAUCCAUUGAGAUAUUUGUUUGAGAGGCAUGUCCUGACUGGUAGGCUCAUGAGAUGGUUGGUGCUGUUGACAGAGUUUGAUAUUUAGUAUGUUACACAGAAGUCGGUAAAAGGGAGCAUUGUUGCAGAUCAUUUGGCUUUUUUUCCCGUAUCUAACGACAAACCGAUUGACGAUGAUUUCCCUGAUGAGCAGUUUGUCUUAGUGACCAGUAUUGCAGGAUGGUGGUUAUACUUUCAUGGUGCUGCCAAUCAGUCGGGGUUUGGUAUCGGUAUCCUAUUGAUAUCACCACAAGGUGAUCACAUUCCCAUAUCAGUCCGAUCGGCAUUCUUUGAUCAUCAUCGACUGACGAAUAAUAUUGUUGAGUAUGAGCCGUGCAUUACAGGUUUGUAGACUGCGCUAGACCUUGGAGUCAGAUAGUUGGAGAUCCAUGGGGAUUCCAACUUGGUUAUUCAGCAAACUUAGGGUAUUUGAAGGACUUAGGAUGAGAAGUUAAAGCCCUAUCAUGCUUAUUUGGAUUUGUUGGUUGAUAGGUUUGAGCAGUUGAGAUAUAUACAUCUGCCUAGGGCAGAAAAGUAGUUUUCUGAUGCAUUAGCCACCUUAGCUUCUGUGAUUGAGAUUCCUGCGGGAGUGAUAGUGUGACCAUUGGUGAUUGAGACUAGGUCCGCACCAGCUUACUGUUGUUUGAUUGGGGAUAUUGAGGACCAGGAUGAGUUGCCCUGGUAUCAUGACAUUUAUCAGUUCUUGUUAUGUGGCGCUUACCUUGAGUCAGCCUCAACCAAGGAUAGGAGAGCUUUGAGGCAGCUAGCCACUAGAUUCGUGAUUUGUGGAGAGUCCUUCUAUAGACGAUCACCCGAGGGCUUAUUAUUGCUGUGUUUAGACCAUACCUCUGCAGAUAGAGUAAUGAGAGAGGUUCAUGCAGGAGUUUGUGGCCCACACAUGGGGAGACAUAUGUUGGCCCGAAAGAUUAUGAGGACAGGUUAUUUCUGGUUGACUAUGGAGGUAGAUUGUUGCCAGUUCGUUCAGAGGUGCCCAGAGUGUCAGAUGCAUGGUGAUCUCAUUCACGUGCCACCUUCGGAGUUGCAUGCACUCACAUCCCCUUGGCCAUUUUCAGUGUGGGUUAUUGAUGUUAUUGGAAAGAUCUCACCCAAGUCUUCUAGCGGGCAUGAGUAUAUCUUAGUUGCCGUUGAUUAUUUCACCAAGUGGGUGGAAGCUGCUUCUUAUGCUAGAUUGACAGCGGCCAAGGUGGCCAAAUUCAUCAGGUCACAUAUUAUCUACCGAUAUGGGGUCCCCCCGAGCUGAUUUCUGAUAGAGGGUGUAUUUCAGGGGCGAGGUGGAUAUAUUGAUUAAGGAGUAUAGCAUUUAGCAUCACAGAUCGUAUGCGUAUAGGCCGCAGACUAAUGGGGCAGUUGAGGCUGCAAAUAAAAAUAUCAAGAGGAUUUUGAGAAAUAUGGUCGAGACUUCUCGGGAUUGGUCAGAGAAGCUCUCUUUUGCAUUAUGGGUUUACCGUAUAUCUUUUCGUACUUCUACCGGGGCUAGCCUGUAUUCUUUGGUAUAUGGUAUGGAGGCGGUGCUGCCUGUUAAGAUUGAGAUGGGAUCCUUGAGAGUAGCAUUAGAGCAGCAAAUAUUUGAGACUGAAUGGGCUCAGUCCCAUUAUGACCAACUUAGUCUUCUAAAUGAGAGGAGAUUGAGGAUAGUAGAUCAUGUUCAAGCUUAUUAGAGGAAGACGACUCGUGCAUUUAGAAAGAGGGUUAAGCCUAGGAAAUUUCAGAAGGGUGACUUAGUCUUGAAAGUCCUCAGGGGAUUGAUCAGUGACCCUAGAAGCAAGUUUAGACCGACUUGGAGCGGGCCUUAUGUUAUUCGAGAUUUGACCCGAGAGGGAGCCGCCUGGCUGACGGACUUAGACGAAAAUCAGUUUAAGGAGCCAGUCAAUGUGGAUCAGUUGAAGAAGUUUUAUGCGUGAGAUCAUGGUUAGAGGAUGGGUGGCCAUCAUUUUUUAGUAGCCAUUUUUCUUGUUGCACACCCACACAUUGAUAUAUCCUAUUGCUAGCCUGUUGUGCCUCAUGUGGUUUGUUAUGGCCUAUUCAUUCACUUAGCCUUGCAUACAUUUUCUCACCUGGGUUGGGGGCCUGUCCUUUGCGCUUUACAUUUAUUGAUUGGAUCUGUGAGUAUCGUGAGCUUUCUGUCAUUGUUCAUGUGUUCUUUCUUUGGUCAUUCAUGGUUUCUUCUUUCGUCCAUUGUGCAUUUUCAUUUCAUCUGGCUUUGAGUUCUGUUUCUAUCAUCUCGACUCUAUUCGCUUCUGUUUUCUCUUAUGUGAUGAUAACACGCUCUUGUCUUGGAGCUACAGGUCAGGCCUUUCACACCCUUCAUUCCACUUGUAGUCUUUGAUCUAGGAUUCUUAGGUUGAGGUGGGACCAUUUGGGAUGAGAGUUUUGAGGUUCUUUUGGUUGGACUAUGCUAGUGUGGCAUUCAGCUAGCUUUGGUUAUUUGGCGCAAAAAAAAAAAAAAAAAGAAGUGCUUAUUUGGUAUUUGUUGUUAUACUUGGGAUUAUCAGAGAUCAUUUGGGUUUGAGAGAUUUAUUAUUCCUCUGAGAGUUGGAUGAGAGCAUUGUACAAUCCUUCUCCAUGGAUUUGGGUGACACAUUGGGAGUAAGGUUUGGGUUUCUUUGGCACUCGGUCCCCUGGAUCAUUGUUUACAUCACCUUUCCCAUCUUACAGUGACUUGCUUCAGUCUGGCGUUCUUGGGAUGAGUUGUUCAUCGUUGUCACAUAUUGCUACAUUUUUAUCCUAGCUUGUUCCUCCAUUUUCUACUACAUCCAAUCAUCAUUUGUCUUAUCCCUUUUCGCCUUCUUCUAUCCUCAUCGAAUGUCGUUUAGCUUUAUGAACGACGAGUUCUUUGGUGCACAUCACCUAUUGUUUGACAUUAUUCAUUUGGAUGUAGGUUGAGUCACCUUGCUCACUGAUUUCGUGCCCAGCUGGUGUACCUUGAUUUUGGUCCUUAGAUAGGAGUAAUCAACAAAAUUUAUAACCUAUAUCACCAUGUACUAGGAUAGCCUCAGCUAACAUAGCAUAGUGGCUCUAGGAUCGUUCACUAGGAAGGGUUUUCAACUUGCAACUGAUAAUAAUUCAUAGUUGAAUUGAUGUUUUUUUUCAUUUCAAGGUUACCUUUAAAAGAAAACAUAAACUUUGGUUUAAAAAUGAUUGGUUUUAAGCUAACUAAAAAUAGAGUAACAAAAAUGACUUAAGUGGAGCUAAUAUCCUUGCUUUCUUCUUAGGAGGACGGCUAGUUGACUUCUUUGCACGAGAAGAGCUUGCCCCGAGUGUGGUGGGUGAUCUUCUUGUCUCAUAUCGCCUCGAAUGAGAACUCAAAGGCGCGCCCUCUACUGAAGGUGGGACGACAAGUGGCUGUGAAGGCUCAAUCAUGGAGCCUUGCAUAGGGGCCACUCUUGGUGCUCUGGGAUGGCCUGAGGGAGAUGAGGUCUUGGUUCCUCGGGUUUUUGCCAUGGCUGACUCAGAGAGGUUUGAGAGAGGGUGGUCGGAGGUGCGUGCGCGGCUUGGGCUCAGAUGGAGGUCCUCUGGAAAUGGUGCUUUGGCUUGGCUCCUAUUUUGCACCAAAGGGAGGUUUUCGCAAGGCAAAUGACCGGUGUAAAGUGAAAAAAAAUGGAAUUUAAAAAGUUAAAUUAGAAGCCAAGUGACGGUUGAGAUUUUUCGUAGAGGAGCGGGCAUUUCGCAGCGGAGGCCCAUUUUCACAGCCAAGGACCAUUUUCGCAGCCCAUUUUGCAGCUGCGAAAUGAGAAAGUGGGGCUGCGAAAUGGCACUCGUGUGCCAAAGUGGGGUUUUGCAGCUGCGAAAUGGAGCUUUGGCUGCGAAAUUGAGCUUUUGAGGGCCUUGGAUGGUUUCACAGAAGGUUUCGCAGUUGCGAAAUGAAGGCUUGGGCUGCGAAAUGACACUCGUGUGCGAAAAGAAGGUUUCGCAGCUGCGAAAAUUUUGGCAGAAGAGGGCUAUGGGGCUGCGAAAUUGUUUCGCAGAGGAGGACCCAUUUCGCAGCAAACCCUUGAUUUCACAGCGAGUCCCUUUUGGCUGCGAAAUUAUUUCACAAAGGAUGGUCGUUUUCGCAGGGGGCUAUUUUGGGCUGCGAAAUUUUGCAGGCCACUGAAAUUUCUUGUUUCUGAGCUCCUUUUGGCUCCCUGAGACCUUCCUUCACCUCUUUUGCAAUUCCUCCUAAAUUAGAUCAUUCAAAAAGUCUAAGUUACAUAAAAAUAACAUAAAUUAAGACUAAGAUUAAAAUCAAAACAAUUAAUAAAGUUCUUAAAUUAACAAAAUUAAACAAAAAAUAUGGACUUUGGUGAGACCAAGUCCAUUUAACCUCUUUCUGAUUAGGAUUUCUGUGGCUCAAGGAGGUUGAUUUCCUCCUUACCUUGCUUGAAUGACUCAAUAAAUGGUUUGAGACAAUGGCCAUUGACUUUAAAGGUGUUAGUGUUGUUGGAAUUCAGUAAUUCCACCACUCCAUUGAGAUGCACUUGGUGAAUAAUGAAAGGGCCUAUCCACCUUGACUUCAGCUUCCUAGGAAAGAUAUGGAGCCUUGAUUCAUAGAGUAAGACUCUUUUUCCUUUUCGGAAUUCUUUGUUGGAGAUUAACUGAUCAUGCCACCUCUUCAUCCUCUGUUUUGAAACUUUGGAAUUGAUGUAGGCAUCAUUUCUUAAUUCCUCCAUCUCAUUAAGGUCUAAGCACUUCUUUGCCUUGGCUCUGAUCAAGUCCAUGUUAACCUUCUUGAUUGCCUACCAAGCUUUAUAUUCAACUUCUACAAGGAGAUGGCAUGUUUUGCCAUAGACUAGGCGAUAGGGAGACAUGCUAAGAAUAGUCUUGUAAGCUGUUCUAUAUGCCCAUAGUGAAUCAUGGAGCUUAAUAGACCAAUCUCUUCUGCUCGUGUUCACCAGCUUCAUCAAUAUAUUCUUGAUUUCCCUGUUUGCUAGCUCAACUUGCCCGGAAGUCUGAGGGUGAUAAGGUGUAGCUACCUUAUGCUUCACCCCAUACUUGGCUAAUAGGGUUUCAAAAGGCUUGUUGCAAAAAUGAGUACCUCCAUCACUGAUUAUGGCCUUGGGCACCCCAAAUCUUGAGAAGAUGUUCUCUUUGAGAAACUUGAGAACCACCCUAUGAUCAUUGUGUUUACAGGGGAUUGCCUCAACCCAUUUAGAAACAUAGUCCACCCCCACCAAGAUAUAAGAGUUACCAAAAGACAUUGAGAAAGGUCCCAUGAAGUCAAUGUCCCAAACAUCAAAGAGAUCAACUAUUAGAAUGGGGUUCAUAGGCAUUUGAUUUCUUCUUGUUAGCUUCCCAAGCCUUUGGCAUUUAUCACAACUCCUACACAUGGUGUGGGCAUCUUUGAAGAGUGAUGGCUAACUAAACCCUGAUUGCAACAUCUUCAUGGCUGUUUUCUGGGAGGCAAAGUGGCCUCCACAUGCACGCUCAUGGCAAUGGCCGAGGAUUCCUUGUUGCUCUUCUUCAGGGACACACUUCCUUAUUAUUUGAUCUACACAAUACUUGAAAAGGAAAGGUUCUUCCCAAUAAUAAGCAUGAAUCUUUGCAAAUAAGUGCUUUCUAUCUUGUGCUUUCCACUCUCUUGGAACUUCACCAGUAACUAGAUAGUUAGCAAUAUGAGCAUACCAAGGAGUUUUUUCUAGCAACAUAAGUGAUUCCUCAGGAAAGUCAUCAUUAAUAGGUAAGACAUGGGAAUUGUGUGCUAUAGCCAACCUUGAAAGGUGGUCAACUACCACAUUCUCCACUCCUUUCUUAUCUCUGAUUUGGAGAUCGAAUUCUUGUAGUAAGAGAAUCCAUCUAAUCAACCUUGAUUUUGCAUCUUGCUUUGUCAAUAAAUACUUCAAGGUUGAAUGGUCAGUGAAAACAAUGAUGAAGGACCCUACUAGAUAAGCAUGAAACUUGUUUAAGGCAAACACUACAGCUAACAAUUCUUUCUCUGUGGUUGUUUAGUUCCUUUGAGCUUCGUUCAAUGUCUUACUUGCAUAGUAGAUCACAUAGGGCUUUCCAUCUUCUCUUUAGCCAAGCACAACUCCUAUAGCAAAGUCACUGGCGUCACACAUCACUUCAAAGGGUAGUUGCCAGUUAGGAGCCCUCACAAUUAGAGUAGUUGUCAAGAAUUGCUUCAGUUGAUCAAAACUCCUUUGACAUCUUUCAUCCCAUAUAGACUUAGCAUCCUUAGCCAAAAGUUCACAAAGAGGCUUUGAAAGCUUAGAGAAAUCUUUUAUAAACCUCCUAUAGAACCCUGCAUGGCCAAGGAAUUGCCUUACUCCUUUUACAGUUGUUGGGAAUGACAAUUUGACACAAUAAGUUCCACCUUUGCUUUAUCAAUUUCAAUGCCUUUCUCGGAGAUGAUAUGGCCAAGGACAAUUCCUUGCUGUACCAUAAAAUGGCAUUUCUCCAAGUUGAGCACCAAGUCCUUUUCAAUGCAUCUAUUCAGAACCGCUUCCAAGUUGACUAAGCAUUCUUCAAAUGUACUUCCAUAUGUGGUGAUAUCAUCCAUGAAAACCUCCAUAAUUUGCUCCACCAUAUCACUGAAGAUACUUAGCAUACAUCGUUGGAAUGUUGCAGGUGCAUUGCAUAAACCAAAAGGCAUUCUUCUAUAGGCAUAUGUUCCAAAUGGACAUGUGAAAGUGGUUUUGUCCUGAUCUUCAAUAUCGAUUUCAAUUUGAAAAUACCCGGAGUAGCCGUCCAAUAAACAAUAGAAAGGAUGGCCACAGACUCUCUCCAACACUUGAUCAAUAAAUGGCAAUGGAAAAUGAUCCUUCCUUGUCACAGCAUUCAAUUUUCUAUAAUCAAUACACACCCUCAACCCUGAAGUGAGGCGUGUAGAAACUUUUUCUCCCUUUUCAUUUUGAACCACCGUGAUCCUUGACUUCUUUAGUACCACUUGAGUAGGACUCACCCAAGGGCUGUCGGAUAUGGGAUAGAUAAUACCUGCUUGAAGUAGCUUCAGAACCUCAGCUCGCACCACCUCUUGCAAAUGAGGAUUCAAUCUUCUUUGAGGUUGAUGAAUUGGUUUAACUUCUUCUUCCAUGUAUAUAUGAUGUGUAUAGACCAAAGGACUGAUGCCUUUCAAGUCAGAUAUUUGUCAUCCUAUUGCUUUCUUACACCUCUUGAGAACUUCAAGUAGACACAUCUCCUGAGGAGUAGUAAGAUAUGAAGAUAUAACAACAGGGCACUUUUGAUUUUCUUCUAGGUAUGUAUAUUUCAACUCCGUGGGUAGAGGCUUCAGAUUGAGUUUUGGGGUCUCUUCUUUAGCAGCUUCUUGUGCCUCUUCUUUAUUGAACAAAGGUAGAAUCUCUUCUCUUAUUCUCCAACCUUGUAGAGAAGCAAGCACAUCUGAGGGUUUAGGCAACCCUUCUUCAAGAUCCCCAAGACUUUCAUUCAACUUGUCUUGCAUUUUCUUAUUACAAUGCUCCUCCACUAGAGUGUCAAUAAUGCACACCUCUUCUGGACCUUCUUCUUCUUUCGGAGUGAUUAGCUUUUUGGACAUAUAGAAGAUAUUGAGCUCUAGUGUCAUGUUGCCAAACGUGAGUUGCAUGAGUCCAUUCCUACAAUUUAUGAUUGCAUUUGAUGUAGCAAGAAAUGACCUUCCAAGGAUGAUAGGAACAUAAUCCGUUUCCUUGACAAUUGGGUCUGUGUCAAGAACAAUAAAGUCUACUGGAUAGUAGAAAUUAUCAACUUGAACUAAGACAUCUUCAAUUACCCCCCUUGGAAUUUUCAUUGAUCUAUCUGCUAGAGAUAGAGUGAUUGAUGUUGGCUUUAAUUCACCAAGUUCCAAUUGCUUGUAGACAGAGUAUGGUAGCAAAUUCACACUUGCUCCCAAGUCUAACAAAGCUUUCUCCACUACUUUUCCUCCAAUCAUGAUUGAAAUGGUGGGACAACUCGGAUCUUUGUACUUCAAAGGAGACUUGCAUUGUAUGAUAGCACUCACUUGCUCAGUCAAGAAGGCUUUCUUAUUCACAUUCAACCCUCUUUUGAUAGUACACAAGUCCUUUAGGAAUUUUGCAUAUGUUGGAACUUGUUUAAUCAUAUCCAGCAAUGGGAUAUUGACUUUCACUUGUCUCAAUACUUCAAGAAUUUCUGAUGCAUUUCUGAUCCCUUUUUUCCCAUGCAAAGCUUGAGGAAAAGGUGGAGAUGUGUGUUUCUUCAUCACAUCUCCCUUGAUGAGUACUUUAUCCGGAUUUGCAUUCACUGUUGAAUCAUGGUCCUCCUUCACUUCACUGGUAUCUUUCUUCUUUCCUUUGAUUUCCUCCCUCUUCUCUGUUUCUUCUUCUUCUUUUUCUUCCUCUUUAACAUAUGGCUUGGGUGUUGGUAGCUCAACCUUUUUACCACUCCUUAGAGUGAUCAAGGCUUUGACAUCUCUCACCUGAGAAGAUUCUCCCUCAUGAGUUUCCACUUCAUGGAUACCUUUGGGGUUUUGGUGAGGUUGAGAAGGAAAUCUACCCUUCUCUUGCACUAUGUUCAGGUUAGUGAGCCUUGAGAUUGAAUAUUGGAGAUUAUCUAUCUUCUGAGAUAAGCCAUUUUGCAUGUCAUCCAUCCUUUUAUUCAAUGUAUUCUCUACACUGUCAAUUCUUUGACUAAGUUGAGCAUUGAUGGAUUUUUUAUCUCCAAUAAAAUUUCCCACAACCUUGCUUAGAUUCACUAUUGCUUGUUCAAGAUUUGAAGCUUGUUGAGAUGGUUGAGCUGGCUGUUGGUACUAAGGUGCUCUUGGCUUCCAGGAGAAAUUUAGAUGGUUCCUCCAAUUUGAGUUGUAAGUAUUUCCAUACAAAGCAUUGUUGUUGGGCUUGAAUUGUCCAAUGACAUUUGCUUGAUCUCUAAACAUUUCCCUAGCAGCUAGAAUUGUAGAGCACUUCUCCACCAAGUGCUCAUAAGAUUGAAAAAUAGGACAUGGCUUGACUUGCACUGGUGUUUCAGCAACAGCUUGCACUUCAUGUAUCUUCUUCAGUUCUAGCUCCUCCAAUCUUCUUGUCACAGCUGCAAACUUUGCCUUUAUAUCAACAUUUUCAUUUAAGGUGUACAUCCCAGCCUUAGCAUUAAAGGCAUUCGGUUGAGACUUCAUCUUCUCCACUUCUCCUUUGUUCGGUUCAUCCCAUCCCCUUGAUACUUCAACCACAUAACUUAAGAAAUCCAUGGCUUCCUCCAGAUUCUUACUCAUGGAAUCUCCUCUACACAUUGUCUCGAGGAGUUGCUUCAUUGAGGAAGACAUCCCAUCAUAAAAGUAACUCACCAAUAGCCAUGUAUCAAAACCAUGGUGAGGAUAAGCAUUGAUGGCUUCCAUGUAUCUUUCCCAACACUCAUAGAAUUUCUCACUCUCUUUAGCUGAGAAGUUUGAAAUUUCCCUUUUCAAGCCAUUUGUUCUGUGAGUAGGAAAAAAUUUCUCGAGGAAUUCAACUUGCAAAUUAGUCCAAGUCCGGAUACUCCUUGGCCUUAAAGAAUUAAGCAAAAUCUUGGCCUUAUCCUUUAAAUUAAAAGGAAAUAGUUUAAGCCUCAUCAAGUCGAUUGAAGCUCCUCCUUCUUGAAACGUAUUACAAACAUCUUCAAAUUCCUUGAUAUGGGCAUAGGGAUUCUCAUUUUCAAUCCCAUGGAAAGUUGGUAGAAGUGGAACAAUAUGCGGUCUAAUUACUAGCUGCUUUGUAGGGGGCACUAUACAGGAUGGUGCACUCAUACGAGGUGGAUACAUGAGGUCCCUCAUUGAUCUGAAUGCAUUGGGAUUGUCCUGGUGACCAUGGUGACUAUACUGAUCUUCAGGUGUAGCUUCCAUGAUAUUCAAACUCAAUUCCAAUUCCUUGUUAUGAGGUAUUUCAAGUUUCACAAGCCUUCCUCUACUAUCUCGUAUCCAAUUUGGCAUACACAACUAGUAUCAACUGUAAUAAAAACAAAAACAAAAGAAAACAAAAGAAAACAAAAGAAAACAAAACUACAAAAAGACUAAGAUUAAUUAAAACUAAAUUAAAAAAAAUGCUAAAAUAUGAACAAAUAAAAGAAACAAUUAAAAGAGUUACUAGAAUGAAAGAAAAAUCACCAAACUUGUGAUGAAAAUCACAAGUACUCUGAAAAGAUAAUAUCACUGUAAAGUUGGCACCUUCCCCGACAAUGGCGCCAUUUGAUUUCGUGCCCAGCUGGUAUACCUUGAUUUUGGUCCUCAGAUAAGAGUAAUCAACAAAAUUUAUAACCUAUAUCACCAUGUACUAGGAUAGCCUCAGCUAGCAUAGCAUAGUGGCUCUAGGAUCGUUCACUAGGAAGGGUUUUCAACUUACAAUUGAUAAUAAUUCAAAGUUGAAUUGAUGUUUUUUUUCAUUUCAAGGUUAGCUUCAAAAGAAAACAUAAACUUUGGUUUAAAAAGGAUUGGUUUUAAGCUAACUAAAAAUAGAGUAACGAAAAUUACUUAUAAAGAAAAGUGUUUCUUGGAGUUUUAGGAUCACUGGGAUCAGGCUCCUAAUACAAAAACAGAGUUCCGGUCACUUGAAUCUUUUCCUCGCAUUAGAGAAUUAACAUAUAGUUAUUUCUCUAACCGGUGUGGUACAGAUGCUUCCCUUUUAUGGAUUCAAACACUAAAUCCCUCUCACUGAUUCAUCUUGCAAUGGCUCGUGCCUCUCACCUAGCAUUUGUCAUUCAAGGUGAUACUUAAUCUUGGAUUUCCUUUCACAAGCUCGCAAGAGAUAACUAAUGGAUGUCUCCUUAGAGUCUAAAAGCUUACCAAGUGUUGGCUAUUCUAGAAAAUCCUACUUUCAAACCACCUCCCAAAGGCUCGCAAGAGAUAAACUAGUGCAUCUCAAUGAACGGAGAUCACUUGCCUUACCAAGUGUUGGCCCAGGUGAUUCAAAGACGUUUUAAGUUAACUAAAAACAUAGAAACCAUUAACGGGUACACUUUCUCUUCAUUAAAAGUUGAAACAACAAAACUUCCAAUUCUUGCAUUCGGCACCUUACCCAACUACCUUAACUCCAAGAGACAAAAAGUCUAGCCACUCAUUCUCUGAGGAAACAUCCUCAUUUGUCUAGUAAGCAAAAUACAAUCAAAGUGAGUAGGUAAGGCAGAGCAAAACUCUGUAUAUUACUUCCUUCAAAACUAUACAAAAGGUUGUCUUUAAGAACAAACUCCCGAGAUGUCUGUGUAAAGAAAAUUACAAACCAUAUAUAUGAGGUUAUUCACCCUUUUGUUCUUACUUAUUAACUAAGGAAUCCUAUGAUUGGUGGAUUACAAGGAGAGAAUGGGGAUUUAAACAACAAAUAUUUGAAGAAAAAAAUCUAAAAGAGUCGGUCGCAAAUAUCUGGAAGCACUCAGGUGGAUUUCGCAGGCAUGCAAGAUGGGCUGCGAAAUUUCGCAAGUUGAAAGUCUCCAUUUCGCAGCCAAAGGUUGAUUUCAACUUUUAGCUUGGUGUGAUUGGCUUCCAAUGACUAUAACUCCUUCAUUUCAGCUCCAAUUCAUGCACCGUUUGAAGCGUUAGAUUCCUGACUUCCCAAGCUUCGAAACAACAUAUAGUAUGCAUGAAAUGGACUCUAGAAAGUGCUCUAAAUGUGUCCAAAGUUGUUGUCCUCUUGAAUUCUUCAUGUUAGAUUUCUCUCUUUGCUUUCCCUCAUUGCAUUCAUGAUUUGCUUUUGGAAAAGGACUAUAGAGCUUCAAAACUUGGGUUCUUAAUGUAAAUGAGCUUUCAAUUGCUUUGCCAUGGAUUCUAUAGAACUCUCCUCAAUCUUGAAUUGCUUUGGUGAUAAAAAAGCUAUCAAAAACACCAAAACUUAACACAAAGUGAUUAGAAAUGAUUGCAGAGGUACUUAAUAUGCCAAUUGAGUUAAAAGGUAAUAACUACUAUUCAAAAGUGUUUAAAAGAGUUAAUUAUAAACUAUAAAAUAGCACUUUUUGAGUAGUAAUCACUCACAUGAUUCUAUGAUAUUUGGCAUUGCAUACAGGGGUUUGGCAUUUAGUUAUUGGGUAUUUGGGCCUUUGUGUCCCAUCAUUUCAUUCACCUGUCACCCCUGGCCUACAUUACGGUCCGAGUCGUAAGACCACCCUGAGGCCAUGAGAUCUCGUAUCUGCUUCGAUGCGGUUCAUUCGGAUAGGCUCCAUCUACUGAUUGAGUACGGGAUGUCAACAGGUCUCCAUUGCUUCAGGGAAUAUCGAGGGUCACAUAUUGCCUUUCCAUUCAGUUUGCUUGCCUCAAGUCCAUGAUCAGAGGCAAAUGAUACAGAGAGUUGGGACCGUUGAAAACGUCUUUGCUUGAUGCUUUGACAUGUUCAUACUAGGGCAUACCCUCAUCCUUGCAUACUGGCUUCGACUCUUACACAUGUACGCAGGCAGUUCGUUUCGCCUAGAGAUGUUUUGGAUAUCAGAGUUUAAGUAAGCCCCACAUUCAACUUGGUUUCUUCAUACAGCAGAGUGCUUUUGGGAGCUGACCUGAGAUCAAAUUCACGGUAUUCAUUGACCCAGCAGGAGUGUGCACACCCGGGCAUACCCCAUUCAUUGUCUUGUUCGCUAGCUCAGACAAUUGGGUCUUCAAUGAUGUAUUUCAGAGUUUUCAUUGAGAUAUUUGAGUUUCAGAGGUAAACAUUGGGGCAUACCCCUUAUCAGUUUUUUUGUGGAUAUUGGAUGUUAUGGAUUAGGGUGGAGGGUUUUUCCUCAUGGAUGGAUGUUUGUGAUAUUUCCAGCUUUUUGACUUUGAAUCUAUGUGCAGUUGUGGGUUUCUAACAUGGUUUUGAUGCCUUAGACUGGAGCAUGGCCCUUUCUUUGCACUUUUGGUCACUUUUAAGAGUUGUCAUACAGGGGCAUACCCCCCAUCUUUCUAUCUUGUUGGUGGGGUUAUUCAUUUCUUGUUUAUCGGCGUUUUCUGAUGUCACACUAAGGCACACCCCCUUUCUUUCGUCAUGAUUGACGGGUUUGACUUUUCUCUUAUUUGAUUCAUUUAUUGACAUUUUUCGGACGCCACACUAGGACAUACCCCCCUUUUUCAUGGUGCCAUUACUUUUCAUUUCCUUUCAUUUCAAUGGCUCUCUAGCAUCGUGCCCGGAUCCCCUAGUCAUUUCGGCGGCUCUCUAGCAUCGUGCUCAGAUCCCCUAGUCAUUUCGAUGGCUCUCCAAUAUUGUGCUCAGAUCCCCUAGUCUUUUGGGGGCUUACCCGCAUCAUGCCCGGAUGCCCUGGUCAUUUCGGCUGCUCUCCAGCAUCAUGCUCGGAUCCCCUAGUCAUUCGGCGGCUCUCCGGCAUCAUGCCCGGAUUUCCUAGUCAUUUCGGUGGCUCUCCGGCAUCGUGCCCAGAUCCACUAGUCAUUCCGGCGGCUCUUCGACAUCGUGGCCGAAUCCUUUAUUUUUCGGCAUCGUGCCCGAAACCCCUAUUUUUCGUCAUCGUGUUGGAUUUUCUUUUAUCUUUCUCGGCAUCGCAUACUGAUUUCCUUUGUUUUCUCCGGCAUCAUGCCCGGAUCCACUAGUCAUUCCGGUAGGUCUUCGACAUCGUGCCCAAAUCCUCUAUUUUCCGGCAUCGUGUCCGGUUUCCUUUUAUCUUUCCCGGCAUCGCGCCCGGAUUUCCUUUGUUUUCUCCAGCAUUGUGCCCGGAUCCCCUAGUCAUUCCGGUGGCUCUUUGGCAUCGUGCCCGAAUCCCCUAUUUUCCGGCAUCGUGUCUGGUUUCCUUUUAUCUUUCUCGGCAUUGUGCCCGAAUUUCCUUUGUUUUCUUCGGCAUUGCGCCUGGAUCUUAUAUCUCUCCCGAAAACGCGUCCGAUUUUCUCCUAUCUUUUCUGGCACCGUGUCCAAAUUCCUUUAGCUUUCUCCUGCAGUGUGCCUGGGUCCUUUAGUCCUUCGGUCAUCAUGGCUCAUUCCCUUAGCCUCUUUAUGGUUGUGUGGGGACAAAAUUGUUGGUCAUUGGAAUUCUUCACUAGAGUUCAUUUCACUCAUUCAUUCUUGCACUUUGCAUUCGUGACUCACUCGUUCAUUCACUCUACUAAAGAGGGGCAUAUUUGUAAACCCUCAAUUUUGUCCCUUGACACUUGCAUUUUAUCUUAUGGGUGCCACAUGCACCCAUGUUUUCAUAUGACCCCGCCAUGGCCCCUUUUUGGCCUUGAUCGAUUUCUGAGCCUUGUGUAGGUUCAUUUGCGGUCCAAUGUAGUGCGGGUGUGUAGUUCAUUUUGGAGUUCCGUCAUGGCCAAUUUCCCUAGUUGUUCACAUCAUGCUAUAGGGAAGGAAGUGCAGCCCCCCAAAAAUUUCAGUUCAGUUGGAAUUCAUAAGAGCAGGUUCGAAUUCGGAGCACUUAGGCUUGUUUUGAUCAUAUCUCCCUCAUCCGAACUCGGAAUCACGCACCGUUUUUUUUUAUGGACUCCUUAUUCAUCAAGGAACAUUCUGUAAAAAUUUCAAUUUUUUUUCUCAACUGGCUCGACUGGUUCCCAAAGUUUCAGAUUUUUUCUCAAUCGGAUGAAUUGGUUGGGCACCGGUUCAACAGGUGGCUUGGUGGCAGCCCAGUUUUAUAAAUGCUUUGCAUUGUUUCGAUCAAGUCUCUCUCAUCCAAGAUCAAAAUUGAGCUCUGUUUGUUUUUUUGGAUUCCUUAUUCUCUGAGGAAUCUUCUGGUAAAUUUUCAGAUUUUUUUCUCAAUCGGAUGAACUAGUUAGGAACCGGUUCAACAGGUGGCUUGGUGGCAGCCCCAUUUUAUAAACGCUUUGCAUUGUUUUGGCCGGUUCUCCCUCAUCCAGAAUCAGAAUUGAGCACCAUUUGUUUUUUUAGAUUCUUUAUUCUUUGAGAAAUCUUCUGGUAAAUUUUCAAAUUUUUUCUCAAUCGGAUGAAUCAGUUGGGAACCGGUUCAACAGGUGGCUUGGUGGUAGCCCCAUUUUAUAAAUGCUCUGUAUUGUUUCGGUCGGUUCUUCCUCGUCCGGGCUCAGAAUUGAGCGCCGUUUGUUUUGUUGGAUUCAUUAUUCUCCAAGGAAUCUUUUGGUAAAGUUUUAGAUUUCUUUUCUCAAAUGGUUGAGCUGGUUGGGAACCGGUUCAAUCGGUUUUGCUAGGUAGCUCUAGUUUCAGCGUGUUUUGACCCCCAUUUUUGUUAUGGCUUGGGCCCUUAGGCUCCAAGGCACUUGUAGGCCACCUUUAGGGUCUGAAUCCAGAUUUGGUUUGAAUUAAUGUGGGCCCACCUAUGAGUUGAGGGUAUUAUUGGCUAGGAAGGUCGGGGGGUUAUUGUGAAUGUUUGGCUUGGGCACAUUUUGAUGUUUGAUUAAAAAUGCUUGUGUCUAUUGAUUUGCCCCUGUUUGUAACGCUUGGCUGGGGACCCGAGGUACAUACUUGACUUGUUGGGAAUUGGAUUCAUUUGCAUGCAUGGGACUUGGAUAUGUUUGCUUGUUGUGUGUUGAAUUGAAGCCCCAUUUUAGAUGAAGUGGCACACUAAAACCCAGUGAACAUGAGCUCUAAAAUGCAUACAUUCAAUUUCUUUCCAAACAACCAGCGAUAAGCAGAGCCCCAUGCAAUUCGUAGAGUUCUCCUCAUGCAAUUUAUAUCAGCAAUGUAGUCUCAAGUACAUUCUCGGACCUCACUCUAGCAUUGGCUACCUUGGUGCACCUUACCCUCAUAAUUUUUUUUCUUUUCUUUGUGAUCUUACACAUCUUAAAUCUGGAUUUCAAAACCUUUUUCCAUCAAAAUAACUCUACUUUUCUUUAAAAUUCAUUCCUUAGGAGUUUCUAGGCAUAAAAUCCAAAUUUUAACAUACUAUUUGCUGCAAUUUUCCUUCUAGCACGCGUUCUCACUAUUUUCUACUAAUUUUCUUGAUUUUCUUGUUUUUCCUAAACAAGCAUGAAUAAACUUCAUGAUUCCAAAUAAUGGAACUCAUUAAACCAAUUCAUGCAAAAGUAAUUUGGACCUUGGUGGGUGGCGCGACAUCCAUGAAUUUUUUUUUAGAUAUUGAUUCAAAUGAGGUGUUUGCUUGAUAUUUAAUUGAAAUUGAUCCUCUUCAUGAUACAUGAGUUUGUUUUAUAGUUAUUUUUGAACUAACCAUGCUCCCCAUUAAAGCGCUUAGCUUGCUACUCUUGUACGCUAUCUAUCACCUAAUUUUCAGAAUUCUAUGAAUAUGCAUAUUAUUAUGAGCUAUAUCUAUGUUCAAUUCUAUCAUUGGAUGCCUAAAUGUUUGUUUUAUUUGCUCUAACAAAAUGCAUGUUGUGUGUCAUAUUUGUAAGCUAACUUUGAUGUCUUAUGAUAGUGCUUGAGGAGCAAUCUAGGUACACACCCUAACUCUCCUUUAUGAUUAUGAUUUGAUUUAUUAUUGGGCAUGCUUGUUUUGAAAUCACCUUAGCCUACCUAGGCAUUCAUAAUCAACUUAUUAAUUGCCACAUUUACCUCAAUUUAGUCAAUAGAGACCUUUUUAUGGCUUAGAGAGGUACUACCUCUUUGAGGUACCUUCCCAAAAGGUAACUUGAUCGCCGAACCUCCUUUUAAAAUAAAAUAAAAUAAGCAAUGACUCUAACUUUGACCAAAAUUAAUUUUUCACCAAUAAAAGCAAGUAUCGCUGAUGAGUGGGGACACACGUGAAAAUUGCAGGUCCACAGCAUGCACCUAGUCAAAUUGUGUAUUGUUUGCAAGAGAUGCUUGUAUUUAUUUCCUAAUGAGUUUAUUCUAAUUCUUUGAUUAGGAUUUCUUCAAUCACAUUGCUUGCUAUUGAAUUUCCAAUGGCUUAAUAUAAAUUAUUAGAAAAAUGUUGUUUAAUUAUUUCAGCAACUUAUCCUUUAUAAUUUUUUUUAACAAAUAUUAUCUCUGAUGUUCAUUUGUAAUAAAUAGCUAGAGAAAGGGCCCAAUGUGAACACCUAUGAGACUUAGUUGUGUUUGAGAGAUUACAUGGAAAUCUUGGCAAAACAUCUCCAAGCCUUGUUGUCAAAAAGGAAACCCUACAUCUCAUGCCUUUAUACUGCAUCUUAGCUUCUCAUCUUGCAAUGGACAAUGGUACUCUUAUUGAAUCAGUUUUACCAUACCAGUCAUCAACAUUUGCACUCAUUAAGCACUAAUUUAAGCACUGAUGCUUUUGUUAAAGUUAUUUCCUUUUUUGUUUGUUCGUUUUUGUUUUCUUUUGUUUUGGAGGUAAUUGUGUUGGAUGAUUUAUGUUUGUGUUAGACAACAAAGCUUGUCUUAAUGCUAUUGUAAAACAAGACUAUGCUAAUAAGAUUUUGAUGUUUACAAUGUUUAUGCCAAAUUGAAUUUUUAGUUUUCCUAAUUGAAAAUUUGCUUGUUUUCCCCAUUAUAUCGAUGUUAUUGUUGGAUUUUUGUUUCUGUUGAUCAAGCAUGUGCUAAAAGUUUGUUUUUUUUUUUUUUUUCCGUUGCUACUUCAUGUGUGUGGAAUUCUAGCUUAAAGUUAGUGAGGAAUUCUAGGGUUUGUUAAGGCCAUUUUUGGUAUUUUGUUAUUAGUUCCUAAUUUAAUGUUUUUCCUUAUUUAGUGGAGAUUUUGUUCUCUAAUCAAUUAAGAUUGAAUCCUGGUCCUUAUGGUGACUGAUUGCACUAUUCUCUUGUAUAUAUAUACCAUGUUGUAUUCUAUAGAAAGUAAGAGAAUUAAUAAAUAAAUAAAAAUUAACUUCUCAUAAAUCUUCAUGGUAUCAAAGCCUUCCCUCUAAAACCCUAAUUUUCCACAUCACCAAAUUCGUCAUGGCUAUUGAGAGACAAAUCUCAACCUUUGAAGUGACCUUCAAUCCAGAAACGAUGCCAACGAUGAACAACCAUGGAAGAGCCGAGAACCCAUCUAUGCUCAUCACAGGUCACAAACUCAAUGGCCAUAAUUUUCUCUAGUGGUCUUAGUUAGUGAUGAUGUAUGUCUGUGGAAAGGGCAAGGAUGAAUAUCUCACCAGUGAAGUAGUUAUCCCUGAGAAGACCAAUCCCAAAUUCAGGGUGUGGAAGACCGAGAAUCACAUGGUGAUGUCUUGGUUGAUUAAUUCGAUGAAUACCGACAUAAGAAAGAAUUUUCUCCUCUAUGGAACUGCCAAAGAAUUAUGGGAUGUAGCAAGGGAGACAUACUCAAAUUCUGAAAACACUUCAAAAAUAUUUGAGAUAGAAGCCACUUUACACAACCCUACGGCAGGGAGAUCUCUCUGUUACCCAAUACUUCAACAUUCUUUCUCGUCAUUGGCAGCACCUAGACAUGUUUGAAGUUCACACCUGGAAGUGCCCUGAAGACACUGCAUUGUACCGAAAAAUUGUGGAGCAAAAGCGAACAUUCAAGUUUCUCCUUGGCCUCAACAAGAAUUUGGACGAGGUUAGGGGGAGAGUGAUGGGGACCAAACCUCUUCCAAGUAUUAGAGAGACAUUCUCAGAAGUUCGCCGUGAGGAAAACAUGAAAAAGGUUAUGAUGGGAUCUCAGAAUUCUGCCCUAUCAAUUGAAGGAUCUACCUUUGUAGCACGAGGACUUCCAUCAAACACCAACAGUGAAAAUCGCCAGAAAAUGGGAAACCUUAGUGUGACCACUACCGAAAACUAUGACAUUCCAGAGAAAAUUGCUGGAAGAUUCAUGGCAAACCAGCUAAUUGGAAGCCAUCCAAACCAUUCAAUGAUAGAGAAAGUAGUGUCCAUAAUGUUGCUACCUCAGAAGACAAGCCAACCUCAACCAAGACCAGUCCUUUCAGCAAAGAGCAGCUUGAGAUGCUUCAACAACUCAUAAGUCAAAACUCCCUAUCUCAAUCCAGUAACUCAGCAUCUGGUAUAGGCAUGUUGGCACAAAAAGGUGAUUUUUCAAAUGCCUUUGCAGUAAAUAAACAACACUUGAAUCCUGGAUUAUUGACUCUGGAGCAUCAGAUCACAUGACAAGAGAAGGAACCAUAUUUCAUGAGUACAACCCUUCUAAAGAGAAAUAUACAGUUUGGAUUGUUGAUGGAUCUCUAUCCAAAGUUGCUGGAACAGGCUCAAUCAGGGUUACAAACGACCUUAAUCUAAACCCUAUUCUCCAUGUCCCUAAUUUGGAAUGUAAUUUACUCUCAAUCAGCAAAUUAACUCGUGAUCUUCAUCGUGAAGCUAAAUUUUUCUCAAACUUGUGUAAAUUUCAGGAACUGGAUUCGAGGAGGAUGAUUGGCAAUGUUGAGAUGUGCUCUAGACUCUAUCUUCUCAAGGGUGAUACUCCUCUAAGAAGACGAACUCAAAAUGCAAGUUGUGUGUCGCUUAAGAGUCGGUCAAUUUUAGAUUUUUGUGUCAAUAAAGAUAAUGAGGUCAUGUUAUGGCAUUAUCGUCUGGGUCAUCCAAAUUUUAUAUAUCUUGAAAAAUUGUUUUCAUCUUUAUUCAUCAAUAAAAGUCCAAAAUUUUUCAGUUGUGAAAUCUACCAGCUUCCAAAACAUACUCACAGUAGUUACCCUAGUCUUUCAUAUACACCAUCUCACCCAUUUGCCAUGAUUCAUAGUGAUGUGUAGGGUCCUUCGAGGAAAAACAAUAUAACAGGAGCACGGUGGUUUGUCUCGUCUGUUGAUGAUCACACUAGAUUGACCUGGGUAUUCCUGAUGAAAGAAAAAUCUGAAGUUGGAAAAUUUUUUCAAAUUUUCAAUUCCAUGAUCUAAACUCAAUUCCAGACCAAAAUCCAAGUUCUAAAAACUGAUAAUGCCAAAGAGUACUUCAAGUUUGUUCUAGGUAGUUACCUCAUGAGUCAAGGAAUAGUCCACCUAAGUUCUUGUGUUGUCACCCCUUAAUAAAAUGGGAUUGCAGAAAGAAAAAACCAACAUUUGUUAGAGGUAGCUAGGUUCCUCAUGUUUUCCACUCACGUUCCUAAACAUUUUUGGGGGGAGGUAGUACUUAUAGCCACGUAUCUCAUCAAUAGAAUGCCAUCCAGAAUUCUUAAAUUUAAAACGCCUUGUCAAUCCCUUCUCUAGAUCUUUCCACAUACAAAAAUCAUCUCUUCAUUAGAUCCAAAAAUAUUCGGGUGUUCAACUUUUGUCCAUAUACAUCAGCAACAUCGUAGCAAAUUAGACCCUAAAUCCAUCAAAUAUAUCUUUAUAGGGUACUCUUCACAUCAAAAGGGUUAUAAGUGUUAUUCUCCCAUCACUAAAAGGGUAUACAACUCUAUGGAUGUGACAUUUUUUGAACAUCAAGCUUACUACCACAAAACCGACAUGCACGGGAAGAACAUGAGAGCAUUCCAGUUUUGGAAGACACUUGAUCUUGGGGACACCCUACCAUUACCUCAUCUUACUUCUCAGCCAAUUUUCAGUCAACAACCAAAAGUCAUUAAUCAAAUUCCAGUUCAAAUUUCAAUGUCUUCACAACCUAAACCUGAGAGUCAUCCUCCUACUACCUCACCUCAAACUCUAGUCCAUAAUUACUCUAAAUCACCACUAACUGCAAAUAAUGAGUUUAGCGUCUACAUUAGGAGAAAAAGGCCUAAGAGAACAAUAGAGCAACCAACUCCUCUAAAAAAUGACCAAAAAUCUUAACCUAGUCCAAGUCCUACUCAAAUUCACUUGGGUAAGGGAACUACUAAUCUUGAAAAGCUAGUACCAUUUGUAGAUGAUUCAAAUAUUCCGAUUGCUUUGAGAAAGAGUGUUAGAACUUGCACAAACCAUCCUAUCUAUAGAUUUAUUUCAUAUGAUGGAUUGUCUCCCUCCUAUCAAGAUUUUGUUUUAGUUCUUGAUAGUGUGCAGGUUCCUAAUUCUAUUUAGGAGGCUCUCAAGAAUCCAAAGUGGAGAAAGGCAAUUAGCGAAGAAAUCAAAGCUUUGGAGAAGAAUGGAACAUGGGUAAUCUCUGAUCUUCCUCAUGGAAAGAAACCAAUCGGGUGUAAGUGGAUUUACCAUUAAACAUAAGGCUAAUGGAAGUAUUAAGAGAUUGAAAGCUCGCCUUGUUGCCAAAGGCUUUACUCAGUCUUAUGGAAUAGACUAUCAAGAAACAUUUGCUCCAGUGGCCAAACUCAACACUAUUCAAGUUCUUUUUUAUCUUGCAGCAAACCAAGAUUGGCCAUUACAUCAACUAGAUGUCAAAAAUGCUUUUCUGAAUGGUAACUUGGAGGAAGAAGUGUAUAUGGAGAUACCAUCAGAGUUGGAAACUUCUUUCAACAACAACAGGGUGUGCAAGCUUAAGAAAUCUCUGUAUGGACUCAAAAAAUCACCUCGAGCAUGGUUUGACAGGUUUGCAAAGUCAGUUACAAAGCAAGGAUAUACUCAAUGUCAAGCGGAUCAUACACAAUUUGUGAAGUUCUCUUCAGAAAAGAAAAUAGCAGUCCUCAUAGUGUAUGUUGAUGAUAUCAUCUUAACAGGUGAUUAUGAAGAGGAACUAUUGGGAAUGAAGAAACACUUAGCCAAAGAAUUUGAAAUCAAAGACCUUGGCUAUCUUAGAUACUUUCUCGGUAUGGAGGUGGUAAGAUCUAAGAAAGGCAUAUUUUUCUCCCAACGUAAGUAUGUUCUAGACUUACUAAAAGAGACAGGUAUGCUUGGAUGUAAACCUGCAGACACUCCAAUGGACUCAACCAAGAAAAUAGGAACUGAGAAGAACAGUGCACCAGUUGACAAGGGGAGAUACCAGAGACUUAUAGGACUUCUUAUCUACCUUUCACAUACUCGACCUGACAUUAGAUUCUCUGUUAGUGUUGUGAGUCAAUUUAUGAACAACCCAAUAGAAGAACACAUGGAAGCUGUGAAUACAAUUUUGAGGUAUCUGAAUAUGACCCUAAGAAUAGGACUGUUGUACAAAAAGAAUGAUACUAGAGAUGUUGAAGUUUUCUCAGAUGCAGACUGGGCAGGUGAUGUGUUAGAUAGGCGAUCAACAUCUGGAUAUCGUUCCUAUGUAUGGGGAAAUCUCGUGACUUGGAAAAGCAAGAAACAGUUUGUAGUCUCAAGAAGUAGUGCAGAAGCUGAAUUGAGAUCUUUGGCUCUUGGUAUUUGUGAAGGAACCUGGAUAUAGAGACUGCUGAAUGAGUUGGGAAUAUCUACUGAGAAGCCUAUUAAAAUGUUCUGUGACAACGAAGCUGCCAUAAGCAUUGCAAAGAAUCCUAUACAUCAUGAUAGGACGAAACACAUCGAGAUAAAUCGACAUUUCAUUUCAGAAAAGAUUGAGAAGGCAAUUGUACAGUUGGUCUAUACUCCUACAAAAUCCCAAAUGGCACACAUACUCACUAAAGCUUUUUCAAGAACUAACUUUGAAGAACUGAGUCACAAGCUGUGCAUGUACAAUAUCUAUGCCCCAGCUUGAGGGGAAGUGUGGAAUUCUAGCUUAAAGUUAGUGAGGAAUGCUAGGGUUUGUUAACGUUAUUUUUGGUAUUUUGUUAUUAGUUCCAAAUUUAAUAUAUUUCCUUGUUUAGUGGAGAUUUUGGUCUCUAAUCAGUUAAGAUUGAGUCCCGGUCCUUAUGGUGACUGAUUGCACCAUUCUCUUGUAUAUAUAUAUCAUGUUGUAUUAUAUAGAAAGUAAGAGAAUUAAUAAAUAAAUAAAAAUUCACUUAUCAUAAAUCUUCAAUGUGCAAAGCAUCAUUAUUCAAAUUUUUUGUUUGUUUGUUUUUGUUUUGUUUUGUUUUGUCUUGUCUUGUUUUGUUUUGGAGGUAAUUGUGUUGGAUGACUUAUGUCUGUGUUAGACAACAAAGCCUAUCUUAAUGCUACUGUAAAGCAAGACUAUGCUAAUAACCUUUUAAUGUUUACAGUGUUUAUGCCAAACUGAAUUUUUAGUUUCCCUAAUUGAAAAUUUGUUUGUUUUCCCUAUUAUAUCGAUGCUAUUGUUAGAUUUGUGUUUCUAUUGAUCAAGCAUGUGCUAAAACUUUGUUUUUUUUUUUUCCUUUGCUACUUCAUGUGCAAAGCAUUAUUAUUUGAAUUUUAAUGAUUCCAUUCAAUUCAUUAUUCAAUAUUUUCAUUUGAUAUUACAUCUAUCACAUUUGUUUUCUUUUCUUAGUUUGUUUUGUUUUGUUUUUGUUUUUUUUUUUUAAUUUGUGAAAUUUGAAUUUGAUGGAGCCACCAUUAAUUUAUUUUUCCUUAUUAUUGUGGGGUGUGCUUUAUUUUGUUCAUGUAAAUAUCAUCGUUGUGGCACUAUUAUUAUUAUGUAACCUUUUUUUUGUUUAAUCUAUUGUUCCUAUGAGCAUUAAAUUCUCCUAAAAUGUAUGGAACAGGCUAAACCCUUUCUAUAGUUAUUUUAAAAAAUUUAUUUUUCAUCUAUUUUCUUGUGCUCAAAAAAUUAUAUUUUUUAGUAAAAUUGAAAUUUUAGGGAGCGCUUAUGCCUUAAUGACUCAACCCCUUGAGGGUUUAUACCUAUCUUAGCAAGAUGUAAACCCUCAUGCCUCUUAUGCUUUUACCUUAUGAAACUAUACCCAAAAACAAACACCACAACUCCUUGCCCCGAUCAAAGGAUACUUGAAAGUUUGCUUCAAAUCAAUUUCAAGGCUAAUAAUCAUAGGCUUGUCAAAUUCAUGUUGCUAAAAUUGGUAUUGUAACCAAAGUAAUAUUAGGAAAUCUUCAAGUUUCAGCUCCUCUUUUUAUGUUGGCUCUUGUAUUGUUAGGUGGCUUCAACCUUUUGCUUUACUUAUGCUUUAUGAGCUACUCCAAUUAAAAUAAUGCUUCAAGUAGAUGUUCUUUGGAUCUUCACUCUAGCAAGAUACUUGCAUUGCAAAAAUUUUUUGUAGUCCUAGAUAGGUUAACUAGGAAGACAAUAGCUUGCUUAAGAGGAUUGCCUCCUCUUCUAUUGGGUUUGUAAAAGUUUUGCUUCUCCCUUGACUUUAGGAGUCCCGUGGUUUCAAAUUUGGGUGUGCUCUAGGUUGUAGCAUGCCUUAUGCUUUCUAAAUGGUAAUCUUCUUCUUGUUUUGGCUAGGAUUCUUUCAUUUAUUUUGCUUGUUUGCUUUCUUUGUUUCUUUAUUGUGGUUGAAGGAUCACCAAUCAACUUUUUAUUCUCUGCAAAAAUUAUUUAUGUUUCAUACCUAAAAAAGAAAAAACAAAGGCUAGUUAGCCUAGAACAUGUUUUAUCUUGUUCUUCUUUUACUAUUAGUAUGGAUUCAAACUUGGGAAGAGGCCUUGAAACAAGUUGCAUUUGUGUUUUCUUAACAUACAUCUUUAUUCGAUCAUUUUUGUUAAGUAUUUGGUGUCUUGUUUGUUCUUUUAGUUGUUUUUGUCUCUGUCAAAGUGUAUAAUUGUAAUAUCCCAUAUCAUAUAGGGAAAAAAGUUUUUCGUGCUAUAUAUAUGUAUAAACUCCACUUAAUCUUGUAAAUGUGUUUUAAAGUCACGAGGGUUUCUUAGGUUCAGAGCAGAUAAUAUCUACACAGUUGGAAGUAGGUCAUUACUAAUGGUAUCGGAACCAAUCUCCAACCUCAAUGUGAGAGAUUGUUUAGCACCGAAAGGAGUGUCUAUCUAUUUGACCCUACAAUCAUGUGGAAUAUAAUAAGGAAAUUGGGUUUGCAUGAGGAGUGUGAUUAUGAUAUCCUACAUCGAAUAUGGGAAAAAGUUUCUAAUGUUAUAUAUGUAUGGACUCCUCUUAACCUUGUAAACGUGUUUUGAAAUUGUAAAUGUCACUUAAGUUUAGAGUGGACAAUAUCUAUACAAUUGGGAGUAGGUUGUUAUAAUAAUUUUGAUUUUCCUUCCAUAUAUGUUUAAUUGCAUAACAUUAUCAUAGAAAAAUAUUCAUCUAUCAUAAUGUAGCGUCUUGUAAAGCUUAUGUUGGGUGUUAUGAUUUUAUCUCUCAUCAUUUUUAUUAUUCUGAUUCAACAUCAUCUUAGCUUAUAAUCAAAAGGCUAUAAAUUGUAGGAUUCUUUUCUCCAAUUUUUUACUUGAUAUCUUAUAAUGCCAUGAAAUGUCUAUAUUUUGAUGCAGAAAGUCGUUCAUCCUUCAUCUCUCUCACUAGUUUUGCAGAACCAUAGUCAUUAGGCACAUGCAAGCGUUAGACAUGCAGCCACUUCCAGUGUUGGAAGAGACUUUGAACUACCUCUUAAACCUAUUAGAUCCACGGAGCAUCCUUUUGAAGUGGUUCAUGAUUUCAUCUUUGAUAGGACAAGAUCAAUAAGACACGAUCUUAGCAUGGAGAAUAUUGUUAAUGAUCAAACAAUUCAUACGUAUGAAGAAAUGGUAUAAAUUUCUUGAAACAUAAUCUUAAUUACCUUUCUUUUCUUAGCAUUAAUCUCCUCAAUAUACAAUAAGUUAGCCAAUCCACUACUAAACACACUCCUAGUUGCAGAAAAUAAUCAAAAUAUACAAGAGAUGUUGUAUAAUUGAGUCAUUAUCCUCUCUUUUUGCUUUAUUGAAUAAGAAAAUUCUAUUCAGUGGAGUCCAAAUGAGGUGAAACUGUGAUCACACAACUUUUAAAGCCUACUUUAUAAUGGAUAAAUGAAUGGUCUGGUUCUGAAUCUUUCUCGGCACAUUAGUUAUUAUCCAAUCCAUUCUAAUUAAGUUAUCCACUAUUGAGUGUCUAUUUCCAAUGAAAGUUAUGAAAGGCCCAUAGAACCCAAGCAACUCACACCGCUUGCGAUGGGAAUUGGUGUUCUUUCCCGUAAUGUCAAGUUUUCUAGUACACUUGGUGACUUUGUAGAAUAUGCCUACGGAAAGGGCUGCCACCUUCUAAUUCCCAAUCAUACAAGUUUCUUAACCAUAUUUCAAAAGUUGUAUUUCUUGUUCCGUCUCUUAAAGUUUUUUAAACCUAUAUCUCUUUAUCCUUGGCAAUUCAGAAAGAUGAGGAAACUAUUUAACAAGAACUCCAUCAAUUUGUUCCUCAAAAUUUUAUAUAGUUUCUCUCUCUCACUUUCAAUUUAAACUCUUGAUUUAAAAGAACAAAUUCAUGGCCAGCAACAUUUUUAGCCAAGCAAUAGAAUGUACAACAAGCAUGCAUAUGAAUGAACUGUAUUGUUUAAUGAUAAUAGAUCAAAUAUUUUAAUCUAAUCCUAAAACCUUAGAGUUAGCUAAAAGCCUCAUCUUAUGUUCUAACUUGUGGUUUGUUUCACAAUACAGGUGAAAUUUCAUAUUAUAUCCCACCAAAAGCUUUGCAAUUGUAGCAGCAAGCCAAAUUUUUAUUUAGUUAUUACCUUAAUAUGGAGCAACUGAAAAAGUGUCUAACAUCUCUAUAUGCUCUAUACAAAGAAAAUUGCAAUUCAAAUUUUAUUUACAAGAAUGAACCUGAGUUUUGCUCAUUUCACGUUCUUCUUCACCUUGGCUCUAACAGCCAACCACUGGUGGAUAUCUGCUUUCAUUGUUUGUUUGAGUUCAUCUUUUUCAGUAUUUGUACUAGUUUCUGAAGGUGUUACUAUUUUUGUUCUGAGGGGAGAGUCACUCUCUUUGUGGUUGGGUCUUGUACCUUCUGUCAUUUUGAAGUCAAAGGAAAAAUGUUUUGCCCAAGACUUUUAUAGUACGUUUGGUAGUGAUUUUAGGAAGUGUUUCUAGUCUUUUUUAUGCUUGAAAGAUAAAAAAAAAAAAUUAAGUGGUAAAAAGACUAGAAACACUUUAUAAAAUAACUGCCAAACGCACUCUUAAGAUGACCAUAAAGCUGUUGUAGAUUCCACUUGCAUUUAAAUUGUUUUUAUUCCCUUUACAUUUAACUCAAUGUAGAGUGGUUAUGUUUUUCCGUUGAUUUUUUUCUCUUUUUUAGUACCCAAUGUUAAAGUUUUGUUUCACGAACUGAAAGGUCCGUCUUUUCUAGUGACAGUGGAUGGGCAAUUAUAAGUGUUUCCUUUGUACUACAACAAUUGAGGCAUCAUAUUUGCAAUAUUACAUUAUUAUUAUUUUUUAUAAAUGAGCACAAAAUAUAUAAUAAAGGGCGGAAAGCCACAAAGCAUACAGGGAGUAUACAAAGCAGCUAAAAAGCAAAAAACUCAUAAACAGAACAAACUCACCAGCCCUUAAAGAGCCGCUAACCACUCUAAGAAGCCUAAAAUCAAAGAUGACUCCUCUCCCAUAUACAUCCUAGUCCAACUCCAUAAAUUACAUGCAAAAGAAUUCUUGAGUUUCUGAAUAGCUAAAGAACCCCAUCUAAAAGCUAACCUAUUUCUUUCCUUCCAAACCGUCCAAAAUAUACACAACGGGAUGGAAUUCCAAAUCUUUUUCCUCUUUUCCCCAUAAAAGGGCCCCUCCAACAAAAUAACACCUCUUUGACUGUCUCUAGGAACACCCAUUGAGCCCUAAACAAGGAAAGAACGAUCUCUCAGAGGACCCUGACCACUGUACAGUGUAAAAGAAUGUGAUUUACAUUUUCCUCUUCACAGCCACACAAAUAACAACGAUUAGGGAGCUGCCACCCUCGUUUUUGAAGCCUAUCCAAUGUGAGGAUUUUUUCCCAAGUGGCUUCCCACGCAAAGAAAGCAACUUUGGUUGGAACCUUAUCCACCCAAAUGAUUUUUUUCGGAAAGACGAGGGGAUUGGGGGUGAUUCGUGUUUUCCCAGCUGGUGUACCUUGAUUUUGGUCCCCUGAUGGGAGUAAUCAACAAAAUUUAUAACCUAUAUCACCAUGCACUAGGAUAGCCUAAGCUAGUAUAGCAUAGUGGCUCUAGGAUCGUUCACUGGGAAGGGUUUUCAACUUACAAUUGAUACCAAUUCAAAGUUGAAUUGGUGCCUUUUCAUUUCAAGGUUAGCUUCAAAAGAAAACAUAAACUUUGGUUGAAAAAGGUUUGGUUUCAAGCUAACUAAAAAGAAAGUAAUGGGAAUUACUUAUAAAGAAAAAGCGUCUCUUGGAGUUUUAGGAUCACUGGGGUCAGGCUCCUCAUGCAAAAACAGAGUUCCGGUCACUUUGGUUCUUUUCCUCGCAUUGGAGAAUUAACAUAUAGUUCAUUCUCCAACCGGUGUUGUACAGAUGCUUCCCUUUUAUAAAUUUCAGCACUAGUUCCCUCUCACUGAUUCAUCUUGCAAUGGCUCGUGCCUCUCACCUAGCAUUUGCCAUUCAAGGUGAUCAUUAACCUUGGACUUCCCUUCUCAAGCUCGCAAGAGAUAACUAAUGGAUGCCUCCUUAGAGUCCAAAAGCUUACCAAGUGUUGGCAAUUCUAGAAAAUCCUACCUUCAGGUCACCUCCCAAAAGCUCACAAGAGGUAAACUAGUGCAUCUCUGUGGACAGAGAUCACUUGCCUUACCAAGUGUUGGCUCAGGUGAAUUGAAGGCGUUUUAAGUUAACUAAAAACAUAGAAAUCAUAAACGGGUUACACUUUCUCUUCAUUAAAAGCUGAAACAUCAAAACUACCAAUUCUUGCAUUCGACACCUUCCCCGGCUACCUUAGCUCCAAGAAACAAAAAGCCUAGCCACCCAUUCUCUGAAGAAACAUCAUCAGAGCUUGUUUGGCUAGUAAAUGAAAAAUACAAUCAAAGUGAGAAGGUAAUGCAGAGCAAAGACUCUGUAUUUUACUUCCUUUCAAACUUUUACAAAAGGUUCGUCUCCUUGAUAACAGGCUCCUGAGAGCUAUUUAUAUGAAAAUUACAAUAAUAAUUAUUACCUGGAUAUUUACCCUUUUUCCUAACUUAAUAGCUAAGGAAUCCUAUAAGUGGUGGAUUACAAUGAGAGAAUUGGGAUUUAGACAUCAAAUAUCUGAAGCAAAAUAUCAAAAAUUUGUCGGUCGUAAAUAUCUGGAAGCACUCAGGAGAAUUUCGCAGGCGCACAAAAUGGCUGCGAAAUUUCGCAGACGUACAAGAUGGCUGCAAAAUCAUUUCGCAGCCAAAGGCUGAUUUCGCAGCCUUGCGAAAUUGGCCUUCAGCUUGAUGUGAUCAUCUUCCAAUGGCUCUAACUUCUUCACUUCAACUCCGAUUCGCGAACCGUUUAAAGCGUUAGAUUUUUUACUUCCCAAGCUUCGAAACAACAUAUAGUAUGCAACAAAUGGACUUCAGGAAGUACUCCAAAAGUGUCAAACAGUUGAUGUCCUCUUGGAUUCUUCAUGUUAGAUUUUUCUCUUUGUUUCAUCCUUGCAUUCAUGAUUUGUUUAUGGCAAAGGACUUUAAGGCUUCAGUUCUUCAUGUUUCUGAGCUUUCCAUUGCUUUGCCAUGGAUUCCAAAGAACUCUCCUCAAUCUCGGAUUGCUUUGGUGAUCAAAUUACUAUCAAAAACACCAAAACUUACACAAUUUGAUUAGAAACGAUUACAAAGGUCCUUAAUAUGUUAAUUGGGUUAAAAGGUAAUAACUACUACUCAAAAGUGUUUAAAAGAGUUAAUUACAAGCUAUCAAAUAGCCCUUUUUGAGUAGUAAUCAAGGGGUAGUGAUUCAUGCCCAAUUGGUGUCUUAGCUGAUUCGUGUCCAGCUGGUGUUCCUUGAUUGAGGGAGUAAUCAACAAAAUUUAUAACCUAUUACACCAUAUACUAGGGUAGCAAAGAAAAAGCUACUAUAGCAUAGUGGCUCUAGGAUCGUUCACUGGGAAGGGUUGGCAAAUUAUCAAUGAUACCAAUUCAAAGUGAAUUGGUAUUGUUUCAUUUCAAGGUUAGCUUAAGAAAUAAAACACAAACUUUGGUUGGAAAAGAUUUAGAUUUAAACUAACUGCAAAGCAAGUAAUGGAAAUUACUUAGGAAGAAAAACAUUCCUUGGAGAGUCAGGUUUACAGGGGAGGUUCCUCAUGCAAAAACAUAGCUCCGGACAGUUGGUUCAUUUCCUCGCGUUAGAGAAUUAACAUAUAGUCAAUUCUCUAACCGGUGUUGUACAGCUACAUCCUUUAAUUAGAUUUCAGCUUUGAUUCUCUCUCACUGAUGCAACUUGCAAUGGUUCGAGCCUCUCACUAAGCCUUAACCAUUCAAAGUGAUCUUUAACCUUGAACUUCCCUUCUCAAGCUCGCAAGAGAUAACUAAUGGAUGUCUCCUUGGAGUCCAAAAGCUUACCAAGUGUUGGCAAUUCCAAAAAAUCCUACCUUCAAGUCACCUCCCAGAGGCUCGCAAGAGGUAAACUAGUGCAUCUCCAUGGUCGGAAAUCACUUGCCUUACCAAGUGUUGGCCCAGGUGACUCUAAGGUGUUUUAAGUUAACUAAAAACAUAGAAAUCACUAAAAGAUUACACUUCCUCUUCAUUCAUGGCUGAAACCACAAAGCUAUUCAUUCUUGCACUUGGAACCUUUCCCGGCAACCUUAGCUCCAAGGAACUAAAGGUUUAGUUACUCAUUCUCUGGGGAAACUUCCUCAGAGAGUGCAUAACUUAGUAAAUGAAAAAUACAAUCAAAGUGAGAAGGUAAGGCAAAACAAAGGUCCUGAAUUUUACUUGCUUUCCAACUUUUUACAAAAAGGUUUCUCUCUUGGAACAGGCUCCUGAGAGCUAUUUAUAUGAAACUACCAUCAUAGCUAUUACAUGGAUAUUUUUCCUUUUUCCUAACUUAAAAGCUAAGGAAUCUUAUUAUUGGUGGCUUACAAGGAGAAUUUUGGGAUUUAGACAACAAAAAUCUGAUGAAAAAUAUCUCAUUGUGUCGGUCGUAAAUAUCGGGAAGCACUAAGGACCAUUUCGCAAGUGAAAACGAGGUCUGCGAGAUUUCUCAGAUGCACAAAAAGAGCUACGAAAUCACUUCGCAGCAAACGGUUGAUUUCGCACCGCUGCGAAGUGAUCUUUCAGCUUGCGGCAUUCGGCUUCCAACGUGUCGGGAAACUUCAGGGGGAAUUCCUCAGCACUGUGCAAAAAGGCUGCGAAAUCAUUUCGCAACAAAAGGGUGAUUUCGCAACGCUGUGCAAAAUUCUUCCUUCAGCUUGGAGUGAUCGGCUUGCAAUGGCUGUAACUCCUUCAUUUCAACUCCAAAUUGCAAACCUCUUGAAGCAUUGGAUUGUUGACUUCCUGAGCUUCGAGACGACAUAUAGCAUGCAUCAAUUGGACUUCAGAAAGUGCUCCAAAAGUGGCUGACAUGACUGUCAUCAAGAAUAUGCUUCAUGGCAGAUUUCUCUUUGCUUCCUCUCCUUGCAUUCCGGAUUUGCUUAUGGAAAAGGUCUUCAAAGCUUUGGUUCUUCAUGUUUCUGAGCUUUCCAUUGCUUUGCCAAGGAUUCCAAAUAACUCUCCUCAAUCUCGGAUUGCUUUGGUGAUUAAAAAGCUAUCAAAACACCAAAACUUAACACAAUUUGAUUAGAAGUGAUUGCAAGGGUCCUUAACAUGUUAAUUGGGUUAAAAGGCAAUAACUACUACUCAAAAGUGUUUAAAAGAGUUAAUUACAAGCUAUGAAAUAGCACUUUUUGAGUAGUAAUCAGGUAGCCAUCAAAUUAUAAGCAUCCCGAAUCCGAAAAAUAUCAAGACCCCCUCCUUUCCAUAACACUGAGUCCUCUUCCAUAUCAAGCCUUUUUACAACUAACUUGGGCAUUCGAAAAAGGGAUAAUUGGUAGAUGGGUAUACUGGCCAAUGUACUUUUAAUGAGGGUAAUUCUCACACCCUUAGACAUGUAUUGCAUUUUCCAAAUAGCUAAUCUUCUUCUUAUUCUUUCCUCCACCCCAUCCCAUAUAGACAAGGCCUUGUGAUGGGCUCCAAGGGGCAGCCCCAAAUACUUAGUAGGAAAAGCCCCCACUCUGCACCCUAACUUCUCAGCCAUAUCCUCAAUAUCUUCAACCUCCUCAACAGAAAUUAAUUCACUCUUAGCUAGAUUAAUCCUAAGACCAGAAGCUGCCUCAAACCACCCCAAAAUCCAGCCAAGAUGAGUUAGAUGCUCCUUCCUUGCUUCAUAGAAGAUGAUUGUGUCAUCAACAAAGAGCAAGUGGGACACAUUCAUCUCCAUCCCCCAUUUUCCUCGAAGUUUGCAACCAGAAAUGAAGCCUCCAUCAAUAGCCUUUCUUAUAAGUGCACUCAGCACUUCCAUACCCAAAACAAAAAGGUAAGGAGAAAUGGGAUCUACUUGACAUAGCCCCUUGGAACUGGAAAAGAAGCCUACUGGCACCCUGUUGACAAUAAUAGAAAAUUUUGCAGUUGAGAUGCACCACCAAAUCCACUCCAUCCAACGAGACCCAAAGCCCAUCUUGUGCAAAACCUUCAUGAGAAAGUUCCAAUUAAUACUAUCAUAAGCUUUUUCAAUAUCCAAUUUGCAAACCAGUCCUUUCUCUUUAUGUUUCUGCCAAUAAUCAACCACCUCAUCAGUUAUGAGAGAGACGUCUAGAAUCUGUCUUCCCCUCAUAAACACAUUUUGAUCCACCGAGACCAUCUUACCUAACACUUUCUUCAACCUAUGGGCUAGCACUUUGGCCAGAAGCUUGUAUAGCCCCCCUAAAAGGCUGAUAGACCGAAAAUCCCCGAGGUCCACAGCCCCACCUUUUUUUAGGAUGAGGACCAAGAAGAUAGUAUUUAGACUUUUGGCAAAAUAUUUUUGGUCAUAAAAUUCCUUAAACAGCUCUACAACCUCCUCCUUCACAAAAUCCCAACAAGAUUGCCAAAAGGCCACAGUAAACCCAUUCGGCCAUUCAUUUCCAACAGAGUUAAGUGAAUUUCUUCCUCAGUAAAGGGCAUCUCCAGAGCUUCAACUUCACCGUGGUUUAGACGUUGAAGGUGCAACCCCUCAAUGUCAGCUCUCCAUCCUGGCUCUUCUGAGAGCUAUUGUUGAAAAGCAUUCACAAUCCCCUCCCUCACCUCCUGCUCCUCAUCCAACUCCACCCCAUUGAUCUUGAUUUUAUCCAAGGAGUUGUUUCUUCAGUGGGCAUUGGCCAUUCGGUGGAAAAAUCCUAUGUUCUUAUCCCCUUCCUUUAGCCACAGCUCCCUUGACAAUUGUCUCCAAUGGGUUUCUUCUAAAAGCACCCACUUUUUAAAGGUUUCCUUAGCUUCAUUUUUCAACUCCGUUUCUCCUUCUGGCGGGCCCCUUUCACAUUCCACCCCAUCCCAAAAUUCAACUUGCUGGAGAGCUGAGCUUUUAUUAAUUUCCAACCUACCAAACACAUCCUUGUUCCAAACUUUGAUUUUUUUCCUUCAACACCUUUAGCUUAGCAGCCAGUCUAAAGUUGGUCCUCUCUCGCCUCCCCGCUCCCUACCACCAAUCCCGAAUGAGAUCCUUAAAACCAUCAACUUUAAGCCACAUGUUUUCAAACCUGAACGGGGAGGGUCCUCGUCUUAACCCGCCACCCUUCAAUAGAAUGGGAAAAUGAUCUGAAGUGGGCCUGGGAAGCCUACUUUGGACAACCUCCCUAAACAAGUCAAGCUAGUUUUGGGUCACCAGGAAACAAUCCAGUCUAGCCCAGGACUGAUUGUUCCUAUCUCCACUCCAGGAAAACACAACCCCUUGCAAAGGAAGAUCUAGGAGCUCUAGUUCAUCAACCACCUGAGCAAACCUUCUCAUUGCACCAUUUAAACUAUCCUGACUGCUCCUUUCCCUUUGGAAAAGGGUGACAUUAAAGUCGCUCCCUAAACACCAGGGAUCAUCCCAGAUGCCCCUUAUUGGCCUUAGCUCAUCCCACAAAGUCUCCAUUUCAUUCCUAGUGAACGGUCCGUACACUCUUGUGAAGAUCCAAACAAGCCCAUCUUCAACAUUCCUGAGCCUACAGGAAAUAGAAAAUUGUCCCACCUCCAUCUUUAGCAUUUCCAGGGACCUUUUAUCCCAGCAAAUCAAAAUCCCACCCGCAAAGCCUUGAGCACCCAUGGCUCCCCAAUCUAGAAACCUCCCAGAGCCCAAAGUCCUCACCACACCCACUAACAUUGACUGAAUUUUCAUCUCCUAAAUACAGAACAAAUUCACCCUCUGACUUCCAAUCAUAGCCUUGAUCACCUUUCUUUUAGAGCUAUCGUUAGCUCUACACAUGUUCUAGUUCAACAACCUUAACUUCAUUAGACAACCAAAAUCUGGCACCCUCUUCCUUGCAUGGUACCUUUUUAUUUCCUCCCCCCUUCAUAAUUAAUGGAUCAUUCAAGUCUCUUCAAUUCCCUUUCAAAUUUCGAUUUUUCUAGAAGAGUUUCACUAUGAACUCUUUCCCUUCUUUUUUUUAUUUUGACCAGAAACUCCAAAAUGUCCUUCAAUCUCUCUGUCAAAAACCCCAAAAACCUGCUGAACCUCACUAGAUCGCUUUCCUCCCAACUAGUUUCCUCUCAUCCUCUAACUUCGAGUGGCAUAGCACUAGCUAAGCAAAGUUCCUCUCCACUUUCUUCAAUACUACCAUUAUUAACUUUCAUUAGCUCCCAACGAGUAACAGUCUCCAUCAUUGAAGACUCCGUACCAUUAACCAUGCAGCCCGGUCAUUCCCUCUGGAAUUUUUCCAAUCUGGCCCUAGAACAGUCGUAAUACUCCCCCAAUUGAGUCCGACCAGAAAAAGAAGAGGGGGGAGAUGAGAAAUCACAAAGCAACGUUCCACAAGGGUUAGAGGUGUUCUCAUACCUCGAAGCUUCCUCCAUUAGAGCACAGUUAGUCUUCAAACUCUUCUCUAAAAGUUGUUCCUUAGUCGAAGGUCUUCGCAGACCUUCGUGCACCCAAAAGGAAAAGAUGGAAUGGUCUGGAGCCCCCAAAAGUCUUAGGCCAAAAAGAUUGUAAAGACGGGAUGCUCCCAGCUGGGCUCUUCCCUCAGCUAAGGGCAAGGUCAGGCCUCGGCAAACCAGCCCAAGCACCACAAUAGGCUCCUUUUCCUUGGCCCACCUAGAACCCUUAAUAAACGACAACCCAAAAUGAGAUGGCCCAGUCUCGCAGAGAAAGGCCACAAGAGGAGCAGGCCCAGUAAUCACAAUGGGCUCUGCUCAACACGGUGACGAAGACCAACCCGAACCUUGGGACCCAACUGACAGCCCAACAAAGCACCAACCAUGACCCAUGGCCUGUCCCGACCCACUAGUCUGCCCCCUCGUCCCAUCAGCAGGUAGUAGCAAGUCCUCAAGCCUCGAGGCAUCGUCCUCCACCCGCACGCGCUCGAUUGUGCAUGCGAUGGCCUCACCCCCAACCUCGCCUUCUGUACCGAUAAUGUUUCCACUCUUUCUUGCCAUCGUCAUUCUCAGGAUUGGCCUGACCUCCCACCGGAGGGUUACCUCGUAGUAGAAUUCCUCAGCCCAAACCUCCACCACGUUGGGAAGCUUCUCGUCGUUGAGCUUCAUCAGGAUCCUUGCCCACUGCAAAUCCUCCAGCUUCUCCAUUUGGGAAUCGACUGCGAUGAAGCCCCCGCACUCCUCCCCUAUCCUUCUCAUAAUGGCUCGAUCCCAUAAGGAAAUGGGUAAUCCCAUAAUACGCACCCAAGCCUUGCUCUUUUUCACCCCAUCCAUCAGGCAUCCCAUCUCGGGCCUCCAUUUCUCCAAACGAAUGAGAGACCCCCCAACCGAAAUACCCCCGAUUUUUAAGGUUUUCUCUGCUUCUACCAAAAACUCAAAUUCAAGUAAAACUUUGCCCCUUUCCAAUUUCGCUAGCCCUAGAUUACCCUUCAGUCUCCAAAUAUUCUCCAAAUGGGUCCUUCUACUUCUUAGGUCAUCCCCUCUCACAGAGCUAGGAUUCCAAAUCCCAACUAAACAGUGAGCCAGCUUGUUUAAGUUUCGGCUCAGCUCCUUCUUUCUUAUCUCCACCCUAAUCAUUGUUUUUUCUUUUCCUCUUGGCUAUUUAGCCACUUCCGCGUAGGUUUUCCCCAUGCUAGAUUUCGACAACAACGCUUCUUUUUUUUGGCAUCCCUCUUCUCCGUUAGUAAAACCCAAUCGCCAUAGCGUCUCCACCAUUGAAACCCAGCCACCCUUAGCUCUUCUUCCUUUUGGAAUAAAGAUGCAAAACCUUUUGUUUUCCAGGUCCGCAACCUCUAAUCGAAGAAAAUACCCCCCUUAUUUUGAUCCCGCACCAGAGAAUAGGCUCUCCCACUUUCCUUCCACUUUCUUUCCCUUUUACCAGUUCCCGCGUCCUUAAUACAAAGAACUAGACCAUCGAAAAAAAACCCAAUGAUCUUCGGUCCCAACCUAAUCCACGAGAAGAUCCCUCAUUUCAGUUCCACAAUUGUAGCUUGCACUUUACCUUUCUGCUCCUCCACCUCGACCUCGAACGACUUCAACUCCACUCCAAAACUACCCUUUCUAAAGCUUUUCCUAGUCCCCACGAAGACAACACCCUCUGCACCCUCGCUCGCUCCACCAUCUACACUUUCUCUCGCUCGCCGCACGCCUCACUCUCCAUCGGAGCUCUCGCUCGUUCUCUCUCUAGCCCUCUCUCCUCCAUUUCUCAUCUGUCUACUAUAUUAUUGAACCUUACAUCAAUGAGGUUGCUUAAAUAUGUUGAUUUUGCUAGGUUUCUCAAUUUGAAAAAUAUAUUAUUCUCUGUUCAUUUAUUGUUUUCCAGAUUCAUCUCUGAGAAUAUAUCUAAAAUCUAGAGUUGAGUAUUUGUGCUUUUAGGUUUUAUUUUCCUUUCAUUUUUGUUGGUAAUUGUAUUUCAUUAUUCUUAAAUUUCUCACCAGCUAUUUCUUUAUAUGGUUUAUUGUCCCUCACUUUCUUCAUCCAUCUAAAGUGUUCAGAUUCAAUUAGCUUGUUUCGUAAUCUAGGUCUUAUUUAGGAGUUUCUUCUCAACUGCCUUUUUUAGUGCUUCUAAAAGACAUGCCUGAUUUAUAUACAUUUUUAUUGGUUUUUUUUUUUUACCAUAAAAGGUUCAAGCAUUGGCAUUGUCAUGUGUUAAUUAGUGGCUAUAAACUUCAUCCGUAUCCAAUUGCACACUUGUCCAAACUCUUGAUGAUGAAGGUAUGGUUGCAUUUACUAGUAUGAAAUUGCUAAAAUUUGUCAUCCAAAGUUUCAAUUUCUUUUGAAUCUUGAAGACUUAAUUUGCAUUCUUGUAGGAAUUAGAUGUGGAAUAAUUUUGCAAUGUUUGUUGUCUUAAGACCAGCACUGAUGAACGGGGAAAUAAGUUCUUAUCAACCAAGCAAACAAACUUCCAUUAUCCCAAGGAAGUCUUUCCAAGCUACUGCCUUUUAGGUUUGGAACACUUUUAGAGGUAACAAUCAAUAGGAAUUAGUUAUUCUUUCAAACUUCUUAUUGUACAAAUAUAACCUGCAUGUGCAACCAUUUAUGAUCCCAUAAUUUCAAGAAUUUAUGACACCUUCUAGUGGUUAGUUUUUCUAGGAAUAGAGUGAGACAAUCUAUUCACCCCCAAAAACCAUCGUCAGAGGAACAGUAGAUAACCCGCAAGACCAAAUUUAUGUGUGUGAAUGGAGAUGCAUGUUUUUUACAUCCCAGUCAUGUAGUGUUGUGUCAAAGGGAAUAAUAGCAGGUGAUGAUAAGUGGUAUUUCUAAAAUGUUCGAAGAAUAUUCCAUCUGUCAUGUAAUAUUGCUUUCUCAAAACUGUUUUUGAAGUCUUAUUUUUAAAUAUUAGAGUUGACCUCUUGUACACUAUCAACUGAUGUUGUAACUUAACUAGAAAGAGAAAUUAUAUAAACUUAGCCUUGGUUUGGAUCUUGAAAGAUAGCAAGCAAAGAAAAAUUAGGUUAAUAGUGAGUUGAUUUAUUCUCUUCCCAUGGAUGUAAGCACAUUCUUGAAUCACUUAAAUUAUUUUUUUCUUGUCUAUUAUUCAAUUGUCUCUGAAAAAAAAAGUGGUAUCAGCGUUUUUUCCAACACAACAAAUGAUUCAUGUGACAACUGCCAAUAAAGGAAGCACUUAAGAAGGAGUUUGUAAGGUGUUACAUGGCAGGUUGAACAAAACCAAUAGCUAGAGAGAUAUAUGAAAUAUUUGGGGGCCAUUGAUCCAACAAUAGUAGAGAAUAACAUAAGAAGAGACCCUCUAAUCACCAUUUUUGCUUUCGAUUCUUCUCUACAAAACAUCAUCUCUUUAUACAAAAAGACACCCCAUGGCUGAGCUCGUAUUAUUCUCUGCAUAUCCCAAAACUGCUCUCCAAAUUUUAGGGCAUGGUACUCUUUUGAGUGGUAUUUUUGGUACUAAAUUUAAGUAUUCUCUCAAAUACCUAAAAUGCCCUCUAGAUUUUAGGGCAUGACCCACUCUUUGAGGUGGUAUUUUGGGUACUAAGUUUUGUUAUGAGAGGUUUUGGUGUGGAAAUCGGAGGGCCUCUUGGGAAUAUGAAAUUAGAAAUGUUACACACGUUGCAUGUAUUUUCUUUUGCGUGCAUUACACUUAGAUUGGAGUUUAUGCAGUUACUCACUUUUUGUGUGUCCAACAGUACUGUAUGUCACAUCACCAUAUGAUGGGCCCUUUAGCCUUUUUUUAACCCCCUCCCCCCAAGAAAAAAAAAACCUAAUACUAAAAAUAAAAAAAUAAAAAAAAACCUAAUACUAAAAGGACCUUAGCUUGCAAACUAUGUGGAGGUAGGCCUCCACAUCCAACUUCUUAGAGGGACCAUGAUCACUUAGGCCAAGGAAGUUUGAGGCAAUAAUACGUCUACGAUGCCCUUAGAUGUUUUGGGCACAUGCACGCUACACUAAUGUAUUCAACGAGUCUGUAACCUUGACUAACAAGCUUAGGUAAUCUUUGAAAUUUCAUUAUGAUGGGGAAGGUUCCACAUGAACGACACUUGCACAUGGGUUAGUUAAUCCUAAGAGAUGGGGGAAGCUCGUCAGACAACGCGUGACACUCGAGCUUUGAAAGGUAAUUGAGUUAACAUUCCUAAACCGGGACAUGACGGUCUACAACAAUGUUAGGUAGUCUGAAGAGUCAUGUUAAUUGUUAUCGGUAUUUUUAUUUAUUCAAUAGAAAUUGAGGAUUUAAAAAAUACCACAAAAAUUAGAAAAAAAAAUUAAUUAUAUGAAUAACAUUUCAAAUAUUUAACAAAAUGUAUGAAAGUUGAAUAUCAUACACGAUUAAAUGGCUAGAUCAUCUUCUUUAGUUUUUCCAUGAUCUCAUCCUAUUAAAUGACUCAUCCAAUAUUAAUUUAUUUUAAAGGUAAAAUUAAUUAUAUUAUAAUACUUAAAUACUUUACCAUGCUAUAAUCCUCUAGCUAAUAAAUGAAAUCAAAACUUAAAAAUCAUUUUUAUAUAUAGAUAUAUAUUAUUAAGUUUAGGUAGUGAAGCAAUUAAUGUGGGUAUAAAAUUAAUGCCAAAACUUUUGAUUGUUCCUUCACAUUCUCCACAGCAAAGGAAAUAAGAAAAAUAAAGAAAGAAAUUUAGGGUAGUUUUAUUUUUUGUUCUCAUCUCAUGGUGAAAUUAAUAGAGGAAUGCUUGGGUUGGUGCUCAACAAUCAAGUGACAUCCGAUAUAAUGAUUCUUCCAAUCCUGUAAAUAUUGUCCGCUUUAAUUUUAAUGGAUCAUCAUCACUUUAAAUUGCAUUCACAUUGUUAAGAGCAAUUCAUACGUACAUAAUAUUAAGAACUUUUUCUUAUUCGAUAUGGAAUAUAAAAUUGGGUAUCUUUCUGAUUACUACCAAAAAGUGCUAUUUUGUAGACCUAAUUAUAAUGGUUUUAAGCACCUUUGAGUAGUAAUCAUAUUCAUUUAACCCAAUUAAUUCAUUAAGGUCCUUAGUAAUUGGUUUUAACCAUUUUGUGGCAAGUUUACAUGUUUAUAUCAGCUUAUGAAUCAAUUCAAGCAUGCCAAAUGAUGGAGGAGCUACUUGGACAAGUUAAAUCAAGCUUUUAGCUACACCAAAGCAAGCCAACAAAAGGAGAAAAGCAAAGAAAAGCAAAGAAAAGCAAGGAGGAAAACAGAGGACAGCAGCUGCAGUCUUCGUUGGCACUUUUGGAGCACUUCCCGAAGUCCAUUCUCUACAUGCUAUAUACCAUUUCAAAGCUCAGGAAGUCAAGAAUCCAACGCUUCAAACCGUGCAUGAUUUGGAGCUGAAACGAGGAAGAUAUGGCCUUCGGAAGACAACUGCUCCAGGUGUGCGAGAAUUUCGCACACCCCCCUUUAGCUGUGCGAAUGGUGUGCGAAGUUCGCACACCUUCUUCAGGUGUGCGAAAAUUUCGCACACCCCAUGCGUGGUGCGAAUUUUCCCCUGUUUCUGCCGACUCCACUUUAGAUCUUUUCUUUUAGAUAUUUUUGUAUAAAUUUCCAUUCUUCUCCUUGUAAUCCACCAAUCAUAAGAUUUAUUAGCUAGGAAAGUUGGAAAAACUUCUCUAUUUAUAUCCCCUUGCAUCCGUUGUAACAAAUAAUUGAUAUAUAGAUAUAUAAUACAUAUUACGUUUUACACUCUCUCGUUUUCUCUUUUCUCUUCACUAUUUUAUUUUCUUGGUAGCCAAACAGCCUCUAAGGGCUUUUCCUCAGAGGAUGAUUGGCUAAAACUUUUAGUUUCUCAAAGUAUGGAUGUUAUGUGAUGACUUGGAUGCAAUCCCAUGGAAAUUUCUCACACCCGGAAGGUAAGGUAGUCGUUUUUCAUUAAAGGUUCAUUAAUGCAAAGUUUGGUUUUUAUUUCCUUUGGACAACUUCCAACGGCCAAUACUUGAUAAGCUUUUGGAUUUCUAUCCAUUAGUUAUCUCCUACGAGCUAUUGGAAGGUGAGGUUUUCAAUUCCAAGUUUUGUAUUAAUCCGUUAGAACCAAUUUCAAUGGCCAUUGAAAGGUGAGUUUAUCACCUGGAAUGACUUUGAGUUGCCAAUAUUUGGUAAGCUUUUGGCUUUAGACCAUUAGUUAUCUCUUACGAGCCAUUCAAAGGAAGUCUAAGGUGAAUAACCAUUGAUGAAAUUCACUACCAUCUGUUUUGCCAUUUUAAAGGAUUAAAACGUGAUUUGCUAAAUCCAUACCGGUUCGGGAAGCAAGCAUCACCAUAGUUGCAACCCCAACGCGAGGAGCCUAUCCUGAGAUUUCCAAUUUGCAUAAGAGCCAGAGCAUAGCUAUCCUAUCUUUGAGAAACUUGUUUUUACACCCUUUCAUUUUAGUCUUUAAUGUUAGCUUAGAUUAGUUUAAAUCUUUCUAAAACAUUUACAUCUUCUUUUAAAGCUAACAUCCAUAAGAAAAUCACCUAUUUUCCUAACUUGAAUAUCACUUGUGUUUGCGAAAACCCUUCCCAGUGAACGAUCCUAGAACCACUAUGCUAUAGUAGCUUGGCUACUUUAGUAAUAGUAUUCAAGGUAUAAAUUUUGUUGAUACGCCUUUAAAGCUAAGCUACCAUGAGUCGCAUCACUUUCAAUUUUAGAUGUUGCAUAAGCAUUCCAACUCCUAUAUAGACACAUUGCGUAAAUAUUCUUAUUUAAUAAAAGUUUAUAUGUCAUUAAAUAAAUAUAGAAUUUUAACAUUAAUUGCAGUGCUAAGUGCAAGAGAUCUCAUGUUUAAGUCAUUGAUUAAGAUUUAUUUGAAAACUUAACAUUUGUUACUUAAAUAACUUAAGUUGACUUUAAAUUAUAUUAUAUUUAAAUUAUUUGCUUAAAAUUUAUUGUUUAAUAUUUAUUUUAAGUAUUAAAGUUAUUUGAUAAAGUUAAUUUAAAAAAUAUUUUAAAUCACAAAUUGUCAUAUUUACCUUCAUUAAUUUGAAUUAGUAUUUACAUUCAUUAAUUUUAUUUAAUAUUUAUUUUUAUUAAUCUUAAAUAAUAAAUUUGUUUAUUAAACAUUUAACAGAUUCAUAAAAUAACUACACAAUAUUCACAAUAAUAAAUGAGUCAUGAAUUUGAAGUCAUGAUUUUAAAAUGUACGCUAACAAGAUAUGAACAAAUGAGACAAAAAAAAAUGAGAUUAAAAAUAAGUUAAUUAUUUUGAUUUAACACUUAAAAUUAAAAGUAACUUUAAAUUAUAAUAUUAAGUUAUUUUAGCAAAUAUAUUUAAUCUAUUUAAUGAAUUAAAUUAAGUUAUUAAGUCAAAUGAUUACCAAACACCCUAUUAAGACCCAGAAAAUGGAAUGAGUUUUAAUAGUAUUCAGGAUGGGCAUGACUAGGUGGUGGUUCAAUGCUGAUUAAUCAUAAUUUAAUCUAAGCAAAAUAUGUAACGAAACUCAAACUGCACUAUCCAAAUGGGCGCCAAGAACGUUACAUUUGACAAAUGCCAGUAAACCUCUACAGCUAGAAAUUAAAAGAUCACUCUCUUGUUGUAUCUCUCUUUUUCUCCAAGCCCCGGAAGGAAAAACUCGAACCCCAUUAUUUUGAUCACAGAAAAAGUGGCAAAAAAGUGUGUUGUAGUUCAUCUUGAAGCUCAUUAACUUCAUCUUAAUUUGAUCCAAAUUGCAGAAACAUGGGAAACUCCAUGAAUCUAUGGUGCUAUGGUGGCCUACAUUCAUAUAACUGGGGACACUUUGGUUUAAACUACAAUGACCCCAAACAGGGUUUGUAGAGACUUCAUCGAGAUCACUAGCUUCAAAAGACUGAGGAAGAAAGAUGUUCUCAAUGAAAACUUGGUGUCAAAUUGCAGAUAAAGACCUAAAAAUCCCACUUAAUGUGUUCUAGGAAUUGUUGUUUGAUAGGGAGUAAGAACAGAGUGCACGAGUUUUGGGGUGGGGUGAUACCUAAAGCACUAGAGUAGCACGUGAUCAAGCCUCACUUAGUGAAAAGCUGUUUGGUUUGUACAUGUCUGCUUAGUGAUACUUAGGAUUGGCGAAGUAUACAUCUCCUUUGUGAUCAGGUUUGUAUAUGGGCAGAUGAAUGUUCAUGUGAGGUUCAUAUAUGUUUCUGAUACAUAUCACCCUGGAAGAAUCUAGAUCAAGGGGAUGAGUUUCUAAGCUUGACUAGGUUUGAGAUGUUUGAGAAUUGGUGAGCAUGAUAUAUAUCAUGAUAUUGCAGAAGACAACAGAGCUUCUGAAAUAUGUCAGGUUCAAUAGUAGGAAAUCUUAUCAGCUGUCACUUACUUUAAUCCUAUGAUCUCAAUAUUCAUUUGUUGAAGAAGAAAGAGGUAUCUUGAAAAAAAUUUGCUUUCACACUAUUCAAUUACAAGAGGAUGUUCAAUUAUAGAAGAAAAUAAUAUUCACUAGACUCUUUCAACUUAAUCAACAUGCAGGGAAAACCAGUCGGGUGACCAAUUAUUCACAUAAUAACUUAGGUGGUGUUUGUUUUUUUGGCUUUUUGCUGAAAACCAUUUAGUUUUAGAAUUUAGGUAGUUUGUUUUUUUACUUUUUCAUAACUUAUCAUAAACUUUUUACUAAAUAGAAAAAGCCAAAAUAUGUGGCUUUUUCUAAAUAGAAAAAAUAACACAAUGGUUUUUUUUACUUUUUAAUACUUAAUAGAAAUAAAAUACUACAAAAACAAACAACCUAAUAUUUAAUACUAUUAAGUAUUAAGGUUCUAUUUAGAAUUAAGUAAAAAAACAAACACCACCUUACUGUCUUUCUACCUCUACUUGUUAAUCAUCAGCCAAGCUUAUAGUAAUAUAAGCUUGGGUUCAUCUCUCUAUGCCACUGAUGACAACUCCACAUGGGCUUCCCCUUCUGGUGAUUUUGCAUUUGGAUUCCGACCGUCUCCAAGUGAAAAGGAUCUAUUCCUUCUUGCUCUCUGGACUGCAAAUGGAAGUUAACCGGCGCCAAGAGGAUCAAAAGUCGAGCUUGCUACCAAUGGACAGCUUGUUCUCCAGAGGCUAAGAGAUAUGGAAGACAAAGACUGGUAAUGUGAGCAGCAAAGCAGUGCAUGGUGCCAUGCUUGGAGAUGGAAAUUGUAUACCUGUAUAUGGGAGAGCUUCAAGCACCCAACUAAUACCAUAUUGCCAACUCAGGGAUUGGUGUUGGAGCCUACUGUGCAGUUGCCAUUUUUGAGAACCUGAGGUUUGCAAAUGGAACUGGUGUAUGAGUUUAUGCACAAUGGUUCUUUAUCAAGCUUCCUUUUUGGAGGCGCCCAAGGACUGGUGUACCUACAUAAAGAAUACAGUAAACAGAUCAUCCAUUGCGACAUAAAGCCCUCAGAACGUAACUCUUGGAUGAUUCUUUUACAGCCAAAGUUGCAAACUUGGACUGGGAAAGCUUCUGAUAAGCAACCAGACUAGAACACUCACAGGCAUCAGAGGGACUAUGGGGUAUAUUCAGACAACUCGGGCAGCCUAUGUCUCUUAUAAUAACACGUUAUGAAGCAUCAGCUCAAUGCCGGGGUUCAAUCUGCAAAGCAAGGGAUUCAUCAAUGUUUCCUUCAAACUAAAUGAUAAGGAACAGAAAUGGAUCAUUCUGCAUUUUCAGUGGUGUUUGUUAUAGCAUUUAUACAAGAACUCUAGGGGUUUCUAUGUAUAACUUCAUUCCCAUUUUGUAUAAUCCAAAUCUCUUCAAUCGAUUAAAUGUAUAAAUGAAUCCUAUUCAUUGUUUGGAGUAACAACAAAAUUCUGGAAGACUGGGAAAGUUUCAACACUGGAGAGAAGACAAAAUGACCAGACCAUAAAUUCUGGAAGAGGGCUUUGCUUUCUAACCAUUACCAUAAUUUUAGAGCUCAACCCGGAUGAGUAAAUUAUAUUUCAGAAUGUUCAGGAGAUAAUUCUAAAGUGAUGAACCUUCUACUCACAGUUUUUUGUUCUUCUUGAACAGAGCAAUGAACAUCAAUAGUUCAGCACCCAGGAAUCUCCCCUUCCUCCAAUUCCCCCACUGGGAAAAGUCACCUUUCCAGUUAAGAAAAUCAUCAGGAUUAAUUUGAGCAAAACAUCAGAGUAUACAUCAAGAAAGCCUUGAUCAAAAUCAAAAUACAUCAAGAGCUGCCAUUUUCUUCUAUUUCCUCUUCCCUGAAUGGAAUGCCUUUUGGACUGAGGUGAUCAAUGGUAACAGUCUAACACACUCCUUAAGCUCUGAUUGAGGUCAACGGGGAUUGGCACAUUUAAUGACUUUGAAAUCAUAGCUGUGUGAAGGGAGGCAAACAUGAAUCUCAGGAUAAUCAACAAGUCAACAACUAUCAAUCAGUAAGGAAAAGGAAAUACCUUUGGAUAUUUACAAAUCAAAAAAUUGAGAGUCCAGCUUCUCUGUACAGAAAGGCUUGAGCUUAUUCCAUGGCCAGUCUGAAUUACGGAUGAGAGGGUUGAGUUUUCUUUCAUUCUGCAAUAAGAUUAAAAACAUCAAUGAAACGCUAAAAGUUUAUAUAUAGAAGCCCUUUAAAGAUGAGAAUUGGUCAGAGAGCUCACCCAUGGUCUAGUAAAACAACAUCUGUUAGAUAAGUAACCACCAUUCUAUUGUCCAGCUAAUGCAUUUAGAUCUAAGAUAAGCUAUGGAAAAAUAGUCAAAAAUAGCUAAAGACAGUCCAAAAACUCAUUUGACUAAUAAUUUUCUAAAAACAGUAACAUAAAACCUGGAUGAAGAAUCCACCCCUCUACCUCACACCACUGCAAUGCCAAAUAAAAUGUUACAAUGACCAUAUAUGGUCUUAAGAGACAAUGGGUGUUGUUUGGGCUCAAGACCUAAGACAAGCCAAAAAACAAGAAGAAAACAACAUCAAAAAUAGAUGGCAAAAUAGAAGGAUAAGGUCACAGACAGGACAAUAUUAAAAGAAAUUAUUAUUUUUCCGACCUGAAAAUCAAGGCAUUCAGAAGAGUACAAGUUUGUAAGUAGUCCAUGGAAACCAGGGAACAUAUGCAGAUGUUGUACUCUAUUGCAUAAGGCAAACACUCAAUACUUACAAGCAUAAUCAUGCCCAGAAAGCCGUGAAUCCCUUUUUGUUUUGCUUUUUUACCUAUUCCCAUCUCUUAUGGCCAGAAGUUCCUUCUGUGGCUGGUUUGUUGUGAUGGCCAUUUCGGGUCCUAACAGACUUGCUAUUGUUGUCUGGGCACCUGCCUCAGAGAAAGCCUGCCAAAGAUCGGAGUCUGGGCCAGGGGAAACGGAUUUUCUUUGCUGGAGUUCCCAGUCUGUUGCUUCAAUCUUUUCUCUGUGCUGUUAUGAGAAGAAAACCUAUCAGACACAUGAAUGGGUACAAAAAGGUAAACUUCAGGUUUUGGUUGUAUUGAAAAGCACAGGAAACUUCACAAGAGGCAAAUUAUACCCCAGACUUAUUGAAGAAAAAUAAAGUACAAUUGACUUACCCAAAUGUCUACUUUCUCAUUUAUAGGUUUCCUCCUAAACAAAUCCCCACAUCUAGGACAGGAAAAGGAAGAAACUGGGAGUCGACAUUUUUUCAACCAAAAGCACUAACUUAUCAAAAAACAUAGUUUUCCAUUCAAUGCCCAUUUCUUCAGGCUUCUUAAAGUGCUUAUGAUUGGUGGAGGUUCUUCCAAAAUCACACAACUUCCAUAAUCCAUUAGGGCCCAAUAGAAGAUUCUCAGCAUUUAUAUAAGAACUUCAGGGUUUAUACAUAUGAUCAUGUUACAGUAUAAAUCAUAGUGAACUGGUGGAAUUUGAUCAUUAGCCAACCUCAUCAAAAACUGUUUCACAGUUGAGGGGAUUGUUAACCUUGCCAUGGGCCAAGCAGCAAUUUCUGAAGAAGCUGGGUGACAAAGAGUACCAUCAUUUGGACUAGUUUCAAUGGAAAUUCCUCUGUUUCUAUACAUGAUAUCUUCAGCUUCAGCUUUUCCUUUUGCUUUGACAUGGCUGAAACUGAUCCUGAAAUCAAAAAUCCCAUGCAAGUAGAUAUUUAACAGAAGAGGAUCCGAAUCUCUUCAAUUGAUUAAUGUAUAAAUGAAAUAAUCAAAAUUUUUAGAGAUAAUUAUAGGGAGAUGAACCUUGUACCUCUGAGUUUCUUAGUCUUCUUGAACAGAGCAAUGAGCAUCAAGUGUUGAGCACCCAGGAAUCUCCCUUCCUCACAGGGAAAAUCUGAACAAUCUAUCUUUCUUCAUAUUCCACUUCCUUGCAAAAGUCAUAACAUGAAGAAAAUGUCAUCAAAAUUGAGACAAAAAUAAGUGCAUCAACUGUCUCAAGAAGAGAUUUAUGCCUAUUGCUUACCUUUUGCAGAAGUCCACUUGGUUAGAGCACAUUUUACAUGGACGCCCAAUCACUGCAAGCUGCUGAACCAAAGGAGAGUUCAAACAUCUAAAAAAUUUGACUAACUCAAGUAUCAUAAAAUACUUCACAUGAAUUCCAAAUGAUCUCAUAUCUAAAAAACAUUGACAUAAAAUUAUUGUUGUUUACCUUACAUGUUUCUUCCAUGGUCAUAAUCGAAACUUUGUUUAUCAUAAGAAAUCUUCUAUGCUCAUCCUGAUUACUUACAAUGAACAUUGAAAUGAAAAGACAAAAAACACAAAAAAUGACGAUUAGUUUGGUUUGAUAAUUUUUUAAAAUUAGAAAUUAUAAAACUAUUUUGGUUCUCAGAUUUAUCGGAAAAUUGAGGGAAAAACAAAAAUCUAAGAGAAAUUUAUUUAACACUUAUGAGGAACCAAAAAUGUUUUAGAUGUUGUCCAAUCGAUAAUUUAAACGUGUUUAAUUUCAAUUAAAUGAGUUUAAUCAAACACAUGAAAUUGUGAAUAAAAUUAUUUAAAAGCAUUGAAAUUCAAGUCAAUAAAGUUGUACAUAAAAUUUGAUAUAUUGAAGCAAGAAAAAAACAAAGCAAUUUGAAUGACUUGCUAAUAAAGCAACUAACUAGAAUAUGCCCUACAGUUGUUCUGUGCCCUGUAUAUAAGAAAUUUAAAAAAAACAUUCCUAGAAAAAAAACAAACAAAAUAUCCAUGGUUCUUACGUUAUUUUUUUCUUAAUUUUUCAAUAGUUAUAAAUGGUUCAUUUAAUUCUUGCAAACCACCAAAUCAAAACAGAGCAUGAAAAUGUGUUCAAUAUUUGUUUCAGGCUUGAAGCUUCAAGAAAAAGAAAACCUUAAAUCAAAUAAACAGGACUAGCGAAUGAAUUGGAACUUGAAAGAAAAGUUCAAGCGCAAAAGAAUUACUUGACUCUAUAUUGGCGGAGUGGCACUUUGAUUAAUAUAGCACAUUAUUGAUCAAUAUUCUUGGAAUGUGAGCUAUAUAACGCCAUUCUUCCCCUUUCUCAAAUCCACCGUUUUUCCCCUUUCUCAAAUCGAUGAAAAGGUAGCAUAUAUUUUUCAUUUCCUAAUUAUAUCAACUACUUCAUGGUGCCUUUGUCUGAUAAGCUUAAUAGUUCUUCUACAUUUCCACCAUCUAAUUCUCUAACGUUCAUCAUGAUAGGGUUGUAAAUUUCAUCAUCAAAUCAAAACAUAUCCUCCUAUAAGAGGCCUUUGAAUUAUGAAAUAAUCAAUUCACUUGAUUCUCAUAUUGGCAAAGACAAGCUUACACUAUUGGAAAGACUACCCCUCACCUUUGCCUUCCCAAAUAGCAAAGAUGAGAGAGAACCUUUCACAAAAUCACAAGAAUUAUUCAAGUUUGGAAUUCAUAGGCAUUGUUAUUGAAUUUCAGUUGUAUAAAAUUGGUGUGUUGUGUUUAUUUUGUUGGUAUUAAAAUUGAAUUUUUUUAAUUGCAAAUUGAUGAUUUUUUCUCUCUCUCACAUUUAUACCCAUUAGAGUUUCUUAUUAGGGUUUGUGUUUGAAAUUUGGAGAAAGUAUGGUGCAAUUGUUCACCGGUGUGGUGUACCAUCUUGUUUGUUGUAUUUGAUCUUUGGGUAUUUGAUUUAAUUUUGUUGUUGUGAAAUUGAAAGUUGAAAUCCAAGUUAAUUGUUUAACUAGCUAUUUGUAGUUGACUUGUUUGCACCGAUCUUGAUUAUCCAUUUCAUGGGAAUAAUUGAUUCCAAUUUUCCUUCAUGGUUACUGAAAAUAUAUUGUGGGUGAAGGACUAUUAUGGAGUAUAUUUAAUUUACAAGAUUGAAUAUUGAACAAAGAUAUGCCCUAGGUCUAGCUUAUAUGGAAUAGCAUAUCUUACAUUUAUUUAAUUAAAUAUACUAUACAAAUUUUGGUUAUAUAUAAUAUCUAUGUUACAAAUUUGGAUAAUUCGAAGUCUAAGUGACUUCAUAUAAUUAUUGUUACAUCUUAAAAAUGAUUUCACAAAUUAGAAUUACAAUGACUCCUACACACCUUAGAUUCUAACUCAAAUUCUCACUUGAUUUUAUUUUAUUUUUAUUUUUAUUUUUUUGUUUUCAAUCAAUUAAUAAUAUGUUAUGGGCUAGUUUAGCUUAUAGUUGAGAAGAAUUUUAUCUAAGAGCACCUCAAUUUGAAGCAAAUUGAAGAAAAAAAAUGACUUAUUAUACCUUAUGAAAGAUAAUAUUAUUAAUUUCCAUGUUUUUUUUUCAAAUAACCUUUUCAUGACAUGAACUUAUAUGGAACAUUGUUGUAUUAAUUGAUUAGGAAAUCACUAAGCCUAAGGAAGUGAGAAAAUUUAAAAGGGAAGGAAUGUCACCAUUGCAUUUUAGCACAAAGAAAGAUGAUCUCUAGCUAUGACGAAAAUUCAAGAAAUGAACAACUUCCAUUAAAGAUGAAGGCACAAUUGGGUGACAUUUAAAAAAAAAUAACAAAGGAAGUUAUUGUUUUAGCUAGGGAUAUGUUUUUUUUUUUUUCAGACUUCUUGUGUUACUCAUAUAUACAAUAUGCAAUGUGAUUUCUCUUUUAUAUUAUAAAUUUAUUACUCUUAGCACUUCAUUUAUGGGAUAGAUAAAUAAAAAUUACUUUAAUUUUAUUUAAUUAUUGGAUAGUUGUUGGAUGGAUAAAUGAUUGUUAUUUUCUUUAUAUUUGAGUUAUUUCAAUAUCAAAUGCCAAUUAAAAUAAAAGAGCAAUAGGUGAAGCUAAUUUUAGAUUGUCACAAUCCUUGGCACUUCCACUAAGUGUCAAGGUUUAGAGCAAUCAACAAUGGAAAAGGUGAACAAUGAUACUUCCAAAAGACGUCAAGGUUAUUUCAUCUUGAACAAUAACAGUUUUUGUAAGUGUCAUUAUUUACAAAAUCAACAAUAACAUUGGCAAAUUGGUACACCUCAAUGCUUCUAAAAAACAUCAUUAUUUGUUCCAUAUUUACAAUGACGCUAUUAAAAGUGUCAACAUCGCUAAACACUCUUUACAAUGACACUCGAUUUCAUGGCGCUUUUAAGAAGUGUAAUGUUUGUAGAAACUUAUUAUUGAUCACCGACUUUUUGCAACCAUACAACACUACAUAACCUUAAUACCUAUUGUUCAUUAUGAUGUUGUAAGAACAUAUGCCUCUAUGUGACCUAUUAAAUAAACUGGUCUUAUCAACUGAAAAAUGUUCCUCUAGUUAGUAAAAACUUCAUUCAUGUGGUCAUUUAUGAGCAUCAUAAUAAUCCAUAUUAAAAAUAUUUAAAAACAUUAAUGCACUAAAACAUUGAUUUCAUCAACAAAAUUACACUCAUUCUUUUGACUUAUAGCAUUCAAAGAUGUUUAAAAAUAUAUAUGUACAAUAAAACAUCAUCAAAUUUAUUAACAAUUAAACUUUUAACCCCAAAACAAUCCGCUACUUUAGUAGAUAAGACACUAUUUGGAAUAACAUUAUUUUUAGCUCAAGUUAGAAGUUAAAAUGAUAAGGUUAAAAGAAUAAAACCAACAAAAAAAGAAGAAGUUAUUUUUUGUCAAACUUGACACUAGUUCAAGUUAGAUAAUGUAGCUCAACGCCCUAUUGAAUUGAGUCAUAUAACUAGACUCCCUAAUUAUAUAUUAUGAUACACACACAACCUUUGGUCUAGUAUACAUGAUUAAAUUAAAUGCCCAACCUAGUUUGCAAAGCUAAACUAGAAUCCCAAAUCUAGUUCAUUAUAAAUGCUCUUCAACCAACUUGCUAUAGCAUUCAAAUAAGACAAUGACAAUGAUAAAAAACCAAAAAAAAUACCUAAUAUAUCAUUGAAAACUCCUUCCUAAAGGAGGUAAAAAAAAAAUCAUGAAGUAACUUUCUUCUAUUAAUAAAAAAAUGGGAAUACAGUGAUCUAUAUAGUGUUUUAACUCGAAACUUAUGGUAUUACAAAUAUUAAAGAAGCGAUUUAAAACACACACACACACAACAAGCAUGUUGUCAAGCUUAUAAAAGUUGGAGAAAUCUCUACAUAUAAGUCUUCAAAACAUGAUGGAGAGUAACCUUGACAUUUAAGUCAACAAUAUACAAGGAAAGGCAACCCAAAAAGAUACAACUUUGAGAACAAACCCUUCUUUUUGCUUUUUUACAUAACCCCUUUUUUUUUUUUCUUUUUGAAAACUUCUCUCAUUUCCUCUAAUUGUUACACUACACAACAAUCCUAAAAAAACAGAGUUUAAAGGUCUGUUUGAUAAUUGUUUUUAAAAAUAAUUUUGAAAAAUAGUUUUUGAAAAUUAUUCUUUAAUGUUUAAUUUGUAGAACAAAAGUUUGUUUGGAAACCCUAAAUAUUUUUAACAUGUUUUUAAUGUUGUUAAAUAUGUUUUAAAUUUUUUUUUUUUAAUGUCUAGUAUUUUAUUUUUAAUCAUUCUACAUGUUUAUAUAAUUAUUUUUUAAGACAACCCUUAAAAAAUAAGUAAAAAUAACAUAAAACAGUUAAAAGAUGUUAUCUAAAAACACCUUAUUUUAUUAUAGCAGAAAAUAAAAAAUGGUUUUUGGUUGUCAAACAUGUUUUCUUAGUUUUUUUAUUCUGAAGAAUAAAAAAUUGUUCUUGAAAACAGUUGUCAAACAAGAAUCUUUUCAUGUUAGUCUAAGUAUCACAUUAGUUAUUGCUUAAAAACUAGUCUUUCAACUAAAAAAGAAGGUCCACUACUUAUGGGUCAAACCUUCAACUUUCAAACCUCAACACAGUUAUAGUCAAGACUAAUAUUCACAUAUUAGUAUUAAUAUAGUUCAUUAAAUAUGAAAUUUCUAUAGAAGCCAAAAUCAAGUUUUUAGGGGAAGUAACAUUCACUUUCAUAAUAAGCACUUUUUAACUCAUAAGUUAGUACUUGCAACAAGAUUUCUUAAUAGAGACUUUAAUUGAGUUUUAAGAAGAAUUUUUUGUUUGUCAAAAACCAAUUCAAACAAAAUCUAAAACUAAUAUUAUUAUCUAAAAGACAUAAUGAACAACAUAAACCAUAAACUAAAGUGGUAGUGACAACCAAUACGUAGCGUUAAUGAAUAAUUGAAAAUAGCCUCAUUUUCUAAUGACCUCAAACCUAGAAGCUCUAAAAUCCUUGCCUAAUUCUUUGUGAUGACUUUAGUUCAACCUUAUUGGCGAGGGCAAAAUUCUAAAUAAUUUUUGUCACAACUCAUAAAUUUAGAAGAAAAAAUGAAAAUAAAUGGAAUCCCUAAUGAGAAAUUGUUAUUUUUCCCCUUUAUGACAAAAAUAGUAACCAACUAGUAUUAUUAAAUAACAUGGAAAUUGUUUUUUCAACUUUAAUACCAUGUAUGACAUAACUUUAAUAACCUUAAUUUAUAAGAUUAUUUAAUUUAAAAGGAUAAAACAAUUACAUAUUCAUAAGAAUCACUUCUAUUUUUUAAAAACAAUAAAUUCCAUUUUUUGGACAAAAAUACGCUCCAUUGUUUUUAUCAACAUUUCAUAAUCAAACAAUUAUUGGAAAAAAAAAAAAAAAGGUAUAAGGGUAGCUAUAUUAAAAUGAGGUUAUAAUUAUAAUACUCAAUAAGUGGAGAUUGUUUUUCCUAAUAUUGGGAUCAUCUUGUCCAUUUGACAUAAAAAAAUUUAAUUUAUAUUAUAAUUACUCUUAUAGUAAGAGAGAGAGUAAUUUCACAUGAAAUGGACCCAUAAACAUAGGUUUAUUAUGAGGCAUGAUACUAUAAUAAUAAUAGGAAAUAAGACGAGUGCUACCAUAAUAAUAGAAAAUAAGAUAAGUAAUUCAAUACUUAAUAAAGGUCUAAAACAAUUAUGCUCUCAUUAAAUGAUAUUAAUGAUGGAAAAAAACUAAGGGGUGUUUAACAAAAUUUAAUAUUUAUUACUUCAUGAUUUAAGUUGACUAUAAGUUAAAUUAUAAUUAAGUUGUUAAUUUAAAACUUAUUAAUUUUUAUUUUAAAUAUUAAGACUACUUAAUAAAAUUAAUUUAUAAUUUAUUAAGACUGUUUGAUAAAAUUAAAUUAAAAUUUAUUCUAAAUUAUCAAAUUGAUAUAUUUAUUUUCAUAAAUUAGAACUAAGGCAAAGGAGAUCAAGUAACAAUGAAUGUCGUGGAGUAGUAAAAAAGAUCCUAGAGGUAACGGGAUAAAUUAUGGUAAAAAAUGUCAAAUAAAAAUAUGAAUUUAAGAAUAAAUUAAUUGUUUGUACUUAUUACUUAAAGUUGUUUUUUAUUUUAUAUCAUUAAGUUAUUUUAUUAAACAUGUUUAAUUUAUUUAAUGACUUAAAUUAAGUUAUUAAGUCACUUUAGGCUAUAUAAUCGGUUUACCAAUCAUAUGGAGUACAUUUGGCUAGUAGGCCUGGAGUCAAGAAUAUUGCUAUCAUAUGUUUUAUGUAUUAAGGUGCCAAGAAUAAUUGACCACAAAAUAUAUGAUUGAUAAGUAUAGGAUACAAUCUAAAAAAUGCACUUGAUUUCAUCAUCUAAAUAAAUGCUCUCGGCAAAUGGAUCAUCCUAGCUGAAACCAGAGCACAAGCCGCCAUGGACAGGAGGCAACGGAGAAACCCUUCUGCUUCUUCUUCUGCCUUUUCAUCUCCAGCUUCAUCCUCAUCGCGUUUCCGCUCAGAGAAAUUCUCCUCGAAUCCCCCAAAAACUAGUAACUCCCUGGAGGAUGCUCACCAAUUGAAAAGCAAAUGUGGGAAGCCACAAAGACCAGAGCAAGAGGAGGAAGAAAAGCAAGAUCCGAGCAAUCUUCUCUCCUUAGUUGGAACUUGCCCCUUCAUGUGCCCUGGUAAAAAUGCGUGCUUAUUUUUCCAUUUUUUUAAAUUCUAUUUUCCUGUUAUUCUGUGUUUGGUUUCCGAGAAAUUGGAGGAAAACAGUAGAAAAGAGAAGUGAAUCUGGAGUUUGUGUCAUUUUUGUGGCUUUUACAUAAAUUUUACAAAUAAAAUUGAUAUUUCCCCCCCUUUAUUAGAUACCAAUCUGCAGAAGAUGUAGGAAUCCCAAAAAAAAAUUCGCUUUUGCCUUUACUUCCCCCAAAUCUUUCAUAAUGGAAAAUGGACUUACCACCUCUUUUAUCACUUUUCCUUUACCAUGUCAGGUUUACAUGUAAUCAAACACUGUAUUUGGAGUAGAGCACUUAUCCUAAUGUCAAAUGGUGUUGAAAACUUGAAUUACUGGAUCUUAAGACUCCAGAAGAAAUUUAAUUGUUUAUGAUUAUUGCUCCAUGAGAAGGGAAAGGGAUUUCUUUUGUUUUUGCUUACAUAUAUGGCCAAAUUGAUCUAUCUCCUUCUCAUACGAACAAAAUAAGGACAUUUCUUGUCUUGCUGCCUUUUAUGCCACCGGUUCCACAUGCUGAUGUGACAACCCUUGUGCUAUUCUGUACAAAUGGUAGGAAAAUUCUGGUAAGACUGGUGGCCAGCCUAUCAUGUUCAGAGAAUAAAUUCAUUGUAUAUCUGGAAUUCACUCUAUAUCAGCAUAGGGUGUUGAUAUUGAUUAUAAAUGACUAAAUUCAAUUUAUUAUCCUUACAUUAGGGAGUGCUAAAAGGAUGCAAAUUGUUCGUGUUAUACCCAAAGACAUACAAGUGAUGCUAGAGAUUUUCACAAUGUAGAUAAUCAUAGAGUAGAGAUGAACACUAUGGAGUCCUUUGGCAUGUGUUCAUUCCAUGUAUGGGAACAUGCAUUGGAAGAUUAUGUUUCCUCCUCCCUCCCCUCCCCUCCCCAAAGUUAAUACUAUGUUGUCAUGGCAAGAACUUUGGUGACAUGCUUCUGAGUGGAAUAGCCUCCUAGAAGUCCAUUUAUGUGGCAAUUGGCAAAUUCUUCCAGUCAAUGAGAACUUUGUGACUGUCUGAUUGUUGUACUAAUCAUCAUCAGAUUUUUUUUAAGUUCAAGUUGCAAAUAGCCUUUCACAGUUGAAGGUAGCAAUGAAGAGGCCUGUUGACAUAAUUAUUUCUUCUGCUUGAAUGGAUUAAAAUCAGAUACCACACCUUCAGCCUAGAAAACUAUGGACUUUCCUAUGUACCUGCAAUUGGCUGAAUACUGGUGUGACACUGAGCAAAGGCUCUCUGAUGCUGUUAUUAAUUUCCCGAGCAAAUAAGAGAAAACAGAGAGGUCAUAAUGUGAAUCAGUUACCUGUUGAGUAGGGAUGAAGGCUUUUUAUAUUUUUUUACUUUCUGGUUAGGCCUUGGAAGCACUUCUGUGAACCAUGAUUUUGUACUGUAAAAUUAGAUGGGAUGGAUAGGUCACCUUAACUCUACUUUUGGAAGUGAUUCGGGAGUGCAUGACCGUAUGAAUAUUGAUGUAUUCUCCCCAUACAGAGCCCAACUUCUUUUUGAACUAGGAAGCAUGAAGGGUGGGUGGAUGUGGGCUGAGGAAGGAAGAUUUGAAUUGUGUGCUGCAGGCCUGCAGUACCAAUUUGUUCCAGAACUUGAUAAGGCCCAUAAACUGGUAGGCAAGUUUCAUUAUUUGGUCACCACUGAAUUUCGGCAGUAUGGCCACAAGGAAGGUAGGAAGGAGAGGGAGAAGAGAAAACCCCAAUUGCCAAUUGCAAUCUUCCAGUUGGCACAGUGCUCAUUUGCUGACAUUUCCAUUUGAUUUUGACCUUGCAACAGAUACAGCUUAACGUGAUGGACCAGUUUUUCGCAAUCUUGUGAUUCAUUACCCAACUUCUAGUAACAGUUUCUCAGCAGAUGACUCACCCAUGACAGGCUGAUGAUGUCUGCACACAACUUGAAAGGUAUAUAUGCCAAGGUGUGAAAGGUAAUAUUGUGACACCGUUUUUCCUAUUCCAGAAAAUGUACCAAAUGUAUGGCUGGUUCUUGACCAAAAAAUGCUGGCAUUGGUCACCAAGUGCUAGAGUGAUUCUUGACAAAAAAUGUUUGUAUUGUUCAGAACAAUGAUUUACAACUUCAGAUUGGCCAUCCAGUUAACGAUGAUAAGCACUUGUUUUACAAAGUUCAGUGUCAUAAAAGCAAAAUAAUUUUGUCAACAAAUAUGGGGAUAACUUUAUCAUAAUUACUACUUAUGGAAGUUAAGGAUAAGUUGGGUAAUGUGAGAAAGCUUUGGUCAGAGGAUAUGAGGAUAACUUUGUUGCAAUUGCUAAGCUGCACGUCCUAGGACUACUAGGAGAAAAGUAUGAGCAACAGAAUGAAUUUACAGUCCAUCCCCACUAGCUGCAUGGAGAGGUUGGCCUUAUUGCUGCUAUGGUGGAGGUCACCUUCUUGUAGACUUUGAAAUGUGCAAAUGAAGAGGCAGAUUUCUUAGAAGAAUGGGUAGGAUUCAGCUUGUGGUAGAUAUUGAGCUUAUCGCCUCUAAUUUCAUGUCUUCUCAAUGUGGAUUUGAGGUUUAACGAGAUUUUUGGGAAAUCAUUAAGAUUAAAAGUAAUCGAAGACUUCCACAUUAAUGAGGUAAUGAAUAACCACUGAUACUUCUUCACCCCAAAGUUCCUUCACAAAAAUUUGGUGAGUGAAGAACUAUUACUGAGUUGUGAAGCACCAAUUCCAGCUUCAUUAUCUUGAUCUUCAGAAAGAGGGGUCCAACUUGAUUUGGGAUUUUAUACCUGUCAACCCAGUCACUAGUUUUUAGGAGAAUACUUCCAAUUUACCCUUGGGUUGCUUUAGGAAGUUUCUUAAUAGUGCCAUCUCUCUAGCUUAAGGGGCUUUUGUUAAUGGAAGGCAAAUUCUAGAUGUGGUUAUCAUUAGUAAUGAAAUCCUAGAUAAAAAAUUCUGUUCUAAGGACAAAGGGAUGGUUUUUAAAAUAGGUUUUGGGGAAGUUUAUGAUCACAUAGAUUGGGGUUUCAUGUAUGAUACAUACUUUGAAUAGGGAAGGCCCUUGAACCUGGAUGGCACAAAGGGACUGGAUAUUUUGAGGCUGUUUUUCAAACUGCAGACUCUUUAAUGGUUAUUGAAGCUGAGUGAUUAGCACUCGAGGAAGAUUCGGACAUGGUUGUUUGCCUGGAUGUAAUGAACCUCCUUAUUGAAGGGGAUUCCUUUGUUAUUGUCUUAGAACCCUCUUUGAAGGCAAAGGUCCUUAGUGGAUUGCUCAUCAGAUGGGGUGGCUUCAUAAUCAUGCUAGAGACAUUGCUUGUUCUUCUCUAUUGAGGCCCAGAUCAGCUAGCCAGGUGCAUGGCUAUAUUUUUCUUAUAGGGAUGCUAAUAUCUGAAAAUUUUUAUUGAGAACACUUACUGCUCUUUGAUUGGCUUGAGGCAUGGAGCGGCUUUUCUGUUCUCUUCUUGCCAUACAUGCAUAUCAUCCCUCUUUUUUUUAUCUUGUUUAACUCAAUAAAUUCUCAUUUGUUAUAAGGAAAAAAAGAGAUAUUAUGUUACAUGAUGGAAGGACUUUAUUCUGUUAUGGAGUAUGCAAAACCUAGAUCUAUUAGCUAGAGCUAUACAGUAGGCUGUUGGGUUGUUCAGUAUUGUCUCUUUUUUCGAUAGGUUUGGCCAAUGCCCCUUGAUGUUACUUUUUGGUAAUGUAAUUUUCUUUGAUUUUUCUUGAAACUUCCUCAUUUUUCAAGCUUGCUUGUAUAUCUUUUCUUCUUCCAUUAAUGAUUGUUUGAUUCCUUACUAAAAUAAAUAACAAAUUAUGAUGCAAAGGAUUACGUUUAUGGAAAAUUUUGAGAUUUUCACCAGAUUAGAGUCUCCGAAGCUGGUACUUGUCUUGACACAGAUAAUAGGAAUCAUUUUCCCCCCAAACUACAUAAGACAUGUCUGCUACUUGGUAAUGUUCCAUUGGCAGUUAUAAACUCUCCUGUAAAAUGUGAAUCUGUUGUAGCAUUCCGAAUGGUGUUGUGUCGUACAUAGAUUGGUAAUUGAGGACUUUAUUAUGGAUUUUGUCCUGUUUUGGUUGUGCCAACAAGUUCUAUCCUGUUCUUUGUCUUGCUGAUUUGGGUGGUUGUGCAUCAUGUUCCUACCAGCUGUAUAAUUAUGCUUCAGGAGCAUAGUUAUUCUGGUUUUACCAUCCAGAUGAUGGUACUAAAGUAUUUGUAUUCUAGAUUGCACAACUCCUUAUAUGGGAUAUUUUUGCACCAAAUGCUUAGUGAUCAAGAGAACUCUCAUAUUAAACACAUUCAUCUUCUAUUAAACUAAAUUCCUUAAGUAUGCAGUCUCACAACUACAUCAUACCAUUCUUUUCCUUUUUUCUUCCUUUCUUGCUAUUACAGGUUGGUUGCCACUAAUAUAGUAGAAAGCAAAUUACACGACCCUGCUUCCAUAAGACCUUUCUUAUUCCAUAGGUUGAAAUAGAAAAAACACUCGAUGGGACUAAUGUUUCUCUUUGCAACCAAGCAAAUUAAAAUGUUUUGAAACCCAUGCUGCCAUGAUCUAGCUAAUUUGCAUUUUAUAUGUCUACUCCUUUCUAUUUACUCAAAUUGUGUAUUUCUUAUGCUUGUAUUUAUUUCCUGAUGAGUUUAUUCUGAUUCUUUGAUCAGGAUUUCUGCAAUCACAUUGCUUGCUAUUGAAUUUUCAAUGGCUUAAUAUGAAUUAUUAACAAAGAAGUUGUUUAAUUAUUUCAGCAGCUUAUACCUUGUAAUUUCUUUUAACAACUCUUAUCUUUGAUGUUCAUUUGUAAUAAAUAGCUGGAGAAAGGGCCCAACGUGAACGCCUUCGGGACUUAGCUGUGUUUGAGAGGUUACAUGGAAAUCCUGGGAAAACAUCUCCAAGCCUUGCUGUCAAAAAGGUAAACCCUACAUCUCAUGCCUCUAUACCGCAUCUUAGCUUCUCAUCUUGCAUCGGACAAUGAUACUCUUAUUGAAUCAUCUUUACCAUAUCAGCCAUCAACAUGUGCACUUAUUGAGCACUAAUUCAGGCACUGAUACUUGUGCUUUUGUUUUGUUUUAUCUUGUCUUGUCUUGUUUUGUUUUGGAUGUGAUUGUGUUGGAUGACCUGUAUCUGUGUUAGACACCAAAGCCUAUCUUAAUGCUACUGUAAAGUAAGACUAUGCUAAUAAGCUAUUGAUCUGUUACAGGGUUUAUGCCAAACUGAUUUUUUAGUUUCUCUAGUAGAAAACUUGUUUUUUCCCCUGUUAUAUCGGUGCUAUUGUUGGAUUUGUGUUUGUUGUUGAUCAAGCAUUUGCUGAAAGUUUUUUUUUUCCUUUGCUUCUUGAUGUGCAAAGCAUUAUUGUUUGAAUUUUAAUGAUCCCAUUUGAUUCACUAUUCAAUAUUUUUAUUUGAUAUUACAUCUAUCUCAUUUGUUUUCUUUUCUUAGUUUUUAUUUUUUUAUUUUUUAUUUUUAAUUUAUUUUUUAUUUUUUGAAUUUGAUGGAGCCACCAUUAAUUUAUUUUUCCUUAUUAUUGUGGGGUGUGCUUUAUUUUGUUCAAUUGUUGUUGCACUAUUAUUAUCAUGUAACUUUUUUUUUCCUUUUUUUUUUUUUUUGUUUAAUCUAUUGUUCCUAUGAGCAUUAAAUGCUCCUAAAAUGUAUGGAAUAGGCUAAACCUUUCUAUAGUUUUUUUAAAAAAACUCAUUUAUUAUCUAUUUUCUUGUGCUCAAAAAAUUAUAUUUUUUUAGUAAAAUUGAAAAUUUAGGGAGCGCUUAGGCCUCAACGGCUCAACCCCUUGAGGGUUUAUGCCUAUCGUAGCAAGAUGUAAACCCCCUUGCCUCUUAUGCUUUUACCUUAUGAAACUAUACCAAGAAAAAAACACCACAACUCCCUGCUGCCAUCAAAGGAUACUUCAAAGUUUGCUUCAAAUCAAUCUUAAGGCUAAUUAUCAUACGCUUGUCAUCAUGUCACUAAAAUUGGUAUUGUAACCAAAGUCCUAUUGCGAAAUCUUCAAGUUGCAGCUCCUUUUUUUCUGUUGGUAUUUGUAUUGUUAGGUGGCCGCAACCUGUUGCUUUACUUAUGCUUUAUGAACUACUCCAGUUAAAAUAAUGCUUCAAGUAGAUGCUUUCUGGAUCUUGACUCUAGCAAGAGGCUUAUAUUGCAAAUUUUUUUGUGGAGUCCUAGCUAGGAAGACAAUAGCUUGCUUAAAAGGAUUGCCACCUCUCUUGUUGGGUUUGUAAAAAUUUUGCUUCUCUCUUGACCUUGGGAGUCCUGUGGUUUCAAUUUUGGGUGUGCUCUAGGUUGUAGCCUGUGUUAUGCUUUCUAAAUGGUAAUCUUCUUAUUUUGGCUGGGAUGCUUUUGUUUAUUUUGCUUGUUUGCUUUCUUUGUUUCUUUAUUGUGGCUGUAGGAUCACCAAUCAACUUUUUAUUCUUUGCAAAAACUGUUUAUGUUUCAUAACAAAAAAGGAAAAAACAAAGGCAAGUUAGCCUAGAAUAGGUUUUAUCUUGUUUCUUCUUUUACCAUUAGUGUGGAUUCAAACUCAGGAAGAGGCCUUCAAACAAGUGGCAUUUGUGUUUUUUAAACAUAUAUCUUUGUUCAAUCAUUGUUAAGUGUUUGCUGUCUUGUCUGUUCUUUUGGUUGUUUUUGGCUUUGUCAAAGUGUAUAAUUGUAAUAUCCUACAUCGUAUAGAGGAAAAAGUUCCUAGCGCUAUAUAUGUAUGAAUUUCUUUUAAUCUUGUUGAUUCGUUUUCAAGCCGCGAGGGUCGCUUAGGCUCAAAGCAAAUAAUAUCCACACAACUGGGAGCAGGUUGUUACAAAUGGUAUCAAAGUCAAUCCUCGACCUUGGUGGGAGAGUUUGUUUGGCCUAAAAUGGGUGUCCGUUUAUUUGACCCUACAAUCCUGUUGGACACAACAAGAACGUUGUGUCUGCAUGAGAGAGAGAGUGAUUGUAAUAUCCUACGUUAGAUAGGAGGAAAAGUUCCUAACGUUAUAGUGUGUGUGUCUUGUAAAGCUUAUGUUGGGUGUCAUGAUUUUAUCUCGUCCUUUUUAUUAUUCUGAUUCAACAUCAUCUUAGCUUAUAAUCAUUUAUACACUUGAUGCAUGAGAAAUGAAGAUGCUAUAAAUUGUAGGAUUCUUUUUCUCCAAUUUGUUCCUUGAUAUUUUAUAAUGCCAUGAAAUAUCUAUAUUUUGAUGCAGAAAGCCGUUCACCCUCCAUCUCUCUCACUAGUUUUGCAGAACCAUUGCCACUAAGCACAUGCAGGCGUCAGAUGUGCGGCCACUUCCAGUGUUGGAAGAGACUUUGAACUACCUAUUAAACCUGUUGGAUGCCACGGAACAUCCUUUUGAAGUGGUUCAUGAUUUCGUCUUUGAUAGGACAAGAUCAAUAAGACAAGAUCUUAGCAUGCAGAAUAUCGUUAAUGAUCAAACAAUUCAUAUGUAUGAAGAAAUGGUAUGAAUUUCUUGAAACAUAAUCUCAAUUACCUUUUUUUUUCUGAGCAUUCAUCUCCUCAACAUACAAUAAGUUAGCCAACCCAUUGCUAAACACUCUCCUAGUUGGAGAAAAUAAUCAAAGUAUACAAGAUAUAAAAUGUUGAAAAUUGAGUCAUUAUCCUCUCCUUUUGCUUUAUUGAAUAAGAUAAUUUAUUCAGUUGAGUCCAAACGAGGUGAAACUGUGAUCACACAACUUGAAGCCUACUUUACAAUGGAUAAAUGAAUGGUCUGAUUUUGAAUCUUUCUUGGCACAUUAGUUAUUAUCCAAUCCAUUCUAAUUAAAUUAUCCACUAUUAAGUGUCUAUUUCUAGUCACCCUCCAAGUUAUGAAAGACCCAUAGAACCAAAGCAACUCACACCACAUGUGAUGGGAAUUGGUGCUCUCUUCCAUAAUGUCAAGUUUUCCAGUACACUUGCUGACUUUGUAAAAUAUGCCUACAAAAAGGGCUGCCACCUCCUAAUUCCCAAUCAUAGAAGUUUCUUAACCAUAUUUCAAAAGCUGUAUUUCCUGUUCCCUCUCUUUAAGUUUUUUAAACCUAUAUCUCUUUAUCCUAGUAAUUCGGAAAAAUGAGGAAAUUAUUUAACAAGAACUCCAUCAAUUUGUUCCUUAAAAUUUUAUAUGGUUUCUCUCUCACUUUUUAUUCAAAUUCUUGAAGCAAAGGAACAAAUUCAUGGCUAGUAACAAUUUUAGCCAAGCAAUAGAAUGCACAACAAACAUGCAUAUGAAUGACUUUUGUUUUUUGAUGAUAAUAGAUCAGAUAUUUUAAUCUCAUCCUAAAACCUUGGAGUUAGCUAAAAGCCGCAUCUUAUGUUCUGACUUGUGGUUUGUUUCAUAAUAUAGGUGAAAUUUCAUAUUAUAUCCCACCACAAGCUUCGCAGUUGUAGCAGCAAGCCAAAUUUUUCUUCAGUUCAUUACCUCAAUAUGGAGCAGCUGAAAAAGUGUUUGAUAUCUCUAUAUGCUCUAUACAAAGAAAAUCGAAAUUCAAAUUCUAUUUACAAGAAUGAACCUGAGUUUUGCUCAUUUCACGUUCUUCUUCAUCUUGGCUUUAACAACCAACCAUUGGUGGACACUUGCUUCCAUUGUUUGUUUGAGUUCAUCUUUGUCAGUAUCUCUUGCAGCCUUGUACUGGUUUCUGAAUAUGUUACUAUUUCUGUUCUGAAGGGAGAGUCACUCUCUUUGUGGUUGGGUCGUGUACCUUCUCUCAUUUUGAAGUCAAAGGAAAUGUGUUUUGCCCGGAGACUUUUAAGGUGACCACAAAGCUAUUAUAGAUUCGACUUGCAUAUAAAUUGUUUAUAUUCAUUUUACAUUUAACUCAAUGUAGAGUGGUUCUGUUUUUCAAUCGAUUUUUUUCUCUUCUUUUAGUACCCAAUGUUAAAAUUUUUGUUUUCAUGAACUGAAAGAUCUGUCUUUUCUUGUAACAGAUUAUUUCGGAUGGGCAAUUAUAAGCAUUUCCUUUGUACUACAGCAACUGAGGCAUCUUAUUUGCAGUACUACAUUAUUGAACCUUACAUCAAUGAGGUUGCUUAAAUAUGUUGAUUUUGCUAGAUUUUUCAGUUUGAAAAAUAUAUGCUUCUUUGUUCAUUUAUUGUAUUCCAGUUUCAUUUAUGAGAAUAUAUCUAAAAUCUAGACUCGAGUACUUGUGCUUUUGGGUUUUAUUUUUCUUUCAUUUUUGUUAGUAGUUGCACUUCAUUAUUCUUAAAUUUCUCACCAACUGUUUCUUUAUGUGGUUUAUUGCUCCUCACUUUCUUCAUUCAUCUGAAGUUUUCAAAUUCAAUUAGCUUGUUUCAUAAACUAGGUCUUAUUUAGAAGUUCUUCUCAACUGCCUUUUUUUAGUGCUUCUAAAAGACAUGCCUGAUUUAUGUACAUUUUGUUGGUUUUCUUUUGACCGUAAAAGGUUCGAGCAUUGGCAUUGUCAUGUGUAAAUUAUUGUGGCUACAAACUUCAUCCAUAUCCAAUUGCACACUUGUCCAAACUCUUGAUGAUGAAGGUAUGAUUGCAUUUACUAGCAUUAAAUUGCUAAAAUUUGUCAUCCAAAGUUCCAAUUUCUUUUGAACCUUGAAGACUCCAUUUGCAUUCUUGUAGGAAUUAGAUGUGGAAUCAUUUUGCAAUGCUUGUGGUCUUGAGACCAGCACUGGUGAACGGGGAAAUAAGUUCUUAUCAACCAAGCAAACAAACUUCCAUUAUCCCAAGGAAGUCUUUCCAAGCUACUGCCUUCGGGUUUGGAACACUUUUAGAGGUAACAAUCAAUUGGAACUAGUUACUCUUUCAAACUUCUUAUUGUACAAAUAUAGCCUGCAUGUGCAACCAUUUCUGAUCCCAUAAUUUCAAGAAUUUAUGACACCUUCUAGUGGUUAGUUUUUUUGGGAAUAGAGUAAAGCAAUCUAUUCACUCCCAGAAACUAUCGUCAGAGGAACAGUAGAUAACCCCGCAAGACCAAAUUUAUGUGUGUUGCAUGGAGAUGCAUGUUUUCUGCAUCCCAAUCAUGCAGUGUUGUGUCAAAUGGAAUAAUAGCAGGUGAUGAUAAGUGGUAUUUCUAAAAUCAUCUAAGAGUAUUCCAUCUAUUGUAAUAUUGUUUUCUCAUAACUGUCUUUGAGUCUUAUAUGUAAAUAUUAGAGUUGACCUCUUGUAAGCUAUCAAUUGAUGUUGUAACUUAACUUGAAAGGGAAAUUCUAUAAAUUUAGCCUUGGUUUGGCACUUGGAAAGCAAAGAAAAAUUAGGUUAGUGAGUUGAUUUCUUCCCUUCCCAUGGAUGUAAGCACAUUCUUGAAUCAUGUUAAUUAUUUUUUGGUUUAUUUUGUUGUUUUGUUGUUUAUUGUUCAAUUGUCUCCACAUAACAAGUGGUAUCAGAGUUGUUUCCGACACACUAGAUGAUUCUUGUGCUAACACAAUGUUUGAGGCUAAAUAUAAGAUAGUAAAAGUUUCUAGAAUAUUUCCCUAUGACAAUUACCAAUAAAGAAUGUACUUAACAGGAAGUUUGUAAGGUGUUACAUGGCAAGUUGAACAAAACCAAUAGCCAGAGAUAACUGAAAUAUUUGGGCCAUUGAUCCAAUAAUAGCAGAUAAUAACACAAGAAGAGACCCUCUAAUCACCAUUUUUGCUUUUGAUUCUUCUUUACAAAGCAUCAUCUACUUUAUACAAAAAGACAAUCCAUGGCUGAGCCCACAUUAUUCUCUACAUAUCCCAAAAAAGCCCUCCAAAUUUUAGGGCAUGAUGCUCUUUUUGGGGGUAUUUUUGGUACUAAAUUUGUGGUAGUCUCUCAAAUACCUAAACUAGCCUCCAAAUUUUAAGGCAUGCCCCACUGUUUGAGGUGGUGUUUUGGGUACUAAUUUUUGUUAGGAGAGGUUUUAGUGUGGAAACUGGAGGGCUUUACACAUGUCGCAUGUAUUUUAUUUUGCAUGCGUUACACGUGGAUUGGAGUUUAUGCAGUUACUCACACUUUUUGUGCGUCCAACAAUACUGUAGUGCCACGUCACCAUAUGAUGGGCUCUUUAGUCUUUUCAAACCCAAAAAAACACCCAAAAAAAAAAACUAAUACUAAAAGGAGUGCUAACUAGCUAUGUGAAGGUGAACCUUUAUAGCUAGCUUCUUAAAGGGACCAUGAUCGCUUAGGCCAAGGAAGUUUGAGGUGAUAAUAGGUCUGUGAUGCCUUUAGAUGUUUUAAGCACAUGUGCGUUACACUAAUGUAUUCAACGAGUCUAUAACCUUAACCGACAGGUCCGGGUAAUCUUUGAAAUUUCAUUGUGAUGGGAAGGUUCCAUGUGAACAACACUUGCACAUGGGUUAGUCAAUCUUAAGAGAUGGGGGAAGCCCGUCUAACAACGCACAAUGUGCGAGCUUUGAAAGGCAAUAGGGUUAACAUUUCUGAAUUGGGACAUGACAAUGACAACAACAUUAGGUAGUCUAGAGAUGUUGUCAUAUUAAUUGUUAUCAAUAUUUUUAUUUAUUCAAUAGAAAUUGAGGAUUAAAAAAUACCACAAAAAAUAGAAAAAACAAAAUUAAUUACAUGGCUUACAUUUCAGAUAUUUAAUAAAAUAUUGUAUGAAAGUUGAAUAUCAUACACUAUUAAAUGACUGGAUUCUCUUCUUUAUUUUUUUUAAUUGUCUCAUCCUAUUAAAUUACUCAUCUAAUAUUAAUUUAUUUUAAAGGUAAAAUUAAUUAUAUUGUAAAAAACUUUUAAUUGACCAGAGUUUGUGCACAACAUCUAAUAUAUACUUAAAUACUUUUCCAUGCUAUAAUCCUCCAACUAAGAAAUGAAAUCAAAACUUAAAAAUCAUUUAUAUAUAUAGAUAUAUGUUGUUAAGUUUAGGUAGUGAAACAAUUAAUGUGGAUAUAAAAUUAAUGCCAAAACUUUUGAUUGAUCCUUCACAUUCUCCACAACCAAACAAAGGAUAUAAGAAAUAAUGAAAGAAAUUUAGGGUAGUUUUAUUUUUUGUUCUCAUCUUGUUGUGAAGUUAAUAGAGGAAUGCUUAGGUUGGUGCUCAAUAGUUAAGUGACACCAGGGUAUAAUGAUUCUUCCAAUUGUGUAAACAUUAUCCGCUUUAAUUUCAAUGGAUCAUCAUCACUUUAAAUUGCAUCCACAUGGUUAAGAGUAACUCAUAUGUAUAUAAUAUCAUGAAUUUCUUCUUAUUCGAUAUGGAAUAUCAAAUUAGGUAUCUUUCAAUUUUAGGUAUUGUAUAAGCGUUUCAACUCAAAUGACUUGGCUUAAUGUAUGCUCAAAGCCAUGACAAAGGAACGUACAUGUAAUAAAGUGAAAAUUAAACCUUGUCGCCCUUCUAUCUCUAGUAUGAAACACAACUCCAUUAGCCCUUAAACAUCUGCAAAAAAAGAUAUACACAUCUGUUACAUUAAUUAAAAUAAAUGAUGCAAAAAGAGGCUCUACAUGUCCAUGUACAUAAUUUGAUUAGAUUUGUUAUAUAUAUAGAUAGAGAGAAAAAAAAACUGCUUAGAUUAAGGAUCUCAUUAAUUAAUACCUAGAAAAUAUAAAAUAAUAAGAAAAGAUUAGAAGGUGUGAAUCAUAAGAUAAGACUACAUUUUUGAAUUAGAUUCAUCGAAAGAUGGCAUAUUGUAUGAACAUUUGUACUCUAUAUAUAAAAAUUCAUAUUAUGGUUGAGAUGUAUUAAUUUGUCAUAUUUUUGGAAAAUUAAAGUAAUGAGUAAUUACACUAAAUUAAAUUAUUGACCUUAUUAAUCAAUACCUCAAGAGUAUAAAAUAGUAAGAAAUGAUAAUACAAACUUCAUUGAAAUAUUUUUAUACACAUUGUGUAAAUAUUCUUAUUUAAUAAAAGUUUAUAUGUCAUUAAAUAAAUAGAGAAUUUUAACAUUAAUUGCAGUGCUAAGUAGAGGAGAUCCCAUAUUUAAGUUGUUGAUUAAGGCUUAUUUGAUAAAACUUAAUAUAUAUUACUUAAUAACUUAAGUUGACUUUAAGUUAGAUAAUAUUUAAGUUAUUUACUUAAAAUUUAUUAUUUAAUAUUUACUUUAAGUAUUAAAGUUAUUUGAUAAAGCUAAUUUAAAAAUCAUUUUAAAUUUUCAAAUUGUCAUAUUUACCUUCAUUAAUUUGAUAACUAGAUGCAGAUAAAUGAAAAAAAAAAUGAGAUUAAGAAUAAGUUAAUUACUUUGAUUUAACACUUAAAAUUAAAAGUAACUUUAAAAUAUAAUAUUUAGUUAUUUUAUCAAAUAUAUUUAAUAUAUUUAAUAAUUAAAUUAAGUUAUUAAGUCAAUGAAUGAUUACCAAACACCCUAUAAGACCUAGAAAAUCGAAUGAGUUUUAAUAGUAUUCAGGAUGGGCAUGACUAGGUGGUGGUUCAAUGUUGAUUAAUCAUAAUUCAAUCAAGGCAAAAUAUGUAACAAAUACAUGUCAAACUGCACCAUCCAAAUGGGCACCAAGAACGUUACAUUUGACAAAUGCCAUUAAACCUUUACAGCUAGCAAUUAGAAGAUCACUCUCUUCUUGUAUCUCUCUUUUUCUCCAAACUCCAGGAGGAAAAACGCGAACUCCAUUAUUUUGAUCACAGAAAAAAUGGCAAAAAAGUGUGUUGUACUUCAUCUUGAAGCUCAUUAACUUCAUCUUAAUUUGAUCCAAAUUGCAGAAACAUUCGAAACUCCAUGAAUCUAUGGUGCUAUGGUGGCCUACAUUCAUAUAACUGGGGACACUUUGGUUUGCACUACAAUGACCCCCAAACAUGGUUUGUAGAGACUUUAUCAAGAUCACUAGCUUCAAAAGACUAAGGAAAGAAAGAUGUUCUCAAUGAAAACUUGGAGUCAAAUUGCAGAUAAAGACCUAAAACUCCCACUCAAUGUGUUUGAGGAAUUGUUGUUUCAUGGGGAUAAGCCGUUUGGUUUGUACACGUCUCCUUGGUGAUACUUAGAGAUUGGCGAAGUAUACGUCUCCUUUGUGAUCUGGUUUGUAUCUGGGCAGAUGAAUGUUCAUGCCAGGUUCAUAUAUGUUUCUGAUAUAUAUCACCCUGGAAGGAUCUAGAUCAAGGGGAUGAGUUUGAAAAGCUUGAGUAGGUUUAAAAUGUUCCGAGAAUUGGUGAGCAUGAUAUAUAUCAACAUGAUAUUGCAGAAGACAACAGAGCUUCUGAAAUAUGUCAGAUUCAAUAGUAGGAAAUCUUAUCAGCUGUCACUUACUGUAAUUCUAUGCUCUCAAUAUUCAUUUGUUGAAGAAGAAAAAAAAUUGCUUUCACACUAUUCAAUUACAGGAGAAUGUUCAUUAUUGAAGAAAAUAAUAUUCGCUAGUCUCUUUCAACUUAAUCAACAUGCAGAGAAAAGCAGUCGGGCGACCAAUUAUUCACAUAAAACUUACAUACAUUGUCUCUCUACCUCUACUUGUUACUCAUCAGUCAAGCUUAUAGUAAUAUAAGCUUGGGUUCAUCUCUCUAUGCCAUUGAUGAAAACUCCACAUGGGCUUUGCCUUUCUGGUGAUUUUGCAUUUGGAUUCCGACCCUCUCCAAGUGAAGAGGACCUAUUCCUUCUUGCUAUCUGGACUGCAAAUGGAAGUUAACCGGUGCCAAGAGGAUCAAAAGUUGGGCUUACCACCAAUAGACAGCUUGUUCUCUAGAGGCUGGUAAUGUGAGCAGCGAACCAGUGCAUGGUGCCAUGCUUGGAGAUGGAAAUUGUAUACCAGUGUAUGGGAGAGCUUCAAGCACCCGACUAAUACCAUAUUGCCAACCCAGGGAUUGGUGUUGGAGCCUACUGUUGAGUUGCUAUUUUUGAGGACCUGAGGUUUCCAAAUGGAACUGGAAGCUGUUGGAGGAAAAGACUACCUCUUUCAAAUGGGAGGUUGGAUCAAACUGCUGUUUCCAGAAGUGCUCUAAUCAAGAUAUUGAAGUCCAGUGAACUAACUUCAGGCAGAGGCAACCAAAAUAAAGCAAUUCUAAUACUCUCAGUCCUCUUAGGCCCCUCUGUGUUCUUCUUCUUCAUUUCUCUGGCUGCAAUUUCUCUAGUUUUCUACUGCUUGAUCCUCAAAAAUCUGCAGCUUUAUCACAGAAUCCUGAGUACAAGCGAUGGUAGAAGCCUUUGGCACUGUCUAUAAAGGGAUAUUACCAUCAGGUUCUGGAAAUUCUGUUGCUGAAAAGAAGUUGGAGAAGGUGGUGGGAGAAGAUGAGAAAGAAUUCAAAGCAGAAGUGAAUGUGAUAGGCCAACUCACCAUAAGAAUCACGGACACUAGCUGCGUUACUGUCGUGAGGGUGAACACUGACUACUGGUGUUUUUUUUUUUUAUGCACAAUGGCUCUUUAUCAAGCUUCCUUUCUGGAGGCGCCCAAGGACUUGUGUACCUACAUGAAGAAUGCAGUAAACAGAUCAUCCAUUGUGACAUAAAGCCCUCAGAACAUAACUCUUGGAUGAUUCUUCUACAGCCAAAGUUGCAAACUUGGACUGGGAAAGCUUCUGAUAAGCAACCAGACUAGAACACUCACAGGCAUCAGAGGGACUAUGGGGUAUAUUCAGACAACUCGGGCAGCCUAUGUCUCUUAUAAUAACACGUUAUGAAGCAUCAGCUCAAUGCCGGGGUUCAAUCUGCAAAGCAAGGGAUUCAUCAAUGUUUCCUUCAAACUAAAUGAUAAGGAACAGAAAUGGAUCAUUCUGCAUUUUCAGUGGUGUUUGUUAUAGCAUUUAUACAAGAACUCUAGGGGUUUCUAUGUAUAACUUCAUUCCCAUUUUGUAUAAUCCAAAUCUCUUCAAUCGAUUAAAUGUAUAAAUGAAUCCUAUUCAUUGUUUGGAGUAACAACAAAAUUCUGGAAGACUGGGAAAGUUUCAACACUGGAGAGAAGACAAAAUGACAAGACCAUAAAUUCUGGAAGAGGGCUUUGCUUUCUAACCAUUACCAUAAUUUUAGAGCUCAACCUGGAUGAGUAAAUUAUAUUUCAGAAUGUUCAGGAGAUAAUUCUAAAGUGAUGAACCUUCUACUCACAGUUUCUUGUUCUUCUUGAACAGAGCAAUGAACAUCAAUAGUUCAGCACCCAGGAAUCUCCCCUUCCUCCAAUUCCUCCACUGGGAAAAGUCACCUUUCCAGUUAAGAAAAUCAUCAGGAUUAGUUUGAGCAAAACAUCAGAGUAUACAUCAAGAAAGCCUUGAUCAAAAUCAAAAUACAUCAAGAGCUGCCAUUUUCUUCUAUUUCCUCUUCCCUGAAUGGAAUGCCUUUUGGACUGAGGUGAUCAAUGGUAACAAUCUAACACACUCCUUAAGCUCUGAUUGAGGUCAACGGGGAUUGGCACAUUUAAUGACUUUGAAAUCAUAGCUGUGUGAAGGGAGGCAAACAUGAAUCUCAGGAUAAUCAACAAGUCAACAACUAUCAAUCAGUAAGGAAAAGGAAAAGGAAAUACCUUUGGAUAUUUACAAAUAAAAAUGAAAUAUGAUACAAGAUUUUCAUGGAUUAAACAAAAAUAGAUGGCAAAAUAGAAGGAUAAGGUCACAGACAGGACAAUAUUAAAAGAAAUUAUUAUUUUUCCGACCUGAAAAUCAAGGAAUUCAGAACAGUACAAGUUUGUAAGUAGUCCAUGGAAACCAGGGAACAUAUGCAGAUGUUUUAUUCUAUUGCAUAAGGCAAACACUCAAUACUUACAAGCAUAAUCAUGCCCAGAAAGCCAUGAAUCCCUUUUUGUUUUGCCUUUUUAUCUAUUCCCAUCUCUUAUUGCCAGAAGUGCCCAGGAUGAUAUAAGCCUCACCAAAUAAGUUAGAAACCAGCCCAUUCAGCAGGUUGAGUAGCCAGCUUGCCCUCAAUCUUCUUUGAGUCAACAAACAGCUGGGCAUUAUUGCCUCCAAUGGAGGGUCUGGAAAUAUUAGAGCCGGCAGCAGGGGUGGCUGUAAAACUCUCUGUUCCAAAACCCCAAGUUUCAGGGCCAGAAGUUCCUUCUGUGGCUGGUUUGUUGUGAUGGCCAUUUCGGGUCCUAACAGACUUGCUAUUGUUGUCUGGGCACCUGCCUCAGAGAAAGCCUGCCAAAGAUUAGAGUCUGGGCCAGGGGAAACGGAUUUUCUUUGCUGGAGUUCCCAGUCUGUUGCUUCAAUCUUUUCUCUGUGCUGUUAUGAGAAGAAAACCUAUCAGACACAUGAAUGGGUACAAAAAGGUAAACUUCAGGUUUUGGUUGUAUUGAAAAGCACAGGAAACUUCACAAGAGGCAAAUUAUACCCCAGACUUAUUGAAGAAAAAUAAAGUACAAUUGACUUACCCAAAUGUCUACUUUCUCAUUUAUAAGUUUCCUCCUAAACAAAUCCCCACAUCUAGGACAGGAAAAGGAAGAAACUGGGAGUCAACAUUUUUUCAACCAAAUGUCAGCACUAAAUUAUCAAAAAACAUAGUUUUCCAUUCAACCUCGGGAGCUGUAUGUGCAGGUGUACUGUACUUUCUGAUAUUGUCUUCUUCAAUGCCCAUUUCUUCAGGCUUCUUAAAGUGCUUAUGAUUGGUGGAGGUGCUUCCAAAAUUACACAACUUCCAUAAUCCAUUAGGGCCCAAUAGAAGAUUCUCAGCAUUUAUAUAAGAACUUUAGGGUUUAUACGUAUGAUCAUGUUACAGUAUAAAUCAUAGUGAACUGGUGGAAUUUGAUUAUUUAGCCAACCUCAUCAAAAACUGUUUCACAGUUGAGGGGAUUGUUAACCUUGCCAUGGGCCAAGCAGCAAUUUCUGAAGAAGCUGGGUGACAAAGAGUACCAUCAUUUGGACUAGUUUCAAUGGAAAUUACUCUGUUUUUAUACAUGAUAUCUUCAGCUUCAGCUUUUCCUUUUGCUUUUGACAUGGCUGAAACUGAUCCUGAAAUCAAAAAUCCCACACAAGUAGAUAUUUAACAGAAGAGGAUCCGAAUCUCUUCAAUUGAUUAAUGUAUAAAUGAAAUAAUAAAAAAUUUUAGAGAUAAUUAUAGGGAGAUGAACCUUAUACCUCUGAGUUUCUUAGUCUUCUUGAACAGAGCAAUGAGCAUCCAGUGUUGAGCACCCAGGAAUCUUCCUUCCUCUACAGGGAAAAUCUGAACAAUCUAUCUUUCUUCAUAUUCCACUUCCUUGCAAAAGUCAAAACAUGAAGAAAAUAUCAUCAAAAUUGAGACAAAAAUAAGUGCAUCAACUGUCUCAAGAAGAGAUUUAUGCCUAUUGCUUACCUUUUGCAGAAGUCCACUUGGUUAGAGCACAUUUUACAUGGACGCCCAAUCACUGCAAGCUGCUGAACCAAAGGAGAGUUCAAACAUCUAAAAAAUUUGACUAACUCAAGUAUCAUAAAAUACUUCACAUGAAUUCUAAAUGAUCUCAUAUCUAAAAAACACUGGCAUAAAAUUAUUGUUGUUUACCUUACAUGUUUCUUCCAUGGUCAUAAUCGAAACUUUGUUUAUCAUAAGAAAUCUUUUAUGCUCAUCCUGAUUACUUACAAUGAUCACUGAAAUGAAAAGACAAAAAACACAAAAAAUGACGAUUAGUUUGAUUUGAUAAUUUUUUAAAAUUAGAAAUUAUAAAACUAUUUUGGUUCUCAGAAAAUUUACGGGAAAGUAGGGAAAAAAAUUGUAAACUUUUUCUCUUGUUUGAUUGUUUAUCGGAAAAUUGAGGGAAAAACAAAAAUCUAAGAGAAAUUUAUUUAACACUUAUGAGGAACCAAAAAUGUUUUAGAUGUUGUCAAAUCGAUAAUUUAAACGUGUUUAAUUUCAAUUAAAUGAGUUUAAUCAAACACAUGAAAUUGUGAAUAAAAUUAUUUAAAAGCAUUGAAAUUCAAGUCAUUAAAGUUGUCCAUAAAAUUUGAUAUAUUGAAGCAAGAAAAAAACAAAGCAAUUUGAAUGACUUGCUAAUGAAGCAGCUAACUAAAAUAUGCCCUAGAGUUGUUCUGUGCCCUGUAUAUAACAAAUUUAAAAAAAAAAAAUCCUAGAAAAAAAACAAACAAAAUAUCCAUGGUCUUAUGUUAUUUUUUUUCUUAAUUUUUCAAUAGUUAUAAAUGGUUCAUUUAAUUCUUGCAAACCACCAAAUCAAAACAGAGCAUGAAAAAGAAAAUCUUAAAUCAAAUAAACAGGACUAGCGAAUGAAUUGGAACUUGAAAGAAAAGUUCAAGCUCAAAAGAAUUACCUGACUCUAUAUUGGCGGAGUGGCACUUUGAUUAAUAUAGCACAAAAUUGAUCACUAUUUUUGGAAUGUGAGCUAUAUAACGCCAUUCUUCCCCUUUCUCAAAUUGACACCGUUUUUUCAGUAAAGGACAUUUGUAGAUGAACAGAUAAGAGAGGGAGUCUGGAAGUCUCUCUUUUGUCAAGUAUUUGAGCUUACGACACUUACAGAUCCCUAAUGUUUUAAGAGAGGUGAGGUGUUGAAGACCCACUUUUGUCAAGGAUUGGAGCAUUGGGCAGUUAUCGAUCCACAAACAUUCAAGAGAGGUGAGGUGUUGAAGACCCACUUCUGUCAAGGAUUGGAGCAUUGGGCAGUUUUCGAUCGACAACAUUUCAAGAGAGGUGAGGUGCUGAAGACCCACUUCUGUCAAUGAUUGGAGCCUCGAGCAUCCAUCAAUUUCUAAUCGUUUUAGAGAGAUAAGGUGUUGAAGAACCGAUCCUGUCGAGAACUGGAGCUCUGGGCAGUUUCUGAUCUUUAAUUGUAGAAGAGAGGUGAGUUGUUGAAGACCCCUGCUGUCAAGAGACUUGAGAUUCGAAAGCUCUACAAUUUGAAGAGAAGUCAGAGAAGAGGGCAGCAAACACUCCUUGGGAAAUAAUUCAAUGUCUUCACAUCCACCGGUGAUUGUGAAAUGAGUAAGAGAGGUCAGCCUUUGCAAACCCCACUCCACCUGGGGUGUGAGUUGGUUGCACUUCUUAAUUUCAAGUUCACGUAGGUUGGAAGGCAAACCCUCUCUCUGAAACAACAAUUCUGGACAAUCCCAUAAAUUCAACGACCUGAGCUUGGAGCACCUAUAAAUCUUACAAGACUCCAAGUUGAGAGCGUGCAAUUCGAUAGAUUCAAGAUCAGGGCAACCAUCUAGAGACAGGGAACAUAAAGAUGUGGGAUCACCCUCUGAAACCAAAAUGGAGAGCUUCUCAAGCCCCUUAAGAUCAAGGAUUGUGAAAUUAGUCAACUUUGGGAAGAUGCCUAAUGAGAAGGAUAACGAGAGAGAAUCAUCGAUAACACCAUCUUUGAUUUCUAGACUUUCAAGGACUGGGAGAUGGCAUCUGAACAACUCAGGUAGGAGAAACGCUAAUUUCGAGCAGUCAGAGAUGAAUAGUGAUUUCAGUGUAGUGGGUAAACCAACUUUGUGCAGGGAUCUAGAAAAACUACAAUCAUAGAUUUUCAGAUCAUGUAUGUUGGUUUGCGAGAUUUCCUCCUCUAGCAGAGACUCCACAUAAUCACAUUUUCUAAUUGACAGCUGGUGUGGUGCCAUUGGAAGUUGACUCCACUGAGACACAUCUAAAAUUUCAAUUUCUGAAGUUUGAAGAGCUGUGAAGUCACAACCUGCCAUUUGCAACUGCAGUUUACCAAAAUCCACCAUCCUCAAUUGACGAAUUGCAGGAACUGUGAGUGAAGCCAUAAGCAGUUGCGGACAUUCAUGAAUUUGAAGUUCCACCAAUGAAAGAAGCUGUUCUGGUAAUUUCCCAAUGAGUUUGGGACACCUUCGUAUAAAAAGCUUUUGAAGAUGAGGGAAUUCUCCACAACAUAACCAUUUCUCCCAGUUCUGCAUAUCCUCAAAUGAUAGUGUUUCUAGGAAUUGAAAGGAAGCAUUCCCAUAGAACUCAUCACCCACACACUCUACUCCAUUCAUCCUUGAGAUUUGCAGAUAUUUAAGUUGGGUUAGCUGUCCAAGUGGUGGCAAUGUUGAGCAAUUGCCACAACCCCGAAGCUCAAGGGACACGAGAUUCAACACUGAAGGAUCUCCAAGCCAAUUUGGAAAUCCUUCACCAGGAUAGUUUGUGAUGGAGAGUUGUUUUAAAUUUGGAUGAGGUUGUAACUUGUUGAGUAUAUCAUGCGUUGUUGCACCACUUUGUGUAACACCAUUGGUACACAUGUAACGCCAAUCAAAGAUCAACUCAUCAAGAUAACUUUUAUCCUGCAUAUUAGCUCUUGAUGCAUCAUUAACACUCACCACAUUCUCCAUGUUUGAAAUAUAAAGUUUUCCUCGAAGCUCUGAUAGCUCCCCCAAUUCUCCAAUUCUUAAUCCAUUGUUUUGGCCCACAAUAAAUCGAGUCAACCUUUGUAAAUUUUUUAAUUGACCAAUUCCAUGACUUGACAUUGCUCUCAAUGAACGACAUCCAUCAAUAUCAAGAUAGCGCAAAUUAAUCAAUUUUCCCAUCUUUGAAGGCAAUUCAUCAAGUUCUGAACAAUUUCUCAGCAUCAUCGUUUGUAAAUUGCAUAAACAACAUACUGAUUUAGGUAAUUUUUUAAUCCUCGUGACAGACAAAUCCAAGUAACGCAAAUGUUUUAAAUUACCUAUCGAUUUAGGCAAAUCAGUUAUUGUAUAUGCACAUAAUGAUAACACACGUAAACACCACAUUUUUGGUAAUAUAUCUUGCAAAACUCUUUUACUCAAAUUAUAUAUCGGAUAGUCUUCCAUUUGCUUCACUCCUAAGAAUGUUCGAAUAGAUUUAGCUUUAGUGAUAGCCUCAAAAUUCUUAAAUGCAACAAGCCUCUCAUAAUCACUUUUAAAGUACAAAAAGUGGUGAGCCUUCUCAGAUACUUUCAGUAACUUAUCAUCCUCUUCCACUCGAGCACAAAAAUCUCCAGACACGUGUUGAGCCAAUUCGUGUAUUAGAUCAUGCAUUACAAAGCAUGAUCCUUUUGUUCCAAUAGAUUUUUGAAAGAAUGACUUGGCGAGAAGUUCAUUAAAAUAUGACUCACCUAUCUCUUCCAUUCUCCUUCCUUCGUUUUCUUGUGGAUGUAAAAGACCUUCUGCCAUCCAUAAUAAAAUCAGCUUCUCUUUGUUGAAUUGGUGGUCCUGGGGAAAAAUAGAACAAUAAGCAAAACAAUGCUUCAGAGGUAGAGAAAGAUGAUGGUAGCUUAAUCUCAAAGAUGGAAGAAUUUCGGAGCCACUCUGCCGCCAUAUGUCACUGUUCAACACAACGUUCCAUUCCCCUUUGUCGGCCUCCGAAUACAAGAGACGGCCGAGUACUUUCACAGCCAAAGGCAAUCCUUGGCACUUGUCCACAAUCUGUCUGCCUAUGGGUUUAAGCUCAAGGAAUGCGUUGGGGUCUCUAUCUCCAAAUGCAUGCUUUUUAAACAGGGACCAACUAUCUUCAGAGCUUAAUUUCCCAAGAUCAUGAGUAGGGGCCGCUUUCAUGGCUUCUGCAACAGAUUUAUCACGACUGGUCACAACAAUCUUGCUUCCCUCUGCUGCAGCGAGGAGUGGAGUUCGUAGACGUUCCCAACCUUCACGAUCACUAAGCUCCAUGUAACCUUCAUCACGAGGCUUCAAAUUCCAGACGUCAUCAAGAACAAGCAGAAAUUUCUUGUUACUAAGUUGCUCUUUGAGUUGAAGCUGAAGCUUAUUUAGGCUGUCAAAAUCAUCAGUUUUAGAACCGAUUUCGUAUAGAAUUGUUUUAGUGACCUUGAUAAGGAGAAACUCAGUGGAAACACAGACCCAUACUUGCAAGUCGAAGUGUUUCUUCACUUCCUCAUCGUUAUAGAGGUGCCGAGCAAGCGUGGUCUUGCCGCUGCCGCCCAUGCCCACUAUGGACAUCACCCCCAUUUUGCCGCCUGUUGUAUUGUCAGAAAGCAACCACUUCACCAUCUCCUUCUGAAUUUCAUCCCUGCCGAGAACAAUGGAGUCAUCCUCCAAAGAAGUGGACGUUGGUAAUCUUGGUGUUGGUGACCGUGAUCCUGCUAGCCCCAACCGAACAAUUUCUCCUCCGAUUUUUUCCAGUAGAUCAAUCAUGCCCCUGACCCUGGACUCCAUGCUUUUGAUAGCAAAUGGGGCCUUCACAGAAGCAGAGAACUUGUUCCAUUUCCACGCCUUAAGAGUUCCGCCGGUUUGGGAGUCAGCAGCUUCCAUCUUGCAACGCAAAGCGUCGGUAGCGAUCUCGUCCAACAGGUCUUCCGCAUCAUACACAGCAUCCUUGACAUGGACGAGCCACUCUUUGACAUUUGGGUUGGAAAAUUGCUUCACCUCCGCAUCAUCGAGCACAUUGAGAACAACCACGAGUUUCCUCUUCAACUCGUUGAGGAGUUCAUCGCUAAGGUUCCGUCGCCGAAUGAAGUUUAUGAGCUCUGGAGAAGCCAACCUUUGGAAUAGAACUUGAAGCGAAGCUGAGAGGAGGGCGUCCGCCAUAUCUGUGUCGACUGUUGCUUUGCAAUAGGAAUUCAGAGGAUUGGUUUCUGUUACCGCGAUACCACCAAAGUGCAAAAGACUGGGUUUGGAUUACCACACUGCAGAAUGCUUGAAGGAAUCAUUAUUGGUGGUGGACCCAGCUGCCAGAUAUUUGUCAAACACCAUAAUUGAGUGGUGAGAAAAAGAACAGGAAAAGCAAGUGGGAGAUGGAUGGUGCUUUCCCAACGGAAAGCAAAAGCAACAACAACAUUCGGUAUUUUUCUUUUUCAUCUACGCAUUUCUUCUUUCUUCUUUCUUCUUGUAGUAUUAUUAUUAGUAGACGUAUACACACAAAUAUUUGUUUAUAACAUUAUCAUUCCUAAUAUUAUAAAAUUUAUUAUUAAUAGAAUUUAUUAUAAAAUUUGUUAUUAAUAAUAUUUAUACUAAUAUUAUUUUUUAAUAAUUAAUUAGUAUCCUUACUUUUAUUGUUUAUAAUAAUAAUAAUAAUAAUAAUAAUUAUUAAAAUUUAUUAGUAUUUUCAAGUAAACAAUGGUAUAUGCAUAAGACAUAUUAAAAUUUUGAAUAUUAUGGUUAUUAUUAUUUGAUUCAAAAAAAGUUUAUAAUAUAAUAAUAACAAAAAUAUUUUUUUUAAUAAAAUAAAUUAUAAAAAUAUAAGAAUUUUAUUAUUUAUAAAAUAUAUUUAUUUUAAUAUAAUUAAAAUAAUUAAAAUAAUUUUAAAAUUUAAAAAAAAAGUUAAACGUGACAGGAUUAGGAUGGGACCGACCUAUCCCAAUGCUGCCCAUUGCCAUCCCUAACUCACCUAGUGGUAAUUAAGGCCAUUUUUUAUUAUUAUUUUUUUAAAAUGGUCUUUUAUUCUUAAAAAAAGAAAAAGGAAAAUAUAUUUAAUAAUUAGAAAAUAAAACAUAAUUUUUGUUUUUAAAAAUAAAAAAUAAGGCAUUUUUAGAUGAUACCCUUUUAGUUACUUUUACUUGUUUUAAAAAAAUUAUUGUAAAAGUAAUUAUAUAAAUGUAAAAAAUAAAAUAAUCUAGGUAAAAAUUAUUUUUAAAAUAUAAAAAAUUAGUUAAGAAUACUCUAUCUUCUCAAGCUCGUUUUAUAAAAUAUCAUAAAAUAAUUUUCAAAAACUUGUUUUUUCAUUAUUUUGACAACCGGAAUAAUACACAAUAAAAAUAAAUAAAUAAAAAUAAAAAGAUCCAAAGAAAGACAAAUGUGUUGCAGUAAUGCACUUAAAUUCACUGAACCUAAAAGCCAAAUGUGCAGUGUUGACUUUUCAACCGAGAGUUCACACAUGCCCAUUUUUUUUAAUUAAAGCACUAUUAAUAUAAAAUAUAUAUUUAAAUAAAAAUUAGACUUUUAAAAAAAUUAAAAUAUAUUUUUAAAAUGUUAAAAAAAUAUUUACAAUAUUUCCUUAAAAAAAAACAUCUUCCAAAAACAUUUCUUUAAAAAAUACUUCCACCUAUAAUAAUUCAGACACACUUGUGAUUUAAUAGUUAAAUAUUCUUUCUAAUAGGAAUUCAACUAUCGGUUUGUAUUACCACGAUACCACCAAAAUACGAAAGACUAAUUUUGGAUUACCAAAAUGCAAAAGAGCUGAAGGAAUCAUUGAUGGUGGAUGAUUCAGAUGUCCACAUUAUUUGUCAGACACCAUAAUUGAGUGAUGAGGAAAUGAAAGAAAAGCAAAUAAAAAACAAAAAAGGUGAUGCCAAACAUGGUCUUAUAAGGUGGGUGGAGCGAAAGCAACAAAGGAAACUAGCAGGAUUUUUCAUUGCUAUUACAUACCUCAAAGGACAAAUUUUGAAUUACCAAAAUACAAAAGACUUAAAGGAAUCAUUGAUGGUGGUGACCAGAUGUCCACAUUAUUUGCCAAACACCAUAAUUGAGUGAUGAGAAAACAAAAGAAAAAGCAAAAAAGGUGAUGCCAAACAUGGUCUUGUAAGGUGGGUGGAGCAAAAGCAACAAAACAAACUAGUAGGAUUUUUCAUUGCUAUUCCAUAUCUCAAAGGACUAAUUUUGAAUUACCAAAAUAUAGAAGACAUGAAGGAAUCAUUGAUGGUGGUGGACCAAGAUGUUCACAUUAUUUGCCAAACACCAUAAUUGAGUGAUGAGAAAAUGAAAAAAAAAAAAUGAAAAACAAAAAAGGUGAUGCCAAACAUGGUCAUGUAAGGUGGCUGGAGUGAAAGCAACAAAGUAAACUAGCAAGACUUUUCGUUGGUAUUCCAUACCUUAAAGGAUUGAUUUUGAAUUAUCAAAAUACAAAAUACUUGAAGGAAUCAUUGAUGGUGGUGGACCCCGAUGUCCACAUUAUUUGCCAAACACCAUAAUUGAGUGAUGAGAAAAUGAAAAAAAAAAGUUAAGAAAAAACAAAAAAGUGAUGCCAAACAUGGUGUUAUGAGGUGGGUGGAGCGAAAACAACAAAACAAACUAGUAGGAUUUUUUGUUGUUAUUCCAUACUGAGAAAAUAAAGGGCUACUCUAGGUGAAUAGAAGUUAAAAAAUGUCUUUUUAAACACAAUAAAAUGAAGCACAAGAAGUACAAAUAUAAAGAGGUAAGGUUAUAGAAAGUAAACUCAAAUUUAUAGUGGUUCGACACUUCCGUGCUUACAUCCACUCUCCUCAAGCUCCUACCUGAGUGAGGGUUCCACUUAUACUUGAAGUUUCAACCAAGCUUCUAAUCACUUUUUACACUUGGAUUCCAGCUCCAAUGGAUUCUUAUACAAUCUCUUCAAGUCUUUACUCACUUGAAUGUUUUAACACUCAAUUAACAAGUUUGAAUCUCUCAACCUAGCUCAACAAUGACUCAAAUACAACUCAAGGCUAGGAUGAAUCACUAAGGUGCACUAAAGAAUAUGCAAAUGGAAGUUUAAUGCACUAAGAAAAUAAUGAGAGCUUUUAUGACAAUAAUAAGUAGGUAAACAAAUAAAUGCAAGUGUUCUCUUGCUCAUAAAUGAGGUAGAGCUCUCAAUUUAUAAGUUUCUAACCUCAGGAGCUAAAAAUCCAAAAAGCAAUCUCGACUAGUCGAGCUGGGGGUUGACUGGUUCACUAGCCGUUGAAACAUUAAAUGCUUGGCAGGUGACCGUUACCCUCGACCAAACCUUAACCGGGAAGGCAAAUCCAUAAACCAGGAAAGAAAGGCUACUGGAAGAGAGAUAAUGUUUUUUGCAUCUCUUGACUUAGAAGGAGUAAUCGGUAGACCGGUACCUAGCCGAUUGAGCCGGUUGACCAGUGCCUCGACUAGUUCACCAUUUUUAGUUCGAAAACCUAUCUUUUUCUGGUCUUUUUGCUUCUAGCACUUAGGCAAGGACUUUAGAUAAAAUAAUAUGCCAAUUUUGAAUGUUUUGCCUAAGGUUCAUUUGAUAGAACUCAGAUUUGGAUGGAAAUGUAACUUUAAUGCAUAAACCGAGUUUUAAAGAUGUAUGAAAUGAUAUGAAUAUCCUAAGUACACCCAUGCAUUCGUCUUACGUAUGUUUCUUAUGAUUAAAAGGUCUUUCAAAAGUCUUAAUCUUGCAUUCAUUAGGUCCUUUAAUGAAUUUCCAAAUUAACACCUGAAAUUCUUUAUAAUUCAAAUCAAUUAGUAACUUAACCAUGAUUUGUUAUCAUCAAAACAUGAUUAGAAGAAUCAUUGGGCUAACACAUACCCAAAGGACUAAUUUUGAAUUACCAAAAUAUAGAAGACUUGAAGGAAUCAUUAAUGGUGGUGGACCAAGAUGUCUACAUUAUUUGCCAGACACCAUAUUUGAGUGAUGUGAAAACGAAAGAAAAGCAAAGGAAAAACAAAAAAAGGUGAUGACAAACAUGGUCUUGUGAGGUGGGUGGAGCGAAAGCAACAAAGCAAACUAGCAGGAUUUUUUGUUGCUAUUCCAUACCUCAAAGGAUUGAUUUUGAAUUACCAAAAUACAGAAGACCUGAAGGAAUCAUUAACGGUGGAUGACCCAGAUGUCCACAUUAUUUUUCAAACACCAUAAUCAAGUGAUGAGAAAAUGAAAGAAAAGCAAAGGAAAGGAAAAAAAACGUGAUGCCAAACAUGGUCUUGUAAGGUGGAUGGAGUGAAAGCAACAAAGCAAACUAACAAGAUUUUUUGUUGCUAUUUCAUACCUCAAAUGACUGAUUUUGAAUUACCAAAAUACAGAAGACUUGAAGGAAUCAUUGAUGGUGGACAACCCAGAUGUCCACAUUAUUUGCCAGACACCAUAAUUGAGUGAUGAGAAAACGAAAGAAAAGCAAAAAAGGUGAUGUCAAACAUUGUCUUGUAAGGUGGAUGGAGCGAAAGCAACAAAGAAAACUAGUAGGAUUUUUCGUUGCUAUUCCAUACCUCUAAAUCACCAUAAUAAUAAUAACAAUAACACCAAAUUUUAAGGUUAUUUUUUGUUAUAAAAAAAUACUAGGAAAAGAAAAAAAAUAAUUAAGGAAAAUAAUUUUUUCAUAUUUGGUUUCACUAUAGAAAAUAUAUAUAUAAAAAAUCAAAUAUAAUUAAAAUUAAUUUGAAAUUUAUAUAUUUUAAAAGUAUUUAAUCUUUUUAUAAUUUAGAAAAAAUAAGUAAAACGAGUUUGAAGAAAUGUAUAAAAAUAAUUUAUUAAAUUUAAACUUAUUUCUUAUUUUCCUUCAUUUUUUCUUUUCUUCUACUUUUUCUUUCUAUUUUCUUUCCUUCUCAUUUUCCCUCAAAUUUUCCAAGAACCAAACAUAGCUUAAAGGUUUAGAAUCUUAUGCACAAGACUUUCAAUUUUUUUUACAAUAUUAUUUUAUUAGUUAAGAAUUAAAAUUUAAUGUACCAUAUCUAACACUAACAAAAAAAAUUAUAACAACCAGUCUUAUCUUUUAAGAAUGUAUUGUUUAAAUGAGAUUAAAAAUUAAAAAUAAAUUUUAAUUCAUUUAACAACUAAAUUAAAAUGAAAUUUAUAUAUAUCAUAAAUUUAUACAAUUUUGAAUCAUUUUAUAUGGAGGAUUGAGAAUGGAGAGAUUGAAGAAUUGUUUGGUGACGAGGAGAUUGAUUGAAGAUUUUAUAGUCUUAAGGUUCUAUGGGAUGAAAUUUUUUGUAAAGAGUUUAAAUUUUUGUAAAAAAUAAAAUUAGUUUUAUGUUAUCUGAUUUCAUGGAAAUAUAAAGUUUUAAUUCAAAGAUUAUGUUUUAAAAAUAUUAUUUUUAAAAUAUAUUUAGCAAAGAUUUAUAAAAAUUUAAAAUUAAAAUUAAUUAAUCUAUCAACUAAAUUAAAAUAAGAUUUAUAUAUAUUUUUAUAGAUUUACAUGUGUAAAAUCUUUGAAAUGCCUCAACUUAAAAUAACCUUACAAAAUUUCAUUAAUCUACUAGAAUUUGCAUUAGGAUGAAUACCAUCAUAAUAAUAAUUACGCUCCACAUAUGACGUAUCUUAACAUCCACUUGGAGGUUAAAAAAUAAUUAAAGUAAGGGAAACUAAUAUAUUUAAAAUUUAAAAAUCAUGAUGAAGAUUUGGACAAUAAUUCAAGUAGGCAUCUUUGAAAUUUGACUUCCAAAUCCAUUUGUCAAUAUACACCACCCUAUGACAAUUAAAUAAAUUAAAAGAAGGAAAAAAAAAUGUUAAAGGAAUGACAUAAGAAUUAUUUAUGUAUGACUAGAUUUAAAGUUUAAUUAUCUGAGGAAUCCUUUAUUAUGAAAAUAUAGGGAACAAUUAUAUUUAAGGAGUAGACGGGGUUGAUAAUGACUAAAGGGUACAAAUUUUGCAUAAUUGAUCUAAAAAGGUAGAGAAGGUUUGUAGAUUGUUGUGGAGGAUAUAAACCCAUUUUGUGAGUCGAAAAUGCUCAAAAUACCCUUAAGAGUGUUUUUUUAAAAAGGACAAUUAAGUACUCAUGAUAAUUAAUAUAUUAAGAUUUCAAGAAAAAUUAAUAAUAAAUAAAAUCUUUUUCUAAAUCUAUUUAACAAUCAUAUAGUUUUUAUUUUAUUUUAUUUUUUCAAGUUGCAACUAUUAUCUUAAUUUAUUUUUCAUUUUAAGGUUCAAUUAUUAUUAUUCUUUAUUUUGAUUAAUUAAAUGAAACUGUACAAGACAUAUUUAUAUUAAUUAGCUAAAAAGGAUAGAUUUUUUAGCAAUACGAUUAAAAUAAAUAAAAACAAGGAAUUUGAUUUUCUUUAUAAAAUAGAUUGGGAAAAGUAUAUUUCGAUACAUUCGUAUGAAAAAAAAAAUCAUAAAAUAGGAACUCAAGUUUAUAAAAUACAAAUUUUAAGCAUCCAUCUAAAAAUAAUUAUCAUUUCAUGCAUUUUUUUGGUUAAAUAUAUUAUAUUUGACAAUUUAAGUAUUAUCUUUUAAUAAUGUAGGUAAUACCUUUGACCUGCAUACAACUUGAAUUAUUUUUAGAUAGUUUCUAUUGUAUAAUUAGUUCAUCAUUUGAUAUAAAUAUCAAAUAAUUAAAAAAUAUAUCUUUUUUUUUUAAGAAUUUUAAUUAUAUUUGACUUUCUUUUGUAUUUUCUAUUGUGUAAACCACAUAUAAGAAAAUCAUUUUCUUUAACAUUUUUUUUUCUUUCCUUAAUAAUUUUCGAGAACCAAACAUGGCUUGUAGGUUUGGAUUAUAGGGUAUAGAUGCCAUAAAUACUGGAAUGAGUUCGGGUUUUCCAUGCUAAAUGUCUUUAUUAUUAUUUGGUAGCGCUUUUCCAAAAUUGUUCCAUUCCCAAAACCACUUAAUUUGCUUAAAUAUUUUAACCUCACGAUAUCAUAACAUUAUAAUGGAAUAGAUUUUGUUGGUGUUCAAAUCAUGUCAACUCAAUUUCCAAACCAUUUGGAUUGUCAUUUGGUGAAAAAUAGAAAGAAAUUUUACUUGAUUGAAAAGCAUUUCAUUUUUAUUUGAAUAUGCUGCAAUGAAACAGUUACUAAACCAUGGGGUAGCAGAAGAAGUAAUCGAGAAAAUGAAGAAGGAUGUUUAAGAAUUCUUUAUGCUGCCAUUGGAGGAGAAGAAUGCUUACACAUAGCUACCAAAUAGCAUUGAAGGUUAUCACAAAGAAUGCUUAACAGUUUUCUUAAAUUUUGUCCAAAGUUUAUGAAUUUUUAUUUUUUAUAAUUUUUUUUUACUUAAAUUGAAACUUAUUAAUCAAGGUAAGAUUUCAGCCACAUCGAGAAACAAUUUACGUGAAAAGGGACUGAUAAAAUCUUGAGUUAACAGAUGUAAAAGACAUAAGGCCAAAGACUCUAGAACUCCAACCCACUGAAUCAAGAAUAGAAACACAAAUUUAUCUACCAACCUACACUAAUCUCAUAUCUACAAUGCAACACCAUCGUACUCUUAAGUGACUUGAAAGGAUGUGAAUAUUUCUCACAAGCUUCAUAAUGAAAUUCAAAUUAGCUCUGAGAGUUUUGGGUUAGGCACAAAGAGUAAUAAUGCAUAGCUUUUGUGUGUGAGUUUUUAAGUGAACUUAAGACUCAAUUUAAAGCAUGUAUUUUACUAAAAAUAAAAAAAUAAAUUUAAGAAACUUCAAGAAUUUUGGAAAGAUAAAUUUUAAAAAAAAUUCAAAGAGAGUCAGAAAAUGUUUCCUUUUUAAAUUCUCAAUUUAAUUUAUUUUCAAAUUUAUUAAGAGUUUAAGAAAUAUUUUCUUUUUAAAUUAUCAAUUUAAAACGCUCUUUUAAAUUAUUUUAUUAUUAAUUUUCAUGCAAGUCUACUCUAUACAUUUUACAUCAUUAUUCUCAAUUAACUCAACAAUAUUAGAGUGUAACAUCCCCAAUUGAUUUUGCACCAACCUUAAGUCUUCAAAGACAAUGAUUGAGGCAUUUCUUCUCCUAUUUUCUCCGAUGUAGAAAAAAAAACUUGAAUAAGGUUAAAGUUGGUCUAUAGCAAAAAGUCUUAAUUUGAGUUAGCCUUUUUUUUUUUUUUUUUCCAAAUGAUAUGCAGGUCCAUCUAGCCUUCAACUCAAAUUUUUUAUUCAAAAAUCACAUGUGGAUAUGUGAACAAGUAAAAGUUGAGUUUUACCUAACAUAUCAUUUUGAAAAUUAGGAAAUUUAAAAGGUAUUAGUUUGUUAAACUCACCACCCCUGUCUAUUCUACAAAACAAGAAGAUUAGCAAAGAAAAAGUAUUCAUAUUUGUACUACAAAAUAAAAAGAUUAGCAAAGAGAGAAAUUGUACGCAUGAGUGCAGAGUUUUGGGUUAAAACAACCCUUUUGAUGGGAAAAAUAUUAAAUUUAACCACUUUGUCAAACUAAUGUGUAAAAUGAUCCUUUUAUUAUCACAUAGGAGUCAUAUCACUAAUAUAUAUAUAUAUAUUUAAUUUAAGUUGAAGCCUCAAUUGCCAAUUAAGGCUUCAAUUAUCAAUUACGACUUUAUUUUUUAACCCGAAACCUUACUUGCCAAUUGAGGUUUCAACUAAAAAAAGAAACCUCAAUCGUCAACUAAGACUUAAUUUUUUAAUUGAAGCCUCAAUUAACAAUUGCGGUUUUAUUUUUAAACUGAAAUCUCAAUUGUCAAUUGAGGCUUUAUUUUUGUGAAAGGAUUAUGUGACACUCACGUUACUAGAAAAAAGCCAUACUGAAUAUAAGUUUCAAAAGUGGCUUAAAAGGUAUAAAUUUUAUGAUCAAAGAUGCCAUUUUGACCCAAAUCCCAUGGGUGCAUGAGACUCUAGUUAAUCAUAGAUUUCAUAGAUAAAAAUCAGAGUUAGGAUGAUUCAACCCCUAAGCGUCAAGAAUUCUUUAACAUAAUGUUAGAACAUUUUCCAAUUUAAAUUUGAGAGUUGACUUUAUUUGAAUAUGCUUUUGAUUUUUUUUUUUUUUUAAAUAAGCUUCAGUGUUUUUUUUAAAAAGAAAUAAAAAUAAAUAAAAAUAGGAGCUUCUAUAUAGAAAGUAAAAAUUUUAUCCAACAAAUAUAAGGCUCACCUUAUAUCCUUAUAAAAUAAAAAAUUUUAAAUUUUUUAAUACCUCAAAAUUUUUAAUCAAUAUUUAAAUAUCAUUAUAUUUUCAAUAUGAUCCUUUAAAAGUUAAAAUUACUUAUAUUUUUUAUUUUCAAAAAAAAAAAAAAGAAUGAAUUUUUAUGUUUUUUAAUUAUUAAGAUGGAUGAAAUAAUCCCAAAUUUGCAAAAAUAACUUCUUCCAUGUUUGAAUUUGAAAAAUAACUCAUUUCCAACAUAAAUACUCUUCAAUAUUUGGAUUAUUUUAAUAUAAAUUUUAGAAGAAAGUGUUAUUUUGACUGGAAAACAUGAAAGACAUUUUUGUUAAAAAUUGAUCUUUUUUUAAGGCUAAAAUAUAUAUAGGUUUAUAUUUACAAAUUUGAGACUAUUUCGUCCUCUUAAUCAAAUAACUUAAAAAAGAAAAGAGUUAAUUCCACAAGUGGGUUUAAAAUACUCACAAAAUUGCAAUAUAUAUAUAUAUAUAUAUAUAUAUAUAUAUAUAUAUAUAUGAAAUUACAAAUUUACCCUCGUGUGUUGAGCACAUGACACUUCCAUUCAUUAAAGCUAACAUUGUUAAAUAACAAAUGUACAUUGCAACUAUUUAAGAAGUAUGAAGGGCACAUUGCUUGAUUUUAGUACAUGGUGAGAAACUUGUUGAACAAGUUAUGUGUAAAGUUUUAUGGUUCAUGUAUGAUAGAAAAUACAGAUCUACUACAACACUGGAUUUGCAAUUUUGGUUAGUAUUUAAAGAAAAGACCAUAGGACAAAAAGAAUUAAACUUUUGGUGGAAAACAAUAAAGAAAGGACUACAUGGAAAAAGGGAAGAGAUCAUUAUAAAGGAAGAUUAUUGAAUAGAAAUAAUUCCAAGAACCUAAGGCAAGACAUAGAGUAUCACUACUACUAUCACAAAAAGGGGUAUAUCAUAAAAUUUAUGAAAUUUUGAAAAAGACCUAAAAAACGAAGAAAAAAAAAAAAACAAAUCAAAGAAGCCUACAAGUGUAACUAGUGUUCUUAAAGUUGCGAAAUGUAAAUCAAAAGUAGAUUUGUUAAUAGUUUUUAAAAUGCUUAAAUUAGGAAUUGUCUACUUGUACCAUACAAGCCCUUGUAGAGACUGGUUUGACAUGUAAAUUGUUUGUAAAAUCAUUUUAAUGGGCAAUAAUGCACCAAGUUGCUCCACGAGAAGGGGAGGGGUUUGUGAAACCAUCACUUGUCGUGGCAUACAUCGUCGGGUAAUCACGGAUGAGGGCAUCCACGGGAGGCCAAUGUCUACCCUCGCUCUACACCCCUCUAGUACAAGGCUCUAGGAGGGAGAGAGGCAACAAGUGUGUGACACCAAGGUAAAUAUGCUUGACCUUAUGGCUUUGGGAGCAACUUGCAUUUAAAGACUUGAUGAUUCACAAGAUUCUACAAUUCAUACCAAGUAUUGCAUUUUGCGACGUUCUUCAUCAAUGAGAGAGCCUAGAUAUCCAUUGUCAAGAAUUAUUUAUGUAUGAAAAUAAAGGCGCCUAACCGACAUGCCCAAGAUCAAGGCAACUGGAGUGUGUUGCUUCGCCCAAGUUACUUAGCGCGUUUUGUGCCAAAGUUUGUUGUUCGCUCAAGAGGGCUUUUGUGAAUCUUUGUAAUAAAGGGAUAAUACAGAGUGGGCCGUAAUUUAGCAUCUUACACGCUUAGUUUCUUCCAUUGGUGGCAUAUAUUAUUUUGUCUGUCAUUGGUGAUUAUUUAAUAAAACUAUGAGAGUAUUUCAUGAAAUAUAAAUAAGAGGUUUUUAGGAUAUUUAAUCGAUGGUAAACAAAAGUUGAAAACUAAGUAGGGAGGAAGAUAAAAUAUUUUAGAUUUGAUAGUGGACUUGAGCAUUAGAACAAGAAGUUCACAAAGUAUUGCGAGAAUUCUUAUAUAACUUAACAUCACAUGUAAAGAAAUUACAAAGCAAAAUGGAGUGGUUGAAAAGAUGAAUAGAACACCAUUGGAAUGACUAGGUGGCUAAGAUUAAUCAUUGGGUUACUUAAGAAUUUAAGGGCUAAAGCUAUCAACAUAACUUAUCAUGUAAUUACUUAGUUGUCAAGUUUUACAAUUAUUUUCAAUAUUCCAAAAGAAGUGUCAAGUAAAUCAAUUGACUUUUCAUCUAUUGAAAUAUUUGAUUGUUGCACUUAUCUUCAUAUAUAGGUGAAAAAAAAAUUCAAUCCAAAAUAAAAAAGGUAUAUAUUCCUUGGGUUUGAAAAAAGGAUUGAUUAAAGACUAUAGACUUUGGGAUCCAACAAUUAAAGAAAAAAAAGUGGUGAGUAGAGAUGUAUUCGAUGAAAAACAUAUGUUAAAGAAAGAUCAAGGACAAAUGAAAUUGUUAUUGAAAAAAAAUUCAACUACAUGACCAAUCAUCGAGAUGAAAUUUGAGAAAAAUGUCAUUAAAUAUGAAAUCCCUCCUAAUUGAUGUCCCUAUUAGAACUUUAUAUAGGCAUCUUUCUCUAUUGCUCUAAAGAAUCAUCGUAUUGGGUAAGGACAUCAAUUUUAAGAUUUUAAUUUUUUUUUCAUUAUUUAUUGGAAUAGGAGAUCUUUAAUUUUUUUUGGGGUGCAAUUAGGAAGGAUGAUAGUUAUCAAUGUCUUGGUGCUAUGUCAAAUGAGAAUCCAAUGCACAUGUUGACUAAAGUUGUUCUUAAGGAUAAGUUCAAGCAUUGGUUGAAUGUCAUUAAUUUUUCAUUUUGUAGAACAUGGAAGGUCAAUUUUAUCGAAGAGCCAGGUCAAUCAACUUCUAUUAGGACUUCUAUUGAUUCUUGACCAAUGCACAUGUUGACUAAAGUUGUUCUUAAGGAUAAGUUCAAGCAUUGGUUGAAUGUCAUUAAUUUUUCAUUUUGUAGAACAUGGAAGGUCAAUUUUAUCGAAGAGUCAGGUCAGUCAACUUCUAUUAGGACUUCUAUUGAUUCUUGAUUUGAUUAGAGGGACUCCUAGCAGUAAACUUGUAUGAAGGGGCCCUAUGGAGAUGCAAGAGAUGCAAGAGCUGCCAAUCAGAUCGACCAAUAAAUGAUAGGCCCAUGCAGAGAUGUCCCUGAAAUAGGGGAUUGGUUGAUUGGAAAGCUUAGGCAGUGUAUAAAGGAGAACAAUUUAGCAUAUUGGGAAAAACACAUAUGAAGAUGUUUACAAGUUUGGAAAAUUGAGUUAAAGAAUAGAUGGUCUAAAAAUGUUUCAAAUUUCAAUUUUAUGUUUUUCUAAGUUUGAUAUAUCCUAUUUGGAUAUUUAGGAAGUCUUCUCUUGUUAGAUAAGAUAGUCCUAUGAUGAGAUUUGUUAUGAAAAUAGGUUCUUCCUCGUGUGAAAUAUUCCUAUGAAAUUAAGAAGGAAUAUAGGAAGAGUUUUGAUUGAAAUUAUGAAUCUUUUUUUUAUGUAAUUAGAACUAAAAUAUGAGAGUUUUAUAAUUGUAAUUACACCUUUGAAUAUAAAUAAUUGAUAAUAGUGAAUUAGUUUACCUUCUCCCUCUAAAUGUAGGUAAAUGCUAAAUUAUGUUAAAUCUUGUAUUCUCAUAUGAUUUUUUUUUCAUUUAUUUUUCAUUUUCUUGCCCAUUUCUAACUUGCUACUACAUAAUAACAGGUGGUAUCAGGCUUUUUGUGUUUGCACAACAAAUGGUCUCAGUAUUUCCAGCACCACAAAAAUGAUAUUUUACUUAAUUGCUCCUCAGUGGAAAAGUUGGAAAGAAAAAUUAAAUCAUCGACUAUACCUUUUUUUUUUUUUUUUCAAAACUUUUCUCGUCUUUGUGCAAGAAAAUUAGUAUAUUUUCUCUUUAGUAUUUGUUUCUCUUUUAUAUAUAUUCAAAUGAAACCUUAAUCAUCUUUUAUAUGAAGUAUAAAAGAAUUAGAAAAUAUUCAAAUUUUAAAUGAUUUUUAUUAUACUUUGUCCACUUCCUAUUUCAUAUAUCAAAUUACAAUAGAAUUUAAAAUUCUUUUAUACGUUUUUCCCCCCUUUGCUACCACAUAAAUGCAAAGACAGUAUGUGAGUUAAAUACCUUAAAAGAAAAAGAAAUUAAAAUGUGAUAGAAAACAAAUGUAACCUCUUGAAAUUCAAGGAAACAAAACACUAAACUUUUUCAUGUAUUUUAUUCCAUUUAUAAAUGCAACAUGACAAAAAUAGACAAAAAUAUAAAUGGAAGCCCUUUGGGUCCUUCAUUUUAUAUUUUAUCAACUUCGACCAAUUCUAUUUCUAUAGCACAACCGAUACUAUAAAGUUCAAUGAGUAUAUAAUAUAUAAAGAUACUAAUCAAUACGAAUUAUUCUUUCUUUCAAAUGGCUACUUGUAUUAAAAAUUAAAUGUAAUUCCUCCUAAACAAUAAAAUAUGUUGACACGAUUUCAAUGAAUAUACAGUACAUAAAGAUAUGACCAAUUAGUACGAAUUAUUCUUUCUUUUAAAUAGCUACUUAUACUAAAAUAUAAGUAAAUAUAAUUCCUCCUAGAUAACAAAAUAUGUUGACACAAGGAGGAAUAUAUUUACUAAUUAUAUCAUUUGCAAUAGCCUCAAUCUCGCGACGUUCUUCGAACCAACCAUAGACUUUAUUGAGAUAGGUUAACCAAGGGAGCUUCCACUCUCAUAACUCGUAUAUGAAAAUUUCAUCUUGUACAACUCAAAUAGAAACCCAUAAAUACCAGUUGAAACCAAAAUGUAAUAAAUAAAUAAAAACAUAUUUCAAUGGAUCCAAUUAGUAUUUUUCCGAUCUAGGAUAAACAAACAAAUUUUUCUUCAUUUUGCUUUUUUUUUGUAUUAAUCUUUGUAAGUAAAUUAUAUUUUAAUUUAACAAAGCACUAAACUUUACUUUAAUUUUCAUGCAGGAUCAACUAGCUUAUCAUAAUAAAAUUUAUCAAUAUAGUUGAGCAGAGAUUUGAUGUAAUAAUACCAUACAAAAUUCAAGUAAAAUUAAAUUAAUCAAAUAGGACACUACGGUUAUAUUUGGAUACAUAUUCUAUUUUUUAUUUUUAAAAUUAAAAUUUUGAUAUAAAAUAUGACAACCCUUUGUAUAAAAAAUAAAAAUUUAUCCUAUAAUCUUAAAACUACUUUUCAAUAUUAAAAAAAAAAUGAGGAUGUGUCCUAAAAUUUUAAACAAAUUUAAAAAUAUUUUUAAAUACCAAGAUAUCCACUUUUUUCUUUUUUAAUAAAAAUUCCUAUAUUUGAUAUAAAACUCUAUUUUAAAAAAUGAAAAAUAAAAAAUGUAUCCAAACAUAAGCAAAAUUGUUAGAUUUCAUUGUGAGAUUUCUUAGAUUCUACAAUUCAUAGUGAAAUGAAGACGAGAUAUAACUGACUGAACUAUGAAAAAAAAAAAAUUAACAUUGAUGAGAUUCAAAAAUGCUAGUUAAUGAAAGAGUUUCUCCGCCAGGAUGACUAAGAAAAAUGCUGAAAAAUGUGUCAUGCCCAAAGCAAUGUUACAAUGAAGAAUAGAAUGAGAGCUAACCCGAAACAAAAUCCGACAAUCGCCAUGAAAGCCUGGAUGCAGAGGAAAUGUAACUAGAGACAUGUAAGGAAUCAUUAAACAAGUGAGAACAAUAUCAAAAUCUCAUGUACGACUUACCUUUCCCUGAGAUUCAAACUUGAAUUUUACUGUAAACCAUGACAAUCCUCUAUCUACAAUAGGAGCAAGUGCAAGGGCCCUGCAUGAGAAGCACCUCUACAAAAAUCACAGAAAACCCAAAGGAAAAAAAAAAAAAUAGGGUUGAAUAUGCUAUAGUUGAAUAACAGCCACAAUGCUGGGAAGGUCAAUAACAAAAGCAUUGACUUGAAUGUUAGCAGUGUCAUUUACACUGGCCAUAAGAACCAGAGGUAAUGCGUACAGUUGGUAAGUGGGGAGGAGGGGAUGAGAAAUUGCAAAGUCUUGAAUUUAAUUGUUUCAUGCAAUUCCGUUUUCCAAUACUCUAUAUGAUAAUAUACAUUGUACGGAACAAAAAUAGGGUUGUUUUAAAAUUUUGAACAAAUAAAAAUUUCAUAUCAAUAUCUAAUAUUUAAUAAAAAAGAAUGAAACAAGAGUAAGUACAUUCUCUUCUCCUUAACAUGGUAUUAAAGCAGUCUCCAAACUCUUAACUCCUAGUUGCAAACUUGAUUUCCACUGGAAGUUGCAGUUUGCUUAUUUUGUUAUUCAAGUAAGUUACUUCAAUCUAUCAUAGUUUAAAUGACUUGGGAUGGUAGUUGUCAUGGGCACGAAUUUUCCCACAAAUUUUUUGCAUCCACGCAGCGCUUAGAAGCCCUCUGAGCCAACAUACUCAAACCCACAUGAGAUUGCAAUCAAGAAAAAACUCACAAAGACACACAAGGCUAUGGAGCUCAAUCCCUAACUUGUAUUUUAUUUCUUCUCUAAAUAACAAUACAAGACAUAGCUCAACAAGACUUCCACAAUCUCUUUGGUGAGUUCAUGCUCUCUCUCAAGCUAUGUUUUAAGAAAGUUCUCCCUCUCAAUAUACCUCUGUAUAUUCUCUAUGAUCUCCAGAUUGCACGAUAAUUCAAAGGGCACUCCAGUCCUCCUUUUAUAGGUGUGACACCAACCACUCCCUAUUCGAUAAGGAGCAAUACAUCUUCCUUAAGCUUGUCCCAAUGCCAAGACAUCUUUGUUGUGUUCUGCCUGAAGUCUACCCACUCUUGUGCCUUGAGUCAGUUCAUUCAUGCAUUUGAAUCAGCUGAUGCAUCCGAUCAGCUUGCUAUAGAGUCUCUAGGCAGCCUACUACAUGUGUCUCUAUGCAACUAGUGUGCAUGCCAAGCCCUCUCUUAGCCUACAGAUCUAGCAAUUUUCCUUGGUGCCAAUCUUUUCUUUGGUUCUAGCUCCUUGUUGUUCCUUGAGCGUGUCAGUCAUGCUCAUAUGUGUUCCCGCAUCUGGAUCACGUCCAUGCCGAGGCAACCUGCCCAUGUUUGCUCUGCCUAGUUGUUGCUAUAGCAUCAUGCCAUGCCCAAGCCCUCUUCUUGGUGCAGCAACGAGUCAUGGCAUUGCACCCAUGACUCCUCAUCUCUACGCACAAGGCAUUGUGCCUUUGUGCUAAGCAUUAGGCAUCACAUCUGAGUCGGCUUCCCUUAUCUCUAUGCACAAGCCUCAAGGCAUUGUGCCCUUGUGCCAAGCCACCUUAUUGCACAAGGCAUUUCCCCCUCAUGCUACCGUUGGGAAGGGAAGACUGCAUAGCACCCCAAGUCGUUGCAACCAUGAGUUGCACACCAUCACAUGUCAUGGAGCCCAUGUAUGGCUGCUAGCAAGGCGUUGCCCAUGUGCCUUGCUCAUGUCUGAGGACUUGCACUGAAGCCCCUAAGUGUGGCCAUGCCCAUGCCACCUCGUCUCCCUUGAGUCACCCCCACCCUCGCCCCCCUUAAAAGAGCAUUUUAAGCCCUUUUAAUUAAUUCAGGAAAAUCUAGAAAAUUCCCUUCCACUUGGAGUCUCCCUUUUGAAGGUUCCUAUAAAUCUUUUAUCUCUAAGCAAAUUAACCAAGUCACUUAAUUGUUUUGCAACAUUCCUUCCCUUCCCAUAGUGUAUUUCAAGAUCUCUUAAUGAACAAGACAAUUGGUGGAGGGCAUGAAGUAAAUGGAAUUUAUCACCAUAUCGGCCCACCUCUUACUCCAAUUGCUCUACAUACUUCCAUUUCUUCUAUGUAGUGGCACACCUUUCACUUCGCAUCUUUAGCAUAUGGGACUUCUAGUUAUAUUGGACUCCAAGUUAAAGCACCAAGUUUGCGAGUCAAGAAAAUAGCUUCAUCAUAGUGUUGUUCUAGUCCUUUUUGUGCUAUAAUCAAUAAGAGGAGUACUAGUCCUUUUCAUCUUGUUCAUUUAGACAUUUACAGUUUAUGUUGUGUUGUUCCUAAUGUUGAACUAAACUUUCUUAUUGCUAUUUUAUUAAUUAGAUCAAUGAAAAUGGUAUGAGCAUAAAGAGGCUGAAUAAUAGGUACUAAUCUCUUAAAAAAAAAAUUUUAAAAAUAAUCUUAUAGAAACAUCAUCAGGUGACUAUGCACAAGUAAAUGGUCUGACAAGGCGUGAGAAAAACAUUCAUUUUUGUGCAAGAACCAAGUAUUUGCAUCUUAAUCAACCAAAGAAUAAAUGGCUGAAGACAAUAAAUGACUGAACAAAAAGAAAAUCAUAAGUUUUAGGCCAGACACUUUUUUCAUCAAUUAUAUACAACAACAAUAAAUCAAAUAGUCCUAAAUUUCAAGAGAAUAAUGCUCAGCAGCUAUGCAUACUCACAAGUCACAAAUACCUCAUCCUUAACUAAUUUACAUGAAUGAAUUAUUUACUUACCAUACCAAGAGAAACGUUGUAAGAUAGUAUGCAGUAUUCAGGAGUCCAUAGGAUAAUAUUCCAGAAAUUCCAUAUCUCUUCAGUUUCUUUAGAAGACUGAAAGGUUAAGCAAGAGUGAGCUCUCAAUGUAAGUAGACAUGCAUUUAUGCAUACAAAGGGCAAAAGGAUUGAGGUAUCACUUCUUACAGAUUGUUUGCAUGAAAUUCAGUAGUAGAAGAGAAAUUAAUAUGAUUGGGACAAGAUCACUCAUCCAAACAAUAGUUUAUUUACUGAGAAAAGGUCUACAGCAUACUCAUGCAGUAGACAAAAUGAAUCUUUUGUGUCAUGUUCCAAUAAUGUUAACAAACUACAUUAAAUUCAUAAGGUUACAUAGAAAAAGAAAGAAAAGACAUUGUUGCAAUAGUUUGUCUGUUACACUGCUAGCACCCAGACUACGACCAAAUCCUUGCAUUCAAAUUGAAUUUCAAACUCCCAAUGUGAAAAAGGAAGAUACAAAAAAGAAAAGAAAAAAAAGAAGAAAAAAAAAAGUGGGAAAGAAAAGAGACAUGGGAUUUCUAUGUAUAAUAAAUACAUAUUAUAUGUAUAGAUAAAUGCAUGUAUGUGCAUAUGUGAUAGAGGCUGGUCAGACACAUUUCAAGAAGUUUCACAACUUGCUUUGGAAUGACAAACACCUGGAUCAAUAAAUGGCUUGUCUCCAUUAUUGAGAAAUUGCAGAUAAAUUUCAUCCACUACGGGCAUGGGGUGGCUGGACAAAGUUAUGCCAUUUGGUGGGAUGUAGUGGACUUAAGACAGAAAAUUCUCAAUCAUUCUUCUGUCCCUUGUGCAGUGUUGAAGCUGACAAUAUUAUUGAGCAUACAAGGAAUGUGAUGUAAAACAUCAUUGAGGAGCCAUGAGCUGCGAAUGCAUGGAGAAAUUAAGUUAUGAUUAAGUUUUGGUGAGGGAUUUUCAGAUGCAGAUCAUAUGGCAAAUUAUCAACUUCAGAGAAUUGCACGUUUUUAUUCAUUUCCAUACACAUUGAAUAAUCAUAUUUAAAAUCUCUCAUUCACUUGUUUCGCUUCCAUUAGUGCUCCUUCCACAUGCCUAUUAGCAGCACAGACCUCAUGAUAGUUUGGUAAAGGUAAGACAAUAAAAUUGAAAAAUACAGCUAAAGCCUAAAAUAUUGGCUAAUAAAGAGAGAAACCAUCCAAGUUCUAUCUUAAAUGACUCUACAAGUUCUAAACAGGGAGACAAGGACUUCAACCUGGUCCAUCAAUGCAUAUAAAUGGGUAAACAUUCCAACAGCCAUUACGUUAGAAGUACACUAAAAGAAAAUUAUUAAACAAUGUUGUUUCCAAAAAAAUUCCAUGUUAAAGAAUAGAAGAACAUACUGCUAUAAAUGAAAUUCAUUCAAAAUCAGUUCAAACAGUAAAGUUAAGAAUUGUGACUGCAAUUUUUUUCUAAGAAAGAAACAACAAUUGUGACUGCAUAUCACCCACACUUGUUUUAUUUACAAUCCACACAAUGUAUUCUUCCCUAGCAUGUUAUCCCAUUAAGUAGCCUCCAGAUAAAAUUCCCUUUCCAACUCUGUCAAUCAGUCAAAAAAUUUCAUGUAAAAUGUAAAAUACAUGGGUACACAAAAACAACUAUAUAAACUGCCAUCCCAUCAUUAAUAAAUCAGUUGUCUAUAACAUAGACUAAUAGCAUUGUAAGGCAAGUAGGAAGUACUCUUUUGAUGUGUGCAGUUCUCCUUCACCAUUUUCGCCCUUUGCACUUGAGUCUAUAAAAAUAUGUAUAAGUAGAUUUUUAGAAAUAUCAAGUUUAUCAAAUGUAAAAUAUGGUAUCACAAAAAGCUACACCAUUUUUCCAGUUAUCAUUUGAAAGAUAUUGAUACCUUCAUGGUUGGCAGAGUAGUCAUGACCAUUUGACAUGCCAGAAGCCUAACCUACAACAAAGGCAAUGUUGAAAAAGCAAUAUUCAAAAUUCAAUGAAAAAAAUAGAAGACAAACAAAUGAACAAAUAGCAUAUCAUCACACUCAAUUGUUUUCCACAUAUGAUAAACUAAAUGAAAGAAACAAGGAAUAUAUUGAGAAAAAACCCUAUGAUCAAUGGAUAUGCAGUCGCAUUCCAGCACAGAUAUAGGAUCAAACAAGUAACUAAUCUAGACAUAGCUGCAGCAAAUUUGUGUAUCUCUGAAUGUGUGUCUGCUUUUUGUGGGGGUAUUUAUUAUGACAUGUUCUUGGUGCAGACAAACCAUCUGCAUUUACUUGAGGAUUAGGUAAAAAACAUACUUUUCAUUUAAAAUGAGGCCUUGAACAUCAAGCCACGGUGAGUUUUCAAAUAAGGAAAACGUAAUAGCUUUACAAUGAGUCCCAUAGCAAGAAGGCAUAUAAUUCCAUUCAUCAGCAUACCAGAAUAUAGAAUAGUGUGGACAUGUGGACACAUGCCAGAAUUAGCAUUGGACACACUAACAUGCCAGUCAUACAUAGAAAGAAUUUCCAAAGAUAUUAAAGUAAAACACUGGUAGUAAGCAAAUUAUACCCAGAAAAACAUGCAAGUAUAGGCCAAGAUCAAAUCUUAAUUUUAAUUUCUAGAAAAAAAAAAAUUUAUAUCAACCAAUAGAAAUGGUAUCACCAGCAAUUAACACCAAAACACACCAACAUAUCGGAAUGCAUAACACGUGUACCCAUCUCCAAUCAGCACUACACCUAUACAAGUUAGCCUGUAGCAGGUCAUAAUAGGUUCAGACUAUAAAACCUUCCAAAUCUUCCUUUGCAAGGCUUAGAAACCAUUUUCUAAGUAAUUUACAAUUUUAAAAGCCUGUGACAAGAUUUUGGAUGAAGAGCUUGAAUUAUAUACUCACAAACCCACUCCAAAAUUUCCUUAAGGUAAUACACAUUUUUUGAAGUCCUUUCCAAUGUCUUCUCUUAUUUGAGUUAGAAAAGCCAAUUUUUUUAUGAAUUGAUUACUACGUCUAUUGAGGUUUGAGGUGUAUAACUAAUUUCUUAAUAUAUCAUAAUUUACAUCAGUUAUUAGAAAUUAAGGUUCAAUCCUUUUACACUAAGAAAAUCCUGAGCAAUUAAAAAAUACCUUCUUUAAUAUUAUUAAAUUUAAGUUUCCUUCAGGUCUUUGAGUCAAAUAGAAAUUAGUGUAAAAGGAAUUUUAAUUUUCUUACACUAAGAAAAUUAAAAAAUAGGCAAAAUAAUUUUCAAAUUUUGGAACUUUAUAGGUAAUGCUUAUUAAAAUAAAGCAACAAAGUUUGUCAUUUGCCAUUGAAUGAACCAAUUGUAGAAAACUAUGCAAAAAAUUUUAUUAGUAUGGAUUUUUUUUUUCUACCGAUAAAUAGAAUUCAAUUUCAAACCUGCCCCUCCCAACCCACCACUUGCUGCUUGAGGCAAGCUUAGAGGCAGAAAACUAUUUACAAUUCUACGUAUGGAUAAAAAUUAUUCUUAGAUUUUAUGCCAAAUUCCAUAUUUAUAGGUAUCAAUUUAUUAUUCUACUGUUGUCAAAAGCUUCAAUUUUAGGCGUCCUCAUGGUUAUGCCACCCUUAAAUGAGAACAACUUUGGUCUUCUGUUUUUCUUUUUGAGCUCUUCAAAUUUUUGCAAGGUAUUUUUAUAAUCUUAUUAAGCUCAAUGGGAGAGAGAGAGAGAGAGAGGGCGAGAGAGAGAGAGAGGGCGUGAGGGAGUGUGAGAGCGCGUGCGACGGCGACGACGAUGAGUCCGGCGAGGCGAGUCGAAAGCGAAGCUUCACGGUGGAAUCCAAGACUUUCGAGCUUGCCUUGGAUGAUAGGAAAGGGAAACGCCAGAUUCGCAUUGUGGAGAAGAAGCGGGGGGUCUCGACAUGGGUUCGAUUAGGGCUGGAAAGCUUAGGGCUCUUCAAGGAGGGACUAAUCCAUUGUAUACGAGACGAAAAAGAAGGGAGAUGGGAAAAGGAGUGGAAAGAAAGAGGCAAGCUGUAUACAUUGGCUCGGGGUUUCAACAGAGCGGGUGGUUUUUUAAGGUUGGGGGUUGUGGAUCUGGAACGAAAAAGGUUUUGUAUCUUCUUACCGAGAGGUAGGAGGAACAAAAGAGGAUGGACGACUAUGGCGGAGAUGGUACAUCAAAUGGAAGAACUGGCUAGUGGAAGAACAAACUUGCAGGAGGUAAGGACCGUCGGAAAAGCUACUCCGGCGAAAUCAUACGCAGAAGCAGUCAUGAGAACAAAUUGGAAUGGCUUAAACGCAAUCAAGAUGAAGGUCACUAGGGAGGAGAUUGCUGGAAAUUUACAGAAGCUGGAGCACUGCCUCGUCGCGAGCUGGAAGUCCAACGAAAAGGAAGAAGAAGACUUGGAGAGAUUGGGAAGUCAUUGGGCGAAUUCUUGGGGUCUUAAAGGCAAGCUAGGGCUGGCCAAGUUGGAACAAGGUAGGGCACUGUUGGAGUUUGAAGAUCUAAGAGAGGCACACCGUGUGGUCUCCUCGGGGAGCAGAGUGAUGGGAGGAGCUCACUUAGGGUUGGAUCUAUGGAAUCCAAAGACGGGAUGUCGGGUAGAGGAGGAGAUGGAACAGGAAGCUUGGGUUAAAAUCUUCGGCCUUCCAAUUUCGCUAUGGAGCCCGGGGAUUCUGAAGAAAAUAGGGGAGGAAUGUGGGGGCUUUGUAGAUAUUGACGAGCGGACAAGGUCGAUGGGGGAGAUUCAAUGGGCUAGGAUACUGGUCAAAAUAAGAGGUGAUUUUAGACCAAGUAUGUUAGAAAUUGAGGUAGAGGAGGAGGUAUACACUGUGACACUGUGGUGGGAGAUUAGGCCGGUGGUGAGACGGAUCUUCUCUGCGACGGAAAACAGGAGGAGAAAGGAGGUCAGGGGUGACUCGUAUUCACGCGCGGAGAAGCGCGUGGGGAAGGAGCUGGUAGACGCGGGAAUCGAGGAACUGCACCUGCCAGAUGUUGGGAGUGAUCUGCAGGAGAAUAGGCCGGGUCUAGUGCCCGGGAACCAGAUCCAUGGCCCGGUGACCCGGGAUUGGGCCUAUCCAGAUGGAAGAGUGGCUGGGUCAACCGCAUGUGGCCCAAAUAUGGAUCUUAAUGAGUUGGAGAAGGAUGGUGGGCAGACUAAAAUAGACGGGCCUUUGGGCCGAAAGUUAAAAAAUAAGUCAAAGGUGGCUAGUGAUUCAGAGGCAGGCCCAUCGUCUAGUAGUUGGGCUGCUGAACUGGGCUGCCAUCCUUUAGUUGAGGUGGAAGGCCUGGAAAGGGAGGGCCCAACUGUUCCCCUAGAGAAGGCUGGUUUUUUGGGCCGUUUUAGCUCCAGAAAAGGACCCAUUUCAGAGGAUCCUUUGACGAGCUGGGUGCCAGAGGAGUUUAGAAGGGAACAGAGGGAUGAUGGCUUUUCAAUGACUGAUCGAGCGCUGUAAGAGGAAGCUAAAAGGUAUGUCCUGAUUUCCCAUCCUAAAGGAAAAUGGGUUAUGGGGACACCUCUUCUUCUCUCUUCUAAUUCUGAUCGGGCUCCGGAGGGGGAGUCUUUUGAUCGCCCAGGGGGAAUUGAGGAGGAAUUAAGGGGGGACAUGUCAACAUGGUUAACAGUCUAUGAGGGGAACGUUGAGAAUGAAAAUGGAUCUUGGAAGCUGGGAGAGGACAACAAAAGCAGAGACAAGGUUAAGGGCAAGGAGGAGAACACUGGGGUCUCUGGUUCUCAAGAUACCGAAAAUGAGAAAGAGGAUCUAUGAGAGGACUGUAGUCUUGCAAAAUUUAGCCAAUUCUUGGGAUUCUCUAUGAAGGGGCUGGAAAAGGAGAUAUUGAAUUUUCUGAUUAAAAUCAAAAAGAGGCGGGAAAAGAUUCACAGCAAAGAACUUUUGGAGAAGUCCAAGUUUGAAAGGGAACUAAAGAGGCUGGAAUGCUCUAUCAAUUACGAGGGGGGGAAUAAGCAGAAAGGUCCUUCACAGGGCAAAAGGAAUCAGUUGAUAGUUGCCCAAUGAAGCUGAAGAUUAUAACCUGGAAUGUGAGGGGAGCUAAUGACAGCUCUAAGAGGAAAAUUAUUAAGAGCUAUAUAAGGAACCAGAGGGUGGACCUAAUGUGUAUUCAGGAAACCAAGAUUCAGGAGAUGUCGGAGGGUAUUGUGAGAAGUCUGGGUUCGGGGAGAUUCUUAGAUUGGAGAGCCUUAAAUGUGGAGGGGGCUGCGGGUGGCAUUUUGAUAUGCUGGGACAAGCGGGUUCUGGAUAUUUUGGAUUGGGAGGAGGGUCAGUUCUCUUUGUCUUGUAGAUUCAAGACCACAGUAAAUGGGGCUACUUGGGUUUUUACGGGAGUGUAUGGUCCUUUUACCAAAGUGGAAAGGGAGGGUAUGUGGGAAGAACUUGGGGCAAUAAGAGGCCUUUGGGAUGAUCCCUGGUGUCUCGAUGGGGAUUUUAAUAUCACUCUGUUUCAACAAGAAAGGAGCAGCCAAAGAAGAAUCAGCUCAGCCAUGCGGAGAUUUGCAGAGACUGUGGAUGAUCUAGAGCUGGUGGACCUGCCCCUUCAGGGGGGAGAGUUCACAUGGAAUGGGGGGCUUAAUAAUCAGGCGUGGGUGAGACUAGACAGAUUUUUAGUUUCCCCUAGCUGGUUAGAUCAGUUUAGUGGAUUCACUCAGGGCAGGUUGUCUCGGCCAAUUUCUGAUCAUUUUCCAAUCGUGUUAGAGGGGGGUGGAAUAAGAGAGGCCCAACCCCGUUUAGAUUCGAAAAUAUGUGGCUUAACGUUGANGNUUUAAUGACAUUGUUAGAACCUGGUGGNNNNNNNNNNNNNNNNNNNNNNNNNNNNNNNNNNNNNNNNNNNNNNNNNNNNNNNNNNNNNNNNNNNNNNNNNNNNNNNNNNNNNNNNNNNNNNNNNNNNAGGAAGCUGAAUUAAAAAAGGAAGCUAAAGACUCCUUUAAGAAAUGGGUCCUGUUGGAGGAAGCCCAUUGGAGACAGCACUCAAGGGAGAUUUGGUUAAGGGAGGGGGAUAGAAACAUGGGGUUCUUCCAUAGAAUGGCAAGUGCUCAUCGAAGAAACAACGCUAUGGACAGAAUUAAGGUUAAUGGGGAGUGGCUAGUAGAGGAGCAGGAGGUGAGAGAAGGAGUUGAGAAUUCGUUUCAGCAGUUGCUUUCUGAAGAUAUGGGUUGGCAGGCGGAUAUUGGUAGAAUUCAGGUGGGUUGCAUCAUUCAGCAAGAAGCAGAGAGUCUGGAAAUCCCAUUUGCAGAGAUUGAGAUUCACUCGGCGCUGAUGGAGAUGAAUGGGGAUAAAGCCCUUGGCCCGGAUGGUUUUACUGUAGCCUUUUGGCAAAAUGCAUGGGAUUUUACCAAAGAGGAGAUCAUGGAGAUGUUUAAAGAAUUUCAUGAGCAUAAUUCCUUUAUUAGGAGCCUUAACAAUACUUUCUUGGUGUUGAUACCUAAGAAAAGCGGGGCUGAGGAUCUUGGAGACUUUAGACCUAUCAGCCUGUUGGGGGGGGGGCUCUAUAAACUUUUGGCUAAAAUCUUAGCUAAUAGGCUCAAAAAAGUGAUUGGUAAGGUGGUCUCUAUUGCUCAGAAUGCCUUUGUAAUGGGAAGACAAAUUCUGGAUGCGUCUUUAAUUGCUAAUGAGGUGAUAGAUUCGUGGCAGAAGAGAAAAGAAAAGGGUCUUAUUUGCAAAUUGGAUAUAGAAAAAGCUUAUAACAGCAUUAAUUGGAAUUUCUUAAUGAAGGUCCUUCAAAAAAUGGGCUUUGGGACCAAGUGGGUGGGAUGGAUGUGGAGUUGCGUGUCUUCUGCUAAAUUCUCUAUUCUUGUUAAUGGAGUGCCAGUUGGGUUUUUCCCUAGCACUAGAGGGCUUCGUCAAGGGGAUCCUCUAUCCCCUUACCUCUUUGUUAUGGGAAUGGAGGUUCUGGACAUCCUUAUCAGGAGAGCGGUGAAGGGGGGAUAUCUUUCAGGAUGCAACAUUCGGGGUGGUAGUAGAACUUCCUUGAAUAUCUCCCACCUAUUUUUUGCUGAUGACACAAUUGUGUUUUGUGAGGCGAGCAAAGAGCAAGUUUCUCACCUAAGCUGGAUUCUUUUUUGGUUUGAAGCGGCUUCGGGUCUUCGAAUUAAUCUAGCCAAAAGCGAAAUCAUUCCAGUUGGAGAAGUGGAGGAGAUUCUUGAGAUGGCAGUUGAGUUAGGGUGCAGGGUGGGGUCUCUGCCCUCUCAUUAUUUGGGUCUCCCCUUAGGGGUCCCCAAUAGGGCUACUUCUAUGUGGGAUGGAGUGGAAGAGAGGGUCAGAAGGAGACUUGCGCUUUGGAAAAGACAGUACAUUUCCAAAGGGGGGAGGAUCACUCUCAUAAAAAGCAUCUUGGCUAGCAUGUCAAUUUACCAAAUGUCUAUUUUCCGAAUGCCCAAGUCUGUUGCUAAAAGAGUGGAGAAAUCCCAAAGAGAUUUCCUAUGGGGGGGAGGAAACUUAGAGGGAAAAGUUCACUUAGUUAAAUGGGAUGCGGUCUGUACAGAAAAACACAAGGGAGGGCUAGGAUUAAGGAGAAUAGUCACUCUGAAUAGAGCCUUGCUGGGCAAGUGGAUUUGGAGGUUUGCUUGUGAAAAGGAUAACCUUUGGAAACAAGUGAUCACUAUGAAAUAUGGGCAAGAGGAUUAUGGUUGGAGGUCAAAGAAGGCUAGUGGGGCGGCCGGAGUAGGGGUCUGGAAGGAGAUUAUGAAAGAAUCUGUUUGGUGCUGGGAAAAUUUGGCUUUUAUAGUUGGGAAGGGUUCCAAAAUCAAAUUUUGGAAAGAUAGUUGGUGCACUGACACUCCGUUGUCCCAAUGCUUCAAUCAUCUCUUUGUCCUUGCCGUGCAUAGGGAUGCUACGAUUGAGGAGAUGUGGGAUCAGGACUCGGGCCAAGGAGAUUGGAAUUUUGUUUUUGUGAGGGACUUCAAUGAUUGGGAGUUGGAUAUGGUUGGGGAGCUGCUUCAUACUUUGAGGGGUCAUAGGCCCUCCCUGGAGGAUGAUUCAGUUAUGUGGAGGCAUGGAAGAAAUGGUCUAUUCAGGGUCAAAGAAGCUUACAAGCUGUUAGACAAGCCUAAUGUCACAGUAUUUCCCGCAAGGAGAAUAUGGGUGGAUAGGGUGCCAACUAAAGUCUGCUUUUUUGCUUGGGAGGCUACGUGGGGGAAGGUGCUCACUCUGGACAGACUCCAGAUAAGAGGGGUGCAACUCCCAAAUUGUUGCUUUUUGUGUGGUUGUGAAGAAGAGAAUGUAAAUCAUAUUCUUUUACACUGUAUAGUGACUAGAGCCCUAUGAGAUAUUAUUUUUGGGUUGAUAGAUGUUAAGUGGGUCCUCCCAGAAACUGUAAAUGAGACUUUAAUCUCUUGGAGGGGCUCAUUUGUAGGGAAGAAAAGGAAAAAGAUUUGGAAAUCCAUUCCGUUAUGUAUUUUUUGGACGGUUUGGAAGGAGAGGAAUAGGUUAGCCUUUAAGGGGGGUGCGUUGAAUAUUCAGAAAUUAAAGAAUUCUUUUGUCUGUAACUUGUGGAAUUGGGACAAAGUGUAUUUAGGUGAGGAGUCUUUCUCCCUUAUAGGUUUUUUGGAGUGGAUAGCUUCCACUUAAGGGGAGGUAGUUCUUUUUGUUCCUUUUUCUCUUUUUGAGGCAGUAGCCGUCUUGUAUACUCCCUGUAUGCUUUGUGGCGUUUAGCCUUUUCUAAUGCAUAUCUUGUUUACUUAUCAAAAAAAAAAAAAAUUUGCAAGGUACUUCUAUCCAGGUUCUAGGAAACACCCACUUUUUUAAAUCUCCAAUAAUUUAGUGUUCUGUGGCUGAGGGAAUAGACUUAUUUUUGGUUGAAACACAUAAAAUUCUUGGAUAUGUAUAUAUAUAUUUUUUGGCAUCAGGUCCUUUUAGGUUGAUUUUUCUACUUAUUUUUCACCCACCAAUUAACAUUGCCCUAACUCUAUUAUCUAACCGAGCAAAUGUUUAUGAACUAGCAAAUCAUACUAAAAUUUCUUACUAGUUGACAUGUGCAUCAUCUCAGCAUGUCAUUCCAACACCAAACUACAACCAUAAUCCCACUAACAUCCUAACUGCCUCAAUGAGUAUGGAUUACAGAAAUGCAAUUAAAAUAUACUUCCCUAUUUAAUUUCAUAAUUUUUAUAAUAAUAUUUCAGCAAUAUUUCCACAUAGUAGCUUAUGUGAGAAAUCCCCAUUUCUGUUUAAAAUCGAAAAACCCUAUAGCUUGCGCAAGUAAAUAGGAAAAAAAAAAAACAGAGGUUUUGCAGAAUUGGGAGAGCAGACUCACACCAGCAUGGCCAUUGAUUGAGCAGAAACGUAGAUGACGAUGAUGGUGGUGGAAUUGGGAGAAAUUGUUGAGUUUGGGAACCCUAGGAAAGCUGGGAUUGAAAGAAGAGGAUUGUGAGAGAGAAUUGGAAAUUUAAGAAACAAACACAAAAAAUAAAUCCAAGAAAUAAAUAAGAAGCGUAAAAAUGAAAUAGAGAAGAGUGUGUAUGACGCACCUGAUGAUGUGAAAGCAGCUUCAGCUGGUGAAGGCAAACUUUCGACGGGAGAGACAUCAGGAUACUGGCCUCUGACAACAAUCGCUCCAAAAUAUUCUUUCUAUACCAUUUAUUAUUAUUAUUAUUAUUAUUAUUAUUAUUUUAUUAUUAUUUUCAGGUUAUUGAAGUGUAAUGUCCACCGUACACCCUUACAUGAUGAAGCCUUUAGAACUCUCCAUGGAGCCUAAAUCUCACAUUGCUAAUCACCCUAUAAUAACCAGCAUAUAGUAAAUUCAAAGUAUCAUUAAUGAUAGAUUUCAAACUUAGGACCAUAUAUCAUUUAUUGAGACCACACUUCUUAAUGUUCAUCCUUAACGACACACUCAUAUAUAUCAAAUUACCCAAUGACCUACUUUUCCUAUUUUCUCAUUUUUAGAAAUAAAAAGAAAAAAUAAUAAUUUCUAUUUUUAAUUUUUUAAUUUUUUUUAUAAGUAAAUUUUUGUUCUCAUUAGGACCUGUGGAACCUCCCACAAGUCCUCCCGAAUCCUUUACCACUUGAGUCAUGCCUUAAUGGCUUGUUUUUUUAAAAAAAUUAAUAACAACUUUUAUAUAUAAAAAAAAUACUUAUAAAACAUACUUAUAAAAAAUAUACAUGUCAUUAAAAGUUUAAAGAAAUUUAAAUUUGAUAAUAAUUUUUUAAAUAAUUUAAUGUGUUAAUUGUUCUUAAAAACUUUAAAUAACCUAGAAAAGAAUAAUAUGGUUAUAAAUUGACCAAAUUGUUAUAUGGUUUUAAAUAGUCACCUUAACAAUGUUACAAGUGAGUUAAUUAAUUUAUGGUAGAGAAGAAUUACAAUAGAAUUCAAUUAGUUAUCGUAUUUGAAGUCUUUGAUUAUUUGUUGAAUAAUAUUUGCAGCCAGUUAGCUAGGGUUGGCUAACCCAAGCCAAACCUACUUACUAAUAUGUCCAACCUAUGCUAAACUCGAUUCAAAGUUAGAUUGGUAGUUACUAAACUCAUUGACAACUAAAGUUUCUAUGGAUUCCCACAAGUUUUCAUGGAUUAUCAAAUAAACCACAUAUAAUGGAAUCUCCUAAUAUAAAAAAGACAUAUUUCAAAAUUAUAAAUUAAACCAUAUUAUAAAAUAAAAUUUUAACAAAGUCAUAAAUUAUAUUACUAGUGACUAAUUUUAAUGGUAACAUGAAACACAAGUGUGAAUAUUUAAAAAUAUUUUAAUAAUUAAACAAAAAUGAUAAACUUAUAGUGUAAUGUAAUAAAACUAGCAAAAGUUAUAGUUUUUCCAUUAUCCCUUUUAUAAAUUUCAUAUUUUAAAUAAACUAAUAAAUAAUAUAAUAGUAAUGAAUUUGCUUAGUCUUCAUCAUGUAGAACCAAUGUGAAGAAAUUUUUUUUAAUAGGACUGAUUAAUGACUUAAUUAAGGGUAGGUUACAGCAUACACUAGGAGUCAAGAAAUAAGAUGUCAAGACUUGUACAUUCUGAAUAGGGAAGGGAAGAGUAUCCUAACAUAAGAGACCAAAAACAUGCUCAGGGAGAUUCUCGUUAGGAUCAAAUUGGGGGCAUAGAUGUAUCUCUUUGGUAAGAGUUCCCAUAAUUUAGGUAUUAAUGAAAUAGGUAUAAAAGAAUUAUAUAUCUUGAUAUGAUCAUGUUGUUAAUGAUGAUCUAAUGAGUUGAAAUAUUAUGUUUUCAACUGUGUAUAUCUAAUAAAUACAUCAAGUACUUAAACUUUAAUAUAGAAAUGCUCCAUAAUGGUUUGUAUGACUCAUCCUCUUAUAAACAUAUUAUUUAGAUUAGGCUAAAGUGGUCAAAGUAAGAAGAAAACUUGAUACUUGAUUUGAAGUAUGAAGAAUUCUUCUUAGACUUUGUGUGUAGUAUUGUUUGCUUAUUGUUGUGUUAAAGUCUAUUUUGAUGUAUUUUGGAAAGAAUGACCAACUAGAACCACUAUAAGAUGUUGCAAAACUUAUUUAAACAAGGGCUUGUGAGCAAGAUUUUUUUUUUUCCCUUUCAUGUACAAAUAGUAUGAUGAAUGAAAAUUUGAUUCUCAGUUGUAAUUAGUGUUUUCCUUAAGUUUUAAAUCAUGCAAUGAAUACUUAAAAUUAGUUUAAGAUGUCAAAGAAUGUAAGUAAACAAGGUUUUACAUGUUGGAUAUAUAAUUAAUGCAAAACCUUUACCUUCCACAUUGAAUGAUUACAUUUUUUCUUUAAGUGCCCUUUAAUCAUUCUCAUCUUGUUUAAUCAUUUUUCUCUAAUGUCUUGAGCAUAGUAGAUUUCUAUAAAUUUACAUGAGCAUUCCUUAACUCUUCUUGAGUGAUCCUAAACUUAGCAUUGAAACAAUCAUAAUUUAGGCGAAGAUGCUUACACGUCUUCAUAAUCAUCCUUGGUUGCUAGCCAUUUUUCCUUAAUUACUUUAGGAUGUUUAGCGAAGAUGAUUACAAAUAUUAACUAGUUCACUCACACAUUUUUGUAUGAGUGUAGAACAAUUUUGCAUUCUUUCCACAUCACUUAUGCAUCUUUGUUCCAAGAAAGAAGAUAUAGAACUCUUAUCUUUUGCUUACACCACUUGGUUCUCCAGCCCAUUAUGCUUAUGCGUCAUUUUUAUAUCACAUAUGCAACUUGUUUCUCAUUAAUAUAUUUCACUUACAUGUUCUUAUAUAAGCAUAAUUUAGGGAAAAACAUUUUAAAAAAAAAGAAGCAAAAUAGAUGUUAAUAUAUAUAUAUAUAUAUUUGGAACAAUUAAACUCAAACUAUGCAAAGUGACCUUGUCUACUAUAUAGGUGACUUUGUUUACCCCAUAGGUAGAGUAUAUGAUAGUGAUAGUCAAGGAAGCUAUGUAGUUGCAUGGUUUAGUGGAGAAUUUAAUGUUGCAAAACCGUUUUGUAUUUUUAAUAAAAUAAAAAUAUUUUAAAUUGUGGCCCAUUUAAAUAUUAUUUUCCCUAAAAUAAAUGAAACGUGGGAGCACAUCUCUUAUGGAGUAACCACCCAUGUCUACAAAUGUGGGACAUAUUACUCGGUUGAAAACUACCCAAAGUCUUUUUUGAUGGGAAGAAGAGAAAAUAAAUAGAUAGAUACAAGAUUAAUUCCAAAAGAGGGAAGAAGGGUCUCUGGUCUACAAGAAUAAGUCUGUGAUUAGUUUCAUCAGUCCCUAUUUUGUGUGAAUCUGAUUGCCAUGGCUGGAGGUACGAUCUUGGAUUUUCAUUUUAUUACUUGUAAUUAUCAGAGAUAUUUAUCUAACAUUUGGUAUCAGAGCCAAGGGUCUCUAGUUUGGCUUUCGAUUCAAUAUUUAUGGUCUUAAAUGAAUUAAGUUCUAUAUUCAUACAUGAUAAGAGAAAUUUAUCUCCAUAUUUAUUGGGUAUUUCUAAUUUAAUCCAAAUGAAGAAAAUUUAGUAGACUCCAUAUUUAUUGGAUAUUUUUUAUUUAAUCUAUACAGAUUUGUUUUUCUACAGUUGCAAUAGACAUUUCUCAUAUGACAUGUUAUGUUUCCUGCAAUUGAGACAACUUGAACCCGUGACCAUGGGUUACUUCCUUAACUAGAAUAGUCCUUGAACCAUUGGACUAAAGCCUAUGACUUGUUAGAGAUUGCCUCCUCUAAACUUAAAUGUUGGCUCCGUUAUUGUGAAAAACUUGUAUAAAUUAUUUUUAUAAAGUAGUAUUUAGAAACACUACUUAUAUUUGUUUACCAUUGAUUUGGUAAUUUUUUUGAUGUCAUACUGAGGUAACAUUUGAUUAAUUAAGUAAUAGCCACAACAUUCUUGAUUAUGAUAAUGUUAAGUGACAAAAGAAAGUUUCAUUUUUGUCACAUUAAAUUAAUGACAUCAAUAUUUGUAAAUAAUCAUAAAAAAUAAUAAUUUUACCCCACAGGGUAAUUAUUAUGUUUUGUGUUUAUUUAGGAUGGGAUGGUAAAAAAAAAAUAUGUUGCCCAUAGGCCUAAAAUUACUAGUUCCAUUAUAAAGUAAUUAAAAAAAAAACAUUUGCAUGUUGUAUUCUGUUUCCACAGGAAAGUUUAUGAUCACGUGUUGAUUUUUUGUUGAUUGAAUUAAUUUACAUGAGUAAAUUUUGUUUUUUGCUUCAUGGCAUAUUAGUAAGCUUUGUCAUUUAUUUUGUAGUUCAAUCUAUAUAUGUUCCAAAUUUUGAUUCAUCUCGUAUACCUUUCUUGAAUGGUGAUAAUUAUGCUAAUUGGUAGGAGAAAAUUCUCCUUACAUUGGGGUGCAUGGACCUUGAUUUAGCACUUUGUGUGGAUGAGCCAUUGGUUCCUAUGGAAUCAAGUACCCAAACUGAGAAAGCAUCAUAUGAACGUUGGGAGCGAUCUAAUUGCUUAAGUUUGAUGUUUAUCAAGUCUAGUAUUGGGAAAAGUAUUCGUGGUUCAAUUUCUGAAUGUGCUAAGGUGAAAGAAUAUCUCAAGGCUAUUGAGCAACAGUUUGAGGCUUCUGACAAGGCUUUGGCUAGCACCUUAAUGACAAAGAUGUGUUAGAUGAAGUUUAAUGGCACCAAAGGAGUACGUGAGCACAUAAUGGAAAUGAGAGAUAUUGCUACUCAACUUAAGUCAUUAGAGAUUGAGAUGUCUGAGUCAUUUCUGAUUCACUUCAUUCUUAAUUCUUUUCCAUCUGAGUAUGGACCUUUUAAGAUUUCAUACAACACACAUAAGGAAAAAUGGUCUAUUAAUGAACUUUUGACCAUGUGUGUGCAAGAAGAAGGAAGACUAAAUCAAGAAAGGAUUGAAAGUGCCCAUUUGGUGACUUAAGAAAAGAAACCAGGCAAGAAAGGUAAAAGAAAGCAAAAGACAUCUCUUAAUCAAGUUAAUAAGAGCGAUAUCAAGUGCUUCUUUUGCAAGAAGAAAGGACACAUUAAGAAGUGUUGUCCCAAAUUUAAAGCUUGGCUUGAAAAUAAAGGUAAUCUUAUCUCUUUAGUGUGUUAUGGAUCUAAUAUGGUUCAUAUUUCUUACAACACUUGGUGGAUUGAUUCUGGUACUAAAAUUCAUGUUGCCAAUACCAUGCAGGGCUUCUUAAACCAAAGGAAACCAACAGAAAGUGAAUGCUCUAUCUAUUCAGGAAAUCGGAUAAGUUCACAUGUGGAAGCGGUUGGGACCUACAGACUUGUUCUUAGAUCUGGUUUUGUUUUAAACCUUGAAAACUCUUUUUUUGUUCCAUCAUUUUCUAGGAAUCUUAUUUCAGUUUCGAGACUUUUACCAUAUGGUUUUAGUUUUAAAUUUGUUGUUAUUUCAUUUCAUUUGAUAAAAGACAAUGUCGUUGUUGGUGAUGGUAUUUUGGAUAAUGGUUUAUUCAAACUCAAUUUAAAUCCAAGUUUUAAUCAUAGACUUACAACUAUGCAUGGAAAUGUUGGCAUUAAGUGUGGUGUUAUAAAUAAGAAAUCUUCCACAUUAUGGCACAAGAGAUUAGAUCAUAUCUCUAUUGAAAUAAUUAAAAGAUUGGUAAAUGAUGGAGUCCUUGAGGCUCUUGAUUUUACUGAUUUUGAUAUUUGUGUGGGUUGCAUUAAGGGAAAGCAAACCAACAUGACUAAGAAUCAAAGUGCUAGGAGGACUUCUAAUGUUUUAGAAAUCAUACACACUGACAUUAGUGGUCUUUAUAAUAUGUGCUUAAAUGGUCAAAUAUAUUUUAACACUUUUAUCGAUGACUACUCACGAUAUAUGUAUCUUUUUUUGCUUUAUGAUAAGUGUGAAGCACUAGAUGCUUUCAAAAUCUAUAAUGCAGAGGUAGAGAAACAAUUGGGUAAACAAAUUAAGAUUGUGAAGUCAGAUAGAGUUGGUGAAUAUUAUGGUAGGUACACUGAAAAAGGACAAUUAUCUGGUCCAUUUGCAAGGUUUCUACAGGAACAUGGCAUUGUUGCCCAAUACACAAUGCCUUGCUCACCAUCCCAAAAUGGUGUGGCUGAAAGAUGAAACCAAACCCUAAAGGACAUGGUUAGUAACUCCAACCUCCUAUUAUCCUUGUGGAGUGAGGCCAUAAAGACAACAACAUAUUGAUUACUAUUCAAAAAGUGCUGUUUUGUAGCUUGUAAUUAACUCUUUUAAACACUUUUGAGUAGUAGUUAUUACCUUUUAACUCAAUUGGCAUGUUAAGGACCCUUGCAAUCGUUUCUAAUCAAAUUGUGUUAAGUUUUAGUGUUUUUGAUAUCUUUUUUAUCACCAAAGCAAUCUAAGAUGAGGGAGAGCUUUAUAUAAUCCAUGGCAAAGAAAAUAAAAGCUCAUUUACAAGAAGAAUCCAAGCUUUGGAGCUUUGAAGUCCUUUGCCAAAAGCAAAUCAUGAAUGCAAUGAGGGAAAGCAAAGAGAGAAAUCUAACAUGAAGAAUUCAAGAGGACAGCAACUGUUGAAGACAUUUUGAGUACUUCCUGAAGUCCAUUUCAUGCAUACUAUAUGUCGUUUCGAAGAUCGGGAAGUCAGAAGCCCAACGCUUCAAACGGUACAUGAAUUGGAGUUGAAAAGAAGAAGUUAUGGCCAUUUGAAGACAACCGCACAAAGUUGAGCGAAAAUUUCAUGGCCCAAAGCCCAUUUCGUACCUGCGAAAUAAGCUGCGAAAUGAAACCCACUUGCGAAAUUUUGUAAGGUGUUUUGCAGCUGCGAAACCACCUCCAAGCACACGUGUGCCACUUCGCAAGUUGAAACUCCAUCUUCGCAACUGCGAACCACGUUGCGAAAUCACCUCCAAGCUGCGAAACAAGUUGCAAAUCAUCUCCAAGUUGCGGAAUCACCUCCAAGUUGCAAAAUCACAAAUUCAACUUGCAAAAUCAAAGUUCAAACUUGCAAAAUGGACAAUUCAAAGUGUGAAAUCCACCUGUGCAAUCUCAGAUAUUUGCAACCGACUCAGUUAGAUUUUUUCUCAAGAUAUUUUGUAAAUUUCUAUUUUCUCCUUGUAAUCAGUCAAAGAUAUUAUUGGGAUAUUUCUUAGAAAAUAUCUUCUCUAUAUAUAUCUUUGAACCAAUGUAAAUAAUACGGAUAUAUCAUGUAGAUCAUAGAUCAUGGAUGUAAUUGACGAUAGUAAGAAAUAUAUUUUUACAGAGCACUUGCUCUGUUUUUCCUUCAUAUUUUUGUUUUCUCGUUAUUUUUAUUUCUAGCAAAUCAAACUCUGAGGAUGUUUCCUUAGAGGAUGAGUGGCUUGGCUCUUUGUCUCUUGGAGUGAAGAAAGCCAAGUAAGUUUCCAUAUGCAAAAAUUAGAAGUUUUGUUGUUUCAGUUUUUAAUGAAGAGAAAGUGUGACUCGUUAAUGGUUUUUAUCUUUUUAGUUAACUUAAAACGCCUUUAAGUUACCUAGGCUAACACUUGGUAAGGCAAGUGAUCUCCGUCCAUUGAGAUGCACUAGUUUACCUCUUGCGAGCCUUUGGGAGGUGACUUGAAGGUAGGAUUUUCUAGAAUAGCCAACACUUGGUAAGCUUUUGGACUCUAAGGAGACAUCCAUUAGUUAUCUCUUGCGAGCUUUUAAAGGGUAAUCCAAGGUUAAGGAUCACCUUGAAUGGCAAAUUCUAGGUGAGAGGCAUGAGCCAUUGCAAGAUGCAUCAGUGAGAGAGAUUUAGUGUUUGAACCCAUUAAGGGGAAACAUCUAUACCACAUCGAUUCGGGAAAUAACUAUAUGUUAAAUCCCCAAUGCGAGGAAAAGAUUCAAGUGACCAGAACUCCCUUUUUGUAUAAGGAACCUAAGCCUAGUGAUCUGAAACUCCAAGAAACAUUUUUCUUUGUAAUUAAAAUCAGUUACUAUUUUUGGUUAGCUUAAAACCAACCUUUUCAAACAUCUUUAUAUUUUCUUUUAGAGCUAACCUUGAAAUGAAAAAACACCAAUUCAGCUUUGAAUUAAUAUCAAUUGUGAAGUGAAAACCCAUCCCAGUGAACGAUCCUAGAGCCACUAUGCUAUGCUAGCUGAGGCUAUCCUAGUACAUGGUGUAAUAGGUUAUAAAUUUUGUUGAUUACUCCCGUCUGAGGACCACAAUCAAGGAAUACCAGCUGGACACGAAUCAAAUGACACCGUUGUUGGGGACCAUUGAGAGGACAUGAAUCAGCUGAUACACCAAUUGGGAAUGAAUCACAUAUGUACUAAACCGGGUUCCAACCAAGGUAGUUCCUAAAACGCCUUUUGAGUUAUGGAAAUGUUGCAAACCCAGUCUAAGGCAUGUACAUGUAUGGGGUUGCCUAGUUGAGGUUAGAAUUUAUAAUCCACAAGAGAAAAAGUUAGACUCAAGAAUAGUCAGUGGAUAUUUCAUUGGCUACAUAGAAAAGUCUAAGGAUACAAAUUUUUAUUAUCCUUCUUGUGCUACGAAAAUUGUAGAAUCUCAUAAUGCAAGGUUUUUGGAGAAUGAUGUGAUUAGUGGGAGCAAUGAAUCUUGACACUUAGUGUUUGAGGAACGCCACAAUAUUGAACCCACUCUUGAGUCUUCAAGUGGAUUAAUUAUUUUCCUGGAUAGUCAUCAAGAUUUGACAAUCCAAGAAACACCAGUUGUUAAUGAACCACAUCAUGAGGAUAUUCUGAUGGAUUUAGUUAUUCAACAUCCUCAACAAGGGAAUGUUGAUAUAACAUUAAGAAGAUCUACUACAGAAAGGAGGUCUACAAUUUCUUUUGAUUAUGUUGUGUACUUACAAGAAUAUGACAUUGAUAUUGGUGUUGAAGAUGACCCCAUUACGUUUUCACAAGCCGUGGGUGGAAGUGAAAAGAUGAGAUGAAUUCAAUGGCUAAUAAUCAAGUCUGGGAUCUUGUUGAGUUGCCUAAAGGUGCAAAGGUAAUUGGUUGUAAAUGGGUUUUUAAGACUAAAAGGGGUUCUUUGGGCAAUAUUGAAAGAUAUAAGGCAAGACUUGUAGCUAAAGGAUUCACUCAACAAGAAGGAAUUGAUUAUCAUGAUACCUUCUCUCCUAUUUCCAAGAAGGAUUUAUUUUGGAUAAUCAUGGCAUUGGUAGCUCAUUUUGAUAUGGAGUUACAUCAAAUGGAUGUGAAAACAGCAUUCCUUAAUGGGGAUUUAGAGGAAAAGGUUUACAUGAAACAACCAGAAUGGUUCAUCACAAAUGGAAAUGAUCACAUUGUUUGCAAGCUUAAAAAAUCUAUAUAUGGACUAAAACAAGCAUUCCGUCAAUGGUAUUUAAAGUUCCAUGAUGUUAUUUCUUCAUUUGGUUUUAUAGAAAAUGUUAUGGAUCAAUGUAUGUACCAUAAGGUUAGUAGGAGCAAAAUGAAUUUCUUAGUCUCAUAUGUGGAUGAUAUUUUGCUUGCUUCAAAUGAUUUGGGCUUACUUCAUGAGGUGAGGUGAGGCGAUUUCUCUUGCAACAAUUUGAUAUGAAAGAUAUGGGUGAAGCUUCUUAUGUCAUUGGCAUAAAGAUUGAGAGAGAGAGAUCUCAACGGAUAUUAGGAUUGUCUCAAGAAACCUAUAUCAAUAAAGUGCUUGAGAGAUUUCGCAUGAAGGAUUGUUCACCUGGUAUUGCACCGAUUGUCAAAGGUGACAAAUUUAGUUUGAACCAAUGCCUCAGUAAUGAUUUGGAAAAUAAAGAGAUGAAAAAUAUUCCUUAUGCUUUUUCAGUUGGGAGUUUAAUGUAUGCUCAGGUUAAUACAAGACCUGACAUUUCUUAUGCAGUUGGAAUGUUGGGCAGAUAUCAAAGUAAUCGAGGUCUGGAACACUAAAAAGCUGCAAAGAAAGUCAUGUGAUACUUUAAGGGGACUAGGGACUACAAACUUACAUACAUGCGAUCUGAUUAUUUGGAUGUGGUUGGAUAUUUGGAUUCUAACUUUGCUAGCUGCCUUGAUUCUAGAAAGUUGACAUCUGGAUAUGUCUUCUUAUUAGCUGGAGGGGCCAUUUCAUGGAAAAGUGCAAAACAAACAUUGGUUGCUACUUCGACCACAGAAGCGAAAUUUGUUUCAUGUUUUGAAGCAACGUCACAUGCUAUUUGGCUGAGGAGUUUUAUUUCAGGGCUUCAAGUUGUUGACUUAAUUUCUAAGCCAUUGAGGAUUUACUGUGAUAACUCUACCAUAGUGUUUUUAGCUAAGAAUAAUAAGAGUGGAAGUCAUAGUAAACACAUUGACAUAAAGUACUUAUCUAUUAGGGAACAUGUUAAGUCAAACAAGGUGGCUAUUGAGCAUAUUAGUACUGGAUUGAUGAUUGCGGAUCCUUUGACGAAAGGAUUGCCACCUAAGGCUUAUAAGGAACAGGUUGAACAUAUGGGACUCAAUUCUAUUUUUUAAAUUUUGUGUAAUUGAGACAUCUUUUGUGUUUCAUCGCAUUUUUUGGUUGAUAUGAAAACUCCAAUUAUUUCAAUCUUGUCUUCUCAUUUGGUUAUAUACAUAAAGUUUAGAGAAUGAAAAUAUGCAUGUUAUGAAUGUUAAGUAGACCUUGAAUGAGAAUUUUGGAAACUCAUUCAUAAAGGAAUGACUCACGUAUUGUUCUUAUUCAAAAGAGAAAGUUGCAUUGUAAUACAUGGAAGGUAAUACUUGUUCUUAGAGGACUUACUGACAUGAUUUAUGUGCUUUAAAUUCUUUUGAUUAAGUAUAAGGAUUUAGGGAAAAAUAUGUUAUGUAUUAAUUUAAUUAAUACAUAUUAAGUAAUUUUUAUGGGCUAAGUGGGAGAAAUGUUGGAAACCGUUUUGCAUUUUUAAUAAAAUAAAAAUAUUUUAAAUUGUGGCCCAUUUAAAUAUUAUUUUCCCUAAAAUAAAUGAAACGUGGGGGCACAUCUCUUAUGGAGUAACCACCCAUGUCUACAGACGUGAGACAUAUUACUCGGUUGAAAACUACCCGAAGUCUUCUUUGAUGGGAAGAAGAGAAAAUAAAUAGAUAGAUACAGGAUUAAUUCCAAAAGAGGGAAAAAGAGUCUCUGAUCUACAAGAAUAAGUCUAUGAGUUCCAUCGGUGCAUGGACAUAAGGUCUUGUAAGGACUAGCCAACUAAUCCCUAUUUUGUGUGAAUUUGAUUGCCAUGGCUGGAGGUAUGAUCUUGGAUUUUCAUUUUAUUACUUGUAAUUAUCAGAGAUAUUUAUCUAACAUUUAAGAGUUAAGCAUGAUCACAUUGUGAUUUAUUAUGAUAAUGGGAGUGCCCUACAUUUAUUUAAGAAUAAAGUUCAUCACUCAUUGGUAAGGCAUAUUGAUGUCUAAUUUCAUUUUAUUUAAGAGAUUCUAGAAGAAAGUCAUAUCUUGUUUUAGAAAGAUUGCUAAUGUUAAUGAGGUAGGUCAUAUUUUAAGAAAGAUUUUUCCUAAAGUCAAGUUUAGCCAUUGUUUAAAUGUGAUCCAUGUAGAAAGGAUCAAUGUACCUUUAGGUGUGUAGUAGCAAAAUCCUUAAAGAUUGUUUGGUUAGCUUCAUUUACAUUACUUAGUUAAAUAUUACAUAGUCAAUUACAUAGUCCUUUAUUAUUAUUUUUCAUUCUUAGUUGGUUUUUGUCUUGAAUUUAGAGUGAAGAAGAUGUAAUCAAUGAGUAGGGAAAGAGGAACAAAAAUGAAAAUAACAUUAGAACUAGGAAUUGGAGAAGAGGAAGAAGAUGAGGACAUUUCUAGCAAUGUUGCAUGUCAAUUUUUUGUUUAAUGAUUUCCUUAUAAUAGUUUUCAUAUUUCAUUAUCUCUCUCUAAACUAAACAACAUAUUUCUUAAAUAUUUUGAAUUCUUAUUUAUUUUUAAACUCUUUCAUUCUCUACCCUUUCACCAUUUUCACAUACCUAAAAUUUGCUCUCAAUUUAUUUCAAUAAUGUUGACAUAAAAGUAAAUAGCUAAAAUAGAUAAGUUAACCUUCAACCUAUUUUUUAUUUAUUUAUUUAUUUACAAACCAAAAUCUAGUAUUUUUGUUUAGAAACUAAAAUUGAACAAAAAUGUAUAAACUAAGAGAAAGAAAAAGUAAAAACUAGAGACUUGUAAUUAUAUAAAUGUUAAGAUUUCAAGUUAGUAAUUUAUGUUAGUAUUUGUAUUUUUUUCUUUUUUUUUUCUUGAUUUUUAUAUACCAUUUUAAUUAAUAUUUUCAAUUUUGUGAUUGAAGUCUCAAAUUUUUUAAUUUGUGUUAUGCUUAUUUUAUUGUUUCCAUGUUAAAAACCAAUGUGCAAUUAGUAUGACAUGUACACUUAUUAUUUCGAAGUGUAAUGUUGAUAUCUUAUUUUGUAAAGCCCAUGGCGAUCAAUCAUUGUCUCUCAUGUGUCUCAUUGAUGAUGUGUGAGUUUGACUAAUUAUUUAGCAUCAUGCCUCAAAGAUUAAUGUUACAUAUCGAAGACAUCUCUCUAAUAAACAUGACAUUCAAUACACUUUUCUUGGCCUUAAUCUUUGAUACAUGAUAGGUCCAUGUUCUACCUUCAUAUCUCCUAUGCCAUAGUGCUACAUUAUUUGAAAAUGAAUAUUUAUCUUCAAUAAGACCCUAAGUCACAUGGAUGCCUAUGAAGCAUGGAUGUUGCCCAUAGUGAAUGCCAGGGAGGGGGGUAAAGGUGUUUCUUACUCUAUUCUUCCUUAAGAUGGUAUCAUGUGCUUCUGAUAAUUGUUUUAUUCUUAUUCUAGAAAAUACAUGCUUCCUAAAAACUAAUAGUUUUUAUUGGUUUAUGAUCUUUUAUACCUCCUUCUAAUGUGUCAGCCUUACCAUAAUGCCUUGAUGUUAAUAAAUCUACCUAGUUCAUGAGCAAAGCUCAAGGUUUUGGAAUGGACUUUGUGUCCUUAGUGGUAAAUCUAGUUUCCCUACCCAUUAGCAUUUCAAGAUUAGUUUGAGCAUCUUGGUUUAGCAAUUAGAUCUUAUACUUACCAAGGUUGGAUUAACACACAUUGAUCUCAUUUUAGCUUAAAUGAAAGAGGUGACAAGUGUGUCUUCAUUAUAGGUGUCAUAUGAAGAAGUUUGUAUAUCCUUAUAGAAUAACUAAUAUUCAAAAUACUAUUUUAGAGCAUCAAUAAAAACUUCAUUUCUAUCCAAAUGAAAAAAAGAAGUGAUAUUGUUGUUCUCCUUGAUCUUACUGCCACCAUCUCUACCCAAUCAUCUACUCUCACUUUGUUUUGCUCUCAUUUUAAACUCUUGGGACAUUUAAAACUUUUAAGUUUUAGUUGUAAACUUAUAGAUACUUUUUUAGGAAAAAAAAAAUGGAAGUGAGAUCUAAGAUUUUGUUUUGAGAAAAGUAUUGAAAAAGCCCCAGGCUUAGAAACUUUUAUUUGCCUAUGUCUAAUAUGAACUUUUGAAUGAAAAAAACAAUGUUAUAUAAUUUAAUACUUGAAAGGAGUUAGAAGGUUUUUUCUAAUUUUGGAGCAUGAUGUACAUUAUGAGCCUAAAUCAUGACAACUUAAGUUGUUAGGAAGAUCAGUUGCUUAACAUGCCAAUAGUGUCUUGUUUAGUGGGGGGUUGUGUGUUUGAAUCUCACCUCAUUAUUUCCAUGAUUUACUAAAAUGAGGUUAGUUGCAUAGGAAAAUUUUUCUCUUCAUACGUGGGUAUGGGGUUGCAGUGAAAGAGAGUGUUAAAGAAUGGGAUCAAAUCUUAAUAGUUUAAGCUUUUAGAAAAAUCAAAAGUUCAAUAUGGCAUUAGAGUCUUAUUUAUUCGAAGGUUAUUAGUUUGGACCUAAAGACAUUAUUUCCCUAAUUUAUUGAGUAAAAAAAAGGCUAGAUAUGAGGUUGCUAAUGAGAAGUUAAUAGGGGUCCUGAGUCCAAGUCCUUCCCUCAUUAUUUAUCUAUCUAAUUAUUUAUGACCAUAAAGUGCUCCCCAUGAUAGGUAUGGGCUCACAUAUGAGGAGAGGAGGGGUGUUGGACCAUUAUAUAUGUUAUGUGCUCAAAUUCUAACAACUUAAUUAAGCUUUUAGGAAAAUUUAUUAUUUAACAUUAAUAUUGUUUUGUAAUCAAAGUAAAAUCUGUUGAGGAGAAGAAAAAUGGUAUUCUUCUAUAUAUUGAAAGAUACAGCAGAUGAGGGUUAUAUAUAACCUGUACAUGAAGUUAAUUUGGAAGAAACUAAUCACACUAAUCUAGGCUACAAUCUUGGAUGAUUUACAAUCAAAUAAAACUAACUUGGUAACUAGAAUAUUUUUAUUUCUAUAAUUGCUCCUUCAACAACUCACGUCAAUACUCCCCCUCAAGUUGGUGCAUAGAUAUCAUCAAUGCCCAAUUUGUCAAGUGAGUUGUGAAAUAUUUUGCUAGAGACAGCCUUUGUAAGAAUAUUUGCUAGUUGAUCUUCUGACUUCACAAAAGGAAAUUGAAUGACCUUGUCUUCGAGCUUCUGCUUGAUAAAAUGUCGAUCCACUUCAACAUGUUUGGUGCGGUCAUGUUGAACUGGGUUAUGCGCGAUUGCUAUGGCUGCCUUAUUAUCACAAAACAAGUUCAUUGUAUUCUGAGAUGAACACUUAAUUUCCUCUAAUAAUCUUUUUAACCAAAGUAGCUCACACAAUCCUUUAGUCAUGCCUCUAAACUCAGCCUCUGCACUAGAUAAAGCAACUACCUUAUGUUUUUUACUCCUCCAAGUGACCAGAUUGCCUCCCACAAAUGUGAAGUAGCCCGAUGUGGAUUUUCUAUCAGUAAUGUUCCAUGCCCAGUCUGCGUCCGUAUAACCGUCAAUGUGCAGAUGUUGGUUUUUCGUGAACAUCAGUCCUCUUCUUGGAGAAGACUUCAAGUACCGUAAAAUACGAACCACUGCACUCAUAUGAUCUUCGCUAGGACAAUGCAUGAAUUGACUCACCAAGCUCACCGCAUAAGCAAUAUCAGGUCGUGUGUGAGAUAAGUAUAUCAGCUUUCCCACAAGGCGUUGAUACCUUUCUUUAUUGGUAGGGGUCUGGUUAGGAAAUUCUCCCAAGCCAUGGUUUUGAACAACUGGUGUAUCAGCAGGUCUACAAUCAAGCAUUCCUAUUUCAGACAACAAGUCAAGCACGUACUUCCUUUGGGAUAGAAAUAUGCCUUGUUUUGAUCGAGCUACUUCAAUCCCCAAAAAAUACUUCAACCCUCCAAGAUUUUUCAUCUCAAAUUCAAUUGCUAAAUGCUCUUGUAAUUUAGAGAUUUCUUCCUCGUCAUUUCUUGUAAUUAUCAUAUCAUCAACAUAGAUUAUUAGAGUUGUUACCUUCCCCCGUUGGUGCUUUAAGAAGAGAGUAUGAUCUAAAUUACUUUGCUUGAAACCGUGCUUUCUCAUGGCAAGGCUAAAUCGUCCAAACCAUGCUCUAGAAGACUGUUUCAAUCCGUAUAAUGCCUUUUGUAACUUGCAAACAUCCUUCCCCUGUGUCGAAGAAACAAAACCCGGUGGAAUGUCCAUGUACACCUCCUUUUUAAGAUCCCUAUGGAGAAAGGCAUUUUUGACGUCAAAUUGGUGCAAUGGCCAGUCCAAGUUUGCAGCAAGAGAGAUUAGUACUCUCACAGUAUUUAAUUUUGCUAUAGGUGAAAAAGUUUCUUGAUAAUCUACCCCAUAUGUCUGAGUAUAUCCCUUCGCAACGAGCCUUGCUUUAUAUCUUUCAACUGAUCCAUCUACUUUGUGUUUGAUAGAGAACACCCAUCGACAUCCCACAGUUUUCUUUCCCUUAGGCAAUGGCACAAGCGCCCAAGUAUCAUUUUUUUGUAAUGCUUUCAUCUCUUCCUCUAUCACUUGGAUCCAUUUGGGAUUAUUCAUGGCUUCACUCACUGUAUCAGGAACACUAUCUGCAGAUAAUUUAUGAACCAAUGCCUUGAGAGGUUCAGACAAUUUUUGAGUUGAGAUAUGGUUGGCAAUUGGGUACUUUGACUUGCUCGUUCCAUGAUCGGGUGAAUAGCGGUUUGGUGGUUGCCCGCGGUUAUGCCUGAAAGGUAGUUUAUAGCCAGAAAAAAUAUUGUGAGGAGAGUUUAGAACUUGUACCUCAGGAAUAUUCUCAAGAGAUUGGUCUAAUUGUGGUACUGUCAAGUCAUGGAAGGGUUGUUCACUUUCAAUUUCCCUAACUUCUCCAUUUUGAUAUACUCUUGUUGGUUGUUGUUCGAUCUCUGCUUCGACAUGCUCAACAUUUUCAACUUCUCCUCUUUGAUCUAUCAGUAUUGCCAUUGGUUCUCUUGGCUGAACCUCCCUUAUAUCAUUUGAAGUUUCUUCGAAGCCUGGCCAAUUUUCCCAAUUCUGCUCUUCACUCGUCAUCUCCCCCUGAAGAGAGAAGUGGGAAGAUUGAGAAGUGAAGAAAUUCUCCUAUUCAAUAAAGGUGACAUCCAUGGUGGUAUAGAGUCGCCUUGUAGCUGGAUCAUAACAUCGGUAUCCUUUCUUGUGAGUUGCAUAGCCAAGAAAAACACAAUGGACAGCACAUGGAUCAAGCUUUGUCCGUUGAUUCUUGUGUAGAUGAACAUAUGUAACACAACCAAACUUUCUUGGAGGAAGCAUUAGAACUGAUGGUAAUGUCACAUGUUGUGCGAGAACUUGAAGAGGGGUUUUGUAGUGCAAAACUCGUGAUGGCAAUCGAUUCAUUAAGUAUACAGCAGUCAUUAUUGCAUCUAGCCAAAAUCGUUUAGGAACAUAAGCAGCAGUCAAGAAAGCUCGAGUGAUUUCCAAGAUAUGUCUAUUCUUGCGCUCUGCAACACCGUUCUGUUGCGGUGUUUGAGAACAAGAUGUCUCAUGAUGCAAACCAUGUUCCUGAAAGUAUCUGUGAAAUUGUGCAUUAUCAUAUUCCCCACCAUUAUCAGAUCAAAGAAUUUGAAGUUUAGCAGAAAAUUGUGUUCGAAUCAUAUUAUGAAAUGAUCGAAAUAUUUCAAACACUUCAUGUUUAUUUUUCAUCACAUAAAGCCAAGUCAUUCGUGUACAAUCAUCGACAAAGGUUACAAACCAACGAACACUAGAAGAAAUAGUAAUAGGAGCAGGGCCCCAAACGUCAGAAUGAACAAUCAAAAAAUGAGUGUCACAUUUAUUCAAACUGAUUGAAUAAGGUACCUGAUGACUCUUAGCCUGAAUACAAGCUUCACACUUAAAAUCUGACUCAUUAAACUUCGUAAAUAAAUCUAGAAAUAAACAUCUCAAAUACCGAAAUGAGGGAUGCCCCAACCGAUUAUGCCAUAACCAUAUCUGUCUUUCCUUAACUCCAGCAGAAUGCAUAUUAUUUGCUCGACCAUAACUAAAAUCAUCCAUGUAAUACAACCCUUCCCUUUUAGUACCACGACCAAUAAUCUCCUUGGUGAGAAUAUCCUUAAACAAACAAAAGUUAGGGUACAUUAGAGCAUAACAAUUCAAUUCCUCAGUCACUUGUCCAAUAGAUAACAAUUAAUUGGAAAGUGAUGGAACUAGUAAGGUAUUUGGUAAUGUAAAAGAAGGAGAAAGAGCCACUGUUCCAACCCCUGUUACUGGAUAUGUUACUCCAUUAGCAUUGGCAAUGCAUAUUCGUUUUGGUUGGGUGGCUUUAGAGAAGUCACAAGGGUCAAAGGUCAUGUGGUCUGUUGCCCCAAAGUCAAUGAUCCAGCCAUCAUGGUUCCCCGUUUUCGAGCAAGAAAAAACAUAACCUUGGUUACCUGAGUCAUUCUGAGCAAUCUGUUCACUAGUGGAGAUAGAAUAUUCUUGUUGUGGUACGAGAGAUAGUUGAGGCUCUACGCUCAUAAGAGCUGCACAACCAAGAUUGUCGCCUCCACUUGCUUCACGCUUUUUCUUUGCCUUGAGUUCAUGCCACCAAUCUGGAUAACCAUGUAGUUUGAAGCAUGUUUCUUUGGUGUGUUUUGUAUUCCCACAAUGUGUGCAGCCUCCUCCUUCCCCUUUUGGUUUUGUGGUUGUGUUAGGCUUUCCAUUUGAUGGCGUUUGAAAAGAUAAUUGGUGUUGAGGUUUAUGUUCUCCUCUUGAAAGCAUAGCACCACCAGAUAUGGUAUCUUCAUUCAUCAUCAUUACGGAUUGCCUCAAAUCCUCUAUUCAAACUUGCGCAUAAGCUUGUUCCACUGUUGGGAAUGGUUGUAUCUACAGCACAUCUGCUCAGAUCUUGUCAAGCCGAUCAUCAAGUCCGUCUACGAAAGUGUAGACUCUAUCCUCCUAUAAAAUAGAGUUAUAUUUUUGUAUAUUAAUAUCACAUUCCAUAGGAUUUGGUCAACGAAAGUCGAUUUCCCUCCACAAGCCUUGCAGAUUGUUGUAGUGUGUCUCGAUAGAUCCUCCUUCUUGUUUGAAUCUGGUUACUCUUCUUUUGAGAUCAUAUACUUGUGAUGUAUCAGUGCCAUCAAAGUACGUAAUAGCAAUAUUAUCCCAAACAGCCUUAGCCAUUGAGAAUUUGAUAAAGUUACUGACUAACUUUGGAUCCAUAGAAUUGAUUAGCCAUCCCUUCACCACUGCGUUUUCGGUUCUCCAUUUUCUGAAUGCAGGAUCUGUUUGCAGGGGCUGUGGAAAAUCUCCAUUUAUGUAUCCCAACUUGUCUUUACCUGAGAUAUACAUCUCGACAAUUUGGGACCAUAGUGCAUAAUUGGUACCAUCUAACUUGAUUCCAAUCUGUGUAGCAGGUUCAUGACUUGUGAUAUGGUUCUGAGUUUGGUUGUGGUUCAGUACUUGUGUCAUUCUUGUCAUAAGAUCUGCGAGAAUUGAACUCUCCCCUUCGUGUUUUUCCACCCUAAUAGGAGGUGUUUCCAUUUUCCUCUUUCUGUUUUUUUUUUUUUUCUGAAAUUCUAUGGCCCUAGAAUCUCUGCUCUGAUACCAUGUUGAAGAGAAGAAAAAUGGUAUUCUUCUAUAUAUUGAAAGAUACAGCAGAUGAGGGCUAUAUAUAACCUAUACAUGAAGUUAAUUUGGAAGAAACUAAUCACACUAAUCUAGGCUACAAUCUUGGAUGAUUUACAAUAAAAUAAAACUAACUUGGUAACUAGAAUAUUUUUAUUUCUAUAAUUGCUCAUUCAACAACUCACGUCAAUAAAAUCAACCCUAGUUAUUCAACAUAAUAAAAAACAUUAGUUUCCUUAUUGAAAAUGGUAAGGACUAAGUAAAUUGAUAUAAAAUAGAAUGCUUUAUAGUUUAUGAGGUGAAGUAUUAGCACUAUAAAGUUAAGUAACUAAUUUGCUAAAAUUACUAGCUAAAACUUGAAAAAUCUUAUCUAAGUGAAAAAUAAAAUAAAAUAAAACUCUUUAUUUUACAUAAUAGCAUAUCUAUAUCCCCUUAAAUUAUGAAAUUCAUGUUGUUUUUUCAACAAAAAAAAAAAAGAUAGAAAAAGAAAAAGAAAAAACCUAGAAAUGCCUACUCAAAAAGAAUAGAUUGAUACACUCCCUAACCAUAAAAUUGAGUUGUAAAUAUAAAUUAUAGUUCAUCCAAGUCUAUAUGCGACUUUUAGAAAUCAAUAGCUAGUUUCAUUUACACCAUUGGUUCGCAUUUUUUUAUUCCAUUGAAAAGAAAGCAAUAAAAAUGAAUUGAGACAAAAAUGAUAAUACAAUCCAUAAAACAUCAAUAGAUUUGUAAACUCAUUAUAAAGUUCAUAAAUUUUUAGAUAAAAAGAAAAACAAUAUAAAGAGGAAAAAAAAUUAGGAACUAUCAAGUUCAAAAAUAGAAUUUAUGGUAAAAAAUAAAAAAUAAAAAGAUAUAACAAACAACAUUUUAAAGUAAGGGUACAAUAGUUAUUAAAAAGAAUCUCAAUAAAAGUUUUCUAAAAAUUGAAAAGAGAGAGAAAAAGUUUUUGGUAUGCUUUUAUGGUUUAGGGGGUAAAAGUUCAUAAUACUCGUCAUUUUAUCAUCUUUAUAGGAAAAAAAAAUUAGACUCAACUUUAUCACAACUCAUAUGAGUUAAAAAUCUCUUGAAUGUAUUUUCUCUCAAGUUUCUAAUGGAUACCCCUUUAUCAAAGGUAUGGACAUUGAGCUAAAUUCACCAUUAAAAUUCAUCAAGUUCCUUUUUUCCUUUUCCUAAUUCAUCAAGCUAUAUUUAUGAAAUAUCCUAAUUAUUCACUUGUAAUAUCAUAUUGUCAACAAAUCCCUUAACAGAUCUACACCUAUCACUAGUUAAUAGAUAAAAUAACUUAAUAAUUAGUUUUAAGUUUUAAGGACUUUACAAGACAAGCCAAGAACCUCAGAUUGCUUGCACACAAUUGACAAAUUGAUUUGUUUUAAAAAGUCAAAUGCUAAAGAAAAUCCACAACACAUAUUGUUUUAAAAAUAUUUGUAUUUAUAUGACAAAAAAAAAAAAAAAACCAAUAGUUUAAAUUGGAAAAGUUUAUGCAAAUUAGAUGAGGAAAAUGCAAGCCAUAAAAUAACAUUAAACUGUUAUCAUUCUCUAAGAAACAUCAAGAACAUAUUGAGAGAACCAUUGCUUGACAUAAUAAAUUGGUCUUGAAAGGAAAAGAAAAUCAUCAAAGCAAUUAUAUUUGUGAUGCAUUCCUAUUUGCAAUAGGUUCCAAUAUUUGAAGCUCACAAAUUCUUCACAUUUGGAUGAACCUUUUUAUUGCAAACAUAGAUCAACCUUGUGGUGCUUACCAAUGGGAAAACAAUUAUAGUAAGAUAUGUAUUGCAAAUGGUGCAUGCUUGCUGUAAAAAUAAAAAAUAAACAAUGAUGAUUGGAUAAGGGAUAGAAAUGGAACAAAAGACAUUGAAUUGUUAUAUGAAUUAAUAUAUUUUAUGUACUCAAAUACAAAAGCAUAUUAUAAUAAUAUUCAUAAGGCAAAAACCACUAUUUUUUUUAUUGGGAAACCCAUAUGAGAACAUGGCAUGGGGCUCAUCAUUGCACACACCACAUUCUCCACAAAAAACCAUAGGACUAACACCAUGAAAACCCAUCAUUGGCACCAUCCUCUUGACUCUCAAUCCCUUAACCCUACACAUUUUCAAACCAAUGUCAUCAACCACUCAUAUCACACAACUCAUAACCCAUCUCUAAUUCCACAACUUUCACCACUGUUGUACUACCAUUCACAUCAUCUCUAUCUCUAAAAACCUACACUCACACCUCUACAAAAUGUCACACUUCCUCACCUUAUACAACACCACCGCCUUAUUAAUUCAUCCAUGCCUAUGGCUAACAUAAAAAAACCCACCAGCACCCUCAUAAAAAAACAAUACUAUUUCAAAGUUACACCACAUUAAUGUCACCAUGCACCUUUCCCUCCAUUGAAUAUCCCAUACAAUCUCUCAUUAUCACCCUCGUCAAAUUCGCAAUGUCUCUCCUAAAUCCUGUAUGACUCUUAGUUUUACCAUUUAUUAGGUUAGCGUCCUCUAGUUCUAAUCGCAACCACUCUAACUUCCAAAGAAAUAAAAUGAUAAAUGAGCAAGUCAUGGAGAUUUCUCUUCCUUACAACCUUUUGCUCCAAGUGUUUUGGUACCCUACUAUUUGCACAUAUAUGUCUUGACAUUAACUUCUACUCAAAUAUAAUCUCUUCUUGUUUUCAUGCUUACCUAUUUUAUACAUCUUUUUUUGUAGAUUUUUUAAUUAUUUAACAUCUUAAGGUUUGCUUUGGUCAUGUUGUAUUGUUUACUUUGCACACUAACCAAAUGUCAAGGCCCUUUUACAUACAACUGGUUCUACCUUAGUCUUUGCAAUACCUUCCUAAGGUAGACCAAGUGAUCUUGUAGAGUGUAGUUGUAGAUCACUAUAUCGUCCAAAUAAUACACCACAAACGAGUCUAGGAAGUCAAAUAAGAUGUUGUUUAUGAGGUUGCAGAAAGCGGCAAGGGCAUUAAUCAACCCGCAAUGCAUGACCAAGAAUUCAUAGCUACCAUACCAAGUCAAACAAGUUGUCUUUGCAUCAUCUCUUUAAGCAAUGAAAACCUGUCAAUACCCUAAUCAUAGGUUUAUCUUGGUAAAAUACUCCACUUCACAAAUUGAAGAAGUUUGUGUGUGUGUGUGUGUGUUUGUAUAUAUAUAUAUAUUAUGCCAUAGCUUUACAUGCCAUCUACUUGUCUCCAUUUCAACAUUUGAUCAUCACCCAUGGAUGCAUUAUUCUAACUAAAUCCACUUCUCCUUCUUUCAUCCUCUUUCCAUUUUGCAUUAGAAUUAAUCCAAUUAACACCACAUAUUGCUUCUCCGUUACCCCACAUUGGUAUAUAUGCAAUGAACUUUUUGGUUUUAGCUCCAAUGUUUUAGCUACAAUUAGGGCCAACUUUAUAUUAUUAUGUACCUCAAAAUUAAGCAUUGAAUAAUGCACCCUACUCAUCUCCAUUUGGUUCAAAUGGCUUGUUGUUGUUCAAAUUCAUAGUCUCUUCAAUAUCUUGUAGUUUUCAUGAAUUCCAUUUGGAAGACCAAACUACACAUGUAUUUUACAAAUAGUAAGCCUGAAUUUACAACCAACGAUCUAACAACUACACAAAGAUUUAUAAUUUCAAUAAAAUCACACAAUAUUUAUGCCACCUAAUUCAAUAUUUUGAGCACCAGGGAGUGAGAAUUAAUGGUAUUAGAAUAUUUAGGUAUCUUGCAGUAUGGUUACAAGUUAGUUAAAUAAUUGUUAGCUUGUUAAAUAAUCGUUAGUUGCUUUUUCUAUUUUUUUUUUUUUUGUUUGCAACUGGUAAACUAGUAGGUUGUGAUAGCUUUUUUACCAAUCUUUAUUAUAAAGGCUUUCUUUGUAUUACUAAAACAUCAAGUGAGAAUAUUCUAAAAUUAUCAGAGAACUCAUUUUCUCUUCUUUCCUUUCUCUAGUCAAUUUUCUAAUAUGGUAUUAGAGUCAUUUCUUUUGUCUCUGUGACUUCUCUAACUUUCCCCUCCCAUUUAUCUAAUGGCUUGCGGUGGUGGCAAUGUUAAUGCCAAUCGAGCAGUAGUUAGUACUCCUAAUUCCUCUAUAAUGGAAUAUUCGAGCAGUCCAUUUUUCAUCCAUAGUAAAUAUCACCAAGGCUUGGUUCUUGUCUCAUAUCAACUUACUGGAGCUAACUAUAAUUCCUAGAGUAGAUCUAAGCACAUGGCUCUUAUAGCUAAGAACAAGAUCAGCUUGGUUGAUGACGCUUUUCUUCAACCUCCAACAGACAAUCUCAUUUCCUUUGUUUGAAUCCAUUGUGAUAGUAUGGUUACAUUUUAGAUCUUGAACUCUAUUUUUAAAGAUAUUGUUGAUAGUCUUCUCUAUGCUAAUAGCACUUUUAAUGCUUGGGUUGAUCUUUAUGAUUGAUUCCACCAAAGCAAUGUCCCACAAAUCUUCUAAAUCAAGAAGCACGUAGUUGUUCUUGAGCAAAGAUCUAUGGAUGUCAACACAUACUACACUAAGCUCAAGGUCCUCUAGGAUGAGCUCAAAAAUUAUCAACCCAUUCUUGUCUAUCACUAUGGAGGCACAAAGUCUUGGUUAGACACCAACAAUAGGAGUACAUCAUGCAAUUUCUUAUGGGUUUGAUUGAGUCAAAUGCUCAAACUUGAACACAGAUCUUAAUGAUGUCUUUGCAUUAGUUGUUCAAGAAGAAUGCCAAUGUACUAUCAAUUAAGGCUUUUUUUUACUUACCGAUUCUCUUAUUCCCAACAUUUCAAAUUCCUUUACUUUUGUUGCAACAACAAAUUUUUCUCGAAAUUCAACUUUAAAACCUAAGCGUGAGUGACCCUAAUGUUCCCAUUGUGGCUUGCAAGGACAUAUUGUAAAUAAAUGCUAUUAGUUACAUGGCUAUCAUCCUGGCUAUAAGUCAAAAUCAAAGAAACCUGAAGUAAAAAAUUCAAGCCACCUAGGCCAAUGCAACUAUUAAUGAGACUAUUAACUUUGAUUCAUCCCUUGGAUCUCUUACUUUAGCUCAGUGUCAUCAAUUGCUUGCAUUCUUGAGCUCUCAACUUCAUACCAACUUUCUUAUUAUGCUAGAAUCUCAAUAGCUAGAACCCUUUGUUUCCCAGUUCAAUGGUAUACUAUCUUUUUCUUCUAUAUCAUAAUUUUCCAAUUUCUUUUUCCAUCUGGAUUUUGGACAUAGAAGUCGCACAUCAUGUUUGUUGUUACUUAAGCACAUUUACACAAUCUACUCCAGCACAAAAUUCUUUUGUAACUUUGCCUAAUAGUCAAUCUGUUGUUAUUAAUCGUAUUGGUUAUGUAUUUUUGUCUCCUGAUCUCAUCCUUAAUAAUGUCAUGUUUGUUCCUAAUUUCCAUUUCAAUCUUCUCUCUAUUAGUUCUCUCACUCAGAGUUAUAAAUCUUCUAUUAAUUUUAUGGUUGAUUCUUGUACUAAAGGCCAUACAUGGACCAAAACGAUUGGGAUGAGUAGAAGACAUGGCAGCCUAUACUUCUUAAAUAUAGUCAAUUUUCAUGCCACUACACCACAAAUUUUCAGUCCUUGUAAUAAUGUUUCUUUGUCUCAAAAUGAAAUUUGGCUUUACUGUUUAGGUCACCUUUCUUAUGUAACGUUACAAACACUCAAAGAUGAAAUAGAAGUUAAACCAAAUUUUGGUGAUUCAAGUCAUUGUUUAGUUUUGCAUUUAGUCAAACAAUGCAAAUUACAUUUAUUUCUCACAAUUAUUUGUCUGUUUUGCCUUUUCAACUCAUACAUUGUGAUGUUUAGGGUCUCCUUCACACAUUUACCAUUGAAGGUUAUAGAUAUUUUUUACUAUUGUUAAUGAUUGUACUCAUUUUAUUUGGGUGUAUCUUUUGCGUGCUAAGCCUGAUGUUACCGAAGUUAUUCCUAAUUUUUUUUUUCUCAUUGAUUCAAACUCAGUUUAGAACACAAAUAAAAUUAGUUCACUCAGAUAAUGCUCCUGAAUUGGCAUUUUUUUUACUUCUUUCAUUCAAAAUGAGUCAUCUCAUUUCAUUCUUGUGUUGAUUAGCCUCAACGGAAUUCAAUAGCAGAAAGAAAGCAUCAACAUAUCUUAAAUGUUGUAUGGUAUUUAUGUUUCCAAUCGCAUAUUCCAUUGGUUUAUUAGGGGGAUUGCAUUCUUAUUAUUGUACACUUAAUAAAUAAAACUCCAUUCCCACUUUUGUCCAACAAAACAACAUUUGAACUUCUUUGGAAAAAGAAGCUUGCAUAUUCACAUCUUCGUAAUUUUGGUUGCCUAUGUUAUGCAUCUACUUUAGAUCGUCAUAGGACAAAUUUCUCACCUCAUGUCAUUCCUUUUGUCUUUCUUAGGUACCCACCUGGUUAUAAAGAAUACAAAUUAUUGAAUCUAGUCACUAAUUCUGUGUUUAUCUCCCAUAAUGUGGUAUUUCAUGAGUCUAUAUUUUCUUUCAAAACUACUCAAACUUAUUCUCCUCUUCCAGAUAUUUUCUCCGGCUAUUGGGUGCAAAUAGGUGUACAAAAAUAAGUAUAGAGUUGAUGGAACUAUUGAACAAUACAAAGCUCACCUUGUAGCUAAAGGCUGCACACAACAAGAGGGCAUAGACUAUCUAGGUACCUUCUCUCAUGUUGUCAAAUUGGUUACUGUUAAGGUUUUGCUUGCUUUGGCUACCAUUAAUGGUUGGAGUCUUCCUUAGUUGGAUGUCAAUAAUGCGUUCUUACAUGGUGAUCUUUUUAAGGAAGUUUAUAUGACUAUGCCUCCUAGUUAUCACUUAAAGGAAAAUCAUUAUCCUCACACUCUGUUUACAAAAUUCAGAAGUCCUUGUAUGGCUUGAAACAAGCAUCACGACAAUGGUUUUCCAAACUCUCCAAUUUCUUACUUGUUAAAGGUUUUUAAACAUUCUAAUGCAAAUCACUCUCUUUUUGUCAAAGUUGUUAGUACUUACUUCAUUGCUCUAUUAGUUUAUGUGGAUGACAUUGUCAUUGUUAGUAAUAGUGAUGAGCAAGUUGAGAAAUUAAAAGUUCUAUUUAGGAAAGCUUAAAUACUUCUAGGGCCUUGAGGUGGUGAGGUUUAAUAAGGGAAUUUCCCUUAGUUAGCACCAUUAUGCCUUACAAUUACUAUCAGAUGUAGGCUAUGUUGGUUGUAAAACAAGGAAAACACUUAUAAAUCCAUAGAAGAUCUUUUAUUUUACGGAAGAAUGAUAGGCAAAUUGGUUUAUCUAACCAUAGCAAACCCAGAUUUAUCAUUUUCAGUACAUAAAUUCAAUCAAUUUCUUGCAAAGCCUAGAGUUCUUCAUAUGUGGGCAAUACAACAUGUGCUUCAGUACUUGAAAGCAUGGUUUGAAAUAUUGGUAAACACGGAUAUAUCGAUACUUGGAUUUUAUGGAUAUAUUGGAAAUAUUGGUAAAAUAUCGGUAAAUAUUAAUAAAAUAUCGGUAAAUAUUGGUAAAAUAUCGGUGGAUAUUUUGACAAAAAUAUUAGUGAAACAAAAAUUAUUCAAAAUUCAUGGAAAUGUUUGGAAAACUCUAAAAAAAAAAUGAUAAAAUAAGCAAGAAUACAUAUGUUAAAGUUAUUGUAAGUGGAAUUGACAUAAGUAUGGUCAAUGAGAAAAAUAUUGAGGGAUAUAUCAGUCUUAAUAAUUUAUUAUUUAUCUUAUCAAAUUAAUUUUAUUUUAUAAAAUAUUAGAAGUUCAUUAUUUUUUUAUUUUAGUAAUUUUUUGAAUAAAUUUAUAUUUUUAAUAUUUUUAAAAUAAAAAAAUUCAAAAUCAAUAAAAUUAAAAGGAUAAACAUAAAAAAAAAAAAAAGUGAAAUGAUAGUAAUUUCUAAAAAUAAGAUUAAUGAGAUAAAUGAUGAUACAUUUAAUAUUAAAACUAUAAUUUAUUUAAUUCAAAUACAUUCAACAAUGUAAAAUAAAUUAUGAUGCAUAUAUAAUUUUUUUUAUAUUUAUAUUUAUUUUUAUAUAAUUGUCAUAUAAAUGAUAUAAAAUAAAAUAAAAUAAAAGACUUAUUAAGAAAAUUAUAAUGAUGGUUUUAUACUUUUAUCAAUUAAUUAAAUUAAAUAAUUAGAAUUAAUUUAUUUAUUCUUUUAAUGAUGAAUUUUAACAUAUUUAUUGUGAACAUAUAUUUACAUAUGUGGACUUGGCCCAAUAGUAGCCAGGCUUCACCCAAGCCUUUUGGCCUGGGUUUGAAUCCCCUUGGAUGCAAUAGAAAAAAAUUUGAAGGAAUUUACACGAAUAUCGGCAUCUUUUCGAUAAAGUCGAUUGACUUUCAGUGUGCAAUAUCAUGUCAACUCUCCUUGAUAUUUUGACGAUUGACUUUCAGUGUGGAAUAUCUUGUUAGCUCUCCCUAAUAAGCAAAAUAUCGACAAUAUUUCACCAAAAUUUUGCAACAUUUCAAUGUGGAAUAUCAUGUUGACUCUCCCCAAUAUUUCAACAAUUGACUUUCAGUGUGAAAUAUUGUGUUAGCUCUCCCUGAUAAGCAAAAUAUCGACAAUAUUUCACCAAAAUUUUACAACAUUUCAAACCGUGCUUGAAAGUUAUGCAGGACAAGGUUUAUUUUAUUUUAUUUAUUUAUUUUUUUCAUUAAUAGAGUUGAAAGGGUUUGUUGAUUCAAAUUGGGCAACUUGUGUGGUCUGUUAGUGGGUUUUGCUUUUUUUUUUUUUUUUUUUUUAAUUAUUGGUGAUUCCUUAAUUUCCCAGAAAUAAAAAGGCAGCAUAUAGUUUCAAGAUCUUUUGUUGAAGUUGAGGACAGAUUUAUGGCAAAUGCAACAUGUGAAUUGAUGUGAUUACUUUCUUUAUUUAGAGAUUUGCAUGUAUCUCAUCCUAAGCCUGCCUUGCUAUUUUGCAACAAUCAAGCAACUCUUUAUAUUGUAGCUAAUCCAAUUUUUCACAAGCACACUAAGCACAUUGAGAUCGAUUAUCACUUGGUUAGAAAGAAACUGUAAAAUGGAAGCUUGAAGACACUACAUAUUUCAUUUAAACAUCAAGUGGGGGACUUGUUGACCAAACCUUUUUCUUCACCUCAAUUUCAUUUUCUUCUUAGUAAAAUGGGAAUUCACAACAUUCAUUCUCCAUUUUGAGGGGGAGUAUUAGAAUAUUUGGGUAUCUUGCAGUAUGGUUACAAGUUAAGUAAAUAAUUGUUAGUUUGCUAAAUAAUUGUUAGCUUCUUUUUCUAUUUUUUUUUUGUUUGCAACUAGAUGUGUCUAUUCAAUAACUUCAUAUGGUUAUAGUUAAUUAAGAAUCCUUUACGUAAUAACUAUUAAAAUAAUUUGUUUCCAACUUUCCUAUUAAAUUUUCUUCUGCUUAGUAUUUCAAAAAUUAUAGUUCAAGAAAGCUCUUUCGAUUUCUAUGUUGCACUGUAUCUUCUUAUAUGUUAGUACAAAUCAUACUCCUCUUUUUACCUCUUCAAUGAAUCCUUUUAGGAGUAAGACCACCAAGUGAGCACCCUUAUAUCGAUCCACAAGCUUUUUAUUACAUAUUUUUGGUUUGUGCACACCACCUCAAAUUUAAGUGGCCCAUAAAUUUUAUACUUUGGAUACCUUACCAUCCAAUCAUAAGCAUAAACUAAAUUUGAAAGGAUAAGUUUAGUUUAUUUUAGAGAAACUGAGCUCCAAGUCCCCUAGCCAAACAUGAAGUUUUGAAGCAUGAAAUUUUUGUGAUGGAACAUAUUUGCAAUCCUUAUUAAAUUGACCAAUUGUGUUAUGCUAAGAAUGCAAAUUAUGCAUGGCAAAGUGGUUAGAAAGUGUACAAAUGCACCAUCUUUUUACUUGUUUUUUUACUCAAAUUUCUCUGUCAAUUUUUUUUUCAUUCUUAUCCUUCUUAAUUGAGGCAAACAUGUUUUGGCUAGUGCUUUCAAAUGCCUUAAAUAUAUUCUUUUCAAUAUUGUAAACAUUUGGCUUGGUCAUUGUUAUAGUUAUCAAUUGUGUCAACUUUUACUUUCUCUCAUCCCCAAUUACAUAUGCACUUUGUAGUUUUAAAUUUUUUUUAGUGAUUAAUCUUAGUUUUUAUCUAAUUGUUUGCCCUAUAGUCUCUGACAUAACUAUAAGUGGAACAUGCACCUCUCACAAACCAAAAGACAUCACUUGUCUUCUUUAAUUUAAACAUUUUUGCAUCUGUGUAAGAUUUGAAACUAGAAUUUCACAAUAUCUCAUAGUCAUCUUCUCUAGUUGUUUCUCAAAGCUCUCUUCAAGAUUUAGUUCAUGUUCAAUUACCAACUUUGAGUUUUCAAUUUUAUUUUAUUUUUUCCUACAAGUCAUGAGGAAAUGAAUUUCAACUGUGUUUCAUCUAUCCAUCUCUCUUAAAUUGUUUUAUUCAAUAGUUACCAAUUGUAGAAUUGUUUUUAUAUAUUCUUUUCAUAGAUAUUGUUAAUAAAUUAUGCUAAAUGAGUAGCUUCCUGAUGUGGUGAGAGCUAAUUUUAUUAUUGCUAGGAUAAUAUAUUUUUAACUUUCUUGACUUUUUCCGAAUUAUAAACCACUCAUGCUUUGACCAAUCUCCAUGUGUUUUUCAUUUGUUUGGAUUUAUGGGCUUUUGAUUCUAUUUAGUGAAUAGAUAAUAAGGAAUUAAGGAUCUGAGAUUGACAUUAUUUUAAGGAUGUUUGAAGAUGGCAUAGUGAAGUAUAGAAUAUUGUUUUGGGUUGUAUCUCCUCGUUUCUCAUACUUAUGGUGGACAUUGAUGAGUUGGAUUAUUUGAAUGAAAUGAGCUUUGGAAAAAUACUAGUAAUUACAUGAAUUGUUGCAAUAUAUUUGAGUGAAAAUAUUAUGUUAGUGUCUCUCCAUGUCACUAAUUCAAACCUGUGACUUUCCAUUGUAAGUGGUAGAAAUAUAUCUUUUAUUUUCUAGAAAACAUUACUCUAACUUGUGAAAAAGGUUCUUAUGCCUCCAUGUUAAAUGUUAUAUGAUGGAAAAAACCUGAAUCUCUCUGUUUCCUCAAUCUGGAUCAAGUUAGGAAUAUGCAUAACUAUCCUAGGCUUUUUCUAAAUUCUAUGCACAACAAAAAAUUAAUUUUUUUUUAUACUUUAUAAGGAUCUAGAAAGUGCUAACGAAAACUAUACCUCAAAUUCGAAUGUUCCCGAGUCUUUCGCCCGAUGACUCAAACCUUGAUCUUGGCACACUUCUAAUGGGGAGGAAAUAAGGGUGGAGGCUAUAGUUCUCUAUCUCUCUGGAUGGUGGAAGAUAAAAUCCAUGGAAACCCUAACCUCUAGGGGGUAUUUAUAGGGUUCCUAAGUUGGCUUAAGUGACUUGAGCCCAUACAGACUUAGGUCACUUAAUCUAACCAAAAAUGAGUUCUAAUUAAUUAAUUAACCCAAUAAGGCCUACUAAUUAAUCAAUUAGCCCAAUCAAGAGACCUUGUUCACUUACCCCUAUACAACCUUGCGUAAUUAUCAAAAUGCCCUUAUACACAAAAGUGAACUUAGAGUCAAUUCAACCCUCAUAACCCAUGCUAACAAGGUGUAUGAGUUCAAAGCGGGGACCAUUGGGACCCAUAGAAAUACUGACUCCCUCAAAAUCCAAUUCUAAAGUUGAUUCAAUAUCACACUACAGAGAAUCAACUAAACUUCAAUAUCCUAUGUAAAUAACAACGAGACACUAAGUGAUCGGGUCUAUGACUUGCUAUCCAUUGUGUUCAGUCUCCCCAUGAACUAAUGUCUGUCGUUUAAUAAGGUGAAAGCUAUUAGUCUUUCAAGACUACCUCUACCUCCUAUUUUGUGUUCAAUUGACAUAUCUUAGUUCUCAAAUUGCCUAUGUCAAGUUCCAUUUAAUGAACUACAUGACCAUAGUUUCCAUGAAUAUACCUCCUUAAGAUCACCCAAGGGGACACACUGUCUCAAUCCCAAGAGAUAUCAUAGUGCCUCUAUUGAAAAUACCUAUUACUACCAGCUUCUACCAAUAAUGAUCUAAUCCAUAUGGAAUAUAUGAUCAACUUCCGAUUUCACCCGUAGGUCAAAGUCAUUGCCAACUUUAGCACAAGCUCAAUAUUCUCUCAAGGUUGAGAGACAACACAAUGAAACAGCUUGGUGAGGUCAUGACUCAAUAAUAGCCUUAAGUCAUGACUCACCAUAGGUCUUGUCCAAUGUGUAACCAUACACACUAGUGCACUCACCAUAGGAAACCCAUCCCGAUAACCAAGACCAGUGAUCCCUCCAAUUAGGAGGUGGUGCACUACAACCUUUAAUGGGUUGCCUAGACCCAUGAACCAGUUGUGAACAAGUCAUCUAUUUGCAAAGAACCCAUGACUUAGAUCUCCUGUGCAACUCCUAAUGCACCUAAGUCACGUACAAUAGAAAAAAUGCAGACAAAAAGGCUCAUAAAGUAUAAUAUAUGGAAUAAGAAUAUAUAAAAGUGAAACUGGAACAUCAUUAAAUAAAUAAUGAAUUCUAAGUUUAUUACAUCAUGUCAUGCUUUUAAGGGCUUUAUCCUAACAUUAUGUAUUUGAGAUAAACAUGAUAUAAUGAGAUUUAUAUUUCUCUGUUAUAAUAUUUCAAUAAGUAAUUGUGUUUUAAUUUUAAUAAACUAUGCUUGCAUGAAACAAUUCAAGUAUCAUUGGCAUCAUUGUGAGACAAAAGUUUCUCUUAUUACAUAUUAAAGAGAUUUAAGUUAUCAAAAAGUGAAAACGGUUUUAUCUAGGCUAGUUUCAAGUUGACAACUUUUAAAUUGUUUAUCAUGUGAUAAAGAACUUUUCCCCACAAAUGAUACUUGAAUUGUCUAAUUAAACAGUGUAGGAAAACAUAAUAUCUAUGAAGUUAAUUGUUUGUUCUUAAUUCAAUUUUUAUAAAUUUUGGUAGUCUUUUCUCUUAUUCUCUGGGUGCAUAUUUGGAUAAAGUUGCAUAGUAUGUCUUGUCCAUUUUACAUACUUAGAGAACUAUAGGGAAAUUCUACUAAAAUUUCUUUAAAAUGAAAUUGACCACAUUGGUCAUUGACACAUAGAGAUUAUGUAUUUCUAUAUGGGAUAGGAACUACUACUGAAUUUAGGAUGUUGGAGAUGUUAGAAUGCAUAAAACAUGCAUCGAAAUUUGACAUACUCAAAUGAUUUUCUUGUGUUGCUUAAGGAGUUUAUUGAGAAAAUUGGUAUAGACAAUGUUUGAUGCAAAGGUCAUGGACAAACCCAAUAUAAUAAUAUUAAUAUGAACUAGUUUUAUUGAGGUUAUACAUCCCUUUUAAUGCAAGUAUUCAUGGUCAACAACAUUUAUAACUUAUUAGUCACUACUACAAAUAAGAUAUACCAUGACCUUGUUUUUUCCCUGGCACUUUUAAAAAUGUUAAUAAUUAGCGUGAUAUUUGAAAAGUGUAGAUCUAUCUUCAUAGAUCAAAAUGGUUAGAACAAUGCUUACUCUUUUUCUUUUAAAUUUGGCAUCUUAACAAAUGUUAAACUACAUUUUCUUGAUUAUUAUUUGAACAAAAAAAAAAAAAGAGGUUGUUAAACGAAUAGCAUAGAAAAUGUUGUUAUUUUCUUCAAUUUGAAGUUUGAUCACUAUUGAAAGUUUGUUCUUAAAAAAUGGAUCGUUUGUGGAUUUCAAAUGAUAGAGGAUUAAAGGAGUAUGAGGAUGGGGUAGAACAUUUUUAUCACAUUUGCAAUAUAAAAUUCUGCAUAUAAAAACUCCAUUAAGUGUCCAUGCUUGUAGAGUGGUAAUAUGAUAUUUCAUACUCCUCAAAGAUUUCCUCAAAAGAUUAGAGAGCAUAUGUUUUUCUAUAGAAUUAAUUAGAAUUACCAUAUAUGGUAUUGGCAUGGGGAAGCAACUCCAAGUGAACCGCCAACUAGAAGGGUAGAACAUUAUAAUAUGGUUCAAUUUAAUGAUGUAGAUAGUACAAUAGAAAUGGUUGAAGUUGUACAAGUUGAAUGUCAAAAUGACCUAAAAUUGCUUAAAAGAUUACUUCAAAUUGUUGAAAAACCUUUUUAUAUCAUAGUUGUAGAAAAUUCACACAAUUGUUUGCAUUGGUUAAAUUAUACAACUUGAAAACACACUAUGAGUAGUCUGCUAAAAGUUUUUCAGAGCUUUUAAAAAUGCGUAGAUAUAUGCUGCCUCUAAAUAAUGAGUUACCCUUAUCUAUGUAUGAGGCAAAAAUGGCAUUGAAUACAUUAGGAAUGGAAUAUGAAAAAAUACACACAUGCCCCAUGAUUGUAUACUUUAUAAGAAUAAGUUGAAAGAUGCAUUUCAUGUCCUAUCUAUGGAACUUCAAGGUGAAAGGUAGAUAAUAUAGGAACUAAAAAAAUGACGAGAGCUCCUGGGAAAGUAAUGUGGUAUUUUCUUCCAAUUCCAAGAUUUAUAAGAAGGUUUCAAUCAUCAAAAAUCGUAAAAGACCUCUUAUGGCAUACCUAAGGAAGAGAUUUAGAUGACAAAAUGUGUCAUCCGGCUGACUCUCUAUCAUGGCUAAUUGACCAUAAAUGGCCCAACUUUGUUUCAAAACCUAGAAACUUGAGACUUCCCAUUUUAGCAAAUGGUAUAAAUCCUCACAAUUCAUUGAUUAGCAAAUAUAGUUGUUUGUCCUAAAGAGCUUGAAGCAGUAACUAUGGACAAUGUUUUUUUUUUAUCAUAAAGAGCAAGUUAUGGGCUACACUAUGGCUGCAGAUAGAGGUAAAACCUUUAACUUGUUUUUAGUUUGAUUUUUGUUUUCUUUCAUAAUGGAAAUAGAAAAUCAUCUAAACGAAUAGGACCUUAAUAAUUUAUUUUUUAUUCUACAAUUUAUUUUUGAAUAAAAUAAUUUAAAAGAUUUCAUUCUUAUAUUUGUUAGACUUUUUUUUUAAUGAAGAAAAAAAUAGUCUCCCUUUUAGCAUAUAUAUUAUAUAUGAUUAACAAUGGGUAUAAUAAAAUUUAUUUAAUAAAUAAUUGAUGUGACAUUCUAAAUUGAAAGUCAUAAAUUAGCUCAUUUGUUUGAUGUUGUCCCUAAAACUACAAGACCUGAUUACAUACUUAGAUUUUGUUCUUGAAAUUUAAGAGAUAAUUGAUGUGACAUCUUGAAUUGAAAGUCAUAAAUUAGCUUAUUAGUUUGAUGUUGGCACUAAAACUACAAUUCCCAAUGACAUAAAUUUUGUUCUUGAGAAAUGUCAUUAUGGUUCAUAGUAAGGCUUAGUUUGGUGUGUCAGACCAUGCAUGCAUGAUAUCUUUUCACAUUCUCUUGCUUUUUGACAAACAUGCUACCAUACUCAAGGUGUUUGUCAAGGCUCAUCUUGGACUACUCAAAACUUUAGGGUCCUUUCUUUGAGUUCACAAGCUUCUUUCCCCUAGUGUUAACCCCAACUCCCAAAAUCCACUCCUUAUUAGUGCACUGACGAAAUCUACAAAUGCACCAUAAAGUGAGAAUGACAUCAUGAAAAUGUAUUAAUGCAUCUUAGAUAUGGGAACUUAAAAAAAAAAAAAAAAUCUAGAGUUUAGACUUGUUUCUGUUAAUUAGAAAUUACUAAGCAAUGAAUCUUGCUAGUGUGGAAAGCACCAAUAGAUUGACCAAGGAAGGUAUAUAUAAAAAAGAUUGACAUUGUCAAUUGGGAAAAUUCCUCUGCAAACGCCAAUCCUAUCUUUCUAACCAUCAUGGAUGUUGAGAAGUAGAUAUCGAUGACUAUGAUGAGGAUCACAAAGGAUUAUCAUACCAAGGAGUUAGACAUUUGUUGGGUUAUCAACAAUUUUAAUGAAGGUGGUAUUAACUAUUUGGUUGUUGAUAGUGUAUUGCGUAGUUCAACCAAGCCAAUCUGCUCCUACAUUGAGAUCAAUCUCGAUGAAAAGGUAGCAUAUAUUUUUCAUUUCCUAAUUAUAUCAACUGCUUCAUGGUGCCUUUGUCUGAUAAGCUUAACAGGUUCUUCUACAUUUCCACCCUCUAAUUCUCUAAAGUUCAUCAUGAUAGGGUUGAAAUUUCAUCAUCAAAUCAAAACACAUCCUCCUAUAAGAGGCCUUUGAAUUCUGAAAUAAUCAAUUCACUUGAUUCUCAUAUUGGCAAAGACAAGCUUACACUAUUGGAAAGACUACCCAUCACCUUUGCCUUCCCAAAUAGAAAAGAUGAGAGAUAACAUUUCACAAAAUCACAAGAAUUAUUCAAGUUUGGAAUUCAUAGGCAUUGUUAUUGAAUUUCAUUUGUAUAAAAUUGGUGUGUUGUGUUUAUUUUGUUGGUAUUAAAAUUGAAUUUUUUUAAUUGCAAAUUGAUGAUUUUUUUUUCUCACAUUUAUACCCAUUAGAGUUUCUUAUUAGGGUUUGUGUUUGAAAUUUGGAGAAAGUAUGGUGCAAUUGUUCACCAGUGUGGUGUACCAUUUUGUUUGUUGUAUCUGAUCUUUGGGUAUUUGAUUUAAUUUUAUUGUUGUUGAAAUUGAAAGUUGAAAUCCAAGUUAAAUGUUUAACUAGAUAUUUGUAGUUGACUUGUUUGCACCGAUCUUGAUUGCCCAUUUCAUGGGAAUAAUUCAUUCCAAUUUUCCUUCAUGAUUACUAAAAAUAUAUUGUAGGUGAAGGACUAUUAUGGAGUAUAUUUAAUUCACAAGAUUGAAUAUUGAACAAAGAUAUGCCUUAGGUCUAGCUUAUAUGGAAUAGCAUAUCUUACAUUUAGUUAAUUAAAUAUACUAUACAAAUUUUGGUUAUAUAUAAUAUCUAUGUUACAAAUUUGGAUAAUUCGAAGUCUAAGUGACUUCAUAUAAUUAUUGUUACAUCUUAAAAAUGAUUUCACAAAUUAGAAUUACAAUGACUCCUACAUAUCUUAGAUUCUAACUCAAAUUCUCACUUGAUUUUAUUUUAUUUUUAUUUUUUUGUUUUCAAUCAAUUAAUAAUAUGUUAUGGGCUAGUUUAGCUUAUAGUUGAGAUGAAUUUUAUCUAAGAGCACCUCAAUUUGAACCAAAUUGAAGAAAAAAAUGACUUAUUAUACCUUAUGAAAGAUAAUAUUAUUAAUUUCCAUGUUUUUUUUUCAAAUAACCUUUUCAUGACAUGAACUUAUAUGGAACAUUGUUGUAUUAAUUGAUUAGGAAAUCACUAAGCCUAAGAAAGUGAGAAAAUUUAAAAGGGAAGGAAUGUCACCAUUGCAUUUUAGCACAAAGGAAGAUGAUCUCUAGCUAUGACGAAAAUUCAAGAAAUGAACAAGUUCCAUUAAAGAUGAAGGCACAAUUGGGUGACAUUUAAAAAAAAUGUCAAAGGAAGUUAUUGUUUUAGCUACGGAUAUGUUCUUUUUUUUUUUUUUUUUUAGACUUCUUGUGUUACUCAUAUAUGUAAUAUGCAAUGUGAUUUCUCUUUUAUAUUAUAAAUUUAUUACUCUUAGCACUUCAUUUAUGGGAUAGAUGAAUAAUAAUUACUUUAAUUUUAUUUAAUUGUUGGAUAGUUGUUGGAUGGAUAAAUAAUUGUCAUUUCUUUAUAUUUGAGUUAUUUCAAUAUCAAAUGCCAAUUAAAAUAAAAGAGCAAUAGGUGAAGCUAAUUUUAGAUUGUCACAAUCCUUGGCACUUCCACUAAGUGUCAAGGUUUAGAGCAAUCAACAAUGGAAAAGGUGAACGAUGAUGCUUCCAAAAAGCGUCAAGGUUAUUUCAUCUUCAACAAUACCAGUUUUUGUAAGUGUCAUUAUUUACAAAAUCAACAAUAACAUUGGCAAAUUGGUACGCCUCAAUGCUUCUAAAAAACAUCAUUAUUUGUUCCAUAUUUACAAUGACGCUUUUAAAAGUGUCAACAUCGCUAAACACUCUUUACAAUGACACUCGAUUUCAUGGUGCUUUUAAGAAGUGUAAUUGUUUGUAAAAACUUAUUAUGACAAGCUAAGAGAUGACACUGCGGAGAAGUGUCAUUGUUUGUCUUUCUUGACAUUGUUUGUCUUUCUUAACAGGUAAAAAGUGUCAUUAUUGAUCGAUUUUUCUUAUAAUGAAUCCAAUUGGUUGUGAUUGAGUUAAUGAAAUGAUCACCAACUUUUUUGCAACCAUACAACACUACAUAACCUUAAUACCUAUUGUUCAUUAUGAUGUUGUAAGAACAUAUGCCUUUAUGUGACCUAUUAAAUAAACUGGUCUUAUCAACUGAAAAAUGUUCCUCUAGUUAGUAAAAACUUCAUUCAUGUGGUCAUUUAUUAGCAUCAUAAUAAUCCAUAUUACAAAUAUUUAAAAACAUUAAUGCACUAAAACAUUGAUUUCAUCAACAAAAAUACACUCAUUCUUUUAACUUAUAGCAUUCAAAGAUGUUUAAAAAUAUAUAUGUACAAUAAAACAUCAUCAAAUUUAUUAACAAUUAAACUUUUAACCCCAAAACAAUCCGUUACUUUAGUAGAUAAGACACUAUUUGGAAUAACAUUAUUUUUAGCUCAAGUUAGAAGUUAAAAUGAUAAGGUUAAAAGAACAAAACCAACAAAAAAAAAAGUUAUUUUUUGUCAAACUUGACACUAGUUCAAGUUAGAUAAUGUAGCUCAAUGCCCUAUUGAAUUGAGUCAUAUAACUAAACUCCCUAAUUAUUUAUUAUGAUACACACACAACCUUUGGUUUAGUAUACAUGAUUAAAUUAAAUGCCCAACCUAGUUUGCAAAGCUAAAUUGGAAUCCCAAAUCUAGUUCAUCAUAAAUACUCUUCAACUGACUUGCUAUGGCAUUCAAAUAAGACAAUGACAAUGAUAGAAAACCAAAAAAAAUACCUAAUAUAUAAUUGAAAACUCCUUCCUAAAGGAGGUAAAAAAAAAUCAUGAAGUAACUUUCUUCUAUUAAUAAAAAAUGGGAAUACAAUGAUCUAUAUAGUGUUUUAACUCGAAACUUAUGGUACUACAAAUAUUAAAGAAGAAAUUUAAAACACACACACACACAACAAGCAUGUUGUCAAGCUUAUAAAAGUUGGAGAAAUCUCUGCAUACAAGUGUUCAAAACAUGAUGGAGAGUAACCUUGAUAUUUAAGUCAACAAUAUACAAGGAAAGACAACCCAAAAAGGUACAACUUUGAGAACAAACUCUCCUUUUUGCUUUUUCACAUAACCCCUUCUUUUUUUCUUUUUGAAAACUUCUCUCAUUUCCUCUAAUUGUUACACUAUACAACAAUCCUAAAAAAAUAGAGUUUAAAGGUCUGUUUGAUAAUCGUUUUUAAAAAUAAUUCUGAAAAAUAGUUUUUGAAAAUUAUUCUCUAAUGUUUAAUUUGUAGAACAAAAGUUUGUUUGGAAACCUAAAAUAUUUUUAACAUGUUUUUAAUGUUGUUAAAUAUGUUUUAAAAAUAAUUUUAUGUCUAGUAUUUUAUUUUUAAUCAUUCUACAUGUUUAUAUAAUUAUUUUUUAAAACAACUCUAAAAAAAUAAGUGAAAAUAACAUAAAACAAUUAAAAGAUGUUAUCUGAAAACACCUUAUUUUAUUAUAACAAAAAAUAAAAAGCGGUUUUUGGUUGUCAAACAUGUUUUCUUAGUUUUUUAUUCUGAAGAAUAGAAAAUUGUUCUUGAAAAUAGUUGUAAAACAAGAAUCUUUUCAUAUUAGUCUAGGUAUCACAUUAGUUAUUGCCCAUUUUAUGAUUUUAAUUAUUGCUUAAAAACUAGUCUUUCAACUAAAAAAGAAGGUCCACUACUUAUGGGUCAAACCUUCAACUUUCAAACCCCAACACAAAGUUAUAGUCAAGACUAAUAUUCACAUAUUAGUAUUAAUAUAGUUCAUUAAAUAUGAAUUUCUAUAGAAGGCAAAAUCAAGUUUUUAGGGGAAGUAACAUUCACUUUCAUAUUAAGCACUUUUUAACUCAUAAGUUAGUACUUGUAACAAAAUUUCUUAAUAGAGACUUUAAUUGAGUUUUAAGAAAAAAAAAAUUGUUUGUAAAAAACCAAUUCAAACAAAAUCUAAAACUAAUAUUAUUAUCUAAAAGGCAUAAUGAACAAAAUAAACCAUAAACUAAAGUGGUAGUGACAACCAGUAUGUAGCGUCCAUGAAUAAUUGAAAAUAGCCUCAUUUUCUAAUGACCUCGGACCUAGAAGCUCUAAAAUCCUUGCCUAAUUCUUUGUGAUGACUUUAGUUUAACCUUAAUGGCGAGGGCAAAAUUCUAAAUAAUUUUUGUCACAACUCAUAAAUUUAGAAGAAAAAAAUGAGAAUAAAUGGAAUCCCAAACAAGAAAUUGUUAUUUUUCUCUUUUAUGACAAAAAUCUACUACUAUUAUUUAAUAACGUGGGAAUUGUUCUUUCAACUUUAAUACCAUGUAUGACAUAACUUUAACAACCUUAAUUUAUAAGAUUAUUGAAUUUAAAAGGAUAAAACAAUUACAUAUUCAUAAGAAUCACUUCUAUUUUUUAACAACAAUAAAUUUCAUUUUUUGGACAAAAAUACCCUCCAUUGUUUUUAUCAACAUUUCACAAUCGAACACUUAUUGGAAAAAAAAAAAGGUAUAAGGGUAGCUAUAUUAAAAUGAGGUUAUAAUUAUAAUACUCAAUAAGUGGAGAUUGUUUUUCCAAAUAUUGGGAUCAUCUUAUCCAUUUGACACAAAUAUUUCUAAUUUAUAUUAUAAUUACUCUUAUAGUAAGAGAAAAAGAGUAAUUUCACAUGAAAUGGACCCAUAAACAUAGAUUUAUUAUGAGGCAUGUUACUAUAAUAAUAAUAGGAAAUAAGACGAGACAUGUUACCAUAAUAAUAGAAAAUAAGAUAAGUAAUUCAAUACUUAAUAAAGGUCUAAAACAAUUAUGCUUCUCAUUAAAUGAUAUUAAUGAUGGAAAAAAACUAAGGGGUGGUUAAUAAAACUUAAUAUUUAUUACUUAAGGAUUUAAGUUGACUUUAAAUUAAAUUAUGCUUAAAUUGUUAAUUUAAAACUUAUUAAUUCUUAUUUUAAGUAUUAAGACUAUUUAAUAAAAUUAACUUGAAAUUUAUUAAGACUAUUUAAUAAAAUUAACUUAAAAUUUCUUUUAAAUUGUCAAAUCGAUAUAUUUAUUUUCUUAAAUUAUAAUUAAAGUAAAGGACAUCAAGUAACAAUGGAUGUCAUGGAAUAGUGAAAGAGAUCUUAGAGGUAACGAGACAAAUUAUGGUAAAAAAAUGUUAAAUAAAAAUAUGAACUUAAAAAUAAAUUAAUUAUUUAUAUUUAUUACUUAAAGUUGUUUUUUAUUUUAUAUUAUUAAAUUAUUAAAUUAUUUUACUAAAUGUGUUUAAUUUAUUUAAUGACUUACAUUAAAUUACUUUAGGCUAUUAAAUCGGUUUACAAAUAAUAUCGAGUAGGCCCACAGACUGGAGAAUAUUGCUAUCAUAUGUUUUAUCACUACUUUCAUGUAUUAAGGUGCCAAGAAUAAUUCACCACAAAAUAUAUGAUAAGUUGAUAGUAUAGGAUACAAUCUAAAAAAUGCACUUGAUUUCAUCAUCUAAAUAAAUGCUCUUGGCAAAAUGGAUCAUCCUAGCUGAAACCAGAGCACAAGCCGUCAUGGACAGGAGGCAACGGAGAAACCCUUCUGCUUCUUCUUCUGCCUUUUCAUCUCCAACUUCAUCCUCAUCGCGUUUCCGCUCAGAGAAAUUCUCCUCGAAUCCCCCAAAAACUAGUAACUCCCUGGAGGAUGCUCACCAAUUGAAAAGCAAAUGUGGGAAGCCACAAAGACCAGAGCAAGAGGAGGAAGGAGAGCAAGAUCCGAACAAUCUUCUCUCCUUAGUUGGAACUUGCCCAUUCAUGUGCCCUGGUAAAAAUGCGUGCUUAUUUUUCCAUUUUUUUUAAUUCUAUUUUCCUGUUAUUCUGUGUUUGGUUUCCGAGAAAUUGGAGGAAAACAGUAGAAAAGAGAAGUGAAUCUGGAAUUUCUGUGUCAUUUUUGUUGCUUUUACAUAAAUUUUACAAAUAAAAUUGAUAUUUCCCCCCUUUAUUAGAUACCAAUCUGAAGAAGACGUAGGAAUCCCAAAAAAAAAUUCGCUUUUGCCUUUACUUCCCCCAAAUCUUUCAUAAUGGAAAAUGGACUUACCACCUCUUUUAUCACUUUUCCUUUACCAUGUCAGGUUUACAUGUAAUCAAACACUGUAUUUGGAGUAGAGCAUUUAUUCUAAUGUCAAAUGGUGUUGAAAACUUGAAUUACUGGAUCUUAAGACUCCAGAAGAAAUUUGAUUGUUUAUGAUUAUUGCUCCAUGAGAAGGGAAAGGGAUUUCUUUUGUUUUUGCUCACAUACAUGGCCAAAUUGAUUUAUCUCCUUCUCAUACGAACAAAAUAAGGACAUUUCUUGUCUUGCUGCCUUUUAUGCCACCGGUUCCACAUGCUGAUGUGACAACCCUUGUGCUAUUCUGUACAAAUGGUAGGAAAAUUCUGGUAAGACUGGUGGCCAGCCUAUCAUGUUCAGAGAAUAAAUUCAUUGUAUAUCUGGAAUUCACUCUAUAUCAGCAUAGGGUGUUGAUAUUGAUUAUAAAUGACUAAAUUCAAUUUAUUAUCCUUACAUUAGGGAGUGCUAAAAGGAUGCAAAUUGUUCAUGUUAUACCCAAAGACAUACAAGUGAUGCUAGAGAUUUUCACAAUGUAGAUAAUCAUAGAGUAGAGAUGAACACUAUGGAGUCUUUUGGCAUGUGUUCAUUCCAUGUAUGGGAACAUGCAUUGGAAGAUUAUGUUUCCUCCUCCCUCCCCUCCCCUCCCCAAAGUAAGUACUAUGUUGUCAUGGCAAGAACUUUGGUGACAUGCUUCUGAGUGGAAUAGCCUCCUAGAAGUCCAUUUAUGUGGCAAUUGGCAAGUUCUUCCAGUCAAUGAGAACUUUGUGACUGUCUGAUUGUUGUACUAAUCAUCAUCAGAUUUUUUUUAAGUUCAAGUUGCAAAUAGCCUUUCACAGUUGAAGGUAGCAAUGAAGAGGCCUGUUGACAUAAUUAUUUCUUCUGCUUGAAUGGAUUAAAAUCAGAUACCACACCUUCAGCCUAGAAAACUAUGGACUUUCCUAUGUACCUGCAAUUGGCUGAAUACUGGUGUGACACUGACCAAAGGCUCUCUGAUGCUGUUAUUAAUUUCCCGAGCAAAUAAGAGAAAACAGAGAGGUCAUAAUGUGAAUCAGUUACCUCUUGAGUAGGGAUGAAGGCUUUUUAUACCUUUUUACUUUCUGGUUAGGCCUUGGAAGCACUUCUGUGAACCAUGAUUUUGUACUGUAAAAUUAGAUGGGAUGGAUAGGUCACCUUAACUCUACUUUUGGAAGUGAUUGGGGAGUGCAUGACCGUAUGAAUAUUGAUGUAUUCUCCCCAUACAGAGCCCAACUUCUUUUUGAACUAGGAAGCAUGAAGGGUGGGUGCAUGUGGGCUGAGGAAGGAAGAUUUGACUUGUGUGCUGCAGGCCUGCAGUACCAAUUUGUUCCAGAACUUGAUAAGGCCCAUAAACUGGUAGGCAAGUUUCAUUAUUUGGUCACCACUGAAUUUCGGCAGUAUGGCCACAAGGAAGGUAGGAAGGAGAGGGAGAAGAGAAAGCCCCAAUUGCCAAUUGCAAUCUUCCGGUUGGCACAGUGCUCAUUUGCUGACAUUUCCAUUUGAUUUUAACCUUGAAACAGAUACAGCUUAACGUGAUGGACCAGUUUUUCACAAUCUUGUGAUUCAUUACCCAACUUCUAGUAACAGUUUCUCAGCAGAUGACUCACCCAUGACAGGCUGAUGAUGUCUGCACACAACUUGAAAGGUAUUUAUGCCAAGGUGUGAAAGGUAAUAUUGUGACACCAUUUUUCCUAUUCCAGAAAAUGUACCAAAUGUAUGGCUGGUUCUUGACCAAAAAAUGCUGGCAUUGGUCACCAAGUGCUAGGGUGAUUCUUGACAAAAAAUGUCGUAUUGUUCAGAACAAUGAUUUACAACUUCAGAUUGGCCAUCCAGUUAAUGAUGAUAAGCACUUGUUUUACAAAGUUCAGUGUCAUAAAAGCAAAAUAAUUUUGUCAACAAAUAUGGGGAUAACUUUAUCAUAAUUACUACUUAUGGAAUUUAAGGAUAAGUUGGGUAAUGUGAGAAAGUUUUGGUCAGAGGAUAUGAGGAUAACUUUGUUGCAAUUGCUAAGCUACACGUCCUAGGACUACUAGGAGAAAAGUAUGAGCAACAGAAUGAAUUUACAGUCCAUCCCCACUAGCUGCAUGGAGAGGUUGGGCUUAUUGCUGCUAUGGUGGAGGUCACCUUCUUGUAGACUUUGAAAUGUGCAAAUGAAGAGGCAGAUUUCUUAGAAGAAUGGGUAGGAUUCAGCUUGUGGUAGAUAUUGAGCUUAUCGCCUCUAAUUUCAUGUCUUCUCAAUGUGGAUUUGAGGUUUAACGAGAUUUUUGGGAAAUCAUUAAGAUUAAAAGUAAUCGAAGACUUUCACAUUAAUGAGGUAAUGAAUAACCACUGAUACUUCUUCACCCCAAAGUUCCUUCACAAAAAUUUGGUGAGUGAAGAACUAUUACUGAGUUGUGAAGCACCAAUUCCAGCUUCAUUAUCUUGAUCUUCAGAAAGAGGGAUCCAACUUGAUUUGGGAUUUUAUACCUGUCAACCCAGUCACUGGUUUUUAGGAGAAUACUUCCAAUUUACCCUUGGGUUGCUUUAGAAAGUUUCUUAAUAGUGCCAUCUCUCUAGCUUAAGGGGCUUUUGUUAAUGGAAGGCAAAUUCUAGAUGUGGUUAUCAUUAGUAAUGAAAUCCUAGAUAAAAAAUUCUGUUCUAAGGACGAAGGGAUGGUUUUUAAAAUAGGUUUUGAGGAAGUUUAUGAUCACAUAGAUUGGGGUUUCAUGUAUGAUACAUACUUUGAAUAGGGAAGGCCCUUGAACCUGGAUGGCACAAAGGGACUGGAUAUUUUGAGGUUGUUUUUCAAACUGCAGACUCUUUAAUGGUUAUUGAAGCUGAGUGAUUAGCACUCGAGGAAGAUUCGGACAUGGUUGUUUGCCUGGAUGUAAUGAACCUCCAUAUUGAAGGGGAUUCCUUUGUUAUUGUCUUAGAACCUUCUUUGAAGGCAAAGGUCCUUAGUGGAUUGCUCAUCAGAUGGGGUGGCUUCAUAAUCAUGCUAGAGACAUUGCUUGUUCUUCUCUAUUGAGGCCCAGAUCAGCUAGCCAGGUGCAUGGCUAUAUUUUUCUUAUAGGGAUGCUAAUAUCUGAAAUUUUUUAUUGAGAACACUUACCGCUCUUUGAUUGGUUUGAGGCAUGGAGCGGCUUUUCUGUUCUCUUCUUGCCAUACAUGCAUAUCAUCCCUCUUUUUUUAUCUUGUUUAACUCAAUAAAUUCUCAUUUGUUAUAAGGAAAAAAAGAGAUAUUAUGUUACAUGAUGGAAGGACUUUAUUCUGUUAUGGAGUAUGCAAAACCUAGAUCUAUUAGCUAGAGCUAUACAGUAGGCUGUUGGGUUGUUCAGUAUUGUCUCUUUUUUGGAUAGGUUUGGCCAAUGCCCCUUGAUGUUACUUUUUGGUGAUGUAAUUUUCUUUGAUUUUUCUUGAAAAUUCCUCAUUUUUCAAGCUUGCUUGUAUAUCUUUUCUUCUUCCAUUAAUGAUUGUUUGAUUCCUUACUAAAAUAAAUAACAAAUUAUGAUGGAAAGGAUUAUGUUUAUGGAAAAUUUUGAGAUUUUCACCAGAUUAGAGUCUCCGAAGCUGGUAUUUGUCUUUACACAGAUAAUAGGAAUCAUUUUCCCCCCAAACUACAUAAGACAUGUCUGCUACUUGGUAAUGUUCCAUUGGCAGUUAUAAACUCUCCUGUCAAAUGUGAAUCUGUUGUAGCAUUCCGAAUGGUGUUGUGUCGUACAUAGAUUGGUAAUUGAGGACUUUAUUAUGGAUUUCGUCCUGUUUUGGUUGUGCCAACAAGUUCUAUCCUGUUCUUUGUCUUGCUGAUUUGCGUGGUUGUGCAUCAUGUUCCUACCAGCUGUAUAAUUAUGCUUCUGGAGCAUAGUUAUUCUGGUUUUACCAUCCAGAUGAUGGUACUAAAGUAUUUGUAUUCUAGAUUGCACAACUCCUUAUAUGGGAUAUUUUUGCAUCAAAUGCUUAGUGAUCAAGAGAACUCUCAUAUUAAACACAUUCAUCUUCUAUUAAACUAAAUUCCUUAAGUCUGCAGUCUCACAACUACAUCAUACCAUUCUUUUCCUUUUUUCUUCCUUUCUUGCUAUUACAGGUUGGUUGCCACUAAUAUAGUAGAAAGCAAAUUACACGACCCUGCUUCCAUAAGACCUUUCUUAUUCCAUAGGUUGAAAUAGAAAAAACACUCGAUGGGACUAAUGCUUCUCUUUGCAAGCAAGCAAAUUAAAAUGUUUUGAAACCCAUGCUGCCAUGAUCUAGCUAAUUUGCAUUUUAUAUGUCUACUCCUUUCUAUUUACUCAAAUUGUGUAUUUCUUUUGCUUGUAUUUAUUUCCUGAUGAGUUUAUUCUGAUUCUUUGAUCAGGAUUUCUGCAAUCACAUUGCUUGCUAUUGAAUUUUCAAGGGCUUAAUAUGAAUUAUUAAUAAAGAAGUUGUUUAAUUAUUUCAGCAGCUUAUACUUUGUAAUUUCUUUUAACAACUCUUAUCUCUGAUGUUCAUUUGUAAUAAAUAGCUGGAGAAAGGGCCCAACGUGAACGCCUUCGGGACUUAGCUGUGUUUGAGAGGUUACAUGGAAAUCCUGGGAAAACAUCUCCAAGCCUUGCUGUCAAAAAGGUAAACCCUACAUCUCAUGCCUCUAUACCGCAUCUUAGCUUCUCAUCUUGCAUCGGACAAUGAUACUCUUAUUGAAUCAUCUUUACCAUAUCAGCCAUCAACAUGUGCACUUAUUGAGCACUAAUUCAGGCACUGAUACUUGUGCUUUUGUUUUGUUUUAUCUUCUCUUGUCUUGUUUUGUUAUGGAUGUGAUUGUGUUGGAUGACCUGUAUCUGUGUUAGACACCAAAGCCUAUCUUAAUGGUACUGUAAAGUAAGACUAUGCUAAUAAGCUAUUGAUCUGUUACAGGGUUUAUGCCAAACUGAUUUUUUAGUUUCUCUAGUAGAAAACUUGUUUUUUCCCCUGUUAUAUCGGUGCUAUUGUUGGAUUUGUGUUUGUUGUUGAUCAAGCAUUUGCUGAAACUUUUUUUUUUUUUUUUUUUCCUUUGCUUCUUGAUGUGCAAAGCAUUAUUGUUUGAAUUUUAAUGAUCCCAUUUGAUUCACUAUUCAAUAUUUUUAUUUGAUAUUACAUCUAUCUCAUUUGUUUUCUUUUCUUAGUUUUUAUUUUUAUAUUUUAUAUUUUUAAUUUUUUUUUAAUUUUUUGAAUUAGUGACAUUUGAAUUUGAUGGAGCCACCAUUAAUUUAUUUUUCCUUAUUAUUGUGGGGUGUGCUUUAUUUUGUUCAAUUGUUGUUGCACUAUUAUUAUCAUGUAACUUUUUUUUUUCUUUUCUUUUUUUUUUGUUUAAUCUAUUGUUCCUAUGAGCAUUAAAUGCUCCUAAAAUGUAUGGAAUAGGCUAAACCUUUCUAUAGUUUUUUUAAAAAAACUCAUUUAUUAUCUAUUUUCUUGUGCUCAAAAAAUUAUAUUUUUUUAGUAAAAUUGAAAAUUUAGGGAGCGCUUAGGCCCCAGCGGCUCAACCCCUUGAGGGUUUAUGCCUAUUGUAGCAAGAUGUGGACCCCCUUGCCUCUUAUGCUUUUACCUUAUGAAACUAUACCAAGAAAAAAACGCCACAACUCCCUGCUGCCAUCAAAGGAUACUUCAAAUUUUGCUUGAUAUCAAUUUUAAGGCUAAUUAUCAUAGGCUUGUCAUCAUGUCACUAAAAUUGGUAUUGUAACCAAAGUCCUAUUGCGAAAUCUUCAAGUUGCAGCUCCUUUUUUUCUGUUGGCUCUUGUAUUGUUAGGUGGCCGCAACCUGUUGCUUUACUUAUGCUUUAUGAACUACUCCAGUUAAAAUAAUGCUUCGAGUAGAUGCUUUUUGGAUCUUGACUCUAGCAAGAGGCUUAUAUUGCAAAUUUUUUUUGUGGAGUCCUAGAUAGGUUAACUAGGAAGACAAUAGCUUGCUUAAAAGGAUUGCCACCUCUCCUGUUGGGUUUGUAAAAAUUUUGCUUCUCCCUUGACCUUGGGAGUCCUGUGGUUUCAAUUUUGGGUGUGCUCUAGGUUGUAGCCUGUGUUAUGCUUUCUAAAUGGUAAUCUUCUUGUUUUGGUUGGGAUGCUUUUGUUUAUUUUGCUUGUUUGCUUUCUUUGUUUCUUUAUAAUUGUGGCUAUAGGAUCACCAAUCAACUUUAUAUUUUUUGCAAAAACUGUUUAUGUUUCAUAACGAAAAAGGAAAAAACAAAGGCAAGUUAGCCUACAAUAGGUUCUAUCUUGUUUCUUCUUUUACCAUUAGUGUGGAUUCGAACUCAGGAAAAGGCCUUCAAGCAAGUGGCAUUUGUGUUUUUUAAACAUAUAUCUUUGUUCAAUCAUUGUUAAGUGUUUGUUGUCUUGUCUGUUCUUUUGGUUGUUUUUGUCUUUGUCAAAGUGUAUAACUGUAAUAUCCUACAUCGUAUAGAAGAAAAAGUUUCUAGUGCUAUAUAUGUAUGAAUUUCUUUUAAUCUUGUUGAUUCGUUUUUAAGCCGUGAGGGUCGCUUAGGCUCAAAACAAAUAAUAUCCACACAACUGGGAGCAGGUUGUUACAAAUGGUAUCAAAGUCAAUGCUCGACCUUGGUGGGAGAGUUUGUUUGGCCUGAAAUGGGUGUCCGUUUAUUUGACCCUACAAUCCUGUUGGACACAACAAGAACGUUGUGUCUGCAUGAGAGAGAGGGUGAUUGUAAUAUCUUACAUUAGAUAGGGGGAAAAGUUCCUAACGUUAUAUAUAUAUAUAUGUCUGUAUGUAUGUAUGUAUGUAUAUAGACUCCUUUUAACCUUGUAAACGUAUUUUAAAGUCAUGAAGGCCCCUUAAGUAUAAGGUGGAUAAUAUCUAUACGGUUGAGUGCAGGUUGUUAAAAUAAUUACUUUUAACUUUCCUUCCAUAUGUUUAAUUGCAUAACAUUAUUAUAGCAAAAUAUUAAUCUAUCAUAAUGCAACGUCUUGUAAAGCUUAUGUUAGGUGUCAUGAUUUUAUCUCUUGUCAUUUUUAUUAUUUUGAUUCAAUAUCAUCUUAGCUUAUAAUCAUUUAUACACUUGAUGCAUGAGAAAUGAAGAUGCUAUAAAUUGUAGGAUUCUUUUUCUCCAAUUUGUUCCUUGAUAUUUUAUAAUGCCAUGAAAUGUCUAUAUUUUGAUGCAGAAAGCCGUUCACCCUCCAUCUCUCUCACUAGUUUUGCAGAACCAUUGCCACUAAGCACAUGCAGGCGUCAGAUGUGCGGCCACUUCCAGUGUUGGAAGAGACUUUGAACUACCUAUUAAACCUGUUGGAUGCCACGGAACAUCCUUUUGAAGUGGUUCAUGAUUUCGUCUUUGAUAGGACAAGAUCAAUAAGACAAGAUCUUAGCAUGCAGAAUAUCGUUAAUGAUCAAACAAUUCAUAUGUAUGAAGAAAUGGUAUGAAUUUCUUGAAACAUAAUCUCAAUUACCUUUUUUUUCUGAGCAUUCAUCUCCUCAACAUACAAUAAGUUAGCCAACCCAUUGCUAAACACUCACCUAGUUGGAGAAAAUAAUCAAAGUAUACAAGAUAUAAAAUGUUGAAUAAUUGAGUCAUUAUCCUCUCCUUUUGCUUUAUUGAAUAAGAUAAUUUAUUCAGUGGAGUCCAAACGAGGUGAAACUGUGAUCACACUACUUGAAGCCUACUUUACAAUGGAUAAAUGAAUGGUCUGAUUCUAAAUCUUUCUUGGCACAUUAGUUAUUAUCCAAUCCGUUCUAAUUAAAUUAUCCACUAUUAAGUGUCUAUUUCCAGUCACCCUCCAAGUUAUGAAAGACCCAUAGAACCAAAGCAACUCACACCACAUGUGAUGGGAAUUGAUGCUCUCUUCCAUAAUGUCAAGUUUUCCAGUACACUUGCUGACUUUGUAGAAUAUGCCUACAAAAAGGGCUGCCACCUCCUAAUUCCCAAUCAUAGAAGUUUCUUAACCAUAUUUCAAAAGCUGUAUUUCCUGUUCCCCCUCUUAAAGUUUUUUAAACCUAUAUCUCUUUAUCCUAGUAAUUUGGAAAAAUGAGGAAAUUAUUUAACAAGAACUCCAUCAAUUUGUUCCUUAAAAUUUUCUAUAGUUUCUAUCUCUCUCACUUUUGAUUCAAAUUCUUGAAGCAAAGGAACAAAUUCAUGGCCAGUAACAAUUUUAGCCAAGCAAUAGAAUGCACAACAAACAUGCAUAUGAAUGACUUGUGUUUUUUUAUGAUAAUUGAUUAGAUAUUUUAAUCUCAUCCUAAAACCUUGGAGUUAGCUAAAAGCCGCAUCUUAUGUUCUGACUUGUGGUUUGUUUCAUAAUAUAGGUGAAAUUUCAUAUUAUAUCCCACCACAAGCUUCGCAGUUGUAGUAGCAAGCCAAAUUUUUCUUCAGUUCAUUACCUCAAUAUGGAGCAGCUGAAAAAGUGUCUGAUAUCUCUAUAUGCUCUAUACGAAGAAAAUCGAAAUUCAAAUUCUAUUUACAAGAAUGAACCUGAGUUUUGCUCAUUUCACGUUCUUCUUCAUCUUGGCUCUAACAACCAACCAUUGGUGGAUACUUGCUUCCAUUGUUUGUUUGAGUUCAUCUUUUUCAGUAUCUCUUGUAGCCUUGUACUGGUUUCUGAAUAUGUUACUAUUUCUGUUCUGAAGGGAGAGUCACUCUCUUUAUGGUUGGGUCGUGUACCUUCUCUCAUUUUGAAGUCAAAGGAAAUGUGUUUUGCCCGGAGACUUUUAAGGUGACCACAAAGCUAUUAUAGAUUCGAUUUUCAAUUGAUUUUUUUCUCUUCUUUUAGUACCCAAUGUUCAAAUUUUUGUUUUCAUGAACUGAAAGAUCUGUCUUUUCUUGUAACAGAUUAUUUCGGAUGGGCAAUUAUAAGCGUUUCCUUUGUACUACAGCAACUGAGGCAUCUUAUUUGCAGUACUACAUUAUUGAACCUUACAUCAAUGAGGUUGCUUAAAUAUGUUGAUUUUGCUAGAUUUUUCAGUUUGAAAAAUAUAUGCUUCUUUGUUCAUUUAUUGUUUUUCAGUUUCAUUUCUGAGAAUAUAUCUCAAAUCUAGACUCGAGUACUUGUGCUUUUGGGUUUUAUUUUUCUUUCAUUUUUGUUAGUAGUUGUACUUCAUUAUUCUUAAAUUUCUCACCAACUGUUUCUUUAUGUGGUUUAUUGCUCCUCACUUUCUUCAUUCAUCUGAAGUGUUCAAAUUCAAUUAGCUUGUUUCAUAAACUAGUUCUUAUUUAGAAGUUCUUCUCAACUGCCUUUUUUUAGUGCUUCUAAAAGACAUGCCUGAUUUAUAUACAUUUUUGUUGGUUUUCUUUUGACCGUAAAAGGUUCGAGCAUUGGCAUUGUCAUGUGUAAAUUAUUGUGGCUACAAACUUCAUCCAUAUCCAAUUGCACACUUGUCCAAACUCUUGAUGAUGAAGGUAUGAUUGCAUUUACUAGCAUUAAAUUGCUAAAAUUUGUCAUCCAAAGUUCCAAUUUCUUUUGAACCUUGAAGACUUCAUUUGCAUUCUUGUAGGAAUUAGAUGUGGAAUCAUUUUGCAAUGCUUGUGGUCUUGAGACCAGCACUGGUGAGCGGGGAAAUAAGUUCUUAUCAACCAAGCAAACAAACUUCCAUUAUCCCAAGGAAGUCUUUCCAAGCUACUGCCUUCUGAGUUUGGAACACUUUUAGAGGUAACAAUCAAUUGGAACUAGUUACUCUUUCAAACUUCUUAUUGUACAAAUAUAACCUGCAUGUGCAACCAUUUCUGAUCCCAUAAUUUCAAGAAUUUAUGACACCUUCUAGUGGUUAGUUUUUCUGGGAAUAGAGUAAAGCAAUCUAUUCACUCCCAGAAACUAUCGUCAGAGGAACAGUAGAUAACCCCGCAAGACCAAAUUUAUGUAUGUUGCAUGGAGAUGCAUGUUUUCUGCAUCCCAAUCAUGCAGUGUUGUGUCAAAUGGAAUAAUAGCAGGUGAUGAUAAGUGGUAUUUCUAAAAUCUUCUAAGAGUAUUCCAUCUAUUGUAAUAUUGUUUUACUUAAAAUUGUCUUUUUGAGUCUUAUGUGUAAAUAUUCGAGUUGACCUCUUGUAAGCUAUCAAUUGAUGUUGUAACUUAACUUGAAAGGGAAAUUCUAUAAAUUUAGCCUUGGUUUGGCUCUUGGAAAGCAAAGAAAAAUUAGGUUAGUGAGUUGAUUUCUUCCCUUCCCAUGGAUGUAAGCACAUUCUUGAAUCACGUUAAUUAUUUUUUGGUUUAUUUUGUUGUUUUGUUGUUUAUUGUUCAAUUGUCUCCGCAUAACAAGUGGUAUCAGAGUUGUUUCCGACACACUAGAUGAUUCUUGUGCUAACACAAUGUUUGAGGCUAAAUAUAAGAUAGUAAAAGUUUCUAAAAUAUUUCCCUAUGACAGCUGCCAAUAAAGAAUGUACUUAACAGGAAGUUUGUAAGGUGUUACAUGGCAUGUUGAACAAAAUAUCUGAAAUAUUUGGGGCCACCGAUCCAACAAUAGCAGAUUAUAACACAAGAAGAGACCCUCUAAUCACCAUUUUUGCUUUUGAUUCUUCUUUACAAAGCAUCAUCUACUUUAUACAAAAAGACAACCCAUGGCUGAGCCCACAUUAUUCUCUACAUAUCCCAAAAAAGCCUUACAAAUUUUAGGGCAUGACGCUCUUUUUGGGGGUAUUUUUGGUACUAAAUUUGUGGUAGUCUCUCCAAUACCUAAACUAACCUCCAGAUUUUAAGGCAUGGCCCACUCUUUAAGGUGGUGUUUUGGGUACUAAUUUUUGUUAGGAGAGGUUUUAGUGUGGAAACUGGAGGGCUUUAGACAUGUCGCAUGUAUUUUCUUUUGCAUGCAUUACACAUAGAUCGGAGUUUUUGCAGUUACUCACACUUUUUGUGCGUCCAACAACACUAUAGUGCCACGUCACCAUAUGAUGGGCUCUUUAGUCUUUUCAAACCCAAAAAAACACCAAAAAAAAAAAAAAAACGAAUACUAAAAGGAGUGCUAACUAGCUAUGUGAAGGUGAACUUUUAUAGCUAGCUUCUUAGAGGGACCAUGAUCGCUUAGGCCAAGGAAGUUUGAGGUGAUAAUAGGUCUGUGAUGCCAUUAGAUGUUUUAAGCACAUGUGCGUUACACUAAUGUAUUCAACGAGUCUAUAACCUUGACCGACAGGUCUGGGUAAUCUUUGAAAUUUCAUUGUGAUGGGAAGGUUCCAUGCGAACAACACUUGCACAUGGGUUAGUCAAUCUUAAGAGACGGGGGAAGCCCGUCUAACAACGCACAAUGUGCGAGCUUUGAAAGGCAAUCGGGUUAACAUUUCUGAAUUGGGACAUGACAAUGACAACAACAUUAGGUAGUCUAGAGAUGUUGUCAUAUUAAUUGUUAUCAAUAUUUUUAUUUAUUCAAUAGAAAUUGAGGAUUAAAAAAUACCACAAAAAUUAGAAAAAACAAAAUUAAUUACAUGGCUUACAUUUCAGAUAUUUAAUAAAAUAUUGUAUGAAAGUUGAAUAUCAUACACUAUUAAAUGGUUGGAUUCUCCUCUUUAUUUUUUUUAAUUGUCUCAUCCUAUUAAAUUACUCAUCUAAUAUUAAUUUAUUUUAAAGGUAAAAUUAAUUAUAUUGUAAAAACCUUUUAAUUUACUAGAGUUUGUGCACAACAUCUAAUAUAUACUUAAAUACUUUUCCAUGCUAUAAUCCUCCAACUAAGAAAUGAAAUCAAAACUUAAAAAUCAUUUAUAUAUAUAGAUAUAUGUGAGUAAGGGAGGAGAUCCAACGGAUCUGUGCGCGAGCGAUGGUGAGAAAGAUUUCGUUGGCCUGGAAGCUCGUACCAGCCGGUGGAAGAGAAGCUUCGAGGUGGAGUCGAAGACUUUUGAGAUCGAGGUUGAGAGACAAAAAGGCAAAACGCAAGUCUUCAUUGAGGAAAGGAAAAGAGGGGUUUCCUCGUGGAUUAAGAUGGGGCCGGAGAGCCUAGGGUUUGUUGUGGAAGGGUUGGCUUUGUGUAUUAAGGAUACACGAACAGGCAGAUGGGUCAGAAAUUGGAGGGAGAGAGGGAGGAUCUUUUCAUUGCUGUGGGAUGAGAAUAAGGGAGGAAGCUUUAUCCGUCUGGGUGUAGAGGAUCUGGAGAAGAAGAGGUUUAAUAUUUUUAUCCCCAAAGGAAAUGGAGGGAAAGGGGGAUGGAUUGCGAUGUUGGAAACACUUAAGGCGCUGGUCGUUACUACGGAGAGGAAGAAAUGUCAGAAGGAGGAGAAGAUGCCGGUGGCGCCAUGUUUGGGGAGUAGCUACGCGGAAGUGGUGAAGGGACAGAAAUGUAAUGGCCGGUCAGUGGCUAGGGUAGAAGUAAGCCACAAGGACCUAUGCCAAAACCUAAAAAGGCUGGAUCAGUGCAUUGUUGGAUUGUGGGAUCCGAAGUUAGUCAAGGGGGAGGAUUUGAGGAGUUGGGGGAACCAAUUGGCUCGAUUGUGGGGGUUGAGGGGUAAUUUAGGUUUGGCUAAGUUGGGAAGGGGUAAGGUGUUGUUAGAGUUUGAGAGGAGUGUUGAAGCCGAAAAAGCCUUAAAUAUGGGAGGGCUUUUGGUAGGGAAGACACUGCUGCGACUGGAGAAGUGGAACCCUAGGACGGGGUGUCUGUUAGAAGGAGAGGAGAAGAGUGAGGCCUGGGUGAGAAUUGUGGGGCUUCCCAUCUCGUUGUGGGAUCGGGACAUCUUUAGAAAGGUUGGGGAGAAAUGCGGGGGUUCUUAGUGAUUGAUUCUCAGACGGAGAGGCUGGAAGAGUUGCAGUGGGCAAGAAUCCUGGUGAGACUAUCCGGCGAGGAGCCCCCUAGCAUGCUAGAAAUUGGGGUCGAGGGGGUGUGUUACUCGCUUGUCCUAUGGUGGGAGGUAAGGCCGGUAAUGAGAGUGCUGCCGGCAGAAAGGAGGGGAAAGAACAACGGUGAUGCUGUAGGAGGGGUUGAGGGUGAUGUCGCUACACGUGCAGGUAAGCGCGUGGUGGAAGUGGUGGAAGGUGUGAGGUCGAGACCCACAUGCAGUCUGCUGAUGGGACGAGGGAGCAGACAGGUGGGCCGGGGUCCCUUUGGGCUCGGUCCCGAGGCCCAAAAGGGCCGGGUCUGGGGGACCAAGUAGGCUUGCUUGGGAUGCUUGGCCCUACUGGGCCUCCUCGAGGCCUUGACUUGGGUGUUAGGCCCGAUGGGCUCGAUUCGCCUAAGGUCGGGCCGUUUUUCAGUGGGUCUUCGUCAUCUGAAGGGCCUUCGUCCUUAGAGGGCCUUAGGCCAAUGGAGUCCAUUAAGUUGGGUAGGCUAUCUGGGAAGGAAGAUUGUCAUGAUCCAUCUGGAGUGGCUCUGCCUCUGGUGUGGGCUGGCCCAAGUCAACUGAAGGAGUCAGAUGCUGAAGGCUUCCCUUCCUGGGUUUAUGAUGGCAGGCGGAGGCAAGCUGAAAUGGAGCCCUGUCUCGUAGAGAAGUCAAGGACCAACUGCGCCCUAAUUGAAGAAGCAACGAGGUAUGGGUGUGUUCCUAUCCCUUGUGGCUUAAUGGCAUCUGGACUCUCUCCUUCUCCUCUCUUCUUUUUUGGUCGGACCCCGUUGGGGGAUUUUUGCGACAUUUCUAGGGAUGAUAGGGUAACCUGUUUGAGAGAAACUCCCUUACAUAUGCUUCUCCCCUUGGGACCCCCAGAAGAGGAAAAUGCUUGCCGCUGGGAUUUGAGGGAGGGCCCAAGCGCCUGCAAGGAGAGCAGUGGUAAGGAGCUGAGGCUAGCCCAUUCGAUGCCACGUGAUGGAAAUGGAUGGGAGGAGGAAAGUUGGGAGGAAAGUGAGUUGGCCAAAUUUAGUAAGUUCUUGGGAUUUUCUACAGAAGGUCUGGAGAAAGAAAUUUUGGAGUUUCUGAUUAAAAUCCAAAAGAGAAGGGAAAAGGUCCACAGCAAAAACCUUCUAGAAAAAUCCAAGUUUGAAAGGGAAUUGAAAAGGCUGGAAUGCUCUAUUAACUACGAGGGGGGGAAGACGCAGAAGAGUGGAAUGAUAGUAGGAGGGUGUCAGAUUAUGGUGGUCAAAUGAAGCUGAGAAUCUUGAGCUGGAAUGUUCGGGGAGCUAACGACAACUCGAAAAGAAAGGUGAUUAAGGCCAUGAUCAGGAGUCAAAGAGUGGAUCUGUUCUGUUUCUAGGAGACCAAGAUUCAGGCAAUGACAAAGGGGCUGGUGAGAAGCUUAGGCAUUGGCAGGUUUCUUAAUUGGGGUACUCUGGAUGCCCAGGGGUCCCGCGGGAGGGAUUCUGAUCUGCUGGGAUAAGAGGACCUUGGAAAUAAUGGAAAUGGAGGUGGGGAGAUUCUCAAUUUCAUGUAGGAUGAGGAAUGUGGAAGACGGACUAGUCUGGAUGUUUACUGGGGUUUAUGGGCCAUUUUCUAAAGAGGACAGGGAGUGGAUGUGGAAGGAAAUAGGAGCAAUCCGAGGCAUUUGGGAGGAUCCAUGGUGUAUAGGGGGUGACUUCAAUGUCACCCUGUCACUGAGGGAAAGAAGUAAUCAGGGAAGACUAACGAGUGCAAUGAGAAGGUUUGCUCAAGUUGUUGAUGAGCUAGAACUCAUUGAUCUUCCAUUACAAGGAGGGAUGCUUACUUGGAGUGGGGGGAGGAAUAAUCAGGCAUGGGCCAGAUUGGAUAGGUUCCUGGUGACCCAGAGUUGGCUUGACCACUUCAGUGAGGUUGUGCAAUGUAGGCUGCCCAGACCGACCUCAGAUCAUUUUCCUAUUGUGCUGAUGGGGGGAGGGUUAAGGAGAGGUCCGUCCCCGUUUAGGUUUGAAAAUAUGUGGCUUAAAGCUGACGGGUUCACGGAUCUUCUUAGGGGCUGGUGGCAGGGAGUUGAGGUUAGAGGGAGGGCCAGUGUCAGACUAGCCACUAAAAUGAAGGUGCUGAAGCAUAAGAUUAAAGUGUGGAACAGAGAGGUGUUUGGUAGGCUGGAAGCUAACAAGAACUCAGCCCUGCAACAAGUGGAGUUUUGGGAUGGGGUGGAAAGGGAAAUGAGCUUGUCUGAAGGUGAAACUGAACUGAAAAAAGAAGCCAAGGAUUCCUUUAAAAUAUGGGUCUUAUUGGAGGAGACCCACUGGAGACAAUUGUCAAGGGAAUUGUGGCUUAAGGAGGGAGAUAGAAACACUGGAUUCUUCCAUAGAAUGGUUAAUGCUCACCGAAGGAAUAACUCUCUGGAUAGAAUAAAAAUUAAUGGAGUUUGGAUGACUGAGGAGUAGGAGAUGAGGGAGGGAAUAGUGAGUGCUUUUCAGCAGGUGCUUUCUGAGGAACCAGGCUGGAGGGCGGAUAUUGAGGGGCUGCACCUUAAUUGUCUAAGUUCCAGUGAAGCUAAAACUUUGGAGGUGCAAUUUACUGAAGAGGAAAUUUACGCAACCUUAAUGGGUAUGAAUAGGGAUAAAGCUCCGGGCCCGGAUGGGUUCACAAUUGCUUUUUGGCAAUCAAGCUGGGAGCUAGUGAAGGAGGAGAUUAUGGAAUUGUUUAGAGAAUUCUAUGACCAGUGUUCUUUUACCAACAGUCUUAACUCCACCUUUAUAGUCCUCAUUCCGAAGAAAGGAGGGGCUGAAGAUUUGGGUGAUUUCCGGCCAAUCAGCUUGUUAGGGGGUUUGUACAAGCUUUUGGCUAAGGUGUUGGCGAAUAGGCUAAAGAAGGUGUUAGAUAAGGUGGUGUCCGGGGACCAAAACGCCUUUGUGAGGGGUAAACAGAUCUUGGAUGCGUCUCUUAUUGCCAAUGAGGUGAUCGACUUCUGGCACAAGAGAAACGAGAAAUGGCUGAUCUGUAAAUUGGACAUUGAGAAAGCCUAUGACAGUAUUAAUUGGAACUUUCUCAUGAAAGUUCUGGUCAAAAUGGGUGUUGGGUCGCGGUGGUUGGAGUGGAUUUGGUGGUGCAUCUCUACCGCCAAAUUUUCAAUCAUGAUCAAUGGGGUCCCGACUGGUUUCUUCUCGAAUUCUAAGGGGCUAAGACAAGGUGAUCCCCUCUCCCCGUAUCUUUUUGUGUUGGGGAUGGAAGUUCUUAGUAAUCUAAUUAGAAGGGCGGUUGAUGGGGGUGUCUUAUCAGGCUGCGGAAUUCGGGGGAGAGGGGAAGAGGAGAUGAUAGUUUCCCACCUGCUCUUUGCUGAUGACACGAUCAUCUUUUGUGAAGCUAGCAAAGAGCAAGUGUCCGCUCUAAGCUGGAUUUUGGCUUGGUUUAAGGCGGCCUCCGGUCUUAGAAUUAAUCUUGAUAAAAGUGUCCUUAUUCCAGUUGGUGAGGUGGAAGAUAUUGAGGAGCUGGUUGUGGAACUUGGUUGUAAAGUGGGAGUACUGCCCACUAUUUACUUAGGGCUGCCCCUUGGAGCUCACCACAAAGCUGUCUCCAUUUGGGAUGGGGUGGAAGAGAGAAUGAGAAAGAGAUUAGCCCAGUGGAAAAGACAUUAUAUUUCAAAGGGAGGGCGUAUCACCUUAAUCAAGUGUACUAUGGCCAGCCUUCCUAUUUACAAUAUGUCCCUUUUUCGAAUGCCGAAGAGUGUUGUAAAGAGACUCAAAAAAUUACAAAGAGACUUUCUUUGGGGAGGGGGCAGCUUGGAGAGGAAGGUCCAUUUAAUUAAUUGGGAGGUGGUGUGCACUCGAAGGGAGAAGGGUGGCCUUGGCAUUCGGAAGAUUGACUCCUUGAAUAAAGCUUUGUUGGGUAAAUGGGUUUGGAGAUUUGCCGUGGAAAAGGAUAAUCUCUGGAGGUUAAUGAUUGGGGUGAAAUAUGGUCAGGAAGAGUUUGGGUGGAGAACUAAAGAAGCCCGUGGUACUUAUGGAGUGGGGGUUUGGAAGGAGAUUAUGAAGGAAGCUAAGUGGUGUUGGGAGAAUAGAAAAUUUAAGGUAGGGAAAGGGACUAGAGUAAAAUUCUGGUUUGACUAGUGGUGUGGGAAUGAGAGGCUGUCCCAUUCUUUUCCCCAACUUUAUGAGAUGGCGGUCAACAGGAAUGCAACGGUUAAUGAGAUGUGGGAUCAUAGCAGUGGUCCAGGAGAUUGGAAUCUUAGAUUUCAUAGAGGCUUUAAUGAUUGGGGGAGCUGGAUUUGAUUAGAGGACUGCUUAUUGUGCUUAGGGACUUCAAGCUAUCUUCAGAGGAGGAUGUGGUGCUUUGGAAAAGGGGGGGCCAUGGGAAGUAUGGGGUGAAGGAUGCCUACAAUGGGCUGGUUGUUAUCAAUGCUUGCGACUUUCCGUAUAGAGGCGUUUAGGUGGACAAGGUCCCAACCAAAGCGGCUUUUUUUGCUUGGGAAGCUGUGUGGGGGAAGAUUCUCACCUUGGAUAGGCUUCAAAAAAGGGCUGGCAGUUUCCUAACCGGUGUUUUUUGUGUGGUUGUGAAGAGGAGAGUGUAAAUCACAUUCUUUUACAUUGUAUAGUGGUAAGGGCCUUAUGGGAAAUCGUUUUUGCCCUUGUGGGGGUUCAGUGGGUGUUCCCAGAGUUUGUGAAGGAGGCGCUAUUCAGUUGGAGGGGCCCAUUUGUGGGGAAAAAGAGGAAAAAAAUUUGGAAUUCUAUCCCAUUGUGUAUUUUUUGGACGGUAUGGAAGGAAAGGAAUAGGUUAGCUUUCAAGGGAGGGGUGUUAAAUAUUCAGAAACUCAAGAAUUCUUUUGUUUGUACCUUGUGGAGUUGGGCUAGGGUGUAUAUUGGAGAGGAGUCCUCUUCUCUCUUAGGUUUUUUGGAGUGGCUAGCGGCCACUUAAGGGAGGGUAAGGUGCUUGUUUUUUUGUGCUCUCGUUUUGAGGCAGAUUUGUAUACGUCCUGUAUGCUUGGUGGCCUUUGCCCUUUAAUAUAUUUGUGAUAUUUAUAAAAAAAAAUAUAGAUAUAUGUUAUUAAGUUUAGGUAGUGAAACAAUUAAUGUGGAUAUAAAAUUAAUGCCAAAACUUUUGAUUGAUCCUUCACAUUCUCCACAACCAAACAAAGGAUAUAAGAAAAAUAAAGAAAGAAAUUUAGGGUAGCUUGAUUUUUUGUUCUCAUCUUGUUGUGAAGUUAAUAGAGGAAUGCUUAGGUUGGUGCUCAAUAGUUAAGUGACACCAGGGUAUAAUGAUUCUUCCAAUUGUGUAAACAUUAUCCGCUUUAAUUUCAAUGGAUCAUCAUCACUUUAAAUUGCAUCCACAUGGUUAAGAGCAACUCAUAUGUAUAUAAUAUCAUGAAUUUCUUCUUAUUCGAUAUGGAAUAUCAAAUUAGGUAUUGUAUAAGCGUUUCAACUCAAAUGACUUGGCUUAAUGUAUACUCAAAGCCAUGACAAAGGAACGUACAUGUAAUAAAGUGAAAAUUAAACCUUGUCGCCCUUCUAUCUCUAGUAUGAAACACAACUCCAUUAGCCCUUAAACAUCUGCAAAAAAAGAUAUACACAUCUGUUACAUUAAUUAAAAUAAAUGAUGCAAAAAGAGACUCUACAUGUCCAUGUACAUAAUUUGAUUAGAUUUGUUAUAUAUAUAGACAGAGAGAAAAAAAAACUGCUUAGAUUAAGGAUCUCAUUAAUUAAUACCUAGAAAAUAUAAAAUAAUAAGAAAAGAUUAGAAGGUGUGAAUCAUAAGAUAAAACUACAUUUUUGAAUUAGAUUCAUCGAAAGAUGGCAUAUUGUAUGAACAUUUGUACUCUAUAUAUAAAAAUUCAUAUUAUGGUUGAGAUGUAUUAAUUUGUCAUAUUUUUGGAAAAUUAAAGUAAUGAGUAAUUACACUAAAUUAAAUUAUUGACCUUAUUAAUCAAUACCUCAAGAGUAUAAAAUAGUAAGAAAUGAUUAAUACAAACUUCAUUGAAAUAUUUUUAUACACAUUGUGUAAAUAUUCUUAUUUAAUAAAAGUUUAUAUGUCAUUAAAUAAAUAGAGAAUUUUAACAUUAAUUGCAAUGCUAAGUAGAGGAGAUCCCAUAUUUAAGUUGUUGAUUAAGGCUUAUUUGAUAAAACUUAAUAUAUAUUACUUAAUAACUUAAGUUGACUUUAAGUUAGAUAAUAUUUAAGUUAUUUCCUUAAAAUUUAUUAUUUAAUAUUUACUUUCAGUGUUAAAGUUAUUUGAUAAAGCUAAUUUAAAAAUCAUUUUAAAUUUUCAAAUUGUCAUAUUUACCUUCAUUAAUUUGAUAACUAGAUGCAGAUAAAUGAAAAAAAGAAAUGAGAUUAAGAAUAAGUUAAUUAUUUUGAUUUAACACUUAAAAUUAAAAGUAACUUUAAAAUAUAAUAUUAAGUUAUUUUAUCAAAUAUAUUUAAUAAUUAAAUUAAGUUAUUAAGUCAAUGACUGAUUACCAAACACCCUAUAAGACCUAGAAAAUCGAAUGAGUUUUAAUAGUAUUCAGGAUGGGUAUGACUAGGUGGUGGUUCAAUGUUGAUUAAUCAUAAUUCAAUCAAGGCAAAAUAUGUAACAAAUACAUGUCAAACUGCACCAUCCAAAUGGGCGCCAAGAAUGUUACAUUUGACAAAUGACAAAUGCCAUUAAACCUUUACAGCUAGCAAUUAGAAGAUCACUCUCUUCUUGUAUCUCUCUUUUUCUCCAAACUCCAGGAGGAAAAACUCGAACUCCAUUAUUUUGAUCACAGAAAACAUGGCAAAAAAGUGUGUUGUACUUCAUCUUGAAGCUCAUUAACUUCAUCUUAAUUUGAUCCAAAUUGCAGAAACAUUCGAAACUCCAUGAAUCUAUGGUGCCUUGGUGGCCUACAUUCAUAUAACUGGGGACACUUUGGUUUGCACUACAAUGACCCCCAAACAUGGUUUGUAGAGACUUUAUCAAAAUCACUAGCUUCAAAAGACUAAGGAAAGAAAAAUGUUCUCAAUGAAAACUUGGAGUCGAAUUGCAGAUAAAGACCUAAAACUCCCACUCAAUGUGUUUUAGGAAUUGUUCUUUCAUGGGGAUAAGCUGUUUGGUUUGUACAUGUCUCCUUGGUGAUACUUAGAGAUUGGUGAAGUAUACGUUUCCUUUGUGAUCUGGUUUGUAUCUGGGCAGAUGAAUGUUCAUGCCAGGUUCAUAUAUGUUUAUGAUAUAUGUCACCCUGGAAGGAUCUAGAUCAAGGGGAUGAGUUUGAAAAGCUUGAGUAGGUUUAAAAUGUUCCGAGAAUUGGUGAGCAUGAUAUAUAUCAACAUAUUGCAGAAGACAACAGAGCUUCUGAAAUAUGUCAGAUUCAAUAGUAGGACAUCUUAUCAGCUGUCACUUACUGUAAUUCUAUGCUCUCAAUAUUCAUUUGUUGAAGAAGAAAAAAAAAUUGCUUUAACACUAUUCAAUUACAGGAGAAUGUUCAAUUAUAGAAGAAAAUAAUAUUCGCUAGUCUCUUUCAACUGAAUCAACAUGCAGAGAAAGCAGUCAGGUGACCAGUUAUUCACAUAAUAACUUACAUACAUUGUCUCUCUACCUCUACUUGUUACUCAUCAGCCAAGCUUACAGUAAUAUAAGCUUGGGUUCAUCUCUCUAUGCCACUGAUGAAAACUCCACAUGGGCUUUGCCUUUCUGGUGAUUUUGCAUUUGGAUUCCAACCCUCUCCAAGUGAAGUGGACUUAUUCCUUCUUGCUAUCUGGACUGCAAAUGGAAGUUAACCGGUGCCAAGAGGAUCAAAAGUUGGGCUUACCACCAAUAGACGGCUUGUUCUCUAGAGGCUAAGAUAUGUGGAAGACAGACUGGUAAUGUGAGCAGCGAACCAGUGCAUGGUGCCAUGCUUGGAGAUGGAAAUUGCAUACCAGUGUAUGGGAGAGCUUCAAGCACCCGACUAAUACCAUAUUGCCAACCCAGGGAUUGGUGUUGGAGCCUACUGUGCAGUUGCUAUUUAUGAGGACCUGAGGUUUCCAAAUGGAACUGGAAGCUGUUGGAGGAAAAGACUUACCUCUUUCAAAUGGGAGGUUGGAUCAAACUGCUGUUUCCAGAAGUGCUCUAAUCAAGAUAUUGAAGUCCAGUGAACUAACUUCAGGCAGAGGCAACCAAAAUAAAGCAAUUCUAAUACUCUCAGUCCUCUUAGGCCCCUCUGUGUUCUUCUUCUUCAUUUCUCUGGCUGCAAUUUCUCUAGUUUUCUACUGCUUGAACCUCAAAAAUCUGCAGCUUUAUCACAGAAUCCUGAGUACAAGCGAUGGUAGAAGCCUUUGGCACUGUCUAUAAAGGGAUAUUACCAUCAGGUUCUGGAAAUUCUGUUGCUGAAAGAAGUUGGAGAAGGUGGUGGGAGAAGAUGAGAAAGAAUUCAAAGCAGAAGUGAAUGUGAUAGGCCAACUCACCAUAAGAAUCAAGGACACUAGCUGCGUUACUGUUGUGAGGGUGAACACUGAAUACUGGUGUUUUUUUUUUAUGCACAAUGGCUCUUUAUCAAGGUUCCUUUCUGGAGGCGCCCAAGGACUUGUGUACCUACAUGAAGAAUGCAGUAAACAGAUCAUCCAUUGUGACAUAAAGCCCUCAGAACAUAACUCUUGGAUGAUUCUUCUACAGCCAAAGUUGCAAACUUGGACUGGGAAAGCUUCUGAUAAGCAACCAGACUAGAACACUCACAGGCAUCAGAGGGACUAUGGGGUAUAUUCAGACAACUCGGGCAGCCUAUGUCUCUUAUAAUAACACAUUGUGAAGCAUCAGCUCAAUGCCGGGGUUCAAUCUGCAAAGCAAGGGAUUCAUCAAUGUUUCCUUCAAACUAAAUGAUAAGGAACAGAAAUGGAUCAUUCUGCAUUUUCAGUGGUGUUUGUUAUAGCAUUUAUACAAGAACUCUAGGGGUUUCUAUGUAUAACUUCAUUCCCAUUUUGUAUAAUCCAAAUCUCUUCAAUCGAUUAAAUGUAUAAAUGAAUCCUAUUCAUUGUUUGGAGUAACAACAAAAUUCUGGAAGACUGGGAAAGUUUCAACACUGGAGAGAAGACAAAAUGACAAGACCAUAAAUUCUGGAAGAGGGCUUUGCUUUCUAACCAUUACCAUAAUUUUUGAGCUCAACCCGGAUGAGUAAAUUAUAUUUCAGAAUGUUCAGGAGAUAAUUCUAAAGUGAUGAACCUUCUACUCACAGUUUCUUGUUCUUCUUGAACAGAGCAAUGAACAUCAAUAGUUCAGCACCCAGGAAUCUCCCCUUCCUCCAAUUCCCCCACUGGGAAAAGUCACCUUUCCAGUUAAGAAAAUCAUCAGGAUUAAUUUGAGCAAAACAUCAGAGUAUACAUCAAGAAAGCCUUGAUCAAAAUCAAAAUACAUCAAGAGCUGCCAUUUUCUUCUAUUUCCUCUUCCCUGAAUGGAAUGUCUUUUGGACUGAGGUGAUCAAUGGUAACAGUCUAACAUACUCCUUAAGCUCCGAUUGAGGUCAACGGGGAUUGGCACAUUUCAUGAUUGGCAAACAUGAAUCUCAGGAUAAUCAACAAGUCAACAACUAUCAAUCAGUAAGGAAAAGGAAAUACCUUUGGAUAUUUACAAAUAAAAAAUUUGAGAGAGUCCAGCUGCUCUGUACAGAAAGGCUUGAGCUUAUUCCAUGGCCAGGCUUUAGAUGGUUCUGAAUUAAGGAUGAGAGGGUUGAGUUUUCUUUCAUUCUGCAAUAAGAUUAAAAACAUCAAUGAAACGCUAAAAGUUUAUAUAUAGAAGCCCUUCUAAAGAUAAGAAUUGGUAAGAGAGCCCACCCAUGGUCUAGUAAAGCAACAUCUGUUAGAUAAGUAACCACCAUUCUAUUGUCCAACUAAUGCAUUUAGAUCUAAGAUAAGAUAUGGAAAAAUAGUCGAAAAUAGUUAAAGACAGUCCAAAAACUCAUUUGACUAAUAAUUUUCUAAAAACAGUAACAUAAAACCAGGAUGAAGAAUCCACCCCUCUACCUGACACCACUUCAAUACCAAAUAAAAUGUUAUGAUGACCAUUUAUGGUCUUAAGAGACAGUGGAUGUUGUUUGGGCUCAAGACCUAAGACAAGCCAAAAAUCAAGAAGAAAACAACAUCAAAAUUGGCACAGAAACAAGUACAUCAACUAUCUAAUAAAGAGAUUUAUGCAUGUAACAAAUGCAAAUGAAAUAUGAUCCAAGAUUUUCAUGGAUUAAACAAAAAUUAUUUGAAAUAUGAUCCAAGAUGGCAAAAUAGAAGGAUAAGGUCACAGACAGGACAAUAUUAAAAGAAAUUAUUAUUUUUCUGACCUGAAAAUCGAGGCAUUCAGAACAGUACAAGUUUGUAAGUAGUCCAUGGAAACCAGGGAACAUAUGCAGACGUUGUAUUCUAUUGCAUAAGGCAAACACUCAAUACUUACAAGCAUAAUCAUGCCCAGAAAGCCAUGAAUCCCUUUCUGUUUUGCUUUUUUACCUAUUCUCAUCUCUUAUGGCCAGAAGUGCCCAGGAUGAUACAACCUCACCAAAUAAGUUAGAAACCAGCCCAUUCAGCAGGUUGAGUAGCCAGCUUGCCCUCAAUCUUCUUUGAGUCAACAAACAGCUGGGCAUUAUUGCCUCCAAUGGAGGGUCUGGAAAUAUUAGAGCCGGCAGCAGGGGUGGCUGUAAAACUCUCUGUUCCAAAACCCCAAGUUUCAGGGCCAGAAGUUCCUUCUGUGGCUGGUUUGUUGUGAUGGCCAUUUCGGGUCCUAACAGACUUGCUAUUGUUGUCUGGGCACCUGCCUCAGAGAAAGCCUGCCAAAGAUUAGAGUCUGGGCCAGGGG